Molecule: long non-coding RNA, 206056 nt
Filed under: Citrus x clementina
Lineage: Eukaryota; Viridiplantae; Streptophyta; Magnoliopsida; Sapindales; Rutaceae
Description: Citrus clementina (C. clementina) long non-coding RNA (CCLE_LNC003363)
Rfam family: Plant small nucleolar RNA R71 (bases 110964-111072)
Source: RNAcentral
CAAGGAAGAAGGACUAGAAAGGGAGAAGAAACACAUGGCUCGGUCUAAUGAAUCUAAGAAAAAUGAUGAAGCCGUCUCCCUCACCACCAGCACAACAAUUGUGACACCAUUAGAGCCUACUGAGAAGGUUGAAGAUGAAGAUGUAGUGGCCAAAGAAUCAAAUGAAGAAACAGUGGACGGUGUUAUUGAGAAUGCUGAAGAUGAAGAGGUGGUGGUCUAUAGAGGAAGACAAAGUGGGCCUGACGCAGCAGACUCCUUGUUAUGCUGAAGGUAAAUCUGUAACUUUAUUUUGCCCUUUCACUUCAUUUUGAAUGUCUUAAACCAGCUGCACCUCACUUUAUCAUUUGAAAACUCGGAAAUCACAAUAAUAAAUUAAGUUAAUUCUUCCAUCUCUUUGUAUAUGGAUUUGAAGGAACCAAUUGAUGAAGCCUAUAAAUUCAAGCAACAAUAGUGUAAUGGGGAUCAUUCGCUGUUCUCUACUAUCCAGUCUUGGUAAACAGCUCAAAAAAUGAAGUGGAGAUACUAUUAGAUCUACUCUCUAUGAAAGUGCUUCAGACAUGCAUGUUUGUCACUACGAUGCUGUCAUAGUCUCAUAGAGCUGAUUCUUCACAAUUCAGAUAUUCACUCAUGAAUUCUUUGAAAUUUAGAGCUUUUCUCCAUAGCUACCUCAUUAGAAAACAAGUCAUGACAUAAGACUUAUCGACUCAAAGCAGAAUUUUCUAGAUCAGGACCUAACAUCAGUUUAUCUUGUGCUGGCAGGUAGUUGAUUGGAUAUCACUAUCCCCAACUUGUGCAGAAGCUUCCUGACCUUUGUAUGUCAUCAGCAGUGGGUGCUGGAUGUUUGAUCAGAUCGGCUAAAUUAUGAACUUAUUGUGUAUAUUUGUGUCAAUAUGUACAAAGGAAGGGGGUAAAAAACUAAUAUAUUAAAUAACACGGCAUAAAAAACCUCCUCCUAAACAAAAUAUGUAUCUAUUUUGUAAAAUGAGUUAAUAAUUAGUAUGAGAAUUUACUCUUUCAACUCGUAGAGAUACAACCUUAAUAUGCUGGUUAAUUCAGCUCAUUGAGAGCGAGACAAUUAGACAAACAUUAUUUUUGUCAGAGAGAACUGCAAAAGUACUAGCUUUACCAGAGAGAUUAAUGUUGCCGUUUGCACUUUGCAGGAACAUUUGUUUAGUUGCAACUCAAUAUUGGUUGCGAACGCAAGCAUGAAAAUGCUACCGUUGAAACAAGAUAGAUAUCCUGCCUAAUCAUUUGAUCUACCAGAGGUGAGAGGCGUGUGUCCAGCAAAUCAAUCAGCUUUAUAUUUGUAUCCAAUGAUGAAGAUGACAAUGAGAGGAGCUCUCCUGCAUGCUUUCCCACUAGUGCUUCUAGUGCCACUACCUUAAAGUUACAAACAUCACAUUUCUCUGUCACAACCAUAGUGUAGGCAAGUUCUUUAUUAGGGUUGGUAAUAAACUCCGAAUUCACCUCGAAUCCGCAAAGAUCCAGAAGAUCCAGAUCUGGAAAAAUCUAAAUCCACAUGUUAAAAAAUACGGAUCCAUAUCUUAAAAAUCAAGAUCCGUGCGGAUUGCAUCCAGAAAAUCAGAUAUCUGGAUCCGCAUUAUUUUAUAAUUAAAUUAUUUAUUUAAUUAAAUUUCAAUUGAAAAAUAUAUAAAUUAAAUUAUUUAUUUAAAUGUAUAAGCAUAAUUAACUCUCUAAUCUUCAUUAACUAUGAAAAAUAUGUUUAAAAACUAAUAAUAACAAUAAUAAUUAGAGAAUAUUAUAAUAAAUCGAUUUACCUUAAUUUUUUUUUAAUUUUUUAUGUUUGAUUCAUGUUGUGAAGUUAUUGUUUGUGAAUUUAUGGUGUUGUUAUAUGUUAUUUAUGUUGAAUUGAUGUUAAAUUGUUGAUUGUUAAAUCGUAAUUGAAUUUUAUUUAAUAUUAUUAUGUAAAUUAUUAAAUUUAAAAUUAUAUUUAAAUUUAUUAUGCGGAUCCGGAUAUCCGGAAUAUCUGUUUGUAAUCCAUGCGGAUAUUAUCCGUAUUCAGAUCCGCAAAUUUUUUUGCGGAUCCGAAUGUCAAAAUUUUAAUCUGGAUCUGAAUUUUACCAUCCCCAUUCUAUAUGAAAACAAAAGCAUUUAUUAGUAAUGUUUUUUUAAGUAAUAACAAGAUCAAUUUGUUUAUAUUUUUGAGCUUCCGCAACAACUUAUGACAGAGAAACUUAUCUUAUUAGUUAGAGGGAAAAUGAUAUAUACAAUUCUUAAAUUCAGGAAAAUGGUCAAAAACACCUCUAAGUUUUCAAAAAGGGGUAUUAGAAUUUCUUUUUUAUUAUAAUACCUUUUACCUAUAUUAUCCUAAAAAAAUUAACUCUAAUAUUUCAUAAUAAACAUAAAUAUAACAUUAAAAUAAACAUAAUAAUAUAUACAUUUUAAUAUUUGAAAAAUAUUUUAAUAUUUUACAAUCUAUAAGACAUAUUUUAUUAUAUUAAAGUAAAUUUGAUAAUAAAUUGGAAUCAUAAUAUUAAAAUAAAUAUAUUAAAAUUUAAAUUAUCUUCAAUAUUAUGUAAAAUAAUAAUUUUAACAUUAUUAGCAUGUCAAAUUUUUUUUAAAUUGUAAAAUGUAUUUAAUGCAAAUAUUUAUUUAAAAUCUCUACAAUAAAAUAUACUAUUAAAAUAAAUAUAAUAAUUUACAUAUUUAAAUUUAUUAAAAUAUUUUAAUAUUUUAAUAUUGCCAGUCCACUGAAUAGAUUAUAUUCUUUAUAUAAUAUUUUAUAUUUGUAUUAAUUAAAAAUUUUAAAGUCUAUUUCAUUGAGAUAAUAGAGAUAAAGGGUAUAAUGGUUAUAAAAGGGGGUCCUAGUAUCUCUUUUUGAAAACUUGAGGUGUUGAUGACUAUUUUAUCAAAUUUUUGGGGUUUAGAUGUUCUUUUUCGUUAGUUAUAACGGAUAUCGAGAGUAGGGGCGGAGGGUGCUUAUGACUAGAGUGAGCCAUGUCGCCUAUAGAUUUUAAAUUUUAUUUUUUGAAAUUUCAAGGAAAUAUUAGAAAUUAGGUAUAAAAAUAUGAUUUGGCCCUAACACAAUUAAUUUGUAAACUUUAUAUAUUGGAUGAAACUGUAAUUUUAUGUUUUUCCAAAUAAAGUCAAAGUGACCCAAUUGUUGAUCUUUAUUUUGCUAAUGAUUUUUUUAUUCCAACAAAAUAGGAAACAACUUUUUAAAAGUUUGAUAUGAGCUUUGCUUUGUUUAUUGCAUUUUCAUUUUAUUUUUUUUUACUUGUAACAAUAGCUGCAAUUAUCAAUCAAAAUUCCAAAAUCAAAUUACUAUGGUUACAAGCAAAAAUCUUAAGUUCCCUACAACUACACCACAGUUAUAAAUUUUUAAAAAAAUCAAAAAUCAAUCAUCUAUUUAUUUAAAGUUUUAACUUGGCCCCCCAAGAUUUAGUCCAAGGUCCACCCCUGAUUUAAAGUAUUUAAAAAUGCUAUGAGAAUUUCGUUUACCUGGCCCUGCUGUCCAUCUUUAUGAUAAAAAAAUUCUACAAAAACUUGGACAGUUGGUGGGGACGAUGAUCAAAAUUGAUGCGAAUACAACAUCCUCUAUGCGAGAAUGUUUUGCUCGAAUUGCAGUGACCAUCUCUUUGGCCAAGCCUUUAGUGUCUCAGUUUGAGUUGGAUGGGAAGGUGCAGAAGGUGGAAUAUGAGGGGCUGCCAGUGAUCUGUUUUAUGUGUGGAAGGUAUGGACACAGUAGCAAUAUUUGCAAGGCAGCCGAUAUAGCAAAUGAUGCUGAAAAGGCUUCCCAGCCUGCUAUGCAGCGUCAGACAGCCCCCGCUCAUCAGGAUGGUGGCUGUCACGAUGCUAGUACUAUUGAACCUUUUGGCCCCUGGAUGAUUGCUACGAGAAAAGGAAGAAAAACUAAUAAUGGCAAGGAGAAUAGCAGUGAGCCAAAUCGAAAUCGUGAGCCUUUUGGGGCUAACACUACAAGGUUCCACAUUCUAGCUCAGGUCCCAGAGGAGCGUGAGGAGCCUGCCCCUGCAAUGUUUCCAGACAUCCCUUCCACUUCACGACAACCAACCUUGCCUAUUCUAAAUCCUACUUUUGCCGCCUAUAAAGAGACCAUAAUAAGGACCUCAACAAGAAGCAAGCUUCAUAAUAAGGCUGCUGGUACAAAAACUCAGAAUCGGAGACCACCAACCCCAAUGAAUCCAAUCCAAAACCCUUUCCCGUCGAGCGCUCUAAAUAUGAGAGAGAAGGAGGUGAACUUCCUAUCCCAUGCAAACCCUAAUUCUAACCCUUUUGUUACUUCACCGACAGCACCUAGUAACCACCAAGUCUCCCAUCUUGCUACCACUUUAGACCUAACGAGGCAUACUGUGGUCUUUUGCUCGCCACAAACCUCGCCCCCGGGGAUUGUAAGAGAUGAGGGCAUGGAGUAUAGAACUCGGCAAGAACCGGACCCUUAGCAUAUGGAUGACCCGCCAGAUGUUCAUACCACACCAUGUGUAAAUGAAGUUGCGACUGCCCAAACACAACCAGUACAGCCCUUGAGUAGUGUUGAAGCGGCUGGAAUGUCUAAUGAUGAAGACUCGAUGGUCCAAGAAACGCUUAUGGCGUCGAUGGAUGAUAUUAAUGGUCAGCAAUACUAAGGUUUCUGUCAUCUUUUAAUGUUAUUUGUUAAGAUGUCAAUAAGCAUAAUGUACUGGAACGUUCAAGGGGCGGCCUCGUCUAAUUUUCGCCGUGCUUUUAGGAAUAUUGUUAACAAUUAUAAGCCUUCGUUGGUAGUUUUGAUUAGGGAUGGCAGUUUUUUCCGGACCCGGACGAACCCGGACAAUCCGGUCCGGGUUUAACCCGUAUCGGAGUACGAUAAAAUCCAGAUCCGAAAUUAUUUUUCUGAACCCGGAUAUAUCCGGGUCCGGAUGCGGGUUUGAGUUAACCCGUAUAUCUGGAACCCGGACCCGGAUAUAUUAUUUUUAUUAUUUUUUAUUAUAUUUAAUAUAAAUAGUAACAUUAGAAAAACACACACACAACACACAACACACAACACACAAGUGCCCUAAUUUCACUCGUAUAUCGCAGCCACCGUAGCCCAAAAUCAGAGCCAACCAUUUUCUUUCUCUUCAAAUCGUCUCCUCAUCAACUCAAAUCAUUGUUCUUCGCUACCGUCACAGCUCUUUUCAUCAUCAUCAUCAUCGUUAGUUGCCGUAUUUCAAGGGAAGACGAACCUUCAUCAGCUUGUGGAGAAAACAGCACUGAUACGGAAAUUGAACUGAUUUGCAAAAUUGCCAGCAAAACUACUCAGACUGGGAAAGAAAUGAAAGAGUUAUACUUUCUUCCUCACGUGUUGUUUUAUGUGUUUCUCCUGCUGGAAAACUUUUCCUACUUCAAAAGCUUUUGCAAUUACUCAUUUUUCUGACUUUUUUUUUCUUUUUGGAUGGCUUUUUUCUGACUUCGAAUAAGUAUGUGAUUGACCAACAUGAUGGAUUUUUAAUUUUAUGAGUCUUUAUAUCACGUUAAUCCUUAAAUUUUCUGGUUCAUGUGAUGGGAUAAAACUUUUUUUUUUCUUUUUCAGACUGCUCUUAUUGAUCCAGGUUCAAAACCCAGAAUUCAGAAACCCGGAUUUUUCGGGUUUAACCCGGACCGGACCCGGAUGCAAGAAAACCGGGUUAACAUCCGCGUCCGGUGUAAUGAAAACGGUAUCCGGGUCCAGAAUCGGGAAGGCCAAACCCGGACCCGGACCCGGCUUUUGCCAUCCCUAGUUUUGAUAGAACCUCGCAUCAAUGGGAGUAAAGUCGAUGAGUUCAUUAAAAAAAGUGGGUUUGACAAUUCACAUCGUGUGGAGCCAGUGGGGUUCUCUAGAGGAAUUUGGCUGCUUUAGCAGAAUGUUAUAGAGGUGGAGGUGUUGAUAAACCAUCGGCAAUUUAUUCACUUUCGGAUUAGCAUGAAUAAGGGUUUUGUGUCUUGGACAACGGCUGUUUACGAUAGCCCAAAUCCAAUGCUACGAAGACAGCUGUGGAAGCAUCUAGAUAACCUUGCUCUUUCAAUUCAAGGACCUUGGCUGAUUGGUGGGGAUUUGAAUUCGAUAUUGUACGCUUCUGAAAAACAGGGGGGAGCUACAGGGCAGUCAGGAGUUUGUGGCUUGUUCCGGCAGUGGUUUGAUGGUAAUCAACUUUUCAACUUAAAGUUCAAAGGCCCACGGUUUACUUGGUCUCGUGGAUUUCUUUUCAAAAGAUUAGAUAGAGCUCUUUGCAAUAAUGAGUGGCUAUUAAAGUUUGCGGAUAACUCAGUUCUCCAUCUUCCGAAGGUUGCUUCAGAUCAUCGACCGGUGCUAGUUCGGUUUGAGAGAGCUGAAUGUCGACAGCAAGGUAAUAGGCCCUUUCGGUUCUUGGCUUCUUGGCUAACUCAUGAUCAUUUUAAUAAUUUUGUUAAGCAGACGUGGGACCCUAAAUCUUACUAUAGCGACGCUGCAUCUCUUUUUGUCAAGAAGGUUCAAGUUUGGAAUCGAGAGGUUUUUGGGAAUAUUUUUCAGCGGAAACGUCGAUUAAUGGCUCGGGUUAUCGGGAUUCAAGCAGCCUUGGAGAAUUAUAGUUCGAGAGGGUUAAUGCGCCUAGAGGCCAAUUUGCGGAAAGAAUUGGAGAUGGUGAUGGGGCAUGAGGAUAUUUUUUUGUGGCAAAAAUCAAGAAACGACUGGAUUAUGCAUGGGGACAGAAAUACCAGGUUCUUUCACCAAAAAACUAUUGUUCGCAGGAGGCGAAAUAGAAUUAAAGCCAUCCAGGAUAAUUCGGGUAAUUGGUUGUACAAUGAGGAAGAAAUCCGAAAUUGCAGUGGGGUAUUUCUCUUCAUUAUUCACAAGUGAGGCUGAAAGUUCUCAAGUUUACCAUGUUCUGAAUUAUUUCUCGGUUUGGAUGCUCAUGAUACCGACUGUGUCACCAACCCUGUUUUGGAAAUAGAAAUCAAGAAUGUUGUCUUUAGUAUGAAACCGCUAAAGGCCCCAGGUAUGGAUGGUUUGCAUGUUAUUUUUUAUCAAUCUCAAUGGCCAGUUGUUGGGCCUUCUUUAUGUAAGUUUAUCGGUGACAUUUUUAAUUCUGGCAAGCUUCCUCAAGAGGUUAAUACUACCCUGUUGGUAUUGACCCCUAAAGUGGAGCAUCCUACUAAUUUAAAAAUGUUCAGACCUAUCAGCCUAUGUACAGUCGCUUAUAAAACAGUGACUAAAAUAAUAGCUAACCGCCUGCAAGCUGUGCUGCCUAAAAUUAUAGGACCCUAUUAGACAAGUGUUGUUCCUGGCCGUCAUAUUAUAGACAAUAUUGUUGUUGCUCAGGAAGUGGUACAUACUAUGCAACGAAAAACUGGUAAGAGAGGGCUUAUGGUUAUCAAGGUGGAUCUUGAGAAGGCGUAUGAUCGACUUAAUUGGUCUUUUAUCUUUGAUACUCUCAAGCUAACUGGAAUUUCGAUUCAUUUAUCUAGGAUCAUCAUGGAAUGUAUAACUACAGCUAAAAUGAGUGUUCUGUGGAACAGAGAGAUUACUGAGGAAUUUUCUCCGGGGCGAGGAAUCCGACAGGGCGAUCCCCUGUCUCCCUAUAUUUUUGUUCUCUGCAUUGAGCGUUUGAGCCAUGGUAUUUCCCAAGCAAUAAUGGAGGGCAGUUGGAAACCAAUCUGUUUGACCAAACAGGGAACUCCACUAACCCAUCUUUUUUGCUGACGAUUUACUUUUAUUUGCAGAAGCCUCGAUUGAUCAAGCCUAUAUCAUUGACACAGUUUUGGAGAAUUAUUGUCUGAAAUCCGAAGCUAAGGUGAAUAAGUCAAAAACCAAAGUUUUUUUCUCUAAAAAUGUGCUAGCUAGAGAUGCCCAGCUUAUUGGUGAUGCCUUGGGGUUUUCGGCUACGAAGGAUUUGGGUUGUUAUCUUGGAAUGCCUUUAAUUCAUUCUCGGGUGAACAAAGCCACUUACCAAUCAAUUCUAGAUAAGGUGGACAUGCGGCUUACUGGUUGGAAUGCGGCUUAUUUAACCUUUGCUGGAAGAGUUACUUCGGCUCGUUUAUCCUUCAUGCUUUGAGAGACUGCCAUUGUAUUAAACGAGAUUGGUUUAGUCUUGUUCCAGAGGGUGAGCAUUCCUCCUUUUUUCACGAUAAUUUACAUAAAUUGAUAAUGGUUAACCUCCAGAAUAAGAGAAGGUUCAUGAACCAGAUCCCUUGGGAGUGUGUUUUCGGUGUGGCUGUUUGGAGAUUAUGGUUCUGGAGAAACCAUUUCAUGGUAGAAGGGAAGUUGGUGGAUAACUCAACAAUUAAUAUGGAUAUUAUGGCUAGAGCAAAUGAAAUUCAUAGAGUGAAUAAGUCUCACAUGAGUCAGCAACCGAGGAGAAAAGAGAUGUUUAUCGACUGGCAACCUCCCCCAUGGCCUUGGUGCAAAUUAAAUAUGGAUGGAUCUUGUAGAAAUUUUGGGGAAGCAGGGGCUGUUGGGUGUUAUUCGUGAUUCUGUUGGGCACUGGAUUUCUGGAUUUUGUAUGAAUAUUGGGGAGUGCUCGGUGCUUAUGGCUGAGCUAUGGGGUCUUUACCAAGGCUUAGUCCUAGUGUGGGAUGCUGGUAUAAAAUGCCUUUUGGUGGAAGUGGACAGUCUUUGUGUUUCACAGAUGAUCUCUAAGCAGGUGGUCGUGCCUAAUGCUUUCUAUGCUAUAGUGGUUGCUGUCCGGGAUCUUUUAACCAGAAAUUGGCAAAUUUCUAUCACACACAUCUUUCGUGAAGCGAACUCAGCUGCGGAUUUCAUGGCUAACCAGGUUCAUUCAGUUCCUCAUGGAUUGCAUCUAUUUACAAGCCCGCCUGUGGGUAUUUAUUCAAUUAUGCUGCAAGACAUGUUUGGGGUUACUCAACCCCGUUUUGUUCGAAUUUAGCUCGUUCUUUUGCACCCCUUUUAAUAAAAAAAAAUGCUAUGAGAAUGAAAACGAUUUCGCCUGCCUGAAGCUGAAGGAUUUAAUUCAUUGCAUCACUAUUUACAGUGCAGAUUGUGUUGCUGAUACAUCAAGAAAACCUAGGAUCAAGGGUCCUGAUUUAUUCUCUCACUUCAUUACAAUUUUUUUUCGUAUGUAACAAAAUCAUAGCCGUUAUCUACAAUUAUUCUAUAUCUUUCUAGGUUUCUCUCAUGUGUUAACUUUUCACCGUAGCCCUCUGAUUAAAACCUUAACUUGAUAAUCAAAUCUGGAGCUGCUGCCGAUGUAUUGUACAAUAUUAAAAAAUUAACAAGUUCUUUGUCAGGCAUUUUAUCAAACACAUGAAUGUAUCCUCAAACACCUUUUAACUUAACUAACAAUAUAGCAAAGACAAAUGAUGAGACCGAACAAUUGACAAAUCAACCAUGGUGCAAACAAGUUCUGUAGGAAAAAAAAUUGAGUAAUGUUAAAUAAUAAUGAAUAAUAAUAUUUUUAAUCAAUUAUAAGUAUUGACAUGAUUAUUUAUUUAACAUCAAACAUAUAUAAAAACGUAUUUACGGUCAGCUAAGCUACGCUAAAAAAGGGCGGGUUUAGUUUCAUCUAAGGUAUCACUUAUAUUAAAUCAUUAGAGAGAAAUUAGCUUAAUUAAUUACCUGCCAACCCCAGCCAUUUAAUGUUUCAUCAGAAAAAAAUUCACCAAGAAUAUGGCAAGAUUUUUUUCCCUCUUGAAGCUACGAUUCCUGAGAAUAUCCAGGCGAGGGUAUCUGUGCCUUGUGAAGCUCCAUCUAUACCAUUACAAACUUGAUUUACUGGAUAUUUCAGAGGCAUAUCAUAUUGAGCUGCUACAGUUUACAUGUUUUCUAAAUAAUUCUUCAAUUUCGAAACAUUCUUCGAAGGCCAGUCGAAAUUUUAAGUUCAUUCAAUAGAUAAAACUCCACAGGAAAGUUCUUCUCCAGUAUAGAUAUCUGCAUGUUACAAAAUCCUGAAUCUAAAUACUGUUGUCCGAAUUUUACAAGACAUAAAUUAGAAUCAGAAAUAACGUUUGCACUAAAACCCGUACACGAAUGAGUAAAUCUCAACUGAACGAGAAUUCAUUAGUUGGAAUAUAAAAUAAUUUGUAUUAUAAUUGAUGUGACAAAUGACAUCACGCUCACGCAAGCGCAAUUUUAUUAAUUAAUAUAAAGUAACGUACUUCCUCUCUAGGAUCAUAUAACAACGAUAAUUGGAGACGUUUUAGCAGAUAAUAUGCAAGAGAAUCUCUCCAUAAUCUGCCAAAGCUUUAGUGCAUCUUCACUUGAUACGAAUGGCACCGAUUUUCCGUAAAAACGAUGCUGAACAAAAAAAUUAAUGAUCAAAUUAGAACAAAUAUUUCACCAAUAAAGUCACAUUUACCCUUCAACAUUGUGUUUUUUUCUGCUACUAUUUUAACAAUAUAUAUAAAAUUUGGUAUCAAACCUUUUGUCAAGGAUCCCAAUAAUAGAAAUAAAUUUUAAAAAGAUGGAAGCGUCAAUUCUUCGUAAUUAAUAUGCAAAGCAAAACAUAAAUCACAAAGGUAUUUCUACUCACCUCUAUAUAAACUUGUAAAGCGUCAAAUCGAUGAGCAUUAUCAGAAAGCCAUCCAAUGCCGUCAAGGUCAUCAUCAAGACUACUCUCUUCACCAAGAUAAGCCAAAAUUGGCGCCGCCGCCACUACCCCAGUGCUUGAAGUUCAACACAUAUCUCGGCGGAAAUGUUAAAUAACUUUCUGGAUUAUAAUUAAAGUGAUCGAGUGUUUGAUCAUAACAGAAAGUUUUAAGAUCGCUCUUUGGUUCUGAAGAAGCUAAAUGUUCGCUAGGGUUUUGAAAAAUAUUGAUUCCACGAAGAACACCAAACUUCGGGAUGUACUUCAAUGGUGUAGGGGAAGCAAAUUUUGUGUGAAGAAGAAUAUGUUGGGAAAAUAUGCUCUUUAAAAGCAUAUGUGUUUAUUUAAUUGUAAUAAACAAUUUUUCUGAUUAAUAAAAUAAAUGAAGUAUUUUAUUCAAAUAUCUUAAUUGUAUUAAUAUUUUGAUUAAAGUCCAUUUAAUCAUAUUAUAUAUAUUUAUGUGAUCACCAUGUGGAUUCACAGAAGAUAUAAAUACAAGUUAUCUUAUGAUUAAAUAAAUUUAGCUCGCAGUUGAUAAAUAAAGUUGAGCACUUUAUUUAGGUACAGACUGUAAUGAAUUCAUUGAAUGAUUUGUCUUAAUCAUGUAUGAAUUUAUUGAUGCAGUACGACUACAUUGAACAGGAUCACAUAUGAGAUUUAAUUAACUUUGUAAUAACUGUCAGACUUAUUAAAUCUCAUAGGCAUUGAUUUUACUGUAAUUUUAAUCUUGAGUUAAUUAUGAUUUCAUGAUUGUAAUUGUUAUUCCAUUUGAGUUACCAAUAGGCACGACACAUACUUUUAGUUAAGAUUAUUCGGUAUCUUGGUGUGAGCAAUUAUGAGUAUUGAAGUUAUAAAUUAACAAUAUAGAAUUUGUACAACAUAUCUCUUGAUGGGUUUUCGGCACUUGAUCAUAUAAUUAUCUAGCCAGAGUGUGUCAACAUAUUUAGUAUGUUGAAAAUGAUCAUUAAAGAAAACUAUUUAGUAUUAAAGAACAAGAUGUAAUUAAAUUGAGUGGACAAUUGAGAUAUUGAUUUAAUUAACAAUGUGAUACAAAAGAUUGUGUAAUAAAGAAAUCAAUGUGGCAUGGGUCGAAUUAUUAUUUGAGUACACUAUUCUAGAUAGCAUAUAAUUAUGGAGGUCAAUUCCAAUCUUUUAGUGGAGUAUAUUUGAAAUUAAAUAAUUGGACUAGUUUAAUUACAUGCCUAAUUAUUGUAGCUACUAUUGUUUGUUCCCAAAUGAUCUCCGAGUUAGCUUAUUUAAUUGACUGCACUACUUCUGGAUUAAUAAGCAAGAUAACUAACUAUUUGGGUCAGAAGCCUAAAUAUAUCAUUUAGUGGGAGACUCUAUUUAAUUUGCUUGUGUGUAAGGGGCUUUAUGUUCUUUUACAAGAUGUGCCCCCUAUAGAAAAAACAAGUAAGGUGACUUUUGAUUUUUAUUAUUUGGAGCCUAAGGUUUUCACUAAAGGGAGAUAUAUAAAAAGAACUUAUUUUGUCUAAAGAAUAUGAGAGACAUUAUACAGAUCAAGAGAAAAAGAAUUUUUAUCUCUAAUUUUGAGAGAAAAUUUUCUCAUGCUAGCUGCUUUUAGUAAUAAUAAAGGCCCCCACACGUCAAGUGCAGAUCAAAUUUCAGUCAUAACUUAGAAAAUCAUUGGUGACGGAUCGUGAUCUAAUAACCGUGGUAGUGACGGAUCGUAGUCUAACAGACGUGGUGGUGACAGAUCGUGAUCUGGGAGCCUAGAUUAACUCAACGAAAAAUCCAAAUCGAAUUUUCAAGGUACGAUUUUUAGGUUACGAAUUCUUAUAUAUUAUAUGAAAUCGAUCUUAAAAAAUUUUAUAAAAAUUUAAAAAACUGAUUUUUCUCCAAAAGAAUAAACAAAAGCCAUGCAAGGCACUGGACUUUGAUUUUAAGGGCUUUCAUGUCAUAGUUUUAUUUUGACGGUUAGUGAGAGUGAGAGAAGUGAGUAGAAUGUUUGUGUGGUAAAUAUAAAUAGAAUAUUUGAGAUUCUGUUCAAAAUUCCUUCAAAAUCGAUGUGUCUGUUAAAACAUUCUAGAUUUGUUAAUUGUUAUUAUCUUAAUAUAAUCAUGUAUUUGUACUGUGUUUUUAAGAUAUCCUAAUUUGAUCGAUUGUAACUAAUUAUUGAGCUUUGAUGUGUUAUAAGUAUGUACAUGCGUAGUGGAUGAACUUUUCUUACCUUCAGGGUGUAUUUGGCAUCCCUUAUAAUGUUGCAUGAAGAGUUUGUAUUGUAUUAUAUUAAAUCAUGCUUAGGCUUUAUUAAGUAUUUUAUUACACCAAACUAUAACAUGGCAACACCCGCAUACACUAACCUAUAGGGCGGAUUGGGUUUAUGCGGUUUCUUACCAUCUAACAAAAUAAAAACAAACAAGAAAAAUAAAAUUGAAGAAUGCUUCAUCACUGCCGAUCUCUCAACUACAAAAACUCUCAAAAUCGAUCUGUCCACCAACAAAAACGGCCGGCCAGCUUUGCUCCAUCGCCACCACGCUAGCUUACUUUGCCGCAAGACACCUCAACUCCACCACCAUCGUGUCGCAUGAAGCACAGCUCCACCACCACUGUGCCAUCCGACAUCACAGCCCGUCAACUAUUGCACUACGCGAUCUGCCUUCGUCACCACUGCACGACACCAGCUGAUUGUGACUUACUAACUGAACGGCAGGAAAUGUUGUCACCAAAGAGACGAGCCAUUCCUCUUCAGGUUCAACGUUCGAGACUUUCUAGCUUUGCAAUCAGUUUCUGUCUGUUUCCUGGGAAAUUUAAGCUUAACCCACUAUUCUAAUCUUGAAUGCCCUGUGAUUGAAGUAAUUACAGUGUUAGAUUUUUAAAUGAUUCCAACUUUGUCAUCCUCGUCAGCUUAAGCUUCAAUAGCAAUACUAAUUUGAUUAAACACUAAUUGAACUGUCAGAUUUAAUCUCUCUUCUUCUUCUUCUUCUUGUUCUUCUUUUUUUUUUUAAGUUUGGCUGUAAUCGAAUUUCGUAGCAAUUUCUUUGUGUUAACUGACAAAAGCAUUUUGGGAUGGAGGCUUUGAGUCUAUCGGGGUUAUGGAUUUGGUGUCAUCGGAAGCAUGGGAAACAGGAAGGCUGAAGAAGUGCAUUUGAUUGGAUGUUUCUGGAACCCUUUUUUGAGUAAUACUAGAACCUAGUUUAAACAAUCUAUACGCACUUUGCUGUUUCAUGUGACUUGUACCCAAAAAUUCCAAGAAUUUGAAUUAUGUUCCAAUUUUGACUACUGUUCUUGGCUUGGGAAACAAUAGUACAACAACACUCCUUGUGAUUUUUUUGCAAGUUUGUCUUGCUUUCCUGAGUCCCUCCAAACUGGUUUCCGGAGAAUUGUUCUCAAUUAACUUAAACUUUGUUAAUCCGCAAGUUAGAAUGUCAGUAAUGACUAGCCCAUUAGCUACUCGUGUAGACUAUGUAAAUAUUUGCAUAUAUAGAUUUGCGUCGUCAUGCAUGCAAAAAUGCAAUUGUGGAUUGGGUCCAUUUAUACACAUCAAAUGUUGAAAUUUAACAGUUAUUUUUGAGAAAAACAUUCUAGAAUAGCCCAAUUCUCUGACUUUACUGGAAUUAAUGUUUGGUUCUGCAACAGACCUUGUGGUACUUCCAGACCGAGGUCUUUUGUUAAAACAUCAGUGAUUUCAAUAAAUCAAACUCUGAACAAUUUUGCAAGUUCAGCUUAGGCACUACCAAAGUUUUUUCAAAUAUUUUCAUUUGCCGGCUAUACUUGAAUUAUAAAACAUAUGUGAAGUUUUAGUAUAGAGGCACAGGGCUUUGACAUUUUAAAAUUUGAUGGGAAAUCUCAAAAGAUUAAAGAAAAAAAACAAAAAAUAAAAGACUAUACAUUUGCAUUUACUGGACUGCAAUCUUAAGAACAACAUUUCCUUUGGUUGCUGGCAGAUGACCACACCACUGCGCGACACCAGUGCUUCUUCUCCUAGAUUAUGUUUUCUUUUGGAUCCAAUAAAGUUGAAGCUGUCUAGAGAGAUAGAGAGAGAGAGAAGAGCUUCUUUGAAGAGGGUAUCGAGUAAGGGAGAAGGAGGUGAAAUGAGGCAAUAUAAAAAUGGAAAGCAAAAGCACCAGACCUAGAACAAAGCCUCUCCAAACGCGCCCACUAAAAUUAUUGCUUGGAAACGGUCACUGGAGUGUGGAAAUGAGAGGCGUGCCUAUGAGAAAGUUGUGAGCUGUCUUUGAACUUUGGACUGAGAAGAAAAAGGAAGUGAAUUUCUCCUUCAGUGCAUCUGAUUUUAAUACUACUUUUGUUUUUGUUUUCUCUUUUUUUAAAAAUAAAAAAUCAAUGAAUUGUGUAUAAUUUCAUUUUACAUAGCUAGCCGGCCACUUUCUAAAAAAUGUACAAUCACCGUUCGUAAGGCAAGAACAUUCACUCUAUUCCUCAAAAAUGUACAACUACCAUUCAUAAGGCAAGAAAAUUCACUCUCUUUAUUUAAUCCACACAAUUUAUCCAACGUUAAUAGAAUAGAAUGAAGUUUUGAUGUUUCUGCUUUUGCUUUAAAGGAUUAAUUCCUCUGAUGAUCAAUUAAGGCGUUGCAGUGCCCGUACAAAAUUGACGAACUAAUGAUGAUACUACAGGGGAACAACAUUAAUUCUUAAGUUCCUUGCCUCAAUGGACAAAAAAAAAUCUUUGUUGUUUUGGGGAAUUCUUUUGAGCGUUUUAAAAAACUGAAUUUGUAGCUGAUUUCCUAUCAAUUGAGAUAAGCACAAUUAAGUUUAACUGUAUAUGUAUAAUGUUGAUCUGGUUCACGAUCUUGGACUUUAUUAAAGUCAAAGAAAGUUAUUAAACCGCAUCUGACAGCUUUCCCAAACUUUUACAAAGUCUAAGAUCCUAGAUUUGAACACACAUGUAAAAUAUUUAGUUAAUUUAUCUCAUAAGAUGUCUGCAUGAAAUAAAUUGGGGUUUUGAUAAAGCCAUAAAAUGUUGAAUCCAUACUUUAUUUUGUACUAAUUUAUGUACUUAAAAUUUUUCGUCUAAAGUUAUACCAUAUUGUUUGAACAAAAAAGGGUCCAACUAUAAUGCAGCGGUGGUUUCAUACCCAUUUUUUUUUUGUCUUUUUGUGAUCCCAUCAUUGGAUCCAAUCCAAGAGUUGCAAAGGCUAUUCCAACAGCUUGGAUGUUAUUAUUUGGUUAUUAACGAUGUGGUCUCUUAUGUUUAUUAAAAGAAUACGAAAAGAUUAAGUUUCAAAAUUUUGACACAUUGAUCCGUUAAAAUAUUUUAUUAUCAAAGGUAAUUUAGUAAAUAAACAUAUUUAUAUAUUAAAAAUAUGGAUAGAUUAUUUUAACUUGCUAAAAUACUCUCCACUUCCAUUUACUUAAAAUACCAAUUAGAUUUUUAAUAAAUUUUGACAAUAUUAAAAUGAAAAAUAAAUAAAUAAUAAAUAAAUGUCUGGAUAGUCAUUUAAAUUCAUUAUAGAGUUUAUAAAUAAUAUUUUCAAAAUAAUAAAUUUCCAUAUUUAAAUUUGAGAUUAUGUAAAAUUACUUAUACUUUAUCACACGUAUGAAGCUAAUAAUUAAUUAUAUUUUCAAAAUAAUCAAUUAUUUGUUUAAUAUGAAAACAAAUACAUUGUAUAAUAUUGAUUCUAUUACUUAAAUUUAAAAUUAUAAAGAAUGAAACUUAAAUUUAAAAUUGGUUGAGAAGGAGAAAGAGAGAAUAAAUUUUUUAGAAAUUUGAAAUAAUUAUAUUUUAAUUGGGUUUAUUACAUAAAAUUAUUAAAACUUAUAGUUUUUAUUAUUUACAGAAAACAAUAUGAAUUGUUGAAGAAAAUGCCAAAUAAAUUUUUUAGAAUUUUGAAAUUAUUAAUUUUAACUGGGGCUUAUUGUAUAAAUUUUUAAAACUUAUAGUUUUUAUUAUUUACAAAAAACUACAGAUACUGCUAAUGAAAAUACCAAAAUGGUGUUUGGUACAAUGGGGGUAAGAUAGUUUUGCCCAUCAAAAAGGAUCCCUUUAAAUAGAGCUAUUUCAACAUUCAAGCAUUAUUUAUUUUCCUUUUUUAUAAUAAAAUAAAAGAGAGAGAGAGAGAGAAAGAAGAAUUUAAUCCUUAUCCCUUUUUAGAGUGAUUUCCAUAGCAAAUAAUUUCAAGCACUAUAAAAUCACACUGGCUAUAAAUAUACAUUCAAAUUCAAUUAAUUUAUAUAUGAUUGAUAUAUUCCUAUACUUUUCUUUAGAUUUAUAAGUAGCAUUUUAGUGUUUGAAUUAAAUGAAUCAAUGUAAUUGAAUUAUUAUACGACGGUUCCGGAAUAAGAGAGAAAUUUCAAUCACGGACAUAAUAUAAGAUCGAGAAUUAUUGAUUAGGUUAAUAAUCCAUAGUAAAAUUUUUUGACAAGUUUACAUAAAAUACUACUGAGAUUUCUUGACCAUGCAACCGACUUUGAGUCGUGUCAUUAACACGUUAACAUUACCUCCUUACAUGUACAGUGAUUGAUGACCUAGUUAGAAAUAAUAAUCCUAUCUUUUGACUAAUUGAAUUCCACCUUGAGCUACAGAAUGAUCCACUGUAAGAUCUUUGGCACGUCAAGUCUAUCUAGGAAAUAGGAAUUAAACUAGUUGGUCUAAUUAUAUUGGGUUUAAUGAAGAUCUGGAAGCAUACAAGGAGUUAUUUAGGAAGUAAACUAAUGGAGACCUGCCAGCUUGGAUUGCAGAGAUCAAGUAUAAUGGACAAGGCUGAUUUGUGAAGAUUGCAUGCUAAUUAGUAUUGCAUGCAAAUCAUAAUUUGCAUGCUUGCUUGCAGUCUAAGAAUUGGUAACUUGAUCGCUAUUGUUUGAGGGAAAAAUAGAAAAGGCAAUAGAGCGCCAUGUGUCAACCAAUGGAAUAAUUCCUGCACAAUUUGAGGUACCCCGCACAAAUAGAGGUACCCCACACAAAUAGAGGUAUCCCACACAAUUAGAGGUACCCCAUGUAAAUAGAGGUAUCUCAUAUAAAUAGAGGUACCCCACACAAAUAGAGGUACCCCGUACAAUUAGAGGUAUCCCACGUAACUCGAGGUACCUCCAAAAAUAUUCGCCAUGAGAAACGUCUCCGCCUCCUAAAAAAUAUUAUUCGAUUUUGUCAGAAUUAAGAAUAAAAAAUGACGCCCUAAAAGGAGGGACAGCUGCCUGCGACCUCUGCCAAAAGUGAAGGACACUGUCCCAAGGACAGUGGUCCCCAACCGCCUACCCGACAGCUAAUGCAGAGGUACCCUGGACCACUCUCCAGCGCGCGCCACGUUUCCAAAGAAUGAGAUACGCCGCGAACAUGCAGAUAACGGCCCAAAAAAAUUAUAAAGAGGUAAAAGGACGUUAGCCAAAAAAGGGUACGCCACGUGGCAGCUGAGGUACUCCAUAUAUAAAGGCGCCUAGGUUUCAUUCUCCAUCAUGCUCUCAUUCGCCCAAAAAAACACUCACACUCGAAAAAAUAGGUUUUCUUCAACCUUAAACUCUAAUUUACAGAGGACUAGCCAGCUCUCUUUACCAUAAAAGCUUGAGUUUGCUAACUUGAGCGUCAGAGUGUGAACGCCGGGGUACCCCGACUUCACCUCUAACCUCUAUUUCACUGUUUUGCAGGCGUGAAGCUCAUUUUGAGGGACACCUCUCUUGUUUGUGACCUUCUACCAUUGUUACCACUCUCUCUCCCCUUCUCACCUCCCCCGGAUUUCAGAUACACCGCCCUACACACAAUAAACUAGUGAGGUACCCCAUCUCCCCCAAAAAUAUAAAUUCAUUGUUUAAGAUAGAUUUUGGAUUUUCCUACCCCAAAAUCAGUUGAAAACAAUUGGCGCCGUCUGUGGGGACACGCACAAAAAGCCUCAUCCACGGUUACCAAACUAGUUGUUGUGUGUACUCUAAUACAUGGCACCCGACGUACCUCCCGAAGGUUUAAUGGGGGAUCCUACAAGGAUGAGAGAUGAUAGCAGCAGUGAGGGUAGUGAUCCCGCAAGAAGGGUAGCCCGCAUCAGCAAGGGCAAGGGUAUCAAGCAAUCGACGGGUGUUCGCCAAGAAGAAGAACCUAUUUCGCACAAGCGUUUUGAGGAUCUUGCCCAUGCAAUACUUAGGGCGGUCGGAUCUCAGGCACCCGAAAGUUCACUUUCACCAGUGAUGCUAGAAGCUCCACCACCUCAAACGAACGACCAAGCUAUGGUCAGAAGAGGGGUACCCGAGGCCAGCAAGCCAAAGCCUAGGCCAUCGGGUACCUGUUCUAAGUUUCAAACCGUGGGCUCCCGCGAUGAGCGUUCCACCGCCUCUUGCAAUUCCCGUAGCAGCUAGGGUACGAGGCGUGCAAAGCGUACCCACGAGGAUCUCCGUGAUAAGUUAAACGCCAAAAGGGCUUCUCAAAUAGCCGCGACAUCAUCGGGUACACCGAGGAUACCCCUCGAACUUGUGGAAAAAAUGGAGAACCUGGAAGCCCAAGUGAAGCUCCUCUCCGAGAAACAAAACAUCACAGCUGCUCCAAUGCCAAUGACCUACCAAUCGCCAUUCACUAUGGAGAUUCGGACAGCAGCUCUCCCCGAGGCGUUCGCCAUGCCUCAGAUACCCCAAUACUCGGGUACCACUGACCCCUCGGAGCAUGCUGAGUUAUACCGCGACCAAAUGCUUAUCAAGGGUGUAGAUGAGAGCGCCAUGUGUAGAAUGUUUACACACACACUCACGGGCCCCGCAGAGUCAUGGUUUCGCUCUUUGAAAGCGGGUAGCAUAUCUUCCCUACACCAAUUGUUAUCCGAAUUUACUAAAGAGUUUUCCUACGCUUCCACUCAAGAUAGGGUAGCCUCCAAACUUGCCUUUAUCAAGCAACCUUUAUCAAGCAAGGGGAAGCCAAGCCUUUGGCGGAGUAUGUAAGUCGUUUCCACCAAGAGGUGCUGCGAACCGGAGCAUUUGGAAACCAAUACACAUUGACCCAUUUUGAGAAAACUUUACGGUUGGGCAAGUUAUGGCGUUCUUUUCAAAAGAAGCACCCACUUUCAUAUGGGGAAGCCCGUUCCCGGGCGUUGCAGCAAGUGGAGAUGGACGAAAAAUGCCAAUUGAAGCGCCAAGAAGAUAAGGCCGAUGUUACUAAGAACAAGGAGAAGCCUAAGAUGGUGGAGGCCCCAAUACCGCGGGUACCCCGAGCACGAAGCCCUCCACUGGCUGCCCUACAGGGACGAGGGUAUAAGCCUCAGGGUACCUCAAGGGUACCCCAACCUCCAAGAUUUCCACCACUGGAUCAGCGAGAGCCACCACCGAGGCCUCGGUACGAAUCUUACCACCCACUGAAUCAAUCCCCAGAGUAGAUCUUCUACCAUAUUCGGGAUAGCAGCCUCCUCCGUCCUCCUAAGCCAAUGAAGAAAUACCUCAACAUGAAGCGUAGCCUGAAGUAUUGCGAGUUUCAUGAGGACUUUGGUCACAGCACAGCCAAGUGCUUCACUUUGCGAGAGGAAAUUGAAUCUUUGAUUCUCAGCGGGUACCUCAAAGAAUUUGUUGCUGGCAUAAGAGAAACUCAGAAAUCUACGGAACAGGAUAAAGGCAAGCGGGUAGCUGAUGGCAGUCCUGAACGAGAGGUACCCCCUGGACAUAAGAAAGGCGUGUAUGUCCGAAUGAUCAUAAGCGGACCGACUUUAGCGGGCCAAUCUAGGAGGGCUAUCAAAGGCUAUGGUAGAUCGUUGUCGAUAACCACCAAUAUUGGCAGAGAAGUCAACCUUAAUGAAUAGGGUACACCGAAGGUACCCCACCAUCCCCCGCCUACCCUUUUUACAGAAAAAGAUGCGGAGGGCAUCUCGUACCCCCACGACGAUGCCUUCAUAAUUACGUUGAAGGUUGUCACUAGUAAGGUAGCAAGAACUCUCGUAGAUACCGGCAGCUCCGUUGACAUCAUUUUCAAAAGCGCCUUGGAUCAACUAUUGAUUGAGUCGCCAAAGAUCACCCCCUAUGCUACGCCUCUUAUUGGGUUCGCCGGAGAUAUAGUUAUACCAAAAUGCAUCAUUACGCUGCCCGUGACACUUGGUAAGGUACCUCACCGUGUUGUUCAUAUGAUUGAUUUUUUUAUUGUAAAUCGCCCGGGUGCCUACAAUAUUAUAUUGGGUAGGCCGUUUUUAGUAGCAACUAAAGCGGUGGUAUCCAUGCACUACCUCGCCAUGAAAGUCCCGGCCGCUCAAGAAGUGAUCACCAUUAAAGGGGACUAGCAAUCGGCUCGUGGAUGUUACUCCGUGGCCUCCAAAGUCACUUAUCAAAUAGCUUCUGAUUCGCCAAUGAAGGGGUACCCCAGUGGCAGCCAGCUCACACCUUCCCCCUCAAAGCGAGCACUUGCUAGACAACAGAGAGUAGUACUCAAAAAAUCUCCUCAGGUAGCCCACCCACGAAAACAGUUGGAGCCUUCACCAAGGGCGGUAGAAGCCGUUACGGGGAAUAGCUCGAGGGUACCCCACGAGGACCAGGAGGAGCCCAAAUGUGAAGUUAAGGCACCUUUGGAUCCCCGAAUAUUGAAAGAUAAAAAGCGAGGUACGCCAGUUGAAGACCUUAUUUCAGUCUCGAUUUGCGCCACAGACCCAACAAAGACCGUGAAAGUAGGCUCCAAUCUUUCGAAGGAACAAAUAGAGAGGCUCAUAACCUUCCUACGCGAGCACCACGACGUAUUUGCCUGGUCCCACUCGGAUAUGCCAGGUAUCCCACCUUCUCUCUUUUGUCAUAAACUCAAUGUCAGCCCGCAUUAUAAACCGAUCAAACAAAAGCAUCGUACCUUCAACCAAGAAAGGUACGAUGCAAUUGAACAAGAGCCAGACCGCCUAUUCGCAGCGAGGUUUAUCCGGGAAGCAGUGUACCCCGAUUGGAUAUCCAACGUUGUUCUUGUCAAGAAAUCAAAUGGAAAGUGGCGUAUGUGCGUAGACUUCACCGAUUUGAACAAGUCCUGCCCCAAGGAUAACUUCUCGCUUCCCCGGGUGGACUAGCUGGUUGAUGCAACAGCGGGGCAUGAGAUGUUUAGCUUUAUGGACGCCUUCUCCGAUUACAACCAAAUCCCAAUGUAUGAACCCGAUCAAGAAAAAACGGCCUUCAUCACCAACCGUGGGUUAUACUAUUAUAAGGUUAUGUUGUUUGGUUUGAAGAAUGUUGGGGCUACCUAUCAGUGGCUAGUGAACAAAAUUUUCAAAUCGGUGCAUGCGGGGGAAUACCUGGGGCACCUCAGAGAUACCUUUACCGUUUUGAGAAGACACCAGAUGCGGCUUAACCCUGAAAAAUGUGCAUUCGGGGUCACUUUGGGAAAGUUUAUCGGGUUCAUGGUACAACAACAGGGGAUUGAAGCUAACCCCGAUAAAAUUCGGGCAGUUCUUGACAUGAAAUCGCCAAGCACCAUCAAGAAGGUUCAAAGCUUGGUAGGCCGAGUAGCUACCCUGAGCCGCUUUAUCUCCAAGGCUACCGAUCGGUGUAAGCCUUUUUUCAAAGUUUUUAAGACCGGUAAAAAGUUCCGAUGGACACCUGAUUGCGAAGAGGCUUUCCAAGAACUGAAGGGGUACCUCGUGAAUGCUCUACUACUUGCCAAACUUGAGCCGGGAGAGGUGUUUCUGUUGUAUCUCGCCGUAUCCGAGCACGCCACCAGCUCUGUGUUACUCCAAGAGGAUGAUAAUGGGGUACAACGACCUAUUUACUACACUAGUAAGGUUAUGGUUGAUGCCGAAAAGAGGUACCCCACCUCUGAGAAGAUCAUUUUGGCAUUGGUCGUCUCCGCACGGAAGCUCAGACUAUAUUUUCAGGCUCACACCAUUGCAGUCGUCACCAACCUUCCCCUCCGGCAAAUCCUCCAGAAGUUAGACAUGUCUGGAAGGCUUCUCCGAUAGUCCCUCGAAUUAAGCGAUUUCGACAUUAUCUUCAAGCCUCGUUCGGCGAUUAAAGCCCAGGACAUCGCUGAUUUCAUCGCGGAAUUCGCCAAUGACUCAAGUGGUAAAGGUGAUUUGAGAUACCUGUUAGAUACCCCACCCACCGAUGAAGAGGAGCAGGUCUGGAAAAUAUAUGUGGAUGGUUCCUCUAACUCACACAGAAGUGGCGCGGGAGUUAUUAUAAUCGACCCGAACAAAGUGAAAAUAUGCUACGCCCUACAAUUCGGAUUCAAGGCCUCAAACAACGAAGCCGAGUACGAGGCAAUCAUAGCGGGGUUGAGGAUGUCGAAGGCUUUGGGAGCAAACAUGGUACACGUAAAGAGUGACUCACAGUUGGUGGUAAGCCGGAUUACCGCACAAUAUCAAGCGAAAGAGGAAAACAUGAAGGGGUACCUCGGAAAAACCAGAGAGUUGAUGUCCUAAUUUUGCGAGGUUAAGGUGGAAAGGGUACCCCAACUGGAGAACAGCGAAGCCGACACCUUGGCAAAAAUGGCAUCCCUUGGGGUAGCUCAGUCAUUUGGCCCCAUCACAACAGAAUACAUACCUGAACCUAGUGUUGGUCUCCCAGAGUCAUUGGAAGUAGGAUCACUGUCCAACAAGGUGCUUUGGAUGGAGCCUAUCAUAAGGUACCUCAAGGACGGAGACCUCCCCUCAGAUAAAAGUGAAGCAAGAAGACUAAAGUACAAAGCCGUUCAGUACUGCCUGAUCCAGGAUACCCUAUACAGAAGAGGGUUCACUCUUCUUUACCUUAAAUGCUUGGGAAGCGACGAUACCGAGUAUCUCAUGAGGGAGAUACAUGAGGGGAUUUGUGGCAAUCACUAUGGAGCACAAUCACUGGCGCAAAAAGCUCUCCGUCAGGGGUACUAUUGGCCAACCAUGUGGGAAGAUGCCAAGAAUAUGGUACGAAGUUGUGACAAAUGCCAAAGGUUCGCUAGGGUACCCCAUCUACCCCUAGAGAAGCUAACAAUUAUAUCUUCCCCUUGGCCCUUCGCUAUGUGGGGAGUGGACCUCAUUGGCCCGUUACCUACCGGGAGGGGGCAAGCAAAAUAUGCAAUCGUGGCGGUAGAUUAUUUCACAAAGUGGGCGGAAGCGGAGCCGCUAACAAGCAUCACAGAAAGGAAAACCACAGAAUUCAUUUGGAAGAACCUCAUUUGCAGAUUUGGGAUCCCCUAUGCAAUUGUCAGUGAUAACGACAAGCAAUUCGAUAAUGAAAAAUUUCUAAGCUUUUGUUCGGAGCUGGGAUAGACAACCGAUUUGCUACACCUACCCAUCCACAAUCUAAUGGGCAAGUCAAAGCGGUUAACAAGAUUAUUAAAGGUAUCCUGAAGAAGAAGCUAGAAGAAAGAAAGGGAGCAUGGGUAGACGAGCUACCUAGGGUACUGUGGGCGUACCGGACUACUCAAAACACCUCCACCAGGGAGACCCCGUUUUCCCUCGCAUUCGAUGUUGACGCAGUGAUUCCAGCAGAAAUCGGGGUACCCUCUCACAGAGUUGAAUACUUUGAUGAGGCCGAGAACACCUCAUUGGUUGCUUCAGACCUUGAUUUGGUGGCUAAAAAAAGGGCAAGAGCAGAAUUGAGGACAGCCAUAUAUCAGCAUCACAUUUUGGGUCUAUAUGAAAAAAGAGUACGCCAUCGAUCCUUCAAGAAAGGAGACUUGGUCUUGAGAAGGGUAACUCAGAACACUAAGGUACCCUGCGAAGGUGCUUUUGGGGCAAAUUGGGAAGGACCUUACCGCAUCGACAAACACGUUGGGUCAGGUGCAUACAGGCUACUCCACAUGGAUGAGACAAUCGUGAGGCACCCUUGGAAUGCUGCAAUGCACGGAAAUAUUUCUCCUUUAUUUUUCGUCACUUCGAUCUUAGAAUGCGGAUUAUGUUCAUUUAUCGCCAUUAAUAUACCCUUGCAUCUGGUUAUAUGCAAUUCUCACCAUAUGCUUGUCAAUUAUGAUUAACCUAUCACAAGACCAAUCAGGGUACCUGAUAUGCCUAGAUCGUGACGAUCUAUGUAAAACCAAGAUGGGCAACGAAGUGAACAUCCCAGGGGUAGUCUUUCUGCGGAAGCAUGGCAAAACUACCUAGACAAAGAGAGGGAGGGUCAAAAAGGACCCGAGGGUGAAGAAAAACCGGCAUACCCUAGCGACACAAGGUUCGGCUUAGGUGUGAGAACACCCACACCUCUGUCCUCGUACUUUUGCAAAGUAUGGGGUAAGCUAUUCAAAAAAUUCGAAGAGAACUUCGAAAGAAUAAGAAAGUGAUUGGUUGGACCAAUUGCGCUUUCAGCGUUUGAUCGAGAUGUCGCGAUGAUGUUUUGAUUACCUAUUUGUGGGGAAUCCGUCAUAGUUUCCAAGAAAGACAUACACCAAAUUUGUGGGGAAUUCGCUUGAUGUCGAAUAUUUGUUAAGGUACCGGGGGUACCCCAUUUCAAAAAAAAAAUGAGAGGUACCCUAAGAAUUUGCAAGAUAACAGUUUAGCCAAGCAUUCAUUUGCAGAAUAACAAGCAUGCAAAGUACAAGAUGACUCGAUGGCAUGGUAUCAUAACAAAAGAGAAGUCCCAAUAAUACAAAAUAUCCUAAGAAGCCGAAAAAGAAACUAGGUCCAAAUAACAAAAUGUGGAUAGAUAAAAAAAAAAUAAGAAUACAGUGAAAAGGUUACAUCGAGUGGGGAACACCAUCCCCGACAUCCGUCUCCAGAGGGCGAUCAGCAGAGGACUCCGAGGUACCCGGAAUAUGAGCAGCUGAAGUGGGGGCAUCCGAGGCAGGCAACAACUGAAGCGCAUAGGGUACCCUAGGCGACCCGGAAGGGGUACCCGACUGUGCCUGGGAAGACUUCUUCCUCUCUGCAAUUGUCUUCAGAAUCGUAGCCUUGUUGACAAAUUUCUGCACGCGGGAUACCUCCAGUUCUGGAUCCACACUCCACACCUCCGUCAUGAUGAGUGAGAAUGCAUCCUCUGCCAUCGUCUUUUGUCGUGAUAGCAGAUCCCCGUUGGUGGACCUCAACUCCUCACAGUCUUUCUCCACCCGAGCUUUCUCUCCCGACAGGCCAGUGUUGAGUGUUAGAAAAUGCAUAUUUAUAAAGGAGAAAACCGUCAUUUUACAUUUCAAGUCUUACUAACAACCCUUACUUUUAUGUAUUUAACAUUCUUGUGAUUUAAUUACGUGCGUUUUAUUUUAAUUAAGUAAUUUAUGUAUUUUAGGGGCAUUAUAGUCAUUUCACAAUAAAGGAGAGAUCAGACGGCAAAACGGACAUCACUUUUGAACUCAGGACGGUUGAAAACCUUAGGAGGAGCAUGAAAGGAAAAAUGACACUAUUCACAUGUACGGUACUAUUCACGUAUACGGGACUGUAUACGUUACUGUUCACGGCACUAUUCACAUAGACGGAUCGAUGACGUGGCAUUGACCGAUGAUGUGGCAUUGACUGAUGAGGUGUCACAAUCCUGUUGGACUAAAAUUCUUAUGUACUGUUGAUGGUGACGUGGCAGCAUAUUAGUAGACGAAAAAUCUCGCGUACGGUGCAUGCAUCACACAGGAUUAUUUUCAACCAAACCGCGUUACUGUUCAUCCGGGUCAAACCGCGUUACUGUUCAUCCGGGUCAAACCGUGUUACUGUUCAUCCGCGUGGUCAAACCGUGGACUGUUGACUGAUGACGUGGCGCAAUCCUGAGCGUCCAAACUGUUUUUAAUCCGAUGGCCAUGAUUUACUCCAUGUAUCUAUAAAAAGGGGGCCUCUCCCCCCUAAUUUGAUAUCUCUGAAUCCAUUUUUGGAAUCCAAUUUCUGUAAUUCUCUCUCCAUCUUGUAUUUUCUUCGUAUUUUAAUAAAUUCCCAUUUUACCCCUAGUUCAAUUAUGAGUGGCUAAUUUUCUUUCAAGCCUGGGUUGAAGGUGAAGUCUCAACAUGUGUCAUGGGCUUUAUUUGGUAAAUUUAUUUUCUCUUCCCCUCUAGUUUUUGUGGAUAUUUUGACUUCUCGUCGACAAAUAAUACUAAUCUUGUCUAGUACCGCCUUGGUUUCACCAGCCCUCUAGUACAAGGUUAUUAUUAUUUGGCACGAUAAGCCCUUAGCACCAUAUUGAUUAGAGCGUUGUUCAUGAGGUGUGGAUUCCCCCCUUAUGAUUUAAUUGGUAUUAAUACGGAUUAUUUAGCCCAUGAUACAUGUUGAUACGGAUCCAGAUACCCAAGUACGUCAUUUUAAUAGAAUUCUCUUCAAUUUAUUCUUGCCAUUUCAAUUCCAAUUUUAGAAUUUAUUCUCGCCAUUUUAAUUUAAGUUUUAGCAUAUUCCAAAUCACUUCCACCAUAAAUCCAACCACUUAUUUACAAAAUUAAUUCUACACAUAAUUAAAAUCCACCUCCUCGUGGGAUCGACACUCGUCACCAUUGAUCUAUACUACAAUAGAUUCGUGCGCUUGCGAGUACAUUAAAAUUUACACAACAGCCAGCAAUGCGUUCUUGUAAGGCUUUAACUUCUUGUGCAAGCUGAUCCUCGCGAGAUUGAUGGCUUUGAAGCUCACUCCUUAACUUAUCGACCUCUGACUGAGCGGCAACAAGGGAGUCGAGGUCGGGAAGGCAGUGGCUAAGGAGAAAGGAUGCCUGCGGGUCAUGAAAGACAUGUUAAAUAUAUGUUCAUGGCAAUAUGAUUAAAUAAGUAAAAAAAAAUGAUGAAGGGUACACCCGGGGUACCCCAAGAAAGCCUACCUCUUAGGUAGCCCUAAGUACUUGACCAUAGCGCUGACUCAAACUCAUCUUGUCAACCUCUUUAGCAACCUCGGAGGUGACAUUUUCAGCAGAGUAGUAAAAACAGCGAGCCAAGUGCGAAACCUCCUUGUUGGCAGCUUGGUUUAGGUCACCUUUACGUAACUCAUCGGGAAAGCAGAAACCAGCCCGAAUUUUCUUUUCCUCGAGCGAGGGUUACCCUUCGACCCGCUGUGGGAGCCACCCUGGGAUUUCCCCUUUAGAGCAGGAGCUCAAGGAGGUCGGGAACCUUUUGGGGGCACCGCCGAAUCCAAAGAUCCGGAAGCACCUCCCACUACCGCUUGAAAAAAGGCGUCAAAAGCGUCACCCGUCGAUUCCAUAACUACACCCAAUGCACAAAAGUUGUAUUAGCCGGACAAGUACUAAGUACUACAAAAGCAAAAAUGGAAAAUGAAAAGCGAGGAAGCAAAAUAAAGAUGCGGUGAUAACGGGGUACCCCAGUCCCGUAGAUAAUAAUAGGGUCCCCUUCGACACCCGAAUCAUACAUGAGUCACCCCCAGGAGCAGGUGGAGGACUUCGGUCAAUCAGCCCCGCUCUCCAUAAUCUACUCUCCUCCAGCACAUCACUAUCCCUCUGUGCACCUCGAAGCCUAUCCACAAACUUCUUCACCUCUCUCCCCACCUCCUAAACUGGGCAUGAUCCUUUAGCCCUUGUCACACCUGCAAAAGCUGAAAGAACCCAAAGUUAGCGAGACAUUGAGGCGAAAGACUUCGAUAAAGAACCGUAAGUAAGGGAGAUACUUACAGUCUACAUUGAAGGAAUAAGGAACCUCCAGGGGGUUGCCCUUUUUCACCCAAAGUCUCUGUCCCCCACCUACCCUCAGCAACGAACCAUCCCUUUCGAUAACCCUUCUUCAAGGCAGGGCUCCCCUCAACAAUAUGAUCAUGAUCACCCCGAGGGGAGAAGUAAGUAAUACCGGGACCCUUAGACUUUUUGAAUUGGUAAAGGCCCCUCAACUCCCGAACAGAAAUGUCGCGCUUCAAGACCUCCAACCAUAACACAUGUAAGCCCGUAAGCGUCCUCCACCCCGAAAGGGACAGCUGCCCAAGAGCUACCCCCAAGUAACUAAACAUUCUCAUAUAAAAAUGUUGGAGGGGCAGGCGGAGUCCUAGAUCAAAUAGGUCAAUAUGGAGAGCAAUCCCAUCAGACUUCGGACACUCAGGUCGCUCAUCCACGUGGGGUAUCCUAAGCUGAACAGAGGGAGGAAUAGUGUAUUUGGCUCUAAUUAAGUCCCCCAAGGUAGCGUUCCUCGUGCCUAGGAAAAAAAGGUUGCCAGAUUUUGAAGGUGUGGCAGAGGGAGAUUUAAGAGGGUGGUCUGAGGAACGAGCUGGAACCUUAGGCUUGGUUGACUUACCCUUCUUUCGAGGAUGGAGGGUAGGCCGUUUACUAGGAAAGCGUGGGCUGACACGAGGGGUACUCCUAGGGGGAGGGGGCUCAGAACGAGAAUUACAACUCCUAGAGGAACUAGGGGGGACCGAUCCCCCUCGCUAAUGGAGAUGUGGGAAGGGGAACCCGCAAGAGAGCUGUCAACCCUAUUAGCCCCAACUGCACGUCGCUUCUUCACGGGUCCCACGUGUUUCUUACCCAUCUACUUUCCCCCAACAACAUAUCUACAAGUCCCCAACAAUACACCCAACAAUACAUCCAACGAGCCACAAGUUCCCCAAACAACACAUCCACAAGCCCCCAACAACACAUCCAACAAGCCACAUGUUUCCCAAACAGCAACAUAUUCAUACCAAGCACCACCCACCACACGUCAACCACCAAAUGCAAACACCAACCAACAAAAAAAAAACAAACAAAAACAAAAAUAAAUUUUUCUCAGAGUAUGCAAAAUAGCGCCACUGUGAAUGCGCCAAAGGAGGAGAAGCAAGGAGGGAUACCUGUGAUUCACCAAUUCGACAGAUCGAGAUUGAUAAUCGCAGCGAGACGAAGCUGCAGGCAACCAAAAAUAGUGGGUAAAAAUAUGCAAGUGUAAAAAUAAAAAUAAACUUAAAUAUAUAUAGUUAUUUAUAAAUAAAUGAAUAAAUAAAAUGAAGAACGAAGAAGCUGCAGCAACCAGCGUUGGCUGUCAUGGCUGCAACCACCGAGAACCGACGCCGGAGAUCACGAGAACGACGCCGGAAAAACGCUGCCGAGAACAAAAAAAGAAAAACCGAGAAGCUGCAGCCACCAGGGAGAAUGACGCCAGAAAAAUGCAAAGGAGGACGCCGGAGGAUGCCGACCGAAACCAAAAAAAAAAACAAAAAGAAGAAGAGAAAAAUUGAGAAGCUGCAGCCACCAAAACAACGCCAGAAAUCUCCAAGAAAAAACGCCUGCCGAAACAAGAAAGAAAGAUGAAAAAGAAAGAAGAAAAAGAGAGAAGAAAAGGAGAAAGAAGAGAGAGAAAGCGAGAUAAAAUGAAGACACAAGGAGGGAGGUUUACCGUGUGUAUCACCGGACCGAGAUCUCGCCGUGAGCCGCCGGAAAAUCGCCUUUAACCGACCAGAUCUGGAGCCCAAAACCGCCACUGCAGCAGCCGAGAUCCACGCCAGAAAACGCACCAGAUCAACGUCGACCGAGAGAGAAAGAGAAAAAAGAAAGAAAGAAAAGGAAGAAAGAAAAAAGGGAAAGAAGAAAGAAGAAAAAAAAAUGGAAAAAGAAGAGAAAAUGGGAAAGAAAGAAAACGGAAGGAGAAGGAAAUAAAAGAAAAAGAGGGAAGAAAGAAUAAAGCUUAGGGGAAGAUGAACGAAAGUUUAAAAAAAAGAGUAAAGAAAAAAAAAAUUUUACCUGUGAUAAAGUUUUUGCAGUUAGAAGAUGAGACGAAAUUAUGAAAGAAAAAGGCUACUGGAAAUAAUCAAAUUUUUUGGAGAUCGUUUGGGGAUUUUCAAAAUAAAUGAGAGAAGAUUGACACAUGUCAGGAGUUUUAAUUCAACCUGACAGAACACGCUGCCCAAGAAAGGAAUUCAGGGAUGUUUGUGUGAGAUUGGUAUUUUCAAAAUUCAAACUACAUGUCAGACGGCUGCCACUUCCCAAGAAAAAGGAGAGAGACACAUGAAGAAAAUUGUUCGUUCUCAUCGCCAAAAAAUAAAAAAGCGGGAAAAGGAAAAGACAAAGAGAAAAUUUUUAGUUUGAAGUACACAAAGUUUAGUCAAAGGAAGAAGCUAAGCAAGGUACCCUCUGGUCCAGCAGCGUCGCAACGUGUCACUCAUACAAUGAGUUUCUUUUGCCUCCAAUACUUCUCGCCAAAAAGAAACUAGGGGGAUGUUGUUUGAGGGAAAAAUAGAAAAGGCAAUAGAGCCCCACGUGUCAACCAAUGGAAUGAUUCCGGCACAAUUUGAGGUACCCCGCAUGAUUAGAGGUACCCUGCACAAAUAGAGGUACCCCACACAAAUAGAGGUAUCCCACACAAUUAGAGGUACCCCAUGUAAAUAGAGGUAUUCCAUAUAAAUAGAGGUACCCCACACAAAUAGAGGUACCCCGUACAAUUAGAGGUACCCCACGUAACUCGAGGUACUUCCGAAAAUAUCCGCCAUGAGAAACGUCACCGCCUCCUAAAAGAUAUUAUUCGAUUUUGUCAGAAUUAAGAAUAAAAAACGGGGCAAAAGCUUGUUUAGUCCCUAUAUUAUGAGGUUAAUGUCCAUUUAGUCCCUGUAUUUUUACAAACACCUUAAAACGUCCCUGCUACUAAAUAUUGACACUCAUGCCAUUAUUUUUUAUUAUUUUUAACUUGUUUUUACAAUAUUACACUUUUACAAUAAUGUUUCUUUUUUGGAUAUUAAUAAAAAAUUAAAUUAUCAAAUUAAACUCAAAAAUAAAAUAAAAACAAAAAAGGUAUAUAUUAAUUUUUGUGGAAGCUCACAUAUGUCUAAAAAAUUACAUUAUCAUUUUUUUUAGAAAAAUUAAUAUUUUAACUCAAGAGUGUGUUCCACAAAAAUUAAUAUAUAUUUUUUAUUUUAUUUUAUUUUUUGGUGUUAAACUGGUAAAUUAUUUUUUUCUUUUUAAUAAUUUCUAAAAAAAUUAUUAUAAAAGGGCAAUUUAUAAAAAUAAGUUAAAAGGAACAAAAGAUAAUGGCAAAAGUGUCAAUAAUUUAAUGGUAGGGAUGAUUUGAGGUAUUUUAAAAAAUAUAAGGACUAAACGGAUACUAACUUCAAAAUAUAAGGACUAAACGAGCUUUUACCCAUAAAAAACGACACCCUAAAAGGAGGGACAGCCGCCUGCGACCUCUGCCAAAAGUGAAGGACAAUGUCCCAAGGACAGUGGUCCCCAACCGCCUACUCGACAGCUACUGCAGAGGUACCCUGGACCACUCUCCAGCUCGCGCCACAUUUCCAAAAGAUGAGAUACACCGCGAACAUGCAGAUAACGGCCCAAAAAAUUAUAAAGAGGUAAAAGGACGUUUGCCAAAAAAGGGUACGCCACGUGGCAGCUGAGGUACUCCAUAUAUAAAGGCGCCUAGGUUUCAUUCUCCAUCAUGCUUUCAUUCGCCCAAAAAAACACUCACACUCGAAAAAAUAGGUUUUCUUCAACCUUAAACCCUAAUUUACAGAGGGCUAGCCAGCUCUCUUUACCAUAAAAGCUUGAGUUUGCUAACUUGAGCGUCGGAGUAUGAACGCCGGGGUACCCCGGCUUCACCUCUAACCUCUAUUUCACUGUUUUGCAGGCGUGAAGCUCAUUUUGAGGGACACCUCUCUUGUUUCUGACCUUCCACCAUUGUUACCACUCUCUCUCCCCUUCUCACCUCCUCCGAAUUUCAAAUACACCGCGCCAUACACAAUAAACUAGUGAGGUACCUCAUCUCCCCCAAAAAUAUAAAUUCAUUGUUUAAAAUAGAUUUUGAAUUUUCCUACCCCAAAAUCAGUUGAAAACAGCUAUAUAAAGGACUUACAAUUUGUACUUCAGCGGCUUGAUGAACUAAACCGUAUGCAAGCACAAGCAGUGUGUCAUGAAUUGCGAAUUGAAGAGGAAGCAAUAGUGACAAUCAAUGUUGGGCUUUUUGUCUAAAACAACUAACCCUUUAUGUCUUUCUCAUCCUAACGGACCUAAUCUAUUCUAUAGACACGCUUUAAUAAUUAAUAUCAAAGAAGGAGAUGUCGACUUUGCUAAGCAAGUUUAAUUACCUAAGAUUUAACAGCAUGUGGUGGGACGUGGGAGUUGCAAAUAUAUAAAAAUAUAACCAAUUAUCAUAAUCUUUUUAUAUGUAGUGAAUUAUUUAAUAUGUGGGUGUGAAAAAUUGGGGUUGCAUAAAUCGAGUUUUCCUUUCGAGUUGCAAAAUUCAGCCCAAAUGAAUUUGAAAUUCAAAUUCAAACCAAAUUAAAUUCAGUUUAGUUUUGUAUUAAAUUUCGAUUUGGAUAAAAAAUUCGGGUUUGAAUUUCAGUUCAGAUUGCAAUUCGGAUUACAAAAAAAAAUCCUAAUUCAAUUUUAAAUUCCAGCCCCAGAUUAUUUAAAAAAAAAAACCUGAUGCAAAUGAAAAACAAAAGUCAAAUGAAUACCAAGCAGAUAAGUACUUAAGUCUUAAAACAAAAGUUAGCAAACAACAUAAAAUAAAUAACAUGUACCAAGCUACCGAAGUUACAUCUCCAAAUGACAGAAAACAUAAUAGAUCAAUAAUCCAUCUCCAUCAACACUCAAGACAAUAACACUUACAAUGUUAAGAAACCAAAUCAGCAACAAUUAUCCUCCACCAAUCAAGCAUAAACGGACAGAAAAUGGACAUUUUGUAAAAGGAAACGAUUGACAUAGAGUUUUCGAUACUACUGUUGCCAUUGUGUACUAUAACCGUACAUUAAUAUGUAAUUGCUUCUUAUUCUUGACCCAAAUCAAUGUACGUACCUACUGUUGCAAUCGAAAAUCUUAAUGUUUGAUCUUUCAUACACCACCAUGUUGUUGUUUUUAAAUUAAUUUACCAAAUUUUUUAUAGCAAAAAUUUAUGACGGGUACACACUUUCGAACACUGUUCUGGUUUUGUAUCUUUGAAAAAAAAAAAAGAAGGCAAACAAACCAAUGCCAAGAAUUCAGAGGUUUCGACACAUUAUAAUACAAAUAAAAAUACAAAGACAUACGAAAGGCAAGCGAAGAAUAUAUGAAAACACAAAGACAAACCUACCCGCAAUAAGAAUGAGAUAACAUAAAUGCUACCAGUCUACUCCCACAAACAAAAAGAGAACAGGAAAGGCAAGCCAAGAAUAAAUUUGGUAAUAAGAUCAAUCAAAGCCAAAUAUAUAUUAAACGGCUUAUGAGCUUCAGCAAUCAAACCUUACCUUGCGCGGGAGACAAGGAACGGACGGACGGACGACGGUGGCGGCAGCGACGACAGCAGCUGGAACGAGGCAGAAAAGCCGCUCAAGAACGGCCGGAAGCUGCAGUUGCGGCUGAUCAACCAUUGAUACAGCGCCAGCGCCCCUAAACGGAACGCCCGGACAGCGGCGUCGGAGUUUGUUAGGUUAAUCUUUUUUUUUUGACGUUUUAUAUUUUUUUCCAGGAUUCCUCUAUGAUGCUGUAAUUUUUUUUACAGCAUCAAUAAUGUUUUAAUUGUGCACCAUUGGAUUAAUCUAAUGGUAUACAAUAUUUUUACUAAAGUAAAAAAAUUAAAAACAAUGUUAAACAAUUUGUCAACCGUUCAAGAGGUGGAGAAAUGUUUGUAAAAUAAUUGUGACUACCCUUAGAGUUUAAAGCAAUUUCACUUAAAUAGCAUAUUUUAUUUAUAAUUACUUUUCAACUCUCCUUGAAAUUUGCAUUGUGACAAUUUUUUAUAAAUAAAUUUUCCAAAAUCUAUUACCAAUAAGUAUACAAUAUAAUAUGAGGUAGGUUAUUUAACACAAAUCAUAUAAAUAAAUUGCAAUUGCAAAAUUUAUAUAUGAUAUAACACUAAUAAAUAACACAACUAAGUAUAUAUACUUUAGUAAACGUCAUACUCACAUCAAUAAACUCAUUGGUGAGAUUGCUUGUAAUUUAAAAACUACUUGAUCACUCAUGUUGUAAUAAAAUUUAAAAUCGCAUAUUAAAAUUCUCAUUAUUUUAUAUAAUACUAAGGACCAUUGUAUAAUUGAUCAUGGAGUAUAUAUUAUUUUUAACACCCAUUUAAUGUACCUAUUCUUUGAACUUUUUGUUUAUCUUAUAAUUAAUAUUCUUACAUGAUAGGAAUUUUAAGUUUUACAAGUCUAUAUAUUUUCAUUUUAUUUUCAAAUAUCACUUUGUUUAUUUCAUAAAAGUUAAAUCUAAUAUAUAUUCCUAAUGAGCUUUUGUUUAUGAAUCAUGAAACAUUAUUUUAUUGACAUCUUUUGAUUGUAAUAACAAAAUUUUAUAUUACUAAGAGUUGUUACUUUUAUUAUGGUAAUUACUAGUGACAAUAAAUAAAAUAUUACCUCCAAUAAUAUUUAUGUGGAAAAAUUGGGAAAGAAAAUCUUUUUAUAUUUUUAUUUACAUGGUAGAAAAUUAUCCAAGCCUUAUAAACUUUAAUUUUCACAAGCUUGUUUUCAUUUUAUUUUCAAAUGUCACUUUGUUAAUUUCAUAAAAGUUUAAUCUAACAUAUAUUCCUAAUUAACUUUAAUUUAUGAAUCAUGAAAAAUUAUUUUAUCAUUAUUAUUUUAUUGUAAUUAUAAAAUUUUUAUGUUACUAAGAGCCAUUGCUUUUAUUAUGAUAAGUAAUAGUGACAAUAAAUAAAAUAUUACAUCCAAUAAUAUUUAAUGACAAAAUGAGAAAAAUUAAUUGUAUAUUUUUAUAUUUCCAUUAUAAAGACAUAGUUUAGAAUACUUUAACUUAAAAUUUUGACGCAAUAUUUGAGUCAUUAAUAUCUCAUAGUGUAAUGGUUAAUAUUGAAAGUCAAAGCAUAACUUCAUAAUGUCAUAUCCUCCACCAUUGAAUUGCAUGAAAUUAAUAGUUUAAUUUGUUGUUAAAAAUUUAAAUCAAAAUAUUUCUCACUAUAUAUUUAUAUAGCCAUAUAUAUAUAUAUUUCAUUAGUGAAUAAAAUAUUUCUCAUUUGUUGUGACUCAUAGUAUUACUAAUAAAACAUAUAUAAAAUAUUUUAUUACAAUGCCUUCUAUUAUCAUUAUUNNNNNNNNNNNNNNNNNNNNNNNNNNNNNNNNNNNNNNNNNNNNNNNNNNNNNNNNNNNNNNNNNNNNNNNNNNNNNNNNNNNNNNNNNNNNNNNNNNNNUAUUAUAAGACUUUAUGUAAUAUCUUUAUAUAAAGUAUUAUUGAAAUAACAUUACUUGUUAAUUACAUUUAUUUUAAUGCUACUAAAUAUAUUUCUAAUACUAAAUGUAAAAGUAAAAACAAAAUGUAAAAUUGUAAAGGUACAAACAAAAUGUAAAAUUGUAAAGUAAGAGAAUUAAUACAUAAUAAUUUUAAUUCCAAAAUUACUUUUUAAUUCCAAAAUUACUUGUAUUUCUUUCAUUUUUUGAUGAUUUAAAAUAUUCAUCAAUUGAUUAGAUAUAAAAUAAUUUAAAAUAUGAAGAAAUAUCACAACUUGCAGAUUACUUGUUACAUAAUUACUUAUCCAUUAAAAUUAAAUUAAGGGUGAAGAUUCUAAUAUUAAAUCCAAUGAUCCCAUCAUUGAUUGUGGGAUUUUUAUUUAUUAUAAUAUAAAUCUUCGUUUAUCAAUUAAUUAAAAAUAUAAAAAUCUAUAUUUACUUGCAACAUGAAGAUUACUUGUUAUGAUUUAAAUGGCUAAUUUUUUAUUCACUGUAUCAAAUGAAUGGUAAACAGAAAACCCUAACAUCCAAGAGUCCACAACAAUCCUAUUAUCAAUAUUGUAAAAACUCAUAAAGUACUAUAAAGAAAUCCUAAACAAAAAAUUCAGAGAAUAUGUAUGUUAAAUGAGUGUUAAAAAUAAUAUAUACUUCAUAAUCAAUUAUACAAUGGUCCUUAAUAUUAUAUAAAAUAAUGAGUAUUUGGAUAUAAGAUAUUAAAUUUUAUUAAAACAUGUGUGAUCAAGUAUUUUUUAGGUUAUAAGAAAUGUCACCAAUGAGUUUAUUGAUGUACAUAUGACAUUCACUUAAGUAUAUGUAUUUAGUUGUGUUAUUUAUUAGUGUUAUUUAUUAGUGUUAUUUAUUAGUGUUAUUUAUUAGUGUUAUAUUAUAUAAUUAAUUUUACAAUUGCAACUUAUUUAUUUUAUUUGUAUUAAAUAACCUACUUUAUAUUAUAUUUUAUAAUUAAUGUUAAUAGAUUUUGGAAGAUUUAUUUAAAAAAGAUUAUCACAAUACAAAUUUAAAGGAGAGUUGAAAAGUAAUUUUAAAUAAAAUAUGUUCUUUAAGUGAAAUUGCUUCAAACAUUAAGGGUGGUCACAGUUAUUUUACAAAAUUUCUCCCCCCCUUGACUGGUUAACAAACUGUUUACAAUUAUUUUUUAAUUUUUUUCCAUAAUCUUUUUCUUUUACUUUUUUUUUAAAUAAACAAAAUCGGUUCUAUUCCGGUUCGAUUAAACCGAGUCGGAUCGGAAAUGAAUUUUACGUUCCGUUCGAUCAACCGAUCCGAAAAAAAUUUGGUUAGUGCUAUCUUUUCCACUAAUUUUUAUUAAGGUAAUAAUAUAUAAAAUAAACCUCAAUUUCCUUACAAUCAAUCCCAUAAAGUCAGAUCCACAACUAAGUUUGUGUUGACUUACACAUGUCGGCAAACAAAUCUGGCGCGUAUUAAAGAAACACUGUUUUCUAUUUGCUAUUUAGGUUUCUAUCGCAUAACUCAAAACUCAAUUUCUUUUCUUCACGAAUAAGUUUAUAGUUUAAAAAAGGGUAAAAGUUUGUUUAGUCCCUAUAUUAUGAGGUUAGUAUCUAUUUAGUCCCUGUAUUUUUAAAAACACCUCAAAAUGUCCCUGCUACUAAAUAUUGACACUUACGCCAUUAUUUUUUUUUUAUUUUUAACUUGCUUUUAUAAUAUUACAUUUUUACAAUAAUGUUUCUUUUUUGGAUACUAAUAAAAAAUUAAAUUAUCAAAUUAAACUCAAAAAUAAAAUAAAAACAAAAAAGGUAUAUAUUAAUUUUUGUGGAAGCUCACGUAUGUCUAAAAAAUUAAUAUCGUAAAAAAUUACAUUAUCAAUUUUUUUAGAAAAAUUAAUAUUUUAACUCAAGAGUAUGUUCCACAAAAAUUAAUAUAUAUAUAUAUAUAUUUUUUUUUUUUUGGUGUUAAACUGGUAAUUUAUUUUUUUCUUUUUAAUAAUGUCUAAAAAAAUUAUUAUAAUAGGGUUAUUUUUUUCUUUUUAAUAAUGUCUAAAAAAUUAUUAUAAUAGGGCAGUAUUAUAAAAAUAAGUUAAAAGGAACAAAAGAUAAUGGUAAAAGUGUCAAUAAUUUAAUGGUAGGGAUGGUUUAAGGUAUUUUUAAAAAUAUAAAGACUAAACGGACACUAACUUCAAAAUAUAGGGACUAAACGAACUUUUACCCUUUAAAAAAACACGACUUUCCCAAUUGAAUUACUCGUUUCUUUCUUCACGAAUAAGUAAAAGCCUUAAAAGGGAAAUAAUUAACUUAUAGUUUAAAAAAAAAUAAAAAACACGAGUUUCCUAAUUGCAGACGCGGCGUAUAUAUAUUCUUUUAUUCGUCCUUGUUGGGCACACAGACAAAGUAAAACCACUUGACGGGGUCGACGAGGAGUUAAGUUGCGCGUAGACACACACACACACACACACACACACUCUUCUUUUCACAGUCAAUGGAGUUCAAGUUUCGAGAAAUUGACGACAGAACGACGCCGUAUCGGUCUUCUCCUUCUCCGUCUUCUCAGAGUUCGAGCUACCUAUCUGAUCAAGCAUUGCGAGGUCCGUUUACAUCUAUCUCUCAAUCGUCAUUAUCCUCUAUUUGGUUACUAAACGCCAAAAAAAAAAAAAGAAGAAUAUAUUCUUUUCAAGAAAAUAGCUUUUGAAAAAAAAAAAAAAAAAGGUUCAGCAAGUAGUUUAAACACGCUUUUGUUUACAUUGUUUGGCUGAAAUAUAUAAAGGUUCAAGAUUAUAGACUCUUGCUUUCGAUAGUGUUGUAAUUUUCAGAAUUGCUAUGUACUGUGAUCCAAAUGCUGCCUUAAUUUUUGUUCAAGAUUAUAGCUUGCCAUCUUGAUCCAAUAUAAACAAUCUCUGUCAGGUAACUACUCAAUGGACCCCAAUUUCUUGAACAAUCCAAGACACUUUUACACAAUCCAGCGCGAGAUUGAGAAGCAGAUAAUCAGGCACGAAAUAAUCACCCAUGAAAUUAUCACUGCAGAAGUUGAGCGCCGGCGAUUGCUUGAAGAAGAGGUGAGAAGGGAGCUGAUGAUUGAAAGAGAGAUGGCAAUGUAUAGAGCAAGAGAAAUGGGGCUGUCAAUUGAUGACAGGUUCUCAAUGCAACUACACACAAGUUACCCGUUAAUGCACCAGUCCAACAAUUGCUGGCUUGAGGACCGGUUCCCAUUUCCUUGGAAUCCCAGCAUGGGAUUUGGACAUAAUGGACUGCCUCCUAACUUUUUGCCUCAUUUUUCAAAUGGGCCUUGGAGUGGCUUGGAGGUUAACAAGAAGGAUAAACUGAUUAUGCUGGUCAGUGUUCAAUUUUACUUCUUCACAUAGUCUAUUUAUUUAUUUUUUUUGGUGUCAAUGAGUAUAUUUGUCUUAAAUAUUGGUUAAUGAUUGUAUUAUAUGGAAUCUGGUUCGCUACAAGUUUGGUGGAAUUGAUUCAAUCAGGUGCUAGAUUUAGAGGCAUGUGAAUGAUGUGCGUCUGAUUUUGGCAUCUUGUCUUUGAGUUUUGCUGUUAUUGACAGGGUAGGUGCAUCCAGGUUUGCUACCCAUGCAUGCACUAAUCCUUCUACUUGUGUGGGCUGUGCAUCAAAAACUCAGUCCUAAGGGGGCAUUAUUGUGAUUGAUCAAGGAGAAUUUUCUCCCUUGGUUACCAUAGCUGCAAUUUUUCAUUACAACUAUUUGUUAUAGUGGCAUUACUGUAAUCUGGGCAGAAAAUAACCCGAGAUUGAUGACUAUGCUGAUUCCUUAGAUGUUGAUUUUUGGUGCCCUAGUUUACUUGGGGAAGUCUACCCUGUACAUAAACAGCAGACUCUUGCACAUUCCUUGGGUUACAUCAAUAUACAAUGAAAGCAUGAUCCAUUUGCACCAUGUAGAAUGAAAACAAACCUUGACUGGAUCAUGCUUUCAUUGUUUAUUUUCCUUGUGCGCUUUGUCCUAUUACUCUACUUUUUCUGGUAUUUUGUGUCUAACUGAGGUUAUAGUUUAGGUGCUGAGUGGUAGAUGUAUCAUGGAUUACAGUAGAUACUAAGUUUAAAUAACACAAUAUAACAAAAAAGAUUGCAUUUCUUGUUAUUUUUCUGAUGCAUUCUAGCACUUCCCUGUGGACCAUUGCUCAUUUUUGUUUUGAUACUUGUGAAACUUGGUAAGUCUUGUUUUGAUUUGUUAGAAUUUUAGAUUUUGGAUCUAUGAAAAUUGAAAAAUAAAUAGAGAUUAAGUGAGUUUGUUUCAUGUUAGUUUCUUCAUCUGCUCCAUUUGAAAUACUCUGUGGUGACAUUGUUUCUCUUAAUCCCUUAUUCAUCAAAGUUACUCUUUACAUGUCCAUUUGAAUGGCUUCAUCCCACACUAACCUGCAUUUGUAUGUUAUUAGGAGGUUAUUGCUUAGAGAUUCCCAUCCAUUCUUAGUGCUAUUAGACUUGGUCUUGAUGCACAGGUGACAAGUUUGUUGGGGAGUACAUUUGGAUUCACUAUCUUGAUUUAGUUCCAAACAUAUAAGCAUUUGGUUAUUUAUGUUGGUCAAGUUCACAAGUUCAGUUUGCUUGGUCAACUCAAGUAGACGAGAGAGUUGUGCAACUCUUGACCAUGCGUGCAAAUGCCAUUGUAUGUGGCUUUAAAAUUUGGGCAGUGAGGACAUUUGAUCCCCCACAGCCUGGAAUCAAUGUGUGUCUGAAACCUUUUCUGAACGAAAACACGGAGCAAAUGUGAGCUUGUCGCAAGCUAAGGUUCCAAGAGAGGUUACAUAUGUUUACCAUGAAGUGUCAUAUGAACUUGUACAGAUUGAUUUCUGAUGUUUCUUUUUCCCGGUAAUUUCUUAUUUUAAAUCUUAUUGCUUGUGUUCGUGUAUGUGCGUUGGGCUGGAGGCUCCAUUGAAAUGCCGUUUCCUCAAAUUAUGAAUUAUAAUGCUCGUAAGUGUUAAUAUCAUCUCUUCUUCUUGUCCUGCUUAUUAAGAAAGUGUUUCAGAAUCCUUUUCAAACAUUUUCCUUUUUUUUCUUGUUUUUUGAAGGAAAGAUUUUCGUAGUUCAGUGCUGGAAAUGUUGUUAAUUAACAAGGAUUCUGGUUGUAUCAACUAUUUAAAUAUACUUCUACAUUCCGUCCUUUUAUGAGAAUUCACAAUUUAAAAUAAAAUUUGUGCAUUAUUAUUUUGUAAACAAAUUCUUUCAUCUGUACUGCACUGCAAUAGCAGAUGAUGGAGCUCACUGGGAAUAUUUUUCAUUUUUACCAUUGAUGUGAUAACUAAUAUAAGGCAUCAUGGUUUCUGUAUCGUUUCCAGCCUAAGCCCGAUUCCAAUACUUGUGGAUCAAAGAAGAAAGCUGCCACACCACCUGCAGGUUCUGGAGAGCUUCCUUCAACGAGUUCAAACAAAUCCAAGGAGUGGAGUUGUGUCCUCUGUCAGGUCAGUGCUACUACCGAGAGAGAUCUAGAUGUGCAUCUCCAAGGUAAAAAGCACAAGGCCAAGGAAAAACUACUUAGAGAUUUGAAGAUGUGCAUUAACUCCACUUCAAAAAAAGCUACGGAAAGCAGAGAUAGUGCUGACCAAGAAAUGAAGCCUAAUGUAGAAGAUCAAUCAGUUAAAGCUAAUAAAACUGUUGUUGGUUUAGACCAGAAAGUGGAGGGAGGUCAACCCCUGCAGGUUAAGCCCAAUUCCAAUCCUUGUGGAUCAGAUCAGAAAACUGCUACCCUACCUGCAGGUUCUGGAGAGCUUCCUUCGACGAAUUCGAACAAGCCCAAGGAGUGGAGUUGUGCCCUCUGUCAGGUCAGUGCUCCUACUGAGAGAGGUCUAGAUGAGCAUCUUCAAGGUAGGAAGCACAAGGCCAAGGUUGCAGGGCUACUUAGAGAUACGAAAAGGUGCAGUAACUCCAUUCCAUCCACGUCAAAAAAAUCUACAGAAAGCAGAGAUGGUGUUGGCCAAGAAAUGAAGACUAAAAUACAAGAGGAAUCAGUUAACCAGAAAGUGGACGGUGGUCUAGAUGAGCAUCCUCAAGGUAAGAAGCAGAAGGCUAAGGAAGAAGAACUACUUGGAGCUCAGAAGUGGAUAAAAAAAUCCACAGAAAGCAGAGAUAGUGCUGGCCAAGAAAUGAAGGCUAAAGUAGAAGAGGAAUCAGCUAAAGCUAAUAGAACUGUUGUUGGUUUAGACCAGAAAGAGGAGGGUUGUCAAGCCCAGCAGGUUAAGCCCUAUCCCAAUCUUUGUGGAUCAAAGCAGGAAGCUGCCACACUACCAGCAGGUUCUGGAGAGCUCCCGCUGACGAGUUCAAAGAAACCCACAGAUUGGAGUUGUGCCCUCUGUCAGUUCAGUACUACUAGCAAGAGAGAUCUAGAUGAGCAUCUUCAAGGCAGGAAGCACGAGGCCAAGGAAGAAGGACUACCUGGAGAUCAGAAGAUGUGCAGUAACUCCACCUCAAGAAACUCUAUUGAAAACAGAGAUAGUGCUGGCGAAGAAAUUAAGGCUACUGUAGAAGAGGAAUCAGUUAAAGCUAAUAAAACUGUUGUUGGUUUAGACCAGAAAGUGGAGGGUGGUCAAGAUGAGCAUCUUCAAGGUAAGGAGCACAAGGCAAAGGAAGCCAAGCUAAUUGGAGCUCAGACCACCUCAUCUUCAUCAACAUCAAAAGAAUCUGGAAAGACAAUUAGACCAGAAAGUGGGUUUAGACCAGAAAGUGCUGGUCAAGCAAUAAAAGCUAAAGUAGAAGAGGAAUCAGUUGAAGCGAUUAAAACUGUUGUGGGUUUAGACCAGAAAGUGGAGGGUGAAAAAGAUUCGGAGAACAAAAAUGAGGAGCUGCCAAAGAAGGACCCGAAUGAAAACACUCGGAAGACGACAAAUGGAAUACCGACUGCAGAGACGAUGAAGAGAAAACUUCCCCUUAGGGAGAAUUUCGAAUUCUGGUGUGAAGUUUGUCAAGUUGGUACUCACUCUGCUGUCGUGAUGGAAGGUCAUAAAAGGGGGAAGAAGCACAUGGCUCGGUCUAAUGAAUACAGGAAAAAUAAUGAAGCCGUCCCCCUCACCACCAGCACAACAAUUGUGACACCAUCAGAGCCUACUGAGAAUGUUGAAGGUGAAGCUGUAGUGGUCGAAGAAUCAAAUGAAGAAACAAGAGAUUGUAUUAUUGAGAAGGCUGAAGAUGAAGAGGUGGUGGUCUAUAGAGGCAGAUAAAGUGGGCCUGAUGCAGCAGACUCCUUGUUAUGCUGAAGGUAAAGCUCCUAACUUUUCUUUUGCUCUUGCACUUCAUUAUGAAUGUUUUAAAUUUCAAUGAACCAGUUGCAACUUGCUUUAUCAUUUUAAAACUCGGAAAUUACAUUAAUAAAUUUAAAUUCAUUCUUCCAUCUCAUUAUAUAUGGAUUUGAAGGUACUGAUUGAUGAAGCCUAUAAAUUCAAGCAACAAUACUGUAAUGGGGAUCAUGUGUUGUUCUCUACUCUCCAGUCAUUGGUAAAAAACUCCAAAAAUGAAAACCAGACACUGUUAGAUCUACUCUUUGAAAGUGCUUCAUAUAUGCAUGGUUAUGACAUUGGACUCUUCGGCUCAAAGCAAAUUUUUCUUGAUCAUGACCUGACAUUAGUUUAUCUUUUGCUGGCAGGUAGUUGGCGGGAUAUCACUAACCACAACUUAUGCAGAAGCUUCCUAACAUCAGCGGUGGGUCCAGGAUGUUUGAUCGGAUCAGCUAAAUUAUUGUAUAUGUUUGUGUGAAUAUUUACAAAGGAGUGAAAAAACUAAUAUAUUAAAUAUCAAGAACCUCGUUCUGAAUGAGGUUUACAUAUAUAAUUUGUAAAAUAAACUAAUAAUUAAAAUGACAAUUUAUCCUUUUAACUCGUAGAGAUACAACCUUAAAUUCCUUAAAAUCCUGUUUAAUUCAGCUCAUUCAGAGGGAGACAAUCAGACAAACCUUAUUUUAUUAGAGUGAACUGCGAAAGUACUAGCUUGACCAGAGAGAUUAAUGUCGUAGUUUGCACAUAUGUUUAAUUGCAAUUCAAUAUAUAUUGGAAGUGAACGUGAAAAUGGACUUAAUAAUACUAAGGGAGACAAUUCGUGGAACACAUAAUAUCCGCUACAUUGCUACUACCUAAUAAUUUCAGAACCAAUUAACAGUCACCUUUAUUGGAAAAAUCCACUAUGAUUACAAGCAAUCCCAUCACAUACAUGAACAGUUAAAUAUACGCAUCCGUAAUUAGAUAUCACAUUAAUCAACCACAUACAUUUCUUGGUUUCUAAGCUCCACAAUUGAAAUUUCAUGAAAAGGUUUCUGCAUCGGUGCCUUAUUGCGAGCGAUAAAUUCGUUGGACACGAGUUGCAUUGUAGGUCGAGACUUUGGUUGAGAACGCAAGCAUGAAAAUGCUACUGUUGAAACAAGAAUGAUAUCCUGCCUAAUCUUCUGAUCCACCGGAGGUGAGAGGCGUGGGUCCAACAAAUCAAUCAGCUUUAUAUUUUUAUCCAAUGAUGAAGAUGAUGAUGAGAGGAUCUCUCCUGGAUGCUUUCCCAUUAGUACUUCUAGUGCCACCAUUCUGAAGCUAUAAACAUCAGAUUUCUCCGUCACAACCAUGGUGUAGGCAAGUUUUGUAUGAAAACAAAAACCUUUAUCAGUGAUGUUUUCUAAGUAAUAACAAGAGCAAUUUGUUUAUAUUUUUGAGCUUCUGCAGCAAGGUAUGACAGAGAAACAUAUGUUUUUAACUGAUAUCUAAAGUGUAUGUAUUUUUUUUAAAAAAAAAUAAGGAGUUAAACGGGCACGCAAAGUUCAAAUUAAUUUUUCAGCUCCUUAUCUAUUCUAAAAUUCGAACUUAAGUAGCUAACUAAAUAAAACUGCUUAAAAAUUACUUAACAGAGUGUAUACAAAAAUUAAUUAAAAGAAUAAUUAAAGAAGCAGAAGAAGAAUAGCGAGAAGAUUACCUGGAGCAAUAUAUCCAGAAGUGCCAGCCAAUAGAGUUCGAUUGGAUGAGUCAAAAUUUAAUAAUCUAGCAACGCCAAAGUCAGCAACAAAUGCUUCUAAUUCUGAGUUGAGUAGAACGUUGUUGCUUGAUAUGUCGCGGUGAACAAUUGGUGGUGUGCAGUGAUGAUGCAAGUAUGACAAAGCAUGAGCCAUGCCCUUCACAAUGUUCACCCUUUUAGCCCAAUCCAAACCAACAGCUUCCUCAUCUGUGCGUAGAACACAAAACAAGCUUCCCAUUUCCAUGUACUCAUAGAUUAAGAACAUGCAUUUCCUGUGCAAACAAAACCCGUAAAGCUUUACGAUAUUUCGAUGCCAUAUUUGGGACAGUAGACGAGCCUCAUUCCGGAAACUCUCGAGGGAAGCUAACUCCUCAGUUUCUGAACGGUGAAGCUUCUUCAAAGCAACUACUUUUCCACUGGGCAGUCGUGCUCGGUAAACGCUGCCAUAGCCUCCGGUUCCAAUGCAGUAUUUGAUAUGGAAAUCCUCAGUAGCUUCAAUCAUGUCUUGAAAUGUAAUUCUACCAUCGUAAUUCCAAAUUGCAAACUCAUCAGCGCACUUGGUAAUUUCUCCUGUCUCAGUUGGUUCAACUUUCUUAUCCCUUCGUCUACGGACAAACAAGAUUCCAAAUAUUAAGGCAAGGAAUGCGGACAUAGGAAGAAUAAUUGCAACCAAUCGAGUGGCAAUCUUUUUGUCAUUGCCUUUGUGAUGUGGUGGUGGCGCUUUUGCCGAAGUACUUGGGAUUUCUACCUCGAAAUUGUUGCCUGAUACAUAUAAGAGAGGCACUUUUUUGACAGAUUCAGGGAUGCUACCGGAAAGAUUAUUCAUGGAAAGGUUCACGGUAUCUAUGCGUGGAAUUUCUCCAAGCUGGGAAGGUAUUUUACCAUUAAUCAAGUUAUGGCUUAAAUCAAGAUAAUUUAGUUCUUGAAGUUUGCCAAUCUCUGACGAAAUGCUUCCGCUUAACAAGUUGUUUCCCAAUAUUAAUAUCCGCAGCUUUGAGCAAUUCAUGAGUUCUUGAGGAAUUGGACCAUCAAGUUUGUUGUUGUACAUAUUUAAAGUAGUUAGCUGAGUCAAAUGACCCAGGGACGAAGGGAUUGGACCAACAAGUUUGUUUUCGGACAAUUUUAAACUUCUCAAUCUCUUUAAAUGGCUAGGUGUUGAAGGAAUUGAACCUUCAAUUUCAUUUCUGGACAGGUCAAGAACUUAAAGAGCCUUCAAACUCCCGAUUCCUAAUGGGAUGGAACCAUUAAUUUGGUUCCAGACAAUAGCCUGUUAGGAAAUUGGUGGGUGAAGCAGACACGCACCUAAGUUGAAAUUGGAAGAAAAAUAAAGAACAAGCACAAUAGACGACACUAGAAAUUACGUGGUUCAGCUUUUAGCCUACAUCCACGGGCGAAGACAGAAGGAAAUAUUUUACUAUUGAAAAUGAGUUACAAGUAUUGUAGUAUUUUAGCUCACUUCUCAAAACCCCAAUACACCCAAACUCUCUAAAUCACUAUAACAAGAGCUUAUAAAUUCAAGCUCUCUAAACUCUCUCUCAACUGCUAAAUUGCUCUCUGAAUGGAAUGAAUUUGCUCAUUCUCUUUGUUUCUAUUUAUAGAGAAAGCUUUGGCACUAUUCAUCAAUUAUAUAUAUAUAUUUUUUUCUUCUUUUUCUUCUUUUUCUUCUUUCUCUUGUCAAAGUCGUGUGCUUCGUUUUUUUUCAAAUUUGCUGCAAAAUUCUUCUUCUUUGAACAAAAUUGUUGCUGACCAUCUAGAUGGCUGCUUUAUACCAUCUAGAUGGCCACUUUAUUUGACAUAGCCAAAGUAGUUAGCUGGGUUAGAUGACCUAGAGUGGGGGGGAUAUUACCAACAAGGGAGUUAGAAGACAAGUUCAAAAUUUUCAAUUUGCUUAGAUGACAAAGAGUUAGAGGGAUAUUACCAACAAGGAAGUUAGAAGACAAGUUCAAAAUUUUCAAUUUGCUUAGACGACCAAGAGUUGGAGGGAUAUAUCCCCCAAUGUAAUUAUCAGAUAGAUCCAGGCGGACGAGAUUCCUCAAUCUCCCCAUCUCUGAAGGGAUAAUUCCUGUUGCGCAUGUGAUUUAUGAAAAACGAGAUCAGUAUUCACUAUCCUCAUAGCAAUAAAAUUUAUAAAGAAAUCCUCAUAAAAAAAAACUUCUUCAAUGUUGUAAAAACAGACGUCUGCUUCAAGCAUGAGCACGACUUCAUACAUACAUACAUAAAUACAUAUAUAUAGUGAAGUUUCGUAGCAUACCGGUAAGCCUGCUGGAGGGCAGUUCAAGAGUUUGGAGCAUUGAAAGGGCAGUAAUUUCAGAUGGAAUGCUCCCAGAGAGAAGAUAAUUUGAAUGAAUUUUGAAACUUUUGAGGUUGGGAAAGCAAGAGAAGUUGAAACGACCAAGCUCUCCUUUCAUGUUAUCAUUUUCAUACCAGAGUAAGCUGACCCUGAUUACGCUUCCCGCUGAAUUGCAACGGAUGCCAGUCCACUUACAAUGAUCGGACGUGUAGUUGCCCGACGUUGCCCAAUUGUCGUACCACCAGCCUGUAAUCAGUAAAGCUUCUCUUUCUAACUGUACGGGUGACGACAAUAAUCCAGCAGCUGAUGCUAUUACAAAUAUUGUUUUAUCACUUAUAGCACCAACAUUAAUUAAAAUUAAAAUGACCACCAAUCUCGAAACAGAGGAUGCUGAUGCCAUGUUUAUAAUGGUUUUCGGUUGAUUGAGCUAUAUUUGAUUCUCAGCAAAGCGUUUAUAUAAGAAUUAAUUGUUUUGCAACCUCCCAGUGUUAAUUUCCCAUACGCGUUUUCAAAUAGUGUGAGUCAAGGUCUUCUCUAGAUGGAUUCAAUCAUGGAGAUAUAACCUUAUUGGCUUGUAUUUUGUGUGGUGUAGAUCUAUUUGAACAACAUUGCAGAAACAUGAGAUAAUAUGGAAAAUAUUAGAAAUAAUUAAUAGCAUUAUUAAGAUAUUAAAUAUUAAUAUGAACAGAAUGUGUGAUUUGACAGAAUAAUCAAAAUAAUUUUUUUUUAUUUUUUUAAAAUAGUUACAAAAGUCCUUUUGUAACACACAAACUAUGGAAACUCACGGGCUAUUUCUAACAUCCAUUUUAAUCUUUAUUUAUUUUUUUAUAAAUUUUUUUUUAAUGAUUAACCUUACAUAUUUUUUUUAACUUUAAUAAUGCCAUAUUAUUUAAUAUUACAACUGCCAUUCGAACCCGUGCAAAACAUGAAGACAUAUAUAUAUAUAUAACAUUAAUAAUGCCACAUUAUUUAAUAUUUAAUUUUGAAGGCCACUUUUUAAGUUGAGGGCAGGGAACCACUACGAUUCCAUAACACGCUCAUCUAAUCACCUUGACUAUAAGACUUCUCCUAGUCGGCAAUUAUUUGGAAAUAAUGUCUUGACAUAUGCUGCGGAAAUUAAAGAAUGAAGUAGACUUUACGAAGUCAAGGUGUUUUUCUAGUCUACAUAUUUUAAUUUAUGUGUAGAAAAUUAGAAAUAUUCAAUGUAUAAUCUGAUUCUAUACAAAGAUUAAUGCCCUAGGAUUGUGAUUGAAAUACUAUAAGCAGUUUAUUUUAUAAGUUUAGAUAAAAAUGAAAUUUGAUGGCUUUGUUAAAAGUUAUUUUUUUUUUAUAAUUUUCUCUAUUUUGACUGUAACUUUUAAAAACAAAACAGAGACUAUUUUUAUAAGCAACUUAUUAAAUAAGUUGCUAUAUCUUUUUAAAUGUUCAUAUUAUAACCUUAAUAUUUUAAGAAAAGAAUAAUUAUAUCUUACUUUUCUAUAAGCUUUAAUAUAUAAAUAAAAGACAAUUUAAACUCAUGUUUAUUUUAAUCAUUAAAUAAUACAGGAUCUUAAAGUGCGGAUAUAAAGUAGUUUUUUGGUACAGGACCUUAAAGUGCGGGAAACAUUAGGAAAAAUUUUAAAACCGCGGGAUUUUAAAGGCUUAAUACUUAAAACACUUAAACUGCACGGUUUAUGCGUUUUCUCAAACGUUCCCGCACUUUAAAAUUCUGAAUUAGAAUAUUUUUAUAUGUGUGUGUGUGUGUGUGUGUGUGGAGGGCAAAUCUUUGACUACCUCCGGCUUCAAGGACCUAUACAGUAACUCUUAAAUCAAAGGGAGAAAAUAGUUAAUUCAAUCUGAUUGAAUAUGAAUUGAUAUUCACCAUAUGAUUAUUACAUAAAGAUUGAGCCUUAAGUGUUUUACAUUAAGUAAUAUUGCACACCUGUUCUACACAUUUAGACAACUCAGUAAGAAUUAUGCAAAUGACAACCAAAUCCAAACUAGCUAGGUGCACUAUUAUUAUUUAUCUUUGCUCCAUAAAUAUUAGAAAGAUAGAGGAGAGGAAGAAAAAGAAAAAACUAAUUUUGUAGUCACAAAUUAAUCUUAUGCUCUGAUUUUGAAGCAAAUCUGCUAAAUAUUUGAGGAUCCAACCAUGAAGCAUGUCCACUUCAAUCUUUCGCUGCACUGCUAACCAUUAUGGGUCGUCUUCUAUUGCUGGCUGUAUGUCUAAGCAAUGGGAACCUGCUCCAAUUUACACACUAUUAAUUAUGUUAUCCAAUAAUUUAGUUAAUAAUUGAACACUUAUUUUUUAUUUUAUAGAAAAAUUUACAUACUCUUUCUUGUUGUCACUGCUAUUAUAUUGUCUGAUAUCUUCCAAAACUCUAUAAUCUCCCCCCCCCCCCCCCCCACCAAAAAAAAAAAAGAAGAAAAAGAAUAAGGCAUAUAAUUAAACGGGUAACUUCGAUAGAAAAGAGUGUACAAAAUUUUUAAGCUUAAUUGCCCCUCGCUGCUAUAGGGAUCACGAAGGCCAUUAGGUAAAAUAAUGUUGCUACCAAAUCUCUUUAAAACCACUCUUAUAUCUUGCAAAUUAAAAAGAAAUAGAAAUCAAACAACAAUUGAGGUAAACUUUAUAAUUAAAAAAGAAAAUAUAUUUACUAUUUCUUAAUUUUACGAUUGCUGAAAGUAUUCAUUAAUUGGAAUGCAAAAUAAAUUUGUAUCAAAAUAAUAUUGGCAUAAUUAAUAUUUUGGUCAAACGAGAUCAAAAUGAAUAAAAUGAUGCAACAAAUGACACGACAUUAAUCAAAAGAUGUAAGUAAGUUAAUAAUAUUAAAAUUUACUUUCUCCAUAAGAUGCUCCAACAACGAUAAUGGGAGACAUUUCGGCCGAUAAAUUUUUCCUUGAUGUGUAAGAGAAUCUUUGCAUAAUCUGCCAAAGCUUGAGCAGAGUUGAAAUAUCCACGAAGAGUUGCAUUCUUUAGGGCAUCUUUGCUUGAUACAAAAGGUACUGAUUUUCCAUAGAACCGAUGCUGCAUAAAAAAUCGAAUUAAAAAAAAAAUCCAUCACAACUUUUCAGUUCAUAUUGUAGAAUAUUCUGAUUAAGAUUUGUCUUUAUUAUUAUUAUUUUGUAUGCGAACUCUAUUUCAAUUAUUAUCAAGCUAGCCUGAUAACAGAUUCUUUACUUACCUCUAUGUAAACUUGCAAGGCUUUAAAUCAAUGAGCAUUAUCAGUAAGCCAUCCAGUGCCACCAAGGUCAUCAUCAAGACUACUCUCUUCACCAAGAUAUGCCAAUAUUGGCGCCGCCGUGGCUCCGCCGCCGCCCCAAUGUUUGAAGUCACAUAUCUAUGAGAAAAAGUUAAAUAACUUUGUGGAUUAUAGUUAAAGUGAUCAAGUAUUUGAUCAUAAUAAUAAGUUUCGAGAUCACCCUCUGGUUCUGAAGUUAAUAUUUUUUUACUAGGGUUUAGAAAAAUAGUCCUUCCACGCACAACACCAAGCUUUGGGAUGUUCUUUAAUGGUGAAGUGGAAGCAAAAGCAAAAUUUGUGAGGAGAAGAAGAAAAUUAACAGUAGUCUCACACGAAAGGGUGGCAAUUUAUUACACGAAUUUGUGAAUUAGACACUAACACAUCAUAACGAGAUGAUUAAUUAUCAUGUCAAACCUGUGUCCUCUUCACUAAUAAAUUCGUAUUGCACUUUGACUUCCCCACGGGGGAUUCUUUAUUUUUUAUUUUUAAAACAAAACAAAUGCAUGCAACUUACCAUAAAAAGAUGAAUGAACACUAAAGACUGUGCAACGCAACCCAGAAUGCAAUCAUUAACCUCACAAAAAAUGGACCCUGAGAUUCACUGUAACAACGUCAUUAGUAUUUUUCUCUAUCAACGUCAUUAGUAUUUAAUUAUAUCUAUUUUUUUAAAUCCUAAUACAUAAAUAAAGACAAUUUAAACUUAUGUCUAUUUUAGUGAUUAGAUAAUAAAAUAAUUCUUUCAUAUUUAAAUUUACCAAACUCCGAGCAAGCUACUUUUAUAAUCAUCAAUUUAUUUUAUUCGCACACAGAAGUAGUUUAUUUCAUCAGCCAUCUGAAUUUCAAACUGAUCCCAAGUCAUGAUUGGAAUUGCAUUGGAUUGUCAAAUAAUUAAACAAAAGUAGCUAUUAUGUGGGAGAAUAAGAAUAGGUUCACCUGGAGCAAUACACUCAUAAGCUUGGCUACUAAUAAACGGAGCAUAUAAGGAUAAACACCCAAGUUUUGAGAGAUACAUGUAUAUGGAGGGCAAAUUCUUUGUCUCUCCCCGGCUUCAAGGAAAUGGUUAAAUCAAUGUGAUUGUAUAUGAAUUGAUAUUCCCCAUAUGAUUAUUACAUAAAGAUUGAACCCUUUUUAUGUGCUUUACAAUAAGUAAGCACACUUGUUCUACACAUUAAGACAACCCAGAUUAAGAAUUAUGAAAAUGACCAAAUCUAAAACUAGCUAGGCGCACUAUUAUUUAUCUUUGCUCCAUAAAUAUUAGAAAGAUAGAGGAGAGGAAGAAAAAGAAAAGACUAAUUUUGUAGUCACAAUAUAAUCUUAUGCUCUGAUUUUGAAGCAAAUCAGCAAAGUAUUUGAGGAUCCAAUCAUGAACCAUGUCCACUUCAAUCUUUCGCUGCAUUACUAACCACUCUGGAUCAUCUUCUGUUACUGGCUGUAUGUCUAAGCAAUGGGAACCUGCUCCAAUUUACACACUAUUAAUUAUGUUAUCCAAUAAUUUAGUUAAUAAUUGAACACUAAUUUUUUUAUUUUAUAGAAAAAUUUACAUAACGUUUCUUGUUGUCACUGCUAUUAUAUUGUCUGAUAUAUCUUUUAGAACCCUAUAACCUCAAAAAAGAAAAGAAAAAAAUGUAUAAUUAAAUUGGUAACUUCGAUAGAAGUUUAAUUACCCAGCGCUACUAUAGAGAUCACGAAGGCCAUUAGAGAAAAUAAUGUUGCUACCAAAUCUAUUUAAAACCACUCUUAUGUCCUGCAAAUAUAAAAGAAAUAGAAAUAAAAAAAAAUUGAGGUAAAUAUUAACCAUUAUACACUAACACAUCAUAACGAGAUGAUUAAUUAUCAUGUCAAAUCUCUGUGUCCUCUUCACUAAUCAAUUCGUGUUUGCACUUUAACUUCCCCACGGGGGAUUCUUUAUUUAUUUAUUUUUAAAAAUAAGUGCAAAAUUUAUUCCACCGAGUAUAAUCAAGGGGUGCCCGUCAAGACUUAGAUGGUGCAAAUAAUUCCACCAACGGAUAUGAAGAUCCCAAGUUGGUCAAUGAUUAGAAUGCUGAAAGCAAGCAACAGCUGCAACAUGGUUACACAGUCAUAUCAUCUACAAGCCAAACGUGUGUCCGCCCAAUUAGACACCAUAACCUCUCACGAAAAAUAUCAUCACACAAACAUGGACCCUGAGAUUCACUGUAACAACGUCGUUUUCUUUAUCAAAGGCUCCCAGUAGCCGCGCCCCACCCCCCCUACCCCACACGCACACACAAAAAGAAAACUAUAUAGAUCUUACAAGAACAACGAAGUCAUUAUGCAAACUAGAAGAAAGUGUAGAUUGAUAGGCAAUAAUUGAAAUAAGAUGCGAAAUUAUUUAUAACACAAUUAACAAUUCAACAAUCAUACGUGUUGAUUUAUUUUCAAUCUGACUUGGACACUAUGUUAUAUUUUAUUAUCUUUUAAUAAAUAUCUAUAUAUAUAUAUAUAUAAAUAAUCAAAAAAUUAUAUAAAAUUCACCAUGAAAAUAAGGAAAACGAAAAAAAAAAAAUCAAACGGUCUUAUUACACACACACACUUGUCUGCUUGACGAUUUGCUCUGAUAUUUUCCUUUCUUCUUCAAUCAAUGAACUGUCUACAGAAUCUUCCAAGGUCCUCUUUUUCUUCUUCUUUUUUUAAUUUUUAUUUUAAUUCUCCUUUAAUUCGUUUUCAUUUUUUAAUUUUUUUGGUUAAUAUUUCAGAUCAUCCGCUUUGCCUUUGCAAAGCUUCAGAUUCAAUCAACGGAAGCCUACUUCUUCUUCUUCUUUCAAUUCUCUGGUAAAACGCAAUAUUUUUUUGUCGUUUUUUCUUCCUGUUAAUACUUAAUGCUUGGGCGUUUUGUGUGUAAUGGAAAUGGAGUCUCGUGUCUGAUUUAUUAUCGCAGGGAACGAUGAAUUAUGCUGAUCUAAAUCGACGUAUCACCGUUAAGGUAACUAUAUAAUAUUUUAAUUUCAAAUUCAUUUCUUUCCUUUUUUUUUUGUUUUUUAAAAGCGUAAUAUUAGCUUCAACUGUGAUGCUGUUCAGUACAGUGCUGACAUUUUUAUUCAUAAAUAUCUUCAGAUAUUUCAUAAUAUGGAAUAUUCUUCUUUAUUCUGUUCUAUUUAUUUACUGGUUUUAAUGUACAUUUUGUCGAGGAGUUACAUACGCGAGUAUAAAAUUAACUUCAACUGAUAAUGGUAGUCUGAUUAUGCCAUUAGUUUUAUCGAGUCCAUGUUGAUUCAGUUUGUUGUUUGAUUUUUAUGUGGAACUGUUACUUGAUUAUACAUGAACAUUCACUUGUGCAAAUUUGCUGAUGAAAUUUAUUUACGGGCAAUUACUGGUUCCACCUCUAGUAAGGAGACAUCUGAUAGCUCUGAAGUUAAGGAGGAAAAAUCCGAGAUCUAUAGUACUAAUAUGACAGAGGCUAUGGGUGCUGGUAAUUUAACUCACACUAUGCUCUAAUUUUGAUAGUAAGGCAGUUGUGGAGACCCUUAAGUGGGAAAGGAUGCUUUCCAUGUUAAAGGCAUGUCUAUUAUUGUGGAUUUGCAAAAUUUAUAUGGAAUGUGAUUAAAUGAUGUUUGUAUAUUGUAUUAUGUGAUUGAAGCAUGAAUUAAACGUUUUAAUGUUUCAUUCUAGAACUUCCCUGUGGACCUUUGCUCGUUUUUGUUUUGAUACUUAUGAAACUUGGUAAGUCUUGUUUUGAUUUGUUAGAGAUUUUCUGCUGAUGGACAAUUUCAGAAGAAAGCAGUGACAAUGCAGUGCUUACUAAUUGAGGGUAGCUCAAAAUGAUAAUUUUAGAUUUUGGAUCUAUGAAAAUUGAAAAAUAAAUAGAGAUAAGUGAGUUUGUUUCAUGUUAGUUUCUUCAUCCGCUCCAAUUGAAAUACUCUGUGAUGAGAUUGUUUCUCUUAAACCCUUAUUCAUCAAAGUUACCCUUUACAUGUCCAUUUGAAUGGCUUUAUCCCACACCAACCUUGAUUUUUAUGUUAUUAGGAGGUUGUUGCUUAGAGAUUCCCAUGUCCAUUCUUAGUGCUAUAAGACUUUGUCUUGAUGCACAGGUGACAAGUUUGUUGGGGAGUACAUUUGGACUCACAAUCUUGAUUUAAUUCCAAACAUGUUAGCAUUGGGUUAUUUAUGUCGGUCAAAGUUCACAAAUUCAGUUUGCUUGGUCAACUCAAGUAGACGACAGAGUUGUGUAACUCAUUGACCAUGCGUGCAAAUACCAAUGUAUGUGGCUUUAAAAAUUUGGGCAACGAGGACAUGUGAUCCUCCACAGCCUGGAAUUAAUGUGUGUCUGAAACCUUUUUUGAACGAAAACACAGAAAAUGUGAGCUUGUCACAAGCUAAGUUUCCAAGAGAGGUUACAUAUGUUUACCAUGAAGUGUCACAUGAACUUGUACAGAUUGAUUUGUGAUGUUUCUUUUCCCGGUAAUUUCUUAUGUUAAAUCUUAUUGAUUGUGUUUGUGUAUGUGCGUUGGGCUGGAAGCUCCAUUAAAAUGGUUUUUCCGCAAAUUAUGAAUUAUAAUGCUCAUAAGAUAUCAUCUCUCCUUGUCCAGCUUAUUAAGAAAGUAUUUCAUAAUCCUAUUCAAACAUAUUCCUUUUUUUUUUCUUUUUUGGGAUGGAGAUAUUUUCCUAGUUCAAUGCUGGAAAUGUUGUUAAUAAACAAGGAUUCUGGUUGUAUUAACUAUUUGACUAUACUUCUACAUUCCUACCUUUUUUGAGAAUUCACAAUUUCAAAUAAAAUUUGCACGUUAUCAUUUUGUAAACAAAUUCUUUCAUCUGUACUACAACAGCAGAUGAUGGAGCUCACUGGGAAUAUUUUUCAUUUUUACCAUUGAUGUGAUAACUAAUAUAAGGCAUUGUGGUUUCUGUGUUUGGGUAUCAUUUCCAGCCUAAGCCUGAUACCAGUGUUUGUGGAUCAAAGCAGAAAGCUGCCACACCACCUGCAGGUUCUGGAGAGCUUCCUUCAACGAGUUCAAGCAAACCCAAGGAGUGGAGUUGUGCCCUCUUGUCAGGUCACUGCUACUACCGAGAGAGGGCUAGACGUGCAUCUCCAAGGCAAGAAGCACAAGGCCAAGGAAAAACUACUUAGAGAUUUGAAGAUGUGCAUUAGCUGCACUUCAAAAAAAUCUAUGGAAAGCAGAAAUAGUGCACCAAGAAAUGAAGCCUAAUUUAGAAGAGGAAUCAGUUGGUGCCAAAAAAACUGUUGUUGGUUUAGACCAGAAAGUGGAGGGUGGUCAAACCCUGCAGGUUAAACCCAAAUCCAAUCUUUGUGGAACAAAUCAGAAUGCUGCUGCACCACCUGCAGGUUCUGGAGAGCUCCCUUCGACAAAUUCAACCAAAACUGAGCAGUGGAGUUGUGCCCUCUGUCAGGUCAGUGCUACGACCCAGAGAGGUCUGGAUGAGCAUCUUCAAGGUAGGAAGCACAAGGCCAAGGUGGCAGAACUACUUAGAGAUAAGAAAAUGUGCAAUAACUCCACUUCAUCCACGUCAAAAAUAUCUACAGAAAGCAGAGAUGGUGUUGGCCAAGAAAUGAAGACUAAAGUACAAGAGGAAUCAGUUAAAGCUAAUAAAACUGUUGUUGGUUUGAACCAGAAAGUGGAGGGUGGUCUAGAUGAGCAUCCUCAAGGUAAGAAGCAGAAAGCCAAGGAAGAAGAACUACUUGGAGCUCAGAAGUGGAUAAAAAAAUCUACAGAAAGCAGAGAUAGUGCUGGCCAAGAAAUGAAGACUAAAGUAGAAGAGGAAUCAUUUAAAGCUAAUAGAGAGAGAUCCAGAUUAGCAUCUUCAAGGCAAGAAGCAUAAGGCCAAGGAAGAAGAAUUACUUGGAGAUCAGAAGAUGUGCAGUAACUCCACUUCAAAAAACUCUACUGAAAGCAGAGAUAGUGCUGGCCAAGAAAUUAAGGCUACUGUAGAAAAGGAAUCAGUUAAAGCUAAUAAAACUGCUGUUGUUUUAGAACAGAAAGUGGAGGGUGGUCAAGAUGAGCAUCUUCGAGGUGAGAAGCACAAGGCGAAGGAAGUGGAGCUAAUUGGAGCUCAGAAGAUGUGCACUUCCUCAUCUUCAACAACAUCAAAAGAAUCUGGAAAGACAAUUAAGCUUACCAAAAGCAGAGAUAGCGCCGGCCAAGAAAUGAAAGCCUAAACAGAAUCAGUUAAAGCUAUUAAAACUGUUGUGGGUUUUGACCAGAAUGUGGGGGGCGAAGAAGAUUCAGAGAACAAAAAUGAGGAGCUGCCAAAGAAGAAGGCGUUGAAUGCAAUCACUCAGAAGACAACAAAUGGAAUACCAACUGGAGGGAUGAUGAGGAGAAAACUUCCCCUUAGAGAGAACUUCGAAUUCUGGUGUGAAGUUUUUCAGGUUGGUACUCACUCCGCUGUUGUGAUGGAGGGUCAUAAAAGGGGGAAGAAACACAUGGCUCGGUCUAAUGGAUCUAGGAAAAAUAAUGAGGCCGUCCCCCUCACCACCCGCACUACAAUUGUGACACCAUCAGAGCCUACUGAGAAUGUUGGAGAUGAAGAUGCGGUGGCCCAAGAAUGAAAUGAAGAAACCGCAGAGAGUGUCAUUGAGAAGGCUGAAGAUGAAGAGGUGGUGGUCUAUAGAGGCAGAUAAAGUGAGCCUGAUGCAGCAGACUCCUUAUUAUGCUGAAGGUAAAGCUCUUAACUUUUAUUUUGCUCUUGCGCUCCAUUUUGAAUGUCUUAAAUUUCAAUGAACCAGCUGCGUGUUACUUUAUCAUUUUAAAACUCAGAAAUUACAAUAAUAAAUUUAAGUUCAUUCUUCCAUCUCGUCAUAUAUGGAUUUGAAGGUACUGAAUGAUGAAGCCUGUAAAUUCAAGCAACAAUACUGUAAUGGGGAUCAUGUGUUGUUCUCUACUCUCCAGUCGUUGGUAAAAAGCUCAAAAAAUGAAAACCAGACACUGUUAGAUCAACCAUUUGAAAGUGCUUCAUAUAUGCAUGAUUAUGACAUUGGACUCUUCGGCCCAAUGCAAAUUUUUCUUGAUCAUGACCUGACGUUAGUUUAUCUUGUGCUGGCAGGUAGUUGGUGGGAUAUCACUAACCACAACUUAUGCAGAAGCUUCCUAACAUCAGCCGUGGGUCCAGGAUGUUUGAUCGGAUCGGCUAAAUUAAAAUUUUUUUGUAUAUGUUUGUGUGAAUAUUUACAAAGGAGUGAAAAAACUAAUAUAUAUUAAAUAACGCGACAUUAAGAACCUCGUUCUGAAUAAAUUUUAUGUAUAUAAUUUGUAAAAUAAACUAAUAAUUAAAAUAACAAUUUACCCUUUUAACUCGUACAGAUACAACCUUAAAUUCCUUAUUUAAUUCAGCUCAUUCAGAGGGAGACAAUUAGACAAAACUUAUUUUAUCAGAGUGAACUGCGAAAGUACUAGCUUAACCAGAGAGAUUAAUGUCGUAGUUUGCACAUUUGUUUAAUUGCAAUUCAACAUAUAUAGGAAGUGAACGUGAAAAUAGAAUUAAUAAUACAUUGCAAGUACCUAAUAAUUUCAGAAGCAAUUAACAGUGACCUUUAUUGGAAAAAUCCAUUAUGAUUAGAAGCAAUCCCAUCACAUACAUGAACAGUUAAAUAUACGCAUCCAUAAUUAGAUAUCACAUUAAUCAACCAAAUACAUUUCUUGGUUUCUAAGCUCCAAAAUUGAAAUUUCAUGAAAAGGUUUUUGCAUUGGUGUCUUAUAGCGAGCGAUAAAUUCGUUGGACACGAGUUGCAUUGUAGGUCGAGACUUUGGUUGAGAACGCAAGCAUGAAAAUGCUACUGUUGAAACAAGAAUGAUAUCCUGCCUAAUCUUUUGAUCCACCGGAGGUGAGAAGCGUGGGUCCAGCAAAUCAAUCAGCUUAAUAUUUUUAUCUAAUGACGAAGAUAACGAUGAGAGGAGCUCUCCAGGAUGCUUUCCCAUUAGUACUUCUAGUGCCUCCACUCCGAAGCUAUAAACAUCAGAUUUCUCCGUCACAAUCAUGGUAUAGGCCAGUUCUAUCGGAAAACAGAAGCCUUUAUUAGUGAUAUUUCGUAUAUAAUAACAAGAGCAAUUUGUUUAUAUUUUUGAGCUUCUGCAGCAAGGUAUGACAAAGAAACAUAUGUUUUUAAUUGAUAUUUAAACUGUGUAUUUUUUUUUUUUUUAAAAAAAAGUUAAACGGGUAGGCAAAGUUCAAAUUUAUCUUUCUAGCUCCUUACCUAUUCCAAAAUUCGAACCUAAGUAGCUAACUAAAUAAAACUGCUUAAAACUUACUUAACAGAGUGCAUAUAGAAAUUAAUUAAAAGAAUAAUUAAAGAAGCAUAAGAAGAACGGCUAGAAGAUUACCUGGAGCAAUAUAUCCAUAAGUGCCAGCUAACAUGAGCCAUGCCCCUCACAGUGUUCACCCUUUUAGCCCAAUCCAAAUCAACAGCUUCCUCAUCUGUGCGUAGAACACAGAACAAGCUUCCCAUUUCCAUGUACUCAUAGAUUAAGAACAUGCAUUUCCUGUGCAAACAAAACCCGUAAAGCUUUACGAUAUUUCGAUGCCGUAUUUGGGACAGUAGACGAGCCUCAUUCCGGAAACUCUCGAGGGAAGCUAACUCCUCAGUUUCUGAACGGUGAAGCUUCUUCAAAGCAACUACUUUUCCACUGGGUAGUCGUGCUCUGUAAACGCUGCCGUAGCUUCCGGUUCCAAUGCAGUAUUUGAUAUGGAAAUCCUCGGUAGCUUCAAUCAUGUUUUGAAAUGUAAUUUUACCGUCGUAAUUCCAAAUUGCAAACUCAUCAGCGCACUUGGUGAUUUCUCCUGUCUCAGCUGGUUCAACUCUCUUAUCCCUUCGUCUACGGACAAACAAGAUUCCAAAUAUCAAGGCAAGCAAUGCGACCAUAGGGAGAAUAAUUGCAACCAAGCGAGUGGCAAUCUUUUUGUGAUGUGGCGGUGGCGAAUUUGCCGAAGUAUUUGGGAUUUUUACCUCGAAAUUGUUGCCUGACACAUAUAAGAGAGGCACUUUUUUGACAGAUUCAGGGAUACUACCGGAGAGGUUAUUCAUGGAAAGGUCCAUGGUGCGUAUGCGUGGAAUUUCUCGAAGCUGGGAAGGUAUUUUACCAUUAAUGGAGUUAUGGCUCAGAUUAAGAUAAUUUAGUUCUUGAAGUUUGUUAAUCUCUGACGGGAUGCUUCCACUUAACAAGUUGUUUCCCAAAUCUAAUUCCCACAGCUUUGAGCAAUUCAUGAGUUUUGGAGGAACUCGACCAUCAAGUUUGUUGUCGUACAGGUCAAGAACUUGAAGAACCUUCAAACUCCCGAUUCCUAAUGGGAUGGAACCAUUAAUUUGGUUUGAGGCAAUAGCCAAAGUAGUUAGCUGGGUUAGAUGACCUAGAGUUGGAGGGAUAUUACCAUGAAGGGCGUUAGAAGACAAGUCCAAAAUUUUCAAUUUGCUUAGAGACCAAGAGUUGGAGGGAUAUAUCCCAAGAGGUAAUUAUUAGAUAGAUCCAGGUGGACCAGAUUCCUCCAUCUCCCCAUCUCUGAAGGGAUAAUUCCUGUUGCGCAUGUGAUUUAUGAAAAAUGAAAUCAGUAUUCACUAUCCUCAUAUAAAUAAAAUUUAUAAAGAAAUGCUUAGGUUGUAAAAAUUAAUAGAUUUUUUAGUGCUCCAAUAGUUUUUUUAUUCUUAUUUUUUGUUGGGGCUCGUCAAUGCUGCAUAUUUUUUACUGAAAGUUAAAUCCGCAGAUGCAACAAAUAUAUCAAUAAAUUAAUACAAAACUAUGGAGAGUGGAGAGAAUCACUCUCAGUGCUCUCAAUUGACUAUCCUAUUGUGUAAAUACAAAAGUAAAUUUAGUAAAUUAAUGAGGAACUGUAUAUGUGUGAAAUUAGAAAUAGUGCUUUUGAUUUUUAAUCAUAUCUUUUAUAGGAUAACCCUGAAUUUUAAUGCAAAGGGGAAAAAAAGAGAGGAAAAGAUACAAACCAAAAAUGCUUAAACCUGCCUUCCUUAAUAAUUACGUACAACUUGUAAUCGCCCAAUGUAACAAUUGCAAUUGAUGGAUGCAAUUUGGAAAAGAAACUGACACUUGAAGCCGAUUCAUUUCAUACAAAAAUUGAAGGAAAAAAAGCCAACCAGCAUAUUCUCCAAAUUAAAACACUACCGAAGUAAUAAACAAAGAUGUAGAAAUUUAUUAUAUAGUUUCACUUUCACACAACAAAAAUGUGCUUAGACGACCAAGAGUUGGAGAGAUAUUACCAUCAAUGCCGUUAGAAGACUAUAGUUUCACUUUCACACAACAAAAAUGUGCUUAGACGACCAAGAGUUGGAGGGAUAUAUCCCCAGAUGUAAUUAUUAGAUAGAUCCAGGUGGACAAGAUUCCUCAAUCUCCCCAUCUCUGAAGGAAUAAUUCCUGUUGCGCAUGUGAUUUAUGAAAAACGAGAUCAGUAUUCACUAUCCUCAUAGCAAAUAAAAUUUAUAAAGCAAUCCUCGUAAAAAAAAACUUCUUCAGUGUUGUAAAAACAGACGCCUGCUUCAAGCAUGAGCACGACUUCAUACAUACAUACAUACAUACAUAUAUAUAGUGAAGUUUCGUAGCAUACCGGUAAGAUAGUUGGAGGACAGUUCAAGAGUUUGGAGCAUUGAAAGGGCAGUAAUUUCAGAUGGAAUGCUCCCAGAGAGAAGAUAAUUUGAAUGAAUUUUGAAACUUCUGAGGUUCGGAAAGCAAGAGAAUUUGAAACGACCAAGCUCUCCUUCGAUGUUAUCAUUUUCAUACCAGAGUAAGCUGACCCCGAGUACGCUUCCCGCUGAAUUGCAACUGAUGCCAGUCCACUUAUAAUGAUCGGACGUGGAGUUGCCCGUCGCCCAAUUGUUGAUCCACCAGCCUGUACCAAGUAUAGCUUCCCUUUCUAACUGUAUGGGUGACGACAACAAUCCUGCAGCUGAUGCUAUUACAAAUACUGUCGUAUCACUUAUAGCACCAACAUUUAUUAAAAUUAUAAUGACCACCAGUCUCGAAACAGAGGACGCUGAUGCCAUGUUUAUGGUGGUUUUCGGUUGAUUGAGCAUUUGAUUCUCAGCAAAGCGUUUAUAUAAGAAUUAAUUGUUUUGCAACUUCCCGGUGUUAAUUUCCAACACGCGUUUUCAAAUAGUGUGAGUCAAGGUCUUCUCUAGAUGGAUUUAAUCAUGGAGAUAUAACCUUAUCGGCUUGUAUUUGUGAGGUGUAGAUCUAUUUGAACAACAUUGCAGAAACAUGAGAUAAUACGGACAAUAUUAGAAAUAAUUAAUAGCAUUAUUAGUAGUAUAAGAUAUUAAGUAUUACCCAAAAUAAGAAAAGGAAAACCGUUCAAAGAAAAUAAUUGUUAUAAAUAAUGGCUCAAAUAGGAAAAUAAACAAGACUAAUCAUAUCUUUUGUAACAUACAUACCAUAGCUCAUGGGCUAACUAACAUUUUUUUUUUUAACCCUAAACAUCAUAAAUGAAAGAAGAUGAAAUUUUCAUUACCGCUCAAUUUUUCUGCACGCAACCAAAUUUUUUUUAAAAAAAAACAAAAAGAAAGUGUUAGAAAAAUAAUGCGCAAGUAGCUACUUGAGGCAUGAUUUUGAAUGAGACCUUUUUGGUAUAAGUGAAAAUUCAGAAAUUGUUUCGCAUAUUCCUCUAUGAGUACUUCGGAAUGUUAUCUAUACGAUCAAAAUGAUCCUCAAGUGAAUGAGAAAUUAUUACUCAAAGUGCACUCAUGAAUUUGAAAAAUUAAAGGAAAAUACAUUUGUCCCACAUUGGAAAGAUUUAUACAUAAUUACUAGAUGAACGGUAAGCUAUUAUAAGCAAAGGGGCGUUCCUUGUGCACGGUCACGGGAGUGCAAAUUUUAACCACCCCAAUUAGCUUAACCAGUGUUCAUAUUGGGGGUGUUUACCCGACCCUUAGUUGGGGUUAGCUAAUGUGGCAACUUAGUUUGCCUUUUUUUUUUUUUCUCUUUGUAAUAAUAAUAAUAACAAAUUAAUAUAAUUUUUUAAUUUAAUAUUAUAUUACAUAAUAUUAAAUUAUGUUUUAAUUUUUAUUAUUUUAAAUAUAUAACUAAACAUUGUAUUAUUUAAUUGUAUUAUUUUAAUUAAUAUAUAAAAUUAUAUUAAUUAAUCUUUAAUAAGUUAAUAUAAUUAGUAAUAAAUACUUAAAUAAUAUAAUAUUACAUUAUUAAUUAUAGUACAAUAAUUAAUUUAGCUAUUUUUAAAUAAUUUAAUAUAACUAACAAUAAAUAUUUAAAUUUGAAUAAUAUUAAUUGAAAAUUAAUAAUAUAAAUAAUUACUGGAUUAUUUAGCUCAAUUAUAUCACUUUAUUAUUCUAUAAUUAUCUUGUAAUAUGUAUAAACUUUUAUUCUAUCAUCCUCAAAUGAUUUUUGAAUUAAUCUUGAAGAUUUCAACUAUUUAUUUAUGUUGUUAAAUUAUUUAGUGAUUAUUUGAUUAAAUUAUUUACUUUGAUCUUUAUUUCAUAAGUUAUAUAUUUAGAAAAUACUAAAAAAUACACUUCCAAAAAUUUAAGACUAUAAGCUUCGGAAGAAUUAUGACAUUUCAAUAUAUAUUUUUAAUAAAAAUGUUAAAUUUCCAAAAUUUAAGAAUUUUAUAUUUAUUAUUUUUAAGUACUAAUAAAUAUUAUUUUCUAAAUAUAUAAUUUAAAUUAAUCACAAAAAAAUUAAUACAGUACAAUGUAACGCCAAACAUUGUACAACAUUAUUAUAAUACAGUGUUAAUGCAAUACAACAUAAUACAAUACACCUGCAAUAAAAUAAUGCAAUACAACAUAAUACAAUACAGUUUGUCAAACACACCAUUGUAUUAUUGUUUCGUUCUCAUUGUAUAAUUGCCGUCCAUACCUGUGCAAAACAUUAAGAGUUAAAAAAAUAUAUUUUUAUGAUUAAUUUUAGAUAUUUUUUAAACUUUAAUAAUGCCAUAUUAUUUAAUAUUACAAUUGCCGUUCGAACAUGUGCAAAACAUGAAGACUAAUAUAUAUAUAUAUACACCAUAUUAUUUAAUAUUUAAUUUUUAAGGCAACUUUUACUUAAAAAAAAAAAAAUUUAAGGCAACUUUUUUAGUUGAGGGCAGGGAACCCCUACGAUACCUAAUUCCAUAACACGCUCAUCUAAUCACCUUGACUAUAAGACUUCUCCUAGUCAGCAAUUAUUUGGAAAAAAACGUCUUGACAUGUGCUGUGGAAAUUAAAGAAUGAGGUGGACUUACGAAGUCAAGGGGUUUUUCUAGUCUACAUAUUUUAAUUUAUAUGUGUAGAAAAUUAGAAAUAUUCAAUGUCUAAUCUGAUUCUACAUAAACACUAAUGCCCCAAGAUUGUGAUUGAAAUGCUAUAAGCAGUUUAUUUUAUAAGUUUAGAUAAAAAUGAGGUUUGAUGGCUUUGUUAAAAGUUGCUUCUUUCACAAUUUUCUCAAUUUUGACUAAAACUUCUAAAAACAGGCAGGAGAUUAUUUUGAUAAGCAACUUAUUAAAUAAGUUGCUAGAUCUUUUUAAAUGUUCCUAUAAUAAUCUUAAUAUUUUAAGAAAAGAAUAAUUAUAUCUUUCUUUUCUAUAAGCUCUAAUAUAUAAAUAAAACACAGUUUAAACUUAUGUCUAUUUUAGUGAUUAAAUAAUACAACACAUUCAUAAUCAAAUUUACCAAACACGAGCAAGACACUUUUUUAACCAUCAACUUAUUUCAUCCUCACAACAAAAAUAACUUAUUUUAUCAGCCACCGCCAUCCUAAACUUGAUGCUAAGUCACGUUUGGGAUUGCAUUAGAUUGUCAAAUAAUUAAGAGAAAUAGCCAUUAUGGAGAAGAAUAGGGAGAGGUUCGCCUAAAGCAAUAUACUCGUAAGCUUGGCUACUAAUAAACGGAGCAUAUAAGCAUAAACACCUAACUUUUGAGGCAUAUAAGGGAUCUAAAAGUGCGGAAACGUUUGGAAAAACUUUAAAACCACAGGGUUUUAAAGGUUUAAACCGCAUGGUUUAUGUGUUUUCCUAGAUAUUCCCGCACUUUAAAAUUUCAGAUUAAAACAUUUCCAUAUGUGUGUGUGUGUGUGUGUGUGUGUGUGGAGGGCAAAUCUUUGACUCUCUCCAGCUUCAAGUACCUAUACGGUAACUCUUAAAUCAAAGGGAGAAAAUGGUUAACCCAAUCUUAUUGUAUAUGAAUUGAUAUUCACCAUAUGAUUAUUACAUAAAGAUUGAGCCUUAAGUGCUUUACAUUAAGUAAUAUUGCACACCUGUUCUACACAUUUAGACAACUCAGAGUAAAAAUAAUGAAAAUGACAACCAAAUCCAAACUACCUGUUCUACACAUUUGAACCCUAAUUUUUUAUUUUAUAGAAAAAUUUAAAUACCGUUUCUUGUUGUCACUGCUAUUAUACUGUCUGAUAUAUCUUCCAGAAUCCUAUAAUCCCCCCCCCCCCCAAAAAAGAAGAAACAAAAAAAGGUAUAUAAUUAAACAGGUAACUUCGAUAGAAAAGAGUGUACAUAAUUCUUAAGCUUAAUUACCCCUCGCUAUUAUAGGGAUCACGAAGGCCAUUAGAGAAAAUAAUGUUGCUACCAAAUCUCUUUAAAACCACUCUUAUAUCUUGCAAAUUAAAAAGAAAUAGAAAUCAAACAAAACUUGAGGUGAACUUUAUAAUUAAAACAGAAAAUGAGAAACCUUAAAAUAUUAGAAGAAUUAAUUUGGGGAUUAAUCGACACUUACAUUACCACUUUAAUAAGUUGUAAUCCAAUGUGGUCUUGGAACCACUCCAUAAGACUUAUUGCAUGAAUCCAUAUAUUCUGUCAGAUUAAAUGUGUCUGCUUGAAACAUUAUGUCGUUUUUGCCAAUUCCAAUUGGUGAGACCAUUUCACUGCAUGUCUGCAUGAGAAACCCCCCAAAAAUAAAAAAUAAUAAUAAUAAAAUAAGAUAAAGAAGAAAACUAUUUUUAAUCAUUCAUAAAUAUAAAGUCUCAUAAAUAAAAUUAAGAGAUGUACAUAAAAUAGGUAUUGUUCUCAUUGCCACAUGUUGUUUAUUUAACGGUCUCAAUAGAACUAACCAAUGAAAUCAUGUCACUUGUAAUUGCAUACCUGUCUGCCCCAGCUGGAGUCCAAUGUUGCAUCGGAGAAGAAUUCAUCAACAUCAUGGCAAGAAUCCUCCCCUCUUAAAUCAACAAUUCCUGAGAAGAUCCGGUCUAGGGUAUCUGUGCCUUCUAAAGCUCCAUCAAUACCAUUACAGGCUUUGUUCACUGGGCUUUCCUGAGGAUCAUCAUACUGAGCUGCACCCGUAUACAUAUACUCUAAAUAAUCUUUCAAUUCUGAAACAUCCUUCAGAGGCCUGUAAUCAAAUAAACAAUAACAUAGAAUUAAGUGCCACAAGGUCAUUAACUUUAUAAAAGAUCUUUCAACAUACUGUCUUAAAAAUGUUGUUAUAUUUAGUUAGAUUACAAUAAACUUUAUAAGUAUGAAGCUAUUGAUAUUCUCAAAUGCAAACGUUCAAAUUUGGCCUCAUUUGAUUAUCAGAGUUUUGCGUGGUUUUGUAGUUUAAAUUUAGAUUCUGCAAAAUAUGGACGUCUGAACCUAAGCACCAGUAUACUAUAUAUGGUAACGCAAAGGCCGUGUAUAAGCCCAAAUCCAGAUUUUUACUUUGUAUAUUACACGUUAAUCGAAAUGUAUAUACACGCUGAGGAUGACAGAUAAUUAAUUAGACAUGGUACAUUCGAUAACGAUGCUAAAAUAACAUUGCAUUAAUUGUAAUUAAGGGAAAAUCGGAUGGAUAUACAAUAUAAGCAGUUAUGUAAAGUAAUAUGAUUAAUUACUUGCAGGUUUUGAACUUUAUAGAGAGAAAAGCAAGUCCAUUUUUUCCAGCAGCGACUUUAUCGAUUUCAGCCUAGGACUGUUUGAUGGUCUUGUAGCAGCUCUCGCUGGCUUCCUGCAUCAUUAAUUUUUAAAAUUCAAUGGCUAAAUUUUAACAAGAAAACAUAAUCAUGCUUAUAUAAAAUUUUAAUUAACUAAUUUAUUUCUUACCCGAAAGUCCUUGGUGACAAGAUCAUAAUAUGCGUUUGACGGUGUGAUAUUCUCAAAGUAGAGAACUGGGGCGGAUGAGGCAACUGCUCCCAAAGCAAUGUGAAGAUACUUCAAGUGAAACCAUGCAGCAAGCAUUGUUGAUAACAAACCAACAAACAAGUAACUCUCGAAACCAUAUCACAUCCCAGAUCUGAUAAAAUAGGAUGAAUUGAGAAGAUUAUUUUUAAAUACAUAAUUAUCUUGAAUAUAUUUAUUAUUUCUUGAUUUUACGAUCGCCAAGAGUAUUCGUUAGUUGCAAUAUUAAAUAAAUUUGUAUCAUAGUAAUAUUGCCGUAGUCAAUAUCUUGAUCGAUCAAUCGUGAUCUAAAUGAGUAAAAUGAUGUGACAGAUGACACGACAUUAAUCAAAAGAUGUAAGUAAGUUAAUAAUAUUAUAAUUUACUUCCUCCAUAAGAUGCUCCAACAACCAUAAUGGGAGACAUUUCGUCCGAUAAAUUUUUCUGGAUGUGUAAGAGAAUCUCUGCGUAAUCAGCCAAAGCUUGAGCAGAGUUGAAAUAUCCACGAAGAGUUGCAUUCUUUGGGGCAUCUUUGCUUGAUACAAAAGGUAUUGAUUUUCCAUAGAACCGAUACUGCAUAAAAAAUUGAAUUAAAAAAAAAAUCCAUCACAACUUUUCGUAUGUGAACUCUAUUUCAAUUAUUAUCAAGCUAGCCUGAUAACAUAUUCUUUACUUACCUCUAUGUAAACUUGUAAGGCUUUAAAUCGAUGAGCACUAUUAGUUAGCCAUCCAAUGCCACCAAGGUCAUCAUAUCAAGACUACUCUCUUCACCAAGAUAUGCCAAUAUCGGCGCCGCCAUGGCUCUGCCACCGCCCCAAUGCUUGAAGUUCAACGCAUAUCUAUGAGGAAAAGUUAAAUAACUUUGUGGAUUAUAGUUAAAGUGAUCAAGUGUUUGAUAAUAAUAGUAAGUUUCGAGAUCAUAAUAGUAACUUUGUGGAUUUUUUUGCUAGGGUUUUGAAAAAUAGUCCUUCCACGAACAGCACCAAGCUUUGGGAUGUUCUUUAAUGGUGAAGUGGAAGCAAAAGCAAAAUUUGUGAGGAGAAGAAGAAAAAGGCAUGGAAGCCACCGACCUUUCAUGGCAAAGUUGUAAAUCCUUAAUUAGCAGGAUGAUUAUGUAAAUACAGAAGAAAUAGAGUUAAGAUUAGAUUAUAAAUUCAGCUUCAAAAUCGACGUGUUUGUUAAUAUAUCCUGGAUUUGUUGUUAUCGUAUAAUUUAAUUAAUGUUGGUUUUAGUUUUAUAUUAGUAUGGAUCUUCAUUUUUCAUAAAAUUAUAGUGUGUCGAAUAUAUAGUUAUCGGUUUCGUAAUUAAUAAAAAUUUUUAUUAUUUCUUUCCUAGUAAUUAAUUAUCUUGUGCUUACCAGAAUAUCACUAACCACAACUUCUGCAGAAGCUUCCUCACCUUCGGAUGACAUCAGCGGUGCGUCCAGGAUGUUUGAUCGGAUCAGCUAAAUUAAAAAUUUAUUGUAUAUGUUUGUGUGAAUAUUUACAAAGGAGUGAAAAAAAACUAAUAUAUUGAAUAACGCGACAUCAAGAACUUCGUUCUGAAUGAAAUUUUUAUAUAUAAUUUGCAAAAUAAGCUAAUAAAUAGAAUGACAAUUUACCCUUUUUAACUUGUAGAGACACAACCUUAAAUUCCUUAAUAUGCUGGUUAAUUCAGAUCAUUGAGAUGGAGACAAUUAGACAAACCUUAUUUUAUCAGAGUGAACUGCGAAAGUACUAGCUUUACAAAAGAGACUAAUGUCGUAGUGUGAAUGGAAUUAAAAAAUACUAAGGCAGACAAUUCGUCGAACACAUAAUAUUUGCUACAUUGCUACUACCUAAUAAUUUCACAACCAAUUAACAGUCUCCUUUAUUGGAAAAAUCACAUUAAUCAACCAAAUACAUUUCUUGGUUUCUAAGCUCCAAAAUUGAAAUUUCAUGAAAAGGUUUCUGCAUUGGUGUCUUAUUGCGAGCGAUAAAUUCGUUGGACACGAGUUGCAUUGUAGGUCGAGACUUUGGUUGAGAACGCAAGCAUGAAAAUACUACUGUUGAAACAAGAAUGAUAUCCUGCCUAAUCAUUUGAUCCCCCGGAGGCGGGAGGCGUGGGUCCAACAAAUCAAUCAGCUUUAUAUUUUUAUCCAAUGACGAAGAUGACGAUGAGAGGAGCUCUCCUGGAUGCUUUCCCAUUAGUACUUCUAGUGCCACUACUCCGAAGCUAUAAACAUCAGAUUUCUCUGUCACAACCAUGGUGUAGGCACGUUGUAUAGGAAAACGGAAGUCUUUAUUAGUAAUGUUUCCAUAAACAAUAACAAGCACAAUUUGUUCAUGUUUUUUAGCUUCUUUAGCAAGGUAUGACAGAGAAGCAUAUGUUCUAACUGAUAUUCAGUGUAUGUGUGUUUUGAAAGGUAAAGGGAUAGGUAAAGUCUAAAUUCAGUUAUAGCUCCUUAGUUUUUUCAAAAUUCGAACCCAAGUAGCGAGCUAAAUAAAGCUGGUUAAAAACUACUUAGCAGAGUAUAUAUAAAAAUUAAAUAAGAGGAUAACUAAAGAAGCAUAAGAGGAAUAGCUAGAAGAUGACCUGGAGCAAUAUAUCCAUAAGUGCCAGCUAACAGAGUUCGAUUGGAUGAGUCAAAAUUUAACAAUCUAGCAAUACCAAAGUCAGCAACAAAAGCUUCGAAUUCUGAGUUGAGUAGAAUGUUGUUGCUUGAUAUGUCGCGGUGAACAAUUGGUGGUGUGCAGUGAUGAUGCAAGUAUGACAAAGCAUGAGCCAUACCCUUCACAAUGUUCACCCUUUUAGUCCAAUCCAACCCAACAGCUUCCUCAUCUGUGCGUAGAAUACAGAACAAGCUUCCCAUUUCCAUGUACUCAUAGAUCAAGAACAUGCAGUUCUCGUGCAAACAAAAGCCGUAAAGCUUUACAAUAUUUCGAUGCCGUAUUUGGGACAGUAGACGAGCCUCAUUCCGGAAACUCUCGAGGGAAGCUAACUCCUCAGUUUCUGAACGGUGAAGCUUCUUCAAAGCAACCACUUUUCCACUGGGCAGCCGUGCUCUGUAAACGCUGCCGUAGCCUCCGGUUCCAAUGCAGUAUUUGAUAUCGAAAUCCUCAGUGGCUUCAAUCAUGUCUUGAAAUGUAAUUCUACCAUCGUAAUUCCAAAUUGCAAACUCAUCAGCGCACUUGGUAAUUUCUCCUGUCCCAGUUGGUUCAACUUCCUUAUCCCUUCGUCUACGGAUAAUCAAGAUUCCAAAUAUCAAGGCAAGGAAUGCGACCAUAGCAAGAAUAAUUGCAACCAAGCGAGUGGCAAUUGUUUUGUGAUGUGGCGGUGGCGCAUUUGCCAAAGUAGUUGAGAUUUCUCCUCCCAAUUUAUUGCCUGACACAUCUAAGUGUGGCACUUUUCUGACAAAUACAGGGAUUCCACCGGAAAGGUUAUUCAUGGAAAGGUCCACAGUGUCUAUGCGUGGAAAUUCUCCAAGUUGGGAAGGUAUUUUACCAUUAAUGAAGUUACCGCUUAGAUCAAGAUAAUAUAGUUCUUGAAGUUUGCCGAUCUGUGACGGAAUGCUUCCGCUUAACAAGUUGUUUCCCAAUUUUAAUAUCCUCAGCUUUGAGCAAUUCAUGAGUUCUGGAGGAAUUGGGCCAUCAAGUUUGUUGUUGUACAUAUUCAAAGUAGUUAAUUGAGUCAAAUGACCCAGAGACGAAGGGAUUGGGCCAACAAGUUUGUUUUGGGACAAGUCUACACUUCUCAACCACUUUAAAUGGCCAAGUGUUGUAGGAAUUGAACCUCCAAUUUCAUUUCUGGACAGGUCAAGAGCUUGAAGAACCUUCAAACUCCCGAUUCCUAAUGGGAUGGAACCAUUCAUUUGGUUUGAGGCAAUAGCCAAAGUAGUUAGCUGGGUUAGAUGACCUACAUUGGAUGGGAUAUUACCGACAAGGGAGUUAAAAGACAAGUUCAAAAUUUUCAAUUUGCUUAGACCACAAAGAGUUGGAGGGAUAUGUCCCAUGAGGUGAUUAUCAGAUAGAUCCAGGUGGACGAGAUUCCUUAAUCGCCUCAUCUCUAAAGGGAUAAUUCCUGUUGUGCAUGUGAUUUAUGAAAAACGAGAUCAGUAUUCACUAUCUUCAUUAAAAAAAAAUUACAUAGAGGGAGAGUCAAGCUCAAGUGCGGACGACUCACACUUCUUUAGUGUUGUAAAAACAGACGCCUGCUUUAAGCAGCAGCGCGAUUUUAUACAUACAUAUAUAUAUAUAUGGUGAAGUUUCACAGCUUACCGGUAAGGCCGUUGUAGGGCAGUUCAAGAGUUUGGAGCAUUGAAAGGGCAGUAAUUUCAGAUGGAAUGCGCCCAGAGAGAACAUAAUUUGUACGAAUUUUGAAAUUUCUGAGGUUCGGAAAGCAAGAGAAUUUGAAACAACCGAGCUCUCCUUUGAUGUUAUCAUUUUCAUACCAGAGUAAGCUGACCCCGAUUACGCUUCCCGCUGAAUUGCAACUGACGCCAGUCCACUUACAAUGAUCGGACGUGUAGUUGCCCGACGUCGCCCAAUUGUUGACCCACCAGCCGGUAGCAAGUAAAGCUUCCCUUUCUAACAGUAUGGGUGACGACAAUAAUCUUGCAGCUGAUGCCGUUACAGAUAUUGUCGUAUCACUUAUAGCACCAACAUUUAUUAAAAUUAAAAUGACCACCAAUCUCGAAACAGUGGAUGCUGCUGCCAUGUUUAUAAUGGUUUUCGGUUGAUUGAGCUGGCUAUUUGAUUCCUUGCAAAGCGUUUAUAUAAGAAUUAAUUGUUUUGCAAGCUCCCGGUGUUAACUUCCAAUACGCGUUUUCAAAUAGUGUGAGUCAAUGUCUUCUCUGGAUGGAUUCAAUCAUGGAGAUAUAACCUUAUCGGCUUGUAUUUGUGAGGUGUAGAUCUAUUUGAACAACUUUGCAGAAACAUGAGAUAAUAUGGACAAUAUUAGAAAUAAUCAAUAGCGCUAUUAAGAUAUUAAAUAUUACCCAAAAUAAUAAAGAAAAAAAAAAGCUCGAAGGAUUGUUGUUGUAAAAUAUGACUCAAAUAGAAAAAUAAACAAGACUAAUCAUAUCUUUGUAUAAAUUUAAGUAUAAAAAAAACUUGUAGGUGUAUUAUUAUAAUAAGCUGUAGAGAAAAGAAUUUGUAGACUUCUGUGAUUUGACAAAAUAAUAAAAUAAUCCCUUUAUUUUUUAAAAUAGUUACAAAACUCCUUUUGCAACAUGCAAACUAUAUGGAAAAUUGGAAAUUCAUGGGCUACCUAAUAUCCCUCUUAUUUUUUUAUUUUUUAUUUUACACCAAAACAUCAUAGACAAAAGAAGAUAAAAAUUUCAUUGCACUCAAUUUUUUUCAUGAAAUCAAACAAGGAAAAGAAGCAAAAAGUGUUGGAAAUAUAGCACAAGUUACUAUUUGAUGCGUGAUUUUGAGUGAGACUUAUCUGUUGUUUCAAAUAUUCCUCCGUAAAUACUUCAGAAUGAUUUUACCUAUAUAAUCAAAAUAACCCUUGGAUAAAUGAGAAAUUGUUACUCAAAGUAAAUUCAUGGAAUUGGAAAAGUAAAGGAAAUUAUAUUUGUCCCACAUGAAAAAGAUAGCAAAGGCAUGAAAGGUUUGUAUAUAAUUACUCAUGUGUGUAUAAGUAAAAUAUAAACCAAGACGCUCUCUCUUCCGUGCCCCAUCCUAAGUACACAAAUUCAAUGUGAUACGAUCCUAUAGUUUCCGUUCAAACCUAUGCACACUUUAAAAAAAGGUUUUUUUUAAUAUAUUUUUUAUGUAUUUUACAUUUUUUUUAAAAUUUAAUAAAUGCCAUAUUAUUUAAAUAUUUAAUUUUAAGGCAUCUUUUUUAAGUUGAGGGCAAGGAACCCCUCCGAUACGUAAUGCCGAAACAUGCUAAUCUAAUCACCUUGACUUUAAAGACUGCUUCCCCUAGUCAGCAAUUAUUUGGAACUUACGUCUUGACAUGUGCUGUGGAAAAUAAAGAAUGAAGUAGACUUAUUGAGUCAAGCUGUUUCUUCAAUCCAGAUAUUUAGUUUAUACGUGUGCAAAUAUUCAAUGCCUAACUUUAUUCUGCACAAAGCCUAAUGUCCUAUUUGGGAUAACGGUUGAAAUACUUAUAAGUUUUGAUAAAAAUGAUGUUUGAUAAAUUUGUUAAAAGUUUAAUUCAUAUUUUCUCCAUUUUGACAAUAACUCUUAAAAUAAGUAUGAGAUUGUCUUUUAUAAGCAACUUAUUAAAUAAAAUGCCAUUUUUUUAAAGUUUCUAUUAUAACUUUAAUAUUUUAAGAAAAGAAUAAGUGUAUCUUAUUUUUUAAAAAAUCCUAAUAUAUAAGUAAAAGACAAUUUAAACUUAUGUUUAUUUUAAUGAUUAUAUAAUAAAAUAUUAUUUUCGUAAUCAAAUUUACCAAACACUGAGUGAGCUACUUUUAUAAUCAUUAGAUAAUUCCAUUCACAUCGCAGAAGCAGCUUAUUUCAACAGCCACCAAAAUCUUAAACUGAUCCUAAGUCAUGUUCGGAAUUGCAUGGGAUUGUCAAAUAAUUAACAAAAGAAGCUAUUAUGUAGGAGAAUAGGAACAGGUUCACCUGGAGCAAUAUACUCAUAAGCUUGGCUACUAAUAAACGGAGCGUGUAAGGAUAAACACCUAAGUUUUGAGAGAUACAUGUAUCUGGAGGGCAAAUUCUUUUUCUCCCACCGGCUUCAAGGACCUAUACAGUAACUCCUAAAUCAAAGGGAGAAAAUGGUUAAUCCAAUGUGGUUGUGUAUGAAUUGAUAUUCACCGUAUGAUUAUUACAUAAAGAUUGAACCUUUGUACGUGCUUUAUAUUAAGUAAAACUGCACACUUGUUCUACACAUUUAGACAACCCAGAUUAAGAAUUAUGAAAAUGAAAUCUACAACUAGCUAGGUGCACUAUUAUUUAUCUUUGCUCCUUAAAUAUUAGAAAGAUAGAGGAGAGGGAGAAAAAGAAAAGACUAAUUUUGUAGUCCAAAUUUAAUCUUAUGCUCUGAUUUUGAAGCAAAUCAGCAGAGUAUUUGAGGAACCAAUCAUGAACCAUGUCCAUUUCAAUCUUUCGCUGCAUUACUAACCAUUCGGGGUCAUCUUCUGUUGCUGGCUGUAUGUCUAAGCAAUGGGAACCUGCUCCAAUUUACACACUAUUAAUUAUGUUAUCCAAUAAUUUAGUUAAUAAUUGAACACUAAUUUUUUAUUUUAUAGAAAAAGUUACAUACUGUUUUUUGUUGUCACUGCUAUUAUAUUGUUUGAUAUAUUUUCCAGAACCCUAUAAUCCCAAACAAAGAAAGAAAAAGAAAAAGGUAUAUAAUAAAACGGGUAACUUCAAUAGAAAAGAAUAUCCAAAAUUCUUAAGCUAAAUUACCCAGCGCUGCUACAGGGAUCGCGGUGGCCAUUAGAGAAAACAAUGUUGCUACCAAAUCUCUUUAAAACCACUCUUAUAUCCUGCAAAUUAAAAAGAAAUAAAAAUCAAACUCAAGAACGAGGUGAAGUUUUUAAUUUAAAAAAGGAAAGAAAAAGAGAAAAUUAAAAGAAUUAAUUUGGGGAUUAAUUGACACUUACAUGACCACCAUAAUAAGUUGUAAUCCAAUGUGGUCUUGGAACCACUCCAAAAGACUUAUUGCAUGAAUCCAUAUAUUCUGUCAGAUAAAAUGGGUAUGCUUGAAACAUUGUUUCCUUUUGGCCAAUUCCAAUUGGUGAGACCAUUUCACUGCAUGUCUACAUGAGAAACCCCCUAUAUUAAUAAUAAUAAUAAUAAGAUAAAGAAGAAAAAUAUUUUUAAUCAUUCAUAAAUAUAUAGUGUUAGAGUGCAAUUUAUGCACUAGUUUUGCAUUGUUUACUUCCCUUAAUAUCGAUGUUUUGCACUUAAUAAUAGUGAUUUACUUGUGUUUUACUUUUGUGGGUGCAGUUCUAUUGAUUUGUGAUAAAAUUGAGCUAUAAGAUGUUGUUUAAAGAUGAUUGUUCUCUUGGAGAAAUUUAGAGCGUCAGAAGAACUUUGUUGAUAAGGCGUGGGCGCGUGCUGUCAACUGCGGGCCUGCAGUUUUUAGUUUAACAUGUUUUGUAUUUUUGGUUAUUUUGUAAUUACGAAUUUAAUAUUUCAGUUAUUAGUAUUUUAUUUUAAAUAGAAUUCUAAAAGAGAAGAGAGAGAGAGUAUUUAAGGGAGGAAUCUAUUGUGAAAAAGGAGACUUUUGGAGAAGAGAAAGAAACCUUAGGUCUAAACUUUUCUCUUCUCUCUAUGAAGCACUAAACCUAUUUUUCUGGUUGAAGGAUAAUGAAGCUUUGAUUCAUCACUACUGUGAGAUCUAUUUUAUGCUUUAAUUGUUUUAUUGCUUUUUGGGUAUUUGUUUAUUCUCUGAAUUAUUUUCAUGAUUAUGUUUGUUAAUUAGGUAAUUGGCCACUAUUUAAUUAUCAACUUAAUCUAUUAUUAAUUAAAGGAUUCAUCGUAUGAAAAUUUUAAUGUUUGUGACAAAUAACAUACCAAUGAGUUGUGUUAUGAGAAUAAACAAUCUAAUUUAAAUGAAUCAUCGUAUGUGUUGAUUAGGAUUUGGGUCUCUCUGGUCUUUCAGGCUAUCAAUUGAUUAAAUCCUAUGAUCGUAUCUAGGAUUGUCUAUUGAUUAGGGAAAUAGCCAACGGUCGUACCUUGGUUAUCGACUAGUUAAGGAGAGAUUGGCUAUUAGAGGGUCUCAGUAGCUAUAACCGGUCUAUUCAUAAGUAAUAAUAAUCUAUAUUUGAAUCAAUGAUCAGUAAUCGAAUCUAGCUGAAUUAAUUCCUUCAACCAGAGCUUUCUCCAAUUUGAAUUACAACUUUAAUUUGCAUUCUUGUUAUUUUAAUUUGAUUUUUAUUAUUGUCAACAAAACCCCCAUUUUAUGUUUUACGUUUUAAAAGGAUUUAAAUAAUUACCGAUCUCUGUGGACACGACCCUGCUCAAUCACUAUACACAAUUUAUUUAGAGUAGGAAUUUAUUUUUGUUGGCUUCGACAACCAUCGUAUAGUCAUAUAAAUAAAAUUAAGAGAUGUACAUAAAAUAGGUAUUGUUAGGCGAAAGACUAAUUCAUUGCGACAUGUUGUUUAUUUGAUGGUCUCAAUGGAACUAUCCAAUGAAAUCACGUCAUCUGUAAUCGCACUUGAGCAGAGUUGAAAUAUCCACUAAGAGUUGCAUUCUGUAGGGCAUCUUUACAUGAUACAAAAGGCACCGAUUUUCCAUAGAACUGAUGCUGCACAAAAAAUCAAAUUAAAAAAUAUAUAUAUAUCACAACUUUUUAGUUGAUAUUAUAGAUUAAAUUUAUCUUUAUUAUUAUUGUUUCGCGUUCGAACUCUGUUUCAAUUAUUAUCAAAUUCUUUACUUACCUCUAUGUAAACUUGUAAGCCUUUAAAUCGAUGAGCAUUAUCAGUAACCUGGAUUUGUAUGUUAUUAGGAGGUCGUUGCUUAGAGAUUCCCAUGUCCACUCUUAGUGCCAAAAGACUUGGUCUUGAUGCACAGGUGACAAGUUUGUUGGGGAGUACAUUUGGACUCGCUAUCUUGAUUUAGUUCCAAACAUCAUAGCAUUUGGUUAUUUAUGUUGGUCAAAGUUCGCAAGUUCAGUUUGCGUGGUCAACUCAAGUAGACGAGAGAGUUGUGCAACUCUUGACCAUGCGUGCAAAUGCCAAUGUAUGUGGCUUUAAAAUUUGGCAGUGAGGACGUAUGAUCCCCCACAGCCUGGAAUCAAUGUGUGUCUGAAACCUUUUUUGAACGAAAACACGGAGCAAAUGUGAGCUUCUCGCAGGCUAAGGUUCCAAGAGAGGUUACAUAUGUUUACCAUGAAGUGUCAUAUGAACUUGUACAGAUUGAUUUCCGAUGUUUCUUUUUCCCGGUAAUUUCUUAUUUUAAAUCUUAUUGCUUGUCUUUGUGUAUGUGCGUUGGGCUGGAGGCUCCAUUGAAAUGGUGUUUCCUCAAAUUAUGAAUUAUAAUGCUCGUAAGUGUUAAUAUCAUCUCUUCUAGUCCAGCUUAUUAAGAAAGUCUUUCAGAAUCCUAUUCAAACAUAUUCCUUUUUUUUUUGUUUUUUGGAAGGAAAGAUUUUCUUGCUGGAAAUGUUGUUAAUUAACAAGGAUUCUGGUUGUAUUAACUAUUUUGUAAACAAAUUCUUUCAUCUGUACUACAAUAGCAGAUGACGGAGCUCACUGGGAAUAUUUUAUAUUUUUACCAUUGAUGUGAUAACUAAUAUAAGGCAUAAUGGUUUCUGUACCAUUUCCAGCCUCAGCCUGAUUCCAAUACUUGUGGAUCAAAGCAGAAAGUUGCCACACCACCUGUAGGUCCUGGAGAGCUUCCUUCAACGGGUUCAAACAAACCCAAGGAGUGGAGUUGUGCCCUCUGUCGGGUCAGUGCUACUACCGAGAGAGGUCUAGAUGAGCAUCUUCAAGGUAGGAAGCACAAGGCCAGGGUUUCAGGACUAAUUAGAGAUAAGAAAAUGUGCAGUAACUCCACUUCAUCCACGUCAAAAAAAUCUACUGAAAGCAGAGAUGGUGUUGGCCAAGAAAUGAAGACUAAAGUACAAGAGGAAUCAGUUAAAGCUAAUAAAACUGUUGUUGGUCUAGACCAGAAAGGGGAGGUUGGUCUAGAUGAGCAUCCUCAAGGUAAGAAGCAGAAGGCCAAGGAAGAAGAACUACUUGGAGCUCAGAAGUGGAUAAAAAAUCUAAUGAAAGCAGAGAUAGUGCUGGCCAAGAAAUGAAGACUAAAGUAGCAGAGGAAUCAGUUAAAGCUAAUAGAACUGUUGUUGGUUUAGACCAGAAAGAGGAGGGUUGUCAAGCCCUGCAGGUUAAGCCCUAUCCCAACCUUUGUGGAUCAAAGCAGGAAGCUGCCACACUACCUGCAGGUUCUGGUGAGCUCCCUUUGACCAGUUCAAGGAAACCCAUGGAUUAAAGCUGUGCCCUCUGUCAGGUCAGCACUACUCACAACAGAGAUCCAGAUUAGCAUCUUCAAGGCAAGAAGCACUAGGCCAAGGAAGGAGGACUACUUGGAGAUGAGAAGAUGUGCAGUAACUCCACUUCCAGAAACUCUACUGAAAACAGAGAUAGUGCUGGCCAGGAAAUUAAGGCUACUCUAGAAGAGGAAUCAGUUACACCGAAUAAAAAUAUCGUUGAUUUAGACCAGAAAGUGGAGGGUGGUCAAGAUGAGCAUCUUCAAGGUGAGAAGCACAAGGCGGAGGAAGCGGAGCUAAUUGGAGCUCAGAAGAUGUGCACUACCUCAUCUUCAUCGACAUCAAAAGAUUCUGGAAAGACAAGUAGACCAGAAAGUGGGUUAAGACCAGAAAGUGCUGGCCAAGAAAUGAAAGCUAAAGUAGAAGAGGAAUCAGUUAAAGCUAUUAAAACUGUUGUUGGUUUAGACCAGAAAGUGCAGGGUGAAGAAGAUUCAGAGAACAAAAAUAAGGAGCUGCUAAAGAAGGACUUGAAUGCAAACACUCAGAAGAUGACAAAUGGAAUACCGACUGGAGAGACGAUGAAGAGAAAACUUCCCCUUAGAGAGAAUUUCGAAUUCUGGUGUGAAGUUUGUCGAGGAGCUCAGAAGAAAUGAAGAGAAACUUCAUAUAUGCAUGGUUAUGACAUUGGACUCUUCGGCUCAAAGCAAAUUUUUCUUGAUCAUGACCUGACAUUAGUUUAUCUUUUGCUGGCAGGUAGUUGGCGGGAUAUCACUAACCACAACUUAUGCAGAAGCUUCCUAACAUCAGCGGUGGGUCCAGGAUGUUUGAUCGGAUCAGCUAAAUUAUUGUAUAUGUUUGUGUGAAUAUUUACAAAGGAGUGAAAAAACUAAUAUAUUAAAUAUCAAGAACCUCGUUCUGAAUGAAGUUUAUAUAUAUAAUUUGUAAAAUAAACUAAUAAUUAAAAUGACAAUUUACCCUUUUAACUCGUAGAGAUACAACCUUAAAUAAUAACAAGAGAGGAGCUCUCCAGGAUGCUUGUAGUGUCUAAAAAAUUAUCAUCAAUGAAAAUGGGAAUGGGAGGGCGUGGUGGGGUUGAUGAUCUAAGACUCUUUGCUCAUCACUGGUGGCCGUAAUAAUGGGGGCUUGGAGCACCUUCACUUCAACCCCCAGCAGCUCCUCGGCCUUUACCACUCAAUGAGCAAACCCUCUGGCGGCAGCAGCAUCUCCUGUGGCUAUCAUUGUUGCUGAACGAUAAAUUUGUGCUGCCCCUGAGAAGCUGAAAUUGCAAGAACAAGGCAGCAACUCAAAAACCAGCAAUCUUUUAAAUGUAAGCAAGCAUAAUAAUUAUUCAUAAAACGUUGAAACACAAAGUCCUGCUAGAUUCAAAAUUUAGAAGACUCGUGAUACAAUAAGAACUUAAAGUGUAUAUACGAUUAUGCAUUACAAGUGAAGUUGCAUGCUAUAUGAAGUUUUAAAAUAUGUCUCACUUUUCAAUGAUUUCUGGUAAAUCGCUAAUCCGAUAAUAUCAAAUAUCCUUCAUAAUCUUCAUCUUCCUCUUCUUCGUCGUCAUCGUCUUCUUUAGAUAUUUUUCCUCCUUCAACACCGUUAACCAUAUUUUUCAACUGCAAUGUCAGUUUGGAAGUAAUAUUUAUGAAGUUCAACAAGUUUCAAAUUUUGAUAUUGUUUGAAAUGUGAAUGAUAAGUACAACUUCUACCAUUAUUUAUAGAAAAAUAUGCAAUAUUGGCUUUGAGGAAAUAUAAUAAAGUUUACAAUUAAGAAAGGUGUAAUCCUAAAUCUCGAAAAAUCUGAUACUAAAUCUUAAAAUGUAAAUAUUUAAAUCCCGAAGAAUCCGAUGCAUAUUCUAACAGAUAGUGUUAUAAUUGUUGGAUUUACAUGGAGUCUAAUUAUAGUAUUAACGUUAGUACUCGAAUUCUCAUAUGAUCUAAACUUCUCUUGAGUAAAACUCACAUGGGAGAUUUGUGAUCCAUAAAUAAUUAUAUAAAAAAAAGAUAGUAAUUAAAUCAUAAUCGGGAGCGCUUAGAUCUUUUUUAUUUUUACUAUGAAGAGCUCAAUCGGGAGAAAAUUUAAAUUUUUAAGGGGAAAAAGCAACCCACACUCCCGAAGUUUGCUUAAAUAGUCACACAAACCCCCUUAAUUUCAUAAAUGAUGGAUUGCAUACCAUUAAGUCUAAAUUUCAUAAAUACUGUAAUAUUUUUAUCUAAUGAUGAAGAUAACGAUGAGAGGAGCUCUCUAGGAUGCUUUCCCAUUAGUACUUCUAGUGCCACCACUCCAAAGCUAUAAACAUCAGAUUUCUCCGUCACAACCAUGGUGUAGGCAAGUUCUGUAUGAAAACAGAAGCCUUUAUUAGUGAUGUUUCCUAAAUAAUAACAAGAGCAAUUUGUUUAUAUCUUUGAGCUUCUGCAGCAAGGUAUGACAGAGAACCAUAUGUUUUUAACUGAUAUUUAAAGUGUAUUUUUUUUUUAAAAAAAAGUGAAACUGGUAGGCAAAGUUCAAAUUCAUUUUUCCAGCUCUUUACCUAUUCAAAAAUUUGAACCUAAGUAGCUAAUUAAAUAAAACUGCUUAAAAAUUACUUAACCGAGUAUAUACAAAAAUUAAUUAAAAGAAUAAUUAAAGAAGCAGAAGAAGAAUAGCUAGAAGAUUACCAGGAGCAAUAUAUCCAUAAGUGCCAGCCAAUAGAGUUCGAUUGGAUGAGUCAAAAUUUAAUAAUCUAGCAACGCCAAAGUCAGCAACAAAUGCUUCUAAUUCUGAGUUGAGUAGAACGUUGUUGCUUGAUAUGUCGCGGUGAACAAUUGGUGGUGUGCAGUCAUGAUGCAAGUAUGACAAAGCAUGAGCCAUGCCCUUCACACCGUUCACCCUUUUAGUCCAAUCCAACCCAACAGCUUCCUCAUCUAUGCGUAGAAUACAUAACAAGCUUCCCAUUUCCAUGUACUCAUAGAUCAAGAACACGCAGUUCUCGUGCAAACAAAAGCCGUAAAGCUUUACGAUAUUUCGAUGCCGUAUUUGGGACAGUAGACGAGCCUCAUUCCGGAAACUCUCGAGGGAAGCUAACUCCUCAGUUUCUGAACGGUGAAGCUUCUUCAAAGCAACCACUUUUCCACUGGGCAGCCGUGCUCUGUAAACGCUGCCGUAGCCUCCGGUUCCAAUGCAGUAUUUGAUAUGGAAAUCCUCAGUAGCUUCAAUCAUGUCUUGAAAUGUAAUUCUACCGUCGUAAUUCCAAAUUGCAAACUCAUCAGCGCACUUGGUGAUUUCUUCUGUCUCAGCUGGUUCAACUCUCUUAUCCCUUCGUCUACGGACAAACAAGAUUCCAAAUAUCAAGGCAAGGAAUGCGACCAUAGGGAGAAUAAUUGCAACCAAGCGAGUGACAAUCUUUUUGUGAUGUGGCGGUGGCGAAUUUGCCGAAGUAUUUGGGAUUUCUACCUCGAAAUUGUUGCCUGACACAUAUAAGAGAGGCACUUUUUUGACAGAUUCAGGGAUGCUACCGGAAAGGCUAUUCAUGGAAAGGUUCACGGUAUCUAUGCGUCGAAUUUCUCCAAGCUGGGAAGGUAUUUUACCAUUAAUCAAGUUAUGGCUUAAAUCAAGAUAAUUUAGUUCUUGAAGUUUGCCAAUCUCUGACGGAAUGCUUCCGCUUAACAAGUUGUUUCCCAAUAUUAAUAUCCGCAGCUUUGAGCAAUUCAUGAGUUCUGGAGGAAUUGGACCAUCAAGUUUGUUGUUGUACAUAUUUAAAGUAGUUAGCUGAGUCAAAUGACCCAGGGACGACGGGAUUGGACCAACAAGUUUGUUUUCGGACAAUUCUAAAUCUGUCAACCUAUUUAAAUGACCAAGUGUUAAAGGAAUAGAUCCAGUUAGAUUGUUAUAUUCCAGGGACAGAGAUGUCAAGUUGACUAAACCAGCUAUGGUGGAAGGAAUUGGACCUUCAAGUUUGUUGUCGGACAGGUCAAGAACUUGAAGAAAGUUCAAAUUCCCGAUUUCUAAUGGGAUGGAACCAUUGAUUAGGUUUGAGUGCAUAUAAAAAGUAGUUAGCUGAGUCAAAUGACCUACAGACGAAGGGAUUGGGCCAACAAGUUUGUUCUGGGACAAGUCUAAACUUCUCAACCUCUUUAAAUGGCCAAGUGUUUGAAGGAAUUGAACCUCCAAUUUCAUUUCAGGACAGGUCAAGAACUUGAAGAAAGUUCAAAUUCCCGAUUUCUAAUGGGAUGGAAACAUCAAUGUGGUUUGAGGCAAUAGCCAAAGUAGUUAGAUGGGUUAGAUGACCUACAAUGGAGGGGAUAUUACCAACAAGGGAGUUAGAAGACAAGUGCAAAUUUUCCAAUUUGCUUAGACGACCAAGAGUUGGAGGGAUAUAUCCCCAGAGGAAAUUAUCAGAUAGAUCCAGGUGGACGAGAUUCCUCCAUCUCCCCAUCUCUGAAGGGAUAAUUCCUGUUGCGCAUGUGAUUUAUGAAAAACGAGAUCAGUAUUCACUAUCCUCAUAGAAAUAAAAUUUAUAAAGAAAUGCUUAGGUUGUAAAAAUUAAUAGAUUUUUUAGUGCUCUAAUAGUUUUUUUUUUCUUAUUUUUUGUUGGGGCUCGUCAAUGCUGCAAAUUUUAGACUGAAAGUUAAAUCUGCAGAUGCAACAAAUAUAUCAAUAAAUUAAUACAAAACUAUGGAGAUUAGAGAGAAUCACUCUCAGUGCUCUCAAUUGACUACCCUAUUGUUGUGCAAAUUUUAAUGAACUCGCAAGCGCACGAAUCUAUUGUAGUAUAGACUAAUGGUGACGAGUGUCGAUCCCACGAGGAGGUGGAUUUUAAUUAUAUAUAGAAUUAAUUUUGUAAAUGGGUGGUUGGAAUUGUGGUGGAAGUGAUUUAAAUUAUCCUAAAAUUGGAAUUGAAAUGGCGAUAAUAAAUUCUAAAAUUGGACUUGCAAUGGCGAGAAUAAAUUGAAGAGAAAUCUAUUAAAAUGACUUAUUUGGGUAUCUGGAUCCGUAUCAACAUGCAUCAUGGGCUAAAUAUUCCUUAUUAAUGCCAAUUAAAUCAUGAGGGGGGAAUCCACACCUCAUGAACCACGCUCUAAUCAAUAUGGUGCUAAGGGCUUAUCGUGCCAAAUAAUAAUAACCUUGUACUAGAGGGCCGGUGAAACCAAGGCGGUACUAGACAAGAUUAGUAUUAUUUGUCGACGAGAAGUCAAAACAUCCACAAAAACUAGAGGGGAAGAGAAAAUAAAUUUACCAAAUUAAGCCCAUGACACAUGUUGAGACUUCACCUUCAACCCAAGCUUGAAAGAAAAUUAGCCACUCAUAAUUGAACUAGGGGCAAAAUGAGAAUUUAUUAAAAUACGAAGAAAAUACAAGAUAAAGAAGGAAUUACAGAAAAUAAAGUCCAAAAAUGGAUUCAGCGAUAUCAAAUUAGGGGGGGGAGGCCCCCUUUUUAUAGAUACAUGGAGUAAAUUAUGGCCAUCGGAUUAAAAACAGUUUGGACGCUCAGGAUUACGCCACGUCAUCAGUCAACAGUCCACGGUUUGACCACGUGGAUGAACAGUAAUACGGUUUGACUCGGAUGAACAGUAACGCGGUUUGGUUGAAAAUAAUCCUGUGUGAUGCAUGUACCGUACGCGAGAUUUUUCGUCCACUGAUAUGCUGCCACGUCACCAUCAACAGUACAUAAGAAUUUUAGCCCAACAGGAUCGUGACACCUCAUCAGUCAAUGCCACAUCAUCAUCUGUCUAUGUGAACAGUGUCGUGAACAGUAACGUAUAUACAGUACCGUACACGUGAAUAGUACCGUACAUGUGAUCAGUGCCAUUUUUCUUUUUAUGCUUCUCCUAAGGUUUUCGACCGUCCUGAGUUCAAAAGUGAUGUCCGUUUUGCCAUCUGAUUUCUCGUUUAUUGUGAAAUGACUAUGAUGCCCCUAAAAUACAUAAAAUACUUAAUUAAAAUAAAACACAUGUAAUUAAAUCACAAGAAAGUUAAAUACAUAAAAGUAAGGGUUGUUAAUAAGACUUGAAAUGUAAAAUGACGGUUUUCUCCUUUAUAAAUAUGCAUUUUCUAACACUCAACACACCCCCCAACCAGUUUAUUGCUAGUCCCUAGCAAAUAAAGCGAAAACAAAAAAAAUAAUUUUUUUUAAUAGAAACACUCAUAUUUAUUCCAUCAGAUUAAUGAUAGCAAUUAAAUAAAAGUAUAAGCAUUAUCUCCAGUCUAAAGCAACAUCACACCCACAUCAACCAUCCACAUGAAUCAGCCCAGUAGACUUUGUCAUAGCUACUUUCAAGAAUGACAUGUCAAACCCCAAACUGGAAGUAGUGACACUCUCACAAAGAAAUUAAAACCAAUAAAAAUAGUCACUCCAAUGAAUGGUAAUUGAGAGAGAAAAUAAUAAAGAAGUGAUAUCACAUGCUCUCACCAAAAUGAAAUAAAUAUGCCCUCAGCUUAGAAAUAAUACGAUCUCAAGUCAAAUAAAAAUGCUAGUUAACCCAAUUUAUUUGUCUUAUUUAUUUAUUUAUUUAUUUUUAUUAUGCAGCACUACAUCUUUUUAGCUCAUAUAACUAGCUUCUACUUCAGACUAUAGUUCCCUAAACUCAAGAAGGACUUUUAUUAGGACGUACCGUAGGUUAGGGACAUGGUUAACAAAGAAGGGAAAUAAGGAAAAUAAAGUGUAUGUUUGAGAAAAAAAAAUUGCAGGGAUUUUUUUUUUUUUGGAAGUUGCAAGGUGGAUUUCACCUAUUGUUGUUAUUUUUUUAUUUUUUAUUUUUCUUUUGAAACAACAAUUUUUGUUUUUUUGUUUUUUGUUUUUUUUUUACUUUUAUUUGGCAUAACUUCACUGAACAAAAAUACUUAUUUACAUUUUUCUCAAACAUAAAUAGGUGAUGGAACUUAUAAGACAUUGGGUAAUACUCCAAAUCGGAGUGGGUCAAGAUAAGUUAAACAAAUAAAAGGUUUUUUUUUUUUUUAAAAAAAGGCUCAAAAUGGUUAACUAUGGAUAUUUCACAAAAGGGAUGGCUAGAAAGGCUCAAACGGAUCAAAGAUGGCCUUUCCAUCGUCUUUUAGGGCUCUAAAUAAUCAUCCAUAUCUACUAGUUAGAUGGGCCUCCCAAUGUAGCAACAUACAUUUUUUUUUCUUUUUCUUUUUUUUUUAUUUUACCAUUUUUUUUAAGGGUUAACUCAAAAGAAAUCUAGAGAUCGUGUAUAAAAUAAUAAACUGCUAAGCUGUAUAGAGAAUGGGCAAAAGGGUUACUCUCCAAGAAAAUGAUAGGCUCAACAACUCACUUGGCAUUUAUUUAUAGCAUGUUCAUUCCUUCAAGCAACUUAUAUUUGUCUCCGACAUCAACAUGUAAAGUAGCAAACAUAGCGUAACAUCACUUAAGACUAAAGAUAAUACAAAUACUAAAAUUUGAAAUUAAUCAUGUCAUCCAAUGUUAAAACAAAUCACACAAAUUAUUAUUAUUAUUUUUUAAACAACAUUCUACCCCCCAACCUAUUCUAAGCAUGAAAGGAAAAUAUGCAUGCAGAAAUGUGAAUAUGAUGCAGAAAAACUAAUUAGAAAAGUUACACUUAAAAUGAUGGAAAACCAAAAUGAUUUUUUUUUUAAAGAAGAUGCGUUUCUAGAGGAACUACACUCCAUAUUCAGCCAUCUUCGACUCACAAGUUGGAAAAUGUAUAUUUAUAGAGGAGAAAUUAAAAAGAAGAAAAAUAAACAUAAAAACAUAAUACAGAAAAAGAAAAUGUCUGAAAUUUUUUUAAUUUUUUUUUAAUUUCUUUAACGAUGAAGAUGCGUUUCUAGAGUAACUAUACUCCAUAUUCAGCCAUCUUCAACACAAAAAGUUAGCAACAGUUAGUUUCUACAACAAAAAAUUAGUAAAAACUUAACCAAAAUUCCACAUUUGUCGACUAUUCCCUCCCCCCAACCAGAACGAAACAUUAUCCUCAAUGUUUUAAAGGAAAGAAGUAGAGUUUAGAAGACAUCACCUGGGUGGUGCAACACAGAAGAAAAUAUUUAUAGGCGGAGAGUUAAAUCUAAUUUUUACUUCUUACUGCGGCUACUGUUACCAUCAUUAUUUGGAGGCUCCAACCCCAACACAAAGGUCUAGGGGUCUGGGUCCGGUUUAUAAGCUUGUAACAGAUCAAGUAGCUCAUUAGCAGUGUGAGCACAAAUAAAGAGUUUUUUCGCAUUAGGGGGAAUGAAAUAGUUUUUUAUUGCAUGGUUAAGAAAUGCGAUAAAGCCAUCAUAAAAGUUAUUGACAUUUAACAAACCGAUGGGUUUCUGGUGGAUGUACAGAUGGGCCCAAGAUGCUAGUGUGAUAAGUGCCUCUAGUGUUGCAAGAUCUCCUGGAAGGAAAAUAAAAGCAUCAGCAUGAUUAAGCAUUUCAGUUAUUCUUUCUUGCAUACCUGAGACGACUAACUCUUCUCCAGUUGAUGAGUCAAACGAACUACCCAAAGGUUUUAGGGCUCUUGGGAUGAUGCCUAACACUUGGCUGCCUCUGAUAAAAGCUGCUUCUGAGACCAUUUUUGUUAACCCUCGAUUACCUCCUCCAUACACCAAGUGUAAUUUUCUCGCUGCUAUGCUGCGACCAAGAUCUAUGGCUGCCUCAACAAACUCUUUAUGUUUGCCAUAUGAAAAUCCAGAAAGCACACAAAUGUUCUUGAAUUGUCUAUUUGGAGUAGCUGCCAUUGGGAUACUUCUCAAAAAAUAAUUUGUUAGUGCUUGACAAAAAAAAUCACAUUUAAGAGUCUUGGUGACAAUGGGUCACAGUUGUGUAUGAGGUAACAUGUCAGUGUCAAAUAACGCGUAAAGCACGUGGCUCGCGAGUCAAAAAGGAAACAGUAAAAAGGGAAAAAGAAAACAAUAAUAAGGAAAAAGCAAACAGUAAUAAAAUUAUUAAAGACAAUAAUGCACACAGUAAAACAAUAGUGAAAUAAAAUAACAGUAAAGUGAAAGGAUAUUUACAGGUAGUUGCGACUGUGGCUCACAUCUUCCUCUGGUUUUACGUCCAGAAACGGCUUGAACGCCCUCUAUGGGUCGAGGAUAGGCUUCAUAUCCAGUUUUCUUAUAAAUUGGCAAACAGGGUCGUUUAUAGUCAGAUUCCCGAGACUAUAUCGUGCAUGCUCUUUCUGGAAUAAUGGCCAUAACUGGAGAAUCGCUCCUUGCACAUAUCCACUGGGAUGCGUUUCAAGAGGCAAAAGGAUAUCAUCCAAUGACUCCUUAUUCAAGCCAUCCUUAAUGAAUUGAAUCUUAUCUUCCCUGUUAUCAGACAUCAUUCCUAAAGAACAUGGGUUUUUAUUGCAACUCAUUCUGGCACACUUAUGACAAGCAACAGAAAUUCUUCGAGCUCGUCAUUUUCUUGCAUAAUUUCCUUUACCACAACCAGGCAUGUAUGUAAUAAAUUUUGGAGGUAACUCACCUGUCGAUCGUACUUUAGCCUCGAUUAACCAACGGAUGUCAGCAGGUAUGUUAUUCCUCAAGAGUAAUCGGAUGCGUUCGGACCGAACUUUAUAGAUCGUAAGGAGGGCACUCUGACGAAGUAAAGGGAAUCGCUUGUGAAGCUUCGCUAGAAUCUCGUUUCUGUCCAUACUUUCGCCUCAGAAUAUUAGUUAUUAUGGGAAACUGAAGUAACCGACUUGAUUGUCACGGAGUACCGUUAUCCGCCACUUCACCGGGGUAACAAACUAAAGCACACAAAUAGAAAAACAAAUUAAAACACACAAAGAAAAUUAAAAUCGUCCUCUUAUUGAAUUUACCUCAAGCUCCAACUGGAUGUCAUAAACACUUCUCUCAAUGUCUCUGAGUUGGCUUUCUAAACCCUCAACAUAGGCUACUAACUCUGGUGGUUGUAGAGUCCAAAUACGAUGUGUUUUACAAAAUUGAAUCUGUCUUUUGAGAUGAGUUUUGACACGUUAAAGUGGUUUAAGAAUGUUCAGGAGGAACGGUCUAAGUAUGAGACUCAUGAUUAACAAUGAUAAGAGAAAACUUACUAGUUAAACAAACACACUUAUGCAAAAAUAAUUUCAAUUAGCAAAAGAAUAAUAUAAAGAAAGAAAGAAAAAUCAAAUCAACGAAAAGAAAAAUCAAUUCAAAUCUGGUGGGUCACUCAAAUUUAUUUCGGUGUCUUCUCCAUGUGGUUGGUAUUCUAGAUAUGGUUUUAAUCUUUGACCAUUAACUUUAAACGUGACACCGUUCUUUGGGUCCUUAAUUUCAAUUGCCCUAUGUGGAAAAAUAGUAUGAACAAUAAAUGGGCCAGACCAACGAGAGCGUAACUUACCUGGGAAUAGGUGCAAACGAGAAUUGAAUAAAAGCACUUUCUGACCUGGAGUGAAAGAUUUUCUCAUAAUUUGCUUGUCAUGGAAGGCUUUCAUUCGUUGCUUGUAAAUCUUGGCAUUUUCGUACGCGUCAUUGCGAAUUUCUUCAAGUUCUGCCAGCUGUAAUCUUCUUUCUGAGCUGGCUUGCUGCAUGUCAAAAUUGAAUUUCUUGAUGGCCCAAUAUGCACGAUGCUCGAGUUCCACAGGUAGGUGGCAAGCUUUUCCAUACACUAGCCUGUAGGGUGACAUCCCAAUCGGGGUCUUGAAAGCCGUUCUAUAUGCCCAUAAUGCACCAUCAAGUCUUAAUGACCAAUCUUUCCUGUCUGGCCUCACUGUCUUUUCUAAUAUGUGCUUUAUUUCUCGAUUGGAAAUCUCAACUUGGGCACUGGUUUGCGGAUGAUACGGGGUCGCCACUUUGUGUGUGAUUGAAUACUUUGUCAAAAGAGCCUUGAAUGGUUUGUUACAAAAGUGGGCACCACCAUCACUGAUUAUUGCUCGAGGGAAUCCAAAGCGCGAAACAAUGUUGCUUUUCAAAAAUCCUAUCACCACCUUGUGAUCAUUGGUCCUACAUGAAAUUGCUUCUACCCAUUUCGAUAUGUAGUCAACAGCAACCAAUAUGUAUUGAUGGCCAAAAGAAUGGGGAAAGGGUCCCAUGAAGUCGAUACCCCAUACAUCAAAAAUCUCAACCACUAAAAUUGGAUUUAGUGGCAUCAUGUUCCUUCGUGUAAUGCUCCCCAUUCGUUGACACCUAUCACAUGAAGAACAAAAAGUGUAAGCAUCUUGAAAUAUAGUUGGCCAAUAAAAACCACAUUGUAAAACUUUAGUUGCUGUUUUCUUAGCACUGAAAUGGCCUCCACAAGCUUGUUCAUGGCAGAAUGAAAGAAUAUUCUGAAUUUCAUUUUCUGGGACAUAUCGUCUAACAAUUUGGUCUGCACAAUACUUGAACAAAUACGGGUCAUCCCAAAAGAAAUUCUUUAUCUCUGCAAAUAAUUUAGCCUUAUCUUGCUUGGUCCAAUGCUCUGGAAGUUUACCUGUAACAAGAUAAUUAACUAUAUCACCAUACCAAGGCAAUACUUCCGCACUCAUUAAUUGUUCAUCUGGAAAUGACUCAUUCAAUAUUAAUGGCUCUGUAAUUGUGUCAAAAUGGAGACGAGAGAGGUGGUCCGCCACAACAUUUUCUGUCCCUUUCUUAUCUUUGAAUUCCAAGUCAAAUUCCUGCAAAAGUAACACCCAAUGAAUUAGUCUGGCUUUUGCAUAUUUCUUUAUGAGAAGAUAUUUAAGAGCAGCAUGAUCCGUGAAUAUAAUUAUUUUACAACCAAUGAGAUAGGAUCGAAAUUUUUCCAAUGCAAACACUACUGCUAGCAUUUCUUUUUCAGUAGUUGAAUAAUUCAACUGGGCAUCAUUUAAUGUCAUACUAGCAUAGUAAAUAACGUGGGGAAUUCGAUCAACUCUUUGUCCUAAUACUGCUCCUACUGCAUAAUCAGAUGCAUCACACAUGAGCUCAAAUGGUAAGUUCCAGUUCGGGGACUGAAUGAUGGGUGAUGAUGUCAAUAAAUGCUUUAAUUUUUCAAACGCAACAAGACAUGAAUCAUCAAAGACAAAAGGUACAUCCUUAGCAAGUAGAUUGCAUAAGGGUCUAGAAACUUUGCUAAAAUCUUUAAUGAAACGUCUAUAGAAACCAGCAUGCCCAAGGAAAGAUCUUACUUCUCUGACUAUUUUGGGUGGAGGAAGAUUAGAAAUGAGAUCCACUUUAGCUUUGUCAACCUCAAUACCAUUGCUCGAAAUAAUGUGACCAAGAACAAUACCUUGUUUUACCAUAAAAUGGCACUUCUCCCAAUUUAAGAUCAAGUUCUUCUCAAUACAUCUCUGCAGAACUAGUGUUAGAUGAUGUAAACAUUGAUCAAACGAAUCACCAAAGACAGAAAAGUCAUCCAUAAAGACUUCAAGGAAUCGUUCAACCAUAUCAGAAAAAAUGCUCAACAUGCAUCGUUGAAAUGUAGCAGGUGCAUUACAUAAUCCAAAUGGCAUUCUCCUAUAUGCAAAAGUGCCAAAAGGGCAAGUGAAAGUGGUUUUCUCCUGAUCUUUUGGUGCUAUGGGGAUCUGAUUAUAUCCUGAGUAGCCAUCUAAAAAGCAAUAAAAUUCAUGACCUGCUAAUCUAUCAAGCAUUUGAUCAAUAAAUGGUAAAGGAAAAUGGUCUUUACGUGUGACAGAAUUCAACUUUCUAUAAUCAAUGCAUACACGCCAUUCUGUAGUUACUCUAGUUGGUAUCAAUUCAUUAUCAGCAUUCAUAACUACUGUGACUCCUGACUUUUUAGGGACAACUUGUACAGGACUGACCCAUGAACUAUCAGAAAUUGGGUAAAUGAUACCUGCGUCUAAUAGCUUAAGGACUUCAGUUCUAACAACUUCUUUCAUAUUAGGAUUUAACCGACGUUGCAUUUCCCUAGUAGAUUUAGCAUUUUCAUCGAGGUGAAUGUAAUGCAUGCAGUCUACUGGGUUUAUACCUUUCAUGUCUGCUAUAGUCCAUCCUAAUGCUCCUUUGUGCUCUUUUAAAACAUCCAACAACUUACCUUUUUGUUCGUCAUUGAGGGAUGAUGAGAUGAUUACCGGCAGAGUGCUUUCUUCUCCCAAAAAUGCAUAUUCCAGAGUGUUGGGUAAUGGUUUGAGCUCGAGUUUCGGUGGUGAUUCUGAUGAUGGGAUGAGUUUCUUCUCUGAUGGUGCUAGUUGUUCAACUCUUGACUUCCAUUUAUUAGUGUCCAUGGAUGGUGCUAAGUCAAGUAGGGCAUUGACCUCAUCGACCGAUCUGUUAAUAUUAAAAUCAAAACCAAAGUGAGUUAAACAUGUUUGUAAAGGAUCAUCACUAAGGUUUGAAAGAAAAGUGUUAUCAACUAUUGUUUCAAUUAAAUCCACAUCAAUAAUUCCAUCAUCUGCAUUGUGAGGUUGUUUGGCAAUGUUGAAGAUGUUCAGUUCCAUAGUCAUAUUGCCGAAGGACAACUGCAUAUUUCCAGUUCUGCAUUGAAUGUGAGCAUCCGCAGUUGCCAAGAAAGGUCGGCCUAGGAUAAUGGGGAUGUGCUUCCUUGAAUCCUGUAUUGGUUGAGUGUCAAUUACAAUGAAAUCAACAGGAAAAUAGAACUUGUCUACCUGGAUAAGCACGUCCUCCACAAUACCACGAGGUAUUUUUGUGGACCAAUCUGCAAGUUGUAACACCAAUGGAGUUGGGUGUAAUUCUCUCAAUCCAAGUUUCACGAAUACUGAAUAAGGCAACAGAUUUACACUAGCUCCUAAAUCCAACAAAGCAUUCUCAAUUGUGUGGUUCCCUAUACUGCAUGAGAUAGUGGGGGAGCCUGGGUUUUUGCAUUUUAAAGGAAUUUUAUGUUGGAGUAUAGAACUAACGUUUUCUGUUAAAAAUGCCUUCUUUUGAACAUGUAUAUUUCUCUUUUUAGUACAAAGGUCUUUAAGAAACUUGGCAUAAGAUGGAACUUGUUUAAUAGCAUCAAGCAAAAGGAUGUUAACACUUACCUGUUUGAAGAUUUCAAGAAUCUCACCUGUGGAUUUUCCCUUUUUUCCUUUAGCUAAUCUCUGAGGAAAUGGAGCUUUGGGAACAUAUUCCCGUGGGUUGGUUUUUUCUUUCUCCUCCGGUGAUGAGUCCUCAAGACUCACAUGUACAAUUUGAUUUUCUUUUGUCACCGACAUCUCCACUUUGUUGUCGACUUCUUUUCCUUUUCUCAAGGUCAUAACUGCUUUGACUUCUCCAUGCUGUUGUAGUGAACUGGUACUUGCUUCAUGCACUCCUUUAGGAUUAGGCACUGGUUGACUUAGAAAUUUACCUUUCCCAACAGUCAUUGCCAAGGUCUGAACUGAAGAAGCCAGUUGUCCCACCAUCUUCUCGAGGCUUGAAACUGAUUGGGCUUAUGAGUUGAAGCCCGCUCUCAAUUCAUUUCGUAGUCCAUCAAUGGUGCGGUUCUGUUGCUCAAUCGUGGAGUGAAUAACAUUCUUGAAAUUCUGGAAUGCAUCCUCCCAUGGUCUGGGUUGAGAGUAGUUCUGGUUUUGAUUGUAUGGACUAAAUGGGGGCUGAGAGGCUUAAGGAUUUUGUGGAAUUUGUUGCAUUGGUGUAGCUGGAGCUGCUGGUCCAUUCUGUUGGAAUCCUUGAGACCAUGAAAAAUUAGGGUGGUCUCUCCAUCCAGGGUUAUAUGUGUUGGAGUAUGGGUUGUAAUUUGAUGGCUUUCUCAUUACACCUAUGGCAUUGGCUUGAUCUGAGUAUAAGUCAUGGUCAUGUGGCUCUGUUGAUUUAGCAGUCGAUAACGAUGCUAUUUGUCGAGCAAGACCUUCAACCAUCUCCUUGACUUCUUUGAUUCCCGAAGUUGACUCGCCAAUUUGAACCUCAUUCACUCCUUUAAUUCUUCUAGUAUUCCGGAGUGAUCGACUCCGUUGUUGGGAAUUAUCCGCUUGUCGUUGAAAGAAUUCCCAAAUCUCUGAUGCACUUUUUGACAUUAGCUCUCCUCCACUUGUUGCCAUUAGCCAUUCCUGCACAUUCGGCAAUAAUCCCUCCAAAAAGUAUUGGCAUUGGUGCCAUUUCUCGUACCUAUGAUGUGGACACUUCAAGAGUAGCCAAUUGAAUCGUUCCCACGUUUCGAAAAACUACUCGUCUUCUCUCUGUGUAAACUCUGAAAUUUCCCUGCGAAUAGCAUUGGUUUUAUGCACUGGGAAAUAUUUAUUCAAAAAUUUUGUAACCAUUUGUUCCCAUGAUGUGAUGCUAUUAGCAGGCAAAGUAUUUAACCAUGAACGAGCUCUAUCCUUUAAAGAAAAUGAGAAUAAUCUGAGUUUAACAUCAUCGUUUGAAAAAUUUUCAUAUUUAAAAGUUUGACAAAUUGCAUGAAAAUCAUUCAGAUGAUUAUAUGGGUCCUCAUUUUCUAGGCCAUAAAAUGUUGGGAGACAAUUUAGCACACUGGGUUUUAAUUCAAAACUUCUAGCAGCUACAUUUGGGUAUCUUAUGCAUGAUGUGCUCAAAUUAGCUAAGGGACUAAAAUAGUCCUUAAAUGGCCUCUCUUGUGGUGCUUGUAAAUCCAUUCCAAUUUUAUUUUUAAUGUGCUUUUGUGUGCGAAGUAUUUUUCAAGUUCAAGGUCUAUAGGUUCAAGAUUGGGUAAUAAUGACCUUCGACCAUGCAUGCAAAACAAAUAAAAUAAAAAAUAAAGAUGGGAACAAAAUAAAUAAAAAUAAAGAAAAAGAAGAAAUUACGAUACUAACCUUAUUGCGCUAUUACAACCUUUCUAUAAAAAUACACAAAAAUAAAUACGUGAAAUAAAUUAACUAAAAAUUAAAUUAAUUAAAUAAAAAAAUUACAAAGAAAAAUAAAUUGAAAAUUAAAUCACAGAAUUUUAAAGAAGAGAAAAAGAAAAGAAAUACUAACCUUUAAAUGUAGAUUCACUUUUUUUUUCUUUUUUUUUAAUAAAAAUAAAAAAAUACAAGAAAACAAAUAAAAGAAAUUAUUCACAAAAAUUAAUUCUAUGAAUUAAAAGUACUUACCUCCCCGGCAACGGCGCCAAAAACUUAUUGUGCAAAUUUUAAUGAACUCGCAAGCACACGAAUCUAUUGUAGUAUAGACUAAUGGUGACGAGUGUCGAUCCCAUGAGGAGGUGGAUUUUAAUUAUAUAUAGAAUUAAUUUUGUAAAUGGGUGGUUGGAAUUGUGGUGGAAGUGAUUUAAAUUAUCCUAAAAUUGGAAUUGAAAUGGCGAUAAUAAAUUCUAAAAUUAGACUUGCAAUGGCGAGAAUAAAUUGAAGAGAAAUCUAUUGAAAUGACGUACUUGAGUAUCUGGAUCCGUAUCAACAUGCAUCAUGGGCUAAAUAUUCCUUAUUAAUGCCAAUUAAAUCAUGAGGGGGGAAUCCACACCUCAUGAACCACGCUCUAAUCAAUAUGGUGAUAAGGGCUUAUCGUGCCAAAUAAUAAUAACCUUGUACUAGAGGGCCGGUGAAACCAAGGCGGUACUAGACAAGAUUAGUAUUAUUUGUCGACGAGAAGUCAAAACAUCCACAAAAACUAGAGGGGAAGAGAAAAUAAAUUUACCAAAUUAAGCCCAUGACACAUGUUGAGACUUCACCUUCAACCCAAGCUUGAAAGAAAAUUAGCCACUCAUAAUUGAACUAGGGGCAAAAUGAGAAUUUAUUAAAAUACGAAGAAAAUACAAGAUAAAGAAGGAAUUACAGAAAAUAAAGUCCAAAAAUGGAUUCAGCGAUAUCAAAUUAGGAGGGGGAGGCCCCCUUUUUAUAGAUACAUGGAGUAAAUUAUGGCCAUCGGAUUAAAAACAGUUUGGACGCUCAGGAUUACGCCACGUCAUCAGUCAACAGUCCACGGUUUGACCACGUGGAUGAACAGUAAUACGGUUUGACUCGGAUGAACAGUAACGCGGUUUGACUCGGAUGAACAGUAACGCGGUUUUGUUGAAAAUAAUCCUGUGUGAUGCAUGUACCGUACGCGAGAUUUUUCGUCCACUGAUAUGCUGCCACGUCACCAUCAACAGUACAUAAGAAUUUUAGCCCAACAGGAUCGUGACACCUCAUCAGUCAAUGCCACAUCAUCGGUCAAUGCCACAUCAUCAUCCGUCUAUGUGAACAGUGUCGUGAACAGUAACGUAUAUACAGUACCGUACACGUGAAUAGUACCGUACAUGUGAUCAGUGCCAUUUUUCUUUUUAUGCUUCUCCUAAGGUUUUCGACCGUCCUGAGUUCAAAAGUGAUGUCCGUUUUGCCAUCUGAUUUCUCGUUUAUUGUGAAAUGACUAUGAUGCCCCUAAAAUACAUAAAAUACUUAAUUAAAAUAAAACACAUGUAAUUAAAUCACAAGAAAGUUAAAUACAUAAAAGUAAGGGUUGUUAAUAAGACUUGAAAUGUAAAAUGACAGUUUUCUCCUUUAUAAAUAUACAUUUUCUAACACUCAACACCUAUCCUGUAAAUACAAAAGUAAAUUUAGUAAAUUAAUGAGGAACUGUGUAUGUGUGAAAUUAAAAAUAGUGCUUUUGAUUUGUAAUCAUAUCUUUUAUAGGAUAUAUUCAUUGUCUACAUAUUUUAAUUUAUGUGUAGAAAAUUAGAUAUAUUCAAUGUCUAAUCUGAUUCUACACAAAGACUAAUGCCCCAAGAUUGUGUAGGGGUGUUCAUAAUCCAAUCCGAUCCGCUCAAUCCGUCUGAUCCGUGAAAAUCCGAUCCGUGGAUCCGUGAAUUGGAUAUGGAUUGAAAAUUUAAAAAUCCGCAGUCGAUGGAUUGGAUAUGGAUUUACUUCUAUAAAUCCGUAAAAAUCCGUGAAUCCGCAAAAUAUAUAUAUAUAUAUAUAUAUAUAUACAUUUAUUUAGUUAAAAAAUUAUUAUAAAUUUAAUUAAAGAAUAUUAUAAAUGUGACAUUACAUAGUUACAUAAGCACUAUAAUAUGUCUUAGCUAUUACCCAAUAAUAAUAUUAAAUAAUUAAAUAAUCAAAUAUACAAAUAUAACUUGUAAAAAUUGUAAAACAAAAUAAAAGCAAAGUCACACGCACUAGCAAAAACAAAGUAACAUAACGCCAAGUUACCAACAAUUUGCAAAGUCACCCAAAAGCAAAGUAACAUAACACCAAGUCACCAACAAUUUGCAAAUAAAAAACCUUAAGCUUCCUUGUUGUCACAUGCAAUAGCAACACUCAAUACUGGUUCGAUACACUCUCGACACUGAUUUGAAGGACGUCGGCCGCACGAUUCCAGCAAGAGCAAGCCAUCUUCUUCCCCGAGCCCAUCGAGCCACUUCACAAUCACUGGUUCCAGCCAAACAAUUGCACUAUCACAACCUUCAAGAUCAUCACCCGUACUUCUCCUAGUUCCAAUAGUUGACGGCUCCAUAAUCACCACUUUUCGACAAGUAUAACAGCCCUGGUGAAGGAUCAUACUGUGUUUGGUUUCAGAAACUUCACCAUUUCAAUUAAUUGUGACUUUAUUUGAAUAAUUAAUUUCGGUGUUAUAUUAAUGUAUUAUUGUAACUUUAUUUGAACAAUUAAUCUCGAUGUACUAUAUUUUGAAACUUUGAAUGUAUUAUUUUAGUUUUAUUUAAAUAAUUAAUUUGUUUAAAAUUUAUUCAAUUUUAAAUUUAAUUGGUAAUAAAAUUAUUUUUAUAUUAGAUUUUUUUUUUAAUUUCAUUAGUUCAUGGAUUGGGGAGAACUAAAAAUUUUUAAUUCGGAAGCUAAUGCGUAAAAUGGUGGAUUGGAUAUGGAUUAAGUUAAAUCCGCAUCCGAUCCGCAUACGUAUGGAUUGGAUAUGGAUUGAGUCAAAUCCGCAUCCGAUCUGCAGACGUAUGAAUUGGAUUUGGAUUGAGUUUAAUCAAUCUGUGGAUUGGAUUGGAUUGAAAAAUUAUAAUCCGCAAAAUUGUGGAUCGGAUAUGGAUUGAUGUCCAAUCCGUAAAAUCUGAUCCGCGAACAUCCCUAAGAUUGUGAUUGAAAUGCUAUAAGCAACUUAUUUUAUAAGUUUAGAUAAAAAUGAAGUUUGAUGGCUUUGUUAAAAGUUGCUUCUUUUAUAAUUUUCUCUAUUUUGACUGUAACUUUUAAAAACAGAACAAACAUUAUUUUUAUAAGCAACUUAUUAAACAAGUUGCUAUAUCUUUUUAAAUAUUCAUAUUAUAACCUUAAUAUUUUAAGAAAAGAAUAAUUAUAUCUUACUUUUCUAUAAGCUCUAAUAUAUAAAUAAAAGACAAUUUAAACUCAUGUUUAUUUUAGUCAUUAAAUAAUACAGCACAUUCAUAGUCAAAUUUACUAAACAUGAGCAAGAUACUUUUUUAAUCAUCAACUUAUUUCGUUCUCACAAUAGAAAUAACUUAUUUUAUCAUCCACUGCCAUCCUAAACUUGAUGUUAAGUCACGUUUGGGAUUGCAUUAGAUUGUCAAAUAAUCUAGAGAAAUAGCUAUUAAGGACGAAGAAUAGGAAGAGGUUCGCCAUAAGCAAUAUACUCGCAAGCUUGGCUACUAAUAAACAGAGCAUACAAGCUUAAACACCUAAUAUAUAUAUAUAUAUAUAUAUAUAGUAGUUUUUUGGCACAGGAUCUUAAAGUGCGGGAAACAUUAGGAAAAACUUUAAAACCGCGGGGUUUUAAAGGCUUAAUACUUAAAGCACUUAAACUGCACGGUUUAUGCGUUUUCCCAGACGUUCCCACACUUUAAAAUUCUAAAUUAGAAUAUUUUUAUGUGUGUGUGUGUGUGUGUGUGGAGGGCAAAUCUUUAACUACCUCCGGCUUAAAGGACCUAUACAGUAACUCUUAAAUCAAAGAGAGAAAAUAGUUAAUUCAAUCUGAUUGAAUAUGAAUUGAUAUUCACCAUAUGAUAAUUACAUAAAGAUUGAGCCUUAAGUGUUUUACAUUAAGUAAUACUGCACUGCACACUUGUUCUACACAUUUAGACAACCCAGAUUAAGAAUAAUGAAAAUGAACUCUUAAACUAGCUAGGUGCUCUAUUAUUUAUCUUUGCUCCAUAAAUAUUAGAAAGAUAGAGGAGAGGAAGAAAAAGAAAAGACUAAUUUUGCAGUCCCAAUUUAAUCUUAUGCUCUGAUUUUGAAGCAAAUCUGCAGAGUAUUUAAGGAUCCAAUCAUGAACCAUGUCCACUUCAAUCUUUCGCUGCAUUACUAACCCCUCUGGAUCAUCUUCUGUUGCUGGCUGUAUGUCUAAGCAAUGGGAACCUGCUCUAAUUUACACAUUAUUAAUUAUGUUAUCCAAUAAUUUAGUUAAUAAUUGAACACUAAUUUUUUAUUUUAUAGAAAAAUUUACAUACUGUUUCUUAUUGUCACUGCUAUUAUAUUGUCUGAUAUCUUCCAAAACCCUAUAAUCUCCCCCCCACCAAAAAAAAAGAAGAAAAAGAAUAAGGCAUAUAAUUAAACGGGUAACUUCGAUAGAAAAGAGUGUACAAAAUUUUUAAGCUUAAUUAAUUACCCAGCGCUGCUAUAGGGAUCACGAAAGCCAUUAGAGAAAAUAAGGCUGCUACCAAAUCUCUUUACAACCACUCUUAUACCCUGCAAAUUAAAAAGAAAUAAAAAUCGAACAAAAAUUGAGAUAAAAUUUAUAAUUAAAAAAGAAAAUGAAAAAAAUUAAAUUAUUAAAAGAAUUAAUUUGGGGAUUAAUUGACACUUACAUGACUACCGUAAUAAGUUGUAAUCCAAUGUGGUAUUGGAGCCACUCCAUAAGACUUAUUGCAUGAAUUCAUAUAUUCUAUCGUCUGCUUGAAAAUUGUAUUAUUUUUUUCAAUUCCAAUUGAUGAGACCAUUUCACUGCAUGUCUGCAUGAGAAAUCCCCCCCUCCCAAAACAAAAAAAAAAAUCAUAAUAAAUAAAUAACUAAAUAAAGGAGAAAACUAUUUUUAAUCAUUCAUAAAUAUGUAGUCUCAUAAAUAAAAUUAAAAGAUGUACAUAAAAUAGGUAUUGUUAGCUAGGUGAGAGAUUCAUUCAUCGCAACAUGUUGUUUGUUUGACGAUCUCAAUAGAAGUAUCUAAUGAAAUCAUGUCACCCGUAAUCACAUACCUGCCAGCCUCAGCUCGAGUCUAGUGUUUCAUCGGAUAAGAAUUCAUCAACAUCAUGGCAAGAAUUCUCCCAUCUUAAAGCAACAAUUCCUGAGAAUAUCCGGCCUAGGGUAUCCGUGCCUUCUGAAGCUCCAUGGAUACCUUCACAAGCUUUGCUCACUGGAUAUUCCUGAGGAUCAUCAUACUGAGCUGCACCCGUAUACAUACACUCUAAAUAAUCCUUCAAUUCUGAAACAUCCUUCAGAGGCUUGUAAUCAAAUAAACAACAACAACAUAGAAUUAAGUGCCACAAGGUUAGUAACAUUAUAAAAGAUCUUUCAACAAGCCGUCUAAAACAUGUUGUUAUAUUUAGUUAGAUUACAAUAAACUUUAUAAGUAUGAAGCUAUUGAUAUUAUCAAAUGCAAACGUACAAAUUUGGCCUUAUUUGAUAAUCAGAGUUGUGCGUGGUUUUGUAGUUCAAAUUUAGAUUCUGUAAGAUACGAACCUUUGGAGGCCUGAAUCUAAGCACCAGUAUACUAUAUAUAUAUGGUAAUGCAAAGGCCGUGUAUAAGCCCAAAUCCAGAUUUUUACUUUGUAUAUUACACGUUAAUCGAAAUGUAUAUAUACUCUGAGGAUGACAGAUAAUUAAUUAGACAUAGUAUAUUCGAUAAUGAUGCUACAAUAACAUUGCAUUAAUUGUAAUUAAGGGAAAAUCGGAUGGAUAUAUAUAAGCAGUUAUGUAAAGUAAUAUGAUUACUUUCUUGCAGGUUUUGAACUUUUUAGAGAGAAAAGCAAGUCCAUUUUUUCUAGCAGCGGUUUUAUCCAUUUCAGCCCAGGACUGUUUGAUGGUCAUGUAGCAGCUCUCCCUGGCUUCUUGCAUCAUUAAUUUUCAAAAUUUAAUGGAUUAAUUUUCAAAAUUUAAUGGUUAAAUUUUAACAAGAAAACACAAUCAUACAUAUAUAGAAUUUUAAUUAAUUAAUUUUAUUUCUUACCUUAAAGUCAUUGGUGACAAGAUCAUAAUAUGUGUUUGAGUGUGUGAUAUUAUCAAAAUAGAUAAUUGGGGCGGACGACGCAACUACUCCCAAAGCACUGUAAGAUGGUUAUUUUUUAAAACGUAAUUAUCUUAAAUAUAUUUAUUAUUUCUUAGUUUUACGAUUGCUGAAAGUAUUCAUUAAUUGGAAUGCAAAAUAAAUUUGUAUCAAAAUAAUAUUGGCGUAAUCAAUAUUUUGGUCAAACGAGAUCAAAAUGAAUAAAAUGAUGCAAUAAAUGACACGACAUUAAUCAAAAGAUGUAAGUAACUUAAUAAUAUUAAAAUUUACUUCCUCCAUAAGAUGCUGUCAAAUAAAGUGGCCAUUUAGAUGGUCUAAAGCAGCCAUCUAGAUGAUCAACAACAAUUUUGUUCAAAGAAGACGAAGAAUUUUGCAGCAAGUUUGAAAGAAAAAGAAGCACACGGCUUUAACAUUUGAAAGAAGAAAAAGAAGGUAAAAAAUAAUAUAGAAUUGAUGAAUAGUGCCAAAGCUUUCUCUAUAAAUAGAAACGAAGAGAAUGGGCAAAUGCAUUCCAUUUAGAAAGCAAUUUAGGGAGUUGAGAGAGAGUUCAAGAGCUUGCAUUUAUAAGUUCUUGUUACAGUGAUUGAGAGAGUUUGGGUGUAUUGGGGUUUUUGGGAAGUGAGCUAAAAUACUACAAUACUUGUAACUCUUUUUCACUAGUAAAAUAUUUCCUUCUGUCUUCGCCCGUGGAUGUAGGCUAAAAGCCGAACCACGUAAUUUUUGGUGUCCUCUAUUGUACUUGUUCUUUAUUUUCCUUCUAAUUUCAUUUUAGCUGCGGUCUUACUUCACCCUCCAAUCCUAACAGUGGUAUCAGAGCUAUUGGUUGUAUUUUUUAGAGUCAGGAACUGUUCACGUAAGGGGUACUAUUCACAUAUACGGUACUGUACACAUAUACAAUACUAUUCACGUAUACGGUACUAUUCACGUGAAACGGUGGAAGUGAUCCAAGAAUUUUGUGGUGCAAAGCAGGAAAUAGUGGUGUGAGUAAAGCAACUGUGUGAUUUUGUACAUGUCUAGGAAAGUUCUGUCACAAAGGCGAUAAGAGCUUAAGGAGUCUGGGUUUUAAGUGGGACCAUUGUGACCCCUCCAGUCUUUCCUGGGAACUUUCCUGGUGUGCAUUCUCACACAUACUCACAACUAUUCAAGGUGGUACACUAACUUGUGUGCAAUAUUUAUCAACAAAAUGGUGGCAAAGUAUGAAAUUGAGAAGUUUAACGGAAAUAAUUUUUCGUUGUGGAAAAUAAAGAUGAAAGCUGUAUUGAGGAAAAAUAAUUGUUUGGCAGCAAUUGGAGAAAGGCCCAUGGAGAUAACUGAUGACAAGUGGAACGAGGUAGACGGCAACGCCAUUUCUGAUCUACACUUGGCACUUGCGGAUGGAGUAUUAUCCAGUGUGGCAGAGAAAAAUACGGCGAAGGAAAUAUGGGAUACUCUCACAAAAUUAUACGAGGCCAAGUCACUACACAACAAAAUCUUCUUGAAAAGAAAACUCUAUACUCUUCGAAUGGCGGAAUCUACAAUGGUGACCGACCACAUCAACACAUUGAAGACUCUAUUUUGGGUCAUAAUAUAGAGGAAAAUGAGCGUGUAGAGCUUCUAUUUCAAAGUCUACCAGAUUCGUAUGAUCAACUCAUCAUCAACCUGAUGAACAACAAUCCAGUGGAGAGUCUAGUUUUCGACGAUGUUGCAGCCUCCGUAUUAAAUGAGGAGAGCAGGCGGAAAAAUAAGGAAAACAGACAAGCAAGUUCGCAGCAAGCGGAGGCGCUAUCGGUGACGAGAGGGAGAUCAACAGAACGUGGCCCCAGUAGGAGUCAAAAUUAUGGUAUAUCAAAAUCCAGAAGUAAGAAGAAUGUUAAAUGCUACAACUGUGGCAGGAAAGGGCACGUCAAGAAAGAGUGUUGGAGUAACCAGAAGAGAAGAGAUGGUAAAAAACAUGAGUCAUCAAAUGCUCAGGGGUGUGUAGCAAGUACCUCGGAUGAUGGCGAAAUACUCUACAGCGAGGCAAUAACUGUUUCAGAAGGCAGAAAACGACUAUCUGAUGUCUGGCUUAUAGACUCAGGAGCUACCUGGCACAUGACCUCUCGGAGAGAAUGGUUCCACACAUAUGAACCUAUCUCAGGAGGAUCUGUAUAUAUGGGUAAUGAUCAUGCCUUGGAGAUCGUUGGUAUUGGUACUAUCAAAAUUAAAAUGUUUGAUGGUACAAUUCGCACAAUUGGAGAGGUACGACAUGUCAAUGGCCUGAAGAAAAAUCUAUUGUCUUUGGGACAAAUGGAUAGUCAUGGGUACAAGACUCAUGUGGAGAAUGGAAUUAUGAAGAUCGUUAAAGGCGCGCUUGUAUUGAUGAAGGCAGAAAAGAUCGGUGCUAAUCUAUUCAUGCUUAAAGGAGAAACACUAUAGGAGGCUGAUGCGUGUGUCGCGUCAAAUGGAGAAGAGUCAACGAUGAUGUGGCAUCUCAAACUUGGUCACAUGUCAGAACAAGGUUUGAAGAUUCUCUCUGAGCGAAAAUUACUUCUGGGGCUCAAAUCGGUAAGUUUACCAUUUUGCGAGCAUUGUGUUACAAGUAAGCAGCAUAUAUUAAAAUUCAGUAGAUCUAUUGCUAGAAGUAAAUGCAUUCUAGACUUGAUUCAUUCUGAUGUUUGGGAAUCACCGGAUAUAUCCAUGGGAGGUGCAAAGUACAUGGUGACUUUCAUUGAUGAUUAUUCCAGAAGAUGUUGGGUGUAUCCAAUUAAGAAAAAGUCAGAUGUAUUUCUAGUGUUUAAAGAAUACAAAGCGCGGGUGGUGACACAACUUAAAAGUAAAUUUUAACUCCCAAGUAUAAGAGUGUCUUGUUGUAUUAUAACUCGGUGAGUCCGAGGUCGAUCCACAGAGAAAAGAUUUAAUUAGUUUAUUUUAUUUUAUCUAAAAAUUGAAAUUAAAACUUGAAUAUAAACAACUUAAUUUAAAUGAAACUAUGGAAUUGAACUAGUUAGGGUUAUGGAUCCACUCUUAGAAAUAAAUAAAACUUAAUAAAUUCUUUUUGCCAAUUUAUUUUAGAUUUAUUACCCAAAAGAUUAAUUAUACAAAUUAUUAUUAUUUUCCCUUUAAUUUUAUGAUGGAUUAAGUAUUUAUUGUGCCAAAAUUUAAUUUGUCUACAAUAAGGCAAAAUACCAUUUCACCAUGCCUUAUAUUAAGAUCUUAAGAAUUUAUUGUGCCAAAUUCAUUUGUUUGUCUACAAUAAAUCAAAAUUUCAAAAUAUAAAACAUGUAUAAAAUUAAAUAGAAAAUAAUUUAAUUUAUAAAAUUAAACAUAGAAUUUGAUUAAAUCAUAUUUAUUUCUUAAGAGUUUCACCUUCCCCUAACUAAUAUUAUUUAGUUAAGCAUAAUUAAAAUAAAAAGUAGUAAAAUUGAAUUACUUGUAAUUAAAAGAAAUAAAAACAACUAAAAUUGGAAAUAAAACUAAUUUUAUUAAUGAAAAUAAUUAUACAAAAUAUUAAAAACACACCUGGAAAUCAAGAUUACAAGGAGAUGGAGAGAAUUUGAGAAGAAGAGAGUUGUAGAGAGAUGAUUAAAACAUAAAAAUGAGGCCUUAUUUAUAGAAAAAUAAAUUCAUAAUCCAGUGCUUUGUGGUCCAUCAUAGGCUUCAUGCAUGUGCUCCUCACAACCCUUAGAUCAAGAUCCAAUGGCUGGUCAAACUUCAAAAGUCAACAUCACACAUGGCAUCAUUUGACUCGUCCGAUUUGCCCAAAGAACGGUUGAGAUUUGGCGGGUUAAUGGGUGGAUCGGGUCGACCCGAAUACAAAGAUUCGGAUCCUCCAACUUGCUUCACCAACCAUUGCCACGUGGCACAAUCAUGGCCAUUGAAUGAUGAACGGUUGAGAUUUAGUCAAGAUUGCCAGUUAUCCCAUGCACUCAUAUCUAUUGUAAGCUCAUUUCAUCAUCCAAUCAGUGCUCGGUCAACAGGAAAAGUCAACUUUUUUUACACAAGCCCAAUUUUAAGCCGAUCUUGACUGAUCUUAAGGUUUUCGGACCUCCGGAAUCCAAAUUUGACCUCCGUUUAUUUGUUUGGAGCCUCGAAGUACGUGAAAUUAAUAAUUUUCCUAAUAAACACAUAAAAAUACACAAAAUUAAAUAUAUUUAAAACAUAAUUAAUAAUUCAUAAUAUAUUACAUAAACACAAAUAUAAAUUAUAACAUAAGCAUAAAAUAACAUAUUAUCGCUUGAUAACUAAACAAUUUUUAAUACUAAUCACACCCCCCAACCAGCUUAUUGCUAGCCCUCUAGCAAUUAAAGCGUUAUAUUAAGAUUUAUAAAAUUCACAUGCAAGUUAAUAGUUGUUCAUCUAUCCUCUAAAUUACCAAAUAAAUGAACUCUCCCAAAUUCCUUUACCACAUUGAUGUUCACUCAUUAUCCAGAAUAUCAUCAAACCUUCUUUUGUGCUCAAGUAAUUAACACAAUACUUAUGGGGCUUCAUUAAAAGAAAAACAACAUUUUCGUUCUAAAAUUCAUUAGAAAUUAUAUCUUUAGGCAAUAGAUUAUUCACACAUUUUUUUUUUAUAUUACAUUUCUAACCCGUUUAGCAAGCUUUAGGUCAGUGACUCCCAGACCAGUUGGCCUUAGGGCACUAGGUGUUGAAGCACCCCUACGGACUUAAUUACUCGGGUUUCUAAUAAACAAACAAUAUAUCUAUUACCCAUGUAGCGAGCUUUAGGCCAGUGACUCCCAGACCAGUUGACCUUAGGGCACUAGGUGUUGAAGCACCCCUACGGACUUAAUUACUCGGGUUUCUAGAUAUAACAAAAUUAAAAACAUUUUUUCUUCUUCUUUUUUUUUGAUUUUUUUUUUUUGGUUUUUUUGUUUUUUUGUUUUUGGAAAUAUACACUUUCUACUACCUUAGAUACUAUUCCUAAUAAAUCAAAAGAACUAAAUGCUGUAAAACUUUAACUUACAACCCACUAGUAUGUGUCAUAGUGUGUGUGUGAAGAAUGAUUCAAUAAUACCUGUUAAAUGAGUAAACAAUUAAAUAACUUAAUAACCAAGUGGAGAGUUCACAAAUUUGAGUAAUUCAAAGAAAAGGGAACAAAAACAACUUACUAUGAAUCUCAAAAUCAAAAUAUAAUACAACAAGACUAUUAGGAUGCGUCUCAAAAGUCGUGACUCUUUACACGGCCAUCCUAGACAAAAAACAAAUUUUUUUUUUUUUGGUUUUUUUUUUAACAAAGAAAAGAAAAGAGAAAAGAGAAAAACAACACACAUAUUUAAAAUAUACGUCAAUUAUCCCCACCCCACAACCUAAUCUAAACAUUAUCUUAACAUUUUAUAAUUUUACAGAUAUGCAAAAAAAUAAAAAUAAAAGAGAAUAAUAAAAGAAGAAGAAGAAGAGAUCUCACCUGAACUUGAUGCAGAAGCUUAAAAGCAAAUAACAAAGAUGAAGAAAGAGUCAAUUUUUUUUUUUAACAACACCCUUAAGAUUAAGAAGAUGCGUUUCUAGAGAGACUACAUUCUCUAUAUCCUGCCAUCUUCGACUCAAAUUUGUCCUAAGUUAGUCUUUACAGAAAAAAAAAUUUUUUUUUUUUUUGUUUUUUGUUUUUUUUUUUUUUUGUAAACACAUAACCAGGACUAAGACAUUCCACAAUUAUCAACUAUUCCCUCCCCCCAACCUGAAAAAGACAUUGUCCUCAAUGUUUUAAAAGGAAAGAGAAAGAGUGUAGAAGACAUCACAUGAACACUACAACAGAAAAUAUUUACAAACGGAGAGUUAAAUCUAAAUCGCACUUCUUAUUAUUGCUACUGUUACCGUUACCGUCAUUAGUCGACCAAUUCAGUGCAACAGUCUGUGGAUCUGGCUCUGGUGUAUAAGCUUGCAAAAGAUCAAGUAACUCAUUAGCAGUAGAAGCAGAGAUAAAUAGUUUUUUUACAGAAUGUGGAACAAAAUGAUUCUUUAUUGCAUGAUUAAUAAAAGUUAGCAAGCCGUCAUAAAAAUCAUUAACAUUUAACAAACCGAUGGGUUUUUGAUGAAUGUUCAAGUGGGCCCAAGAUGCAAAUGUAAUUAGUGCCUCAAAAGUUGCAAGAUCUCCUGGCAAGAAAAUAAAAGCAUCAGCAUGAUUCAUCAUUUCAGAUAUUCUCUCUUGCAUACUUGAUACCACUAAUUCUUCUCCAAUUGGUGGGCCAGACAUGCACACUAGCGGUUUCAUGGGUUUUGGGAUAAUGCCGAGUACUUGGCUUCCUCUGGUAAAAACAGCUUCUGAGACAAGUCUUGAUAACCCUCGUUCACCUCCUCCAUAUACAAGAUGCAGUUUCCUCUCUGCUAUGACACGACCAAGAUCUACAGCUGCCUGAACGAACUCUUUGUACUUUCCAUAGUGAAACCCAGAAAGCACACAAAUGUUUUUGAAUUGUUUACUCGAAGAUGAUGCCAUUGGACUAAUUUUUCAAAAACAAGUUGUGAGUGUUUGAAAAAUGAGCUCAUAUUUAAAGAUCUUGGUAACAUAAAUAAUGAGAAACAGCUGUAAAUGGGUUGGCAAUAUUUGUCAAAUGACGAGUAAAACUCGUGGCUCAAUAAUUCAAAAACAAACAGUAAAAAGAAAGUAAUGAUUAGAAAAAGCAAACAGUAAAAGAAAACCAAAUAUUUAUUAAAUACAAAAUCACAUCGCUAAAUGCAAUAAUGCAAAUGAUAAAAUAACAGUAAAGUAAAAUAACAGUGAAGUGAAAGGAUAUUUACUGGUAGUUGUGAUUGUGGCUCACAUCUUCCUCUGGUUUUACGUCCAGUAACGGCUUGAACGCCCUCUAUGGGUCGAGGAUCGGCUUCCCAUCCAGUUUUCUUAUAAACUGGCAAACAGGGUCUUUUUGAGUCAGAUUCCCAAGACUUAACUGUGCACUUUGUUUUUGGAAUAGUAUCCACAAAUUGUAAAUCUCACGUUGCACAAUUCCGCUUCGAUGCGUCUCAAGAGAUCGUAAGAUAUCAUCCAACGAUUCUUUACUCAUGCCAUCUUUAACGAAUUUAAUUUUAUCUUCACGAGUAUCAGAAACCAUUCCUAAAGAUUUACAAUCUGGUCGUUUGCAACCAAGUCUCACACAGUUAUGACAUUUUGAGCCAAGUCGUUUAGCUCUCCUUUUCUUAGCAAACGUACUUUUACCAAAACCAGGCAUGUAAGAAACAAAUUGACCAGAAAACUCACCUGCUAAUCGGACCUUUGCUUCAAUUAACCAACGAAUGUCAGAAGGAAUGCCAUUGAUCAUUAACAAACGCAGUCGUUCACAACGAGCUUUGUAAAUUUUCCUGAGGGCAUUCUGAGGGAGAGAGGGAAAAUGCUUAUGGAGUUUAUGUUGUAUUUCUUCCAUGUAUGAUUUUGGGGUUUCAGUUAUUGUGGGAAACUGAAGAUACCGACUUAAGAAGUCACGGAGUACCGUUAUCCGCCAUUUAUACGGGAAAAUAGAUCAAAACACACCAAAAUCAAAUCUGCAAAAUCAAAUCAAGCGUGAAAGCGAGUAAAAAGAAGCACACAAUAUAAAAGGAAAAUGAACUUACAUUCGUCCUCUCAUUGAGUUAACCUCAAGCUCCAUUUGAAAUUCAUAUAUGCCACUCUCUACUGUUCUGAGUUGUCCCUCUAGAUCCUCAACAUAGGACACGAAUUCUGGUGGUUGCAGAUCCCAAAGUGGAUGUGAUUUACAGCUUUGUAUCAGGCCUCUUAAGUGAAAUUUUAUACGCCGAAAUCUUUUAAGAUGUGCGAACAGGUAUUUUCUCAUUGAGGUGCUCAUGAUGUAAAAUGAAAAUUGAUGAGAGAAUGUACAACUGUCAAACAAACACGCUUACACAAGAAAAACAAUGUUAAAAAAAAAACUAUGUACAGUGCAUCAAUCUAAGGAAAAAAAAAAGUCAAACAAUGAAACGGUAAAAUAAUAGUAAAACAAAAAAAAAUCAUUAAAAACUUAAUCAAGAAUUGGUGGGUCAUCCAAAUUAAUUUCGGUGUCCUCGUCACGUGGGUGAUGUUCCAGAUAUGGUUUUAAUCUUUGACCAUUAACUUUAAAUGUGACACCAUUAUUUGGAUUCUCAAUUUCUAUGGCCCCAUAUGAAUAUACAUUUUUUACAACAAAUGGGCCACUCCAUUUUGACUUUAACUUUCCUGGAAAUAAAUGAAGACGAGAAUUAUAAAGCAACACUUUUUGACCAAUCUCAAAUGUUUUUCGAAAAAUUCUUUUAUCAUGAAAUGCUUUUGUUCUUGCCUUAAUAAUUCUUGAAUUUUCAUAUGCAUCAUUCCUUAAUUCCUCAAGUUCAUUCAAUUGCAAUUUUCGCACAUUACCAACAUCAACCAAAUUUGAAUUAAAAGCUUUAAUAGCCCAAAGUGAUUUAUGUUCAAGUUCAACAGGUAAAUGACAAGGUUUACCAUAAAUUAACCGAUAGGGUGACAUUCCUAAUGAUGUUUUAAAUGCAGUGCGGUAAGCCCAAAGUGCAUCAUUAAGUCUAAGAGACCAAUCUUUUCGGUUUGGGUUAACCGUUUUUUCCAAAAUUUGUUUUAUCUCCCUAUUUGCUAAUUCAACUUGACCAUUUGUUUGAGGAUGAUAAGGGGUAGCAAUUUUAUGUGUAAUUCCAUAUUUCUUCAUUAAAGACUCAAAUGACUUAUUACAAAAAUGCUUACCUCCAUCACUGAUAAUGGCUCGAGGGAUUCCAAAUCGACUUAAAAUGUUUUCUCUUAAAAAUUUAAUCACAGUUUUACUGUCAUUAUUUCGACAAGAAAUUACUUCAAUCCAUUUUGAGACAUAAUCAACUGCAACUAAUAUAUACACAAAUCCAAAAGAUGAUGGAAAUGGACCCAUGAAAUCAAUUCCCCAACAGUCAAAUAUUUCAAUUUCAAGUAUGGGAUUUAAGGGUAUCAUGUUUCUUUUUGUAAUUGAUCCCAAUUUUUGACAUUUUUCACAACUUUUGCAAAAUUCAUAUGUGUCUUUAAACAUGGUAGGCCAAUAAAAUCCACACUGCAAAAUUUUAGCAGUAGUUUUUCUUGAAGAAAAGUGACCACCACAUGCUUCAGAAUGACAAAAAUUAAUGACACUACUUACCUCAUUAUCAGGAAUACAUCGCCGAAAAAUUUGAUCUGGGCAAUAUUUGAACAAAUAAGGAUCAUCCCAAUAAAAUUUCUUUACUUCAACAAAAAAUUUCUUCUUCUCUUGAGCAUUCCAUUGCAAAGGCAUUUUACCUGUAACAAGAAAAUUAACAAUAUUAGCAUACCAUGGCAUUGAAGUAACAGAAAAUAAAAAUUCAUCAGGGAAAGAAUCAUUUAUGGGUGUUAUAUCAUUGCAGAAUUCGGAUGUGAGUCUUGAUAGAUGAUCAGCAACAACAUUUUCAGCACCCUUUUUAUCUUUGAUGGUAAGGUCAAAUUCUUGUAGUAACAAAAUCCAACGAAUUAAUCUCGGUUUGGCAUCCUGUUUACUCAUCAAAUAUCUCACAGCAGCAUGGUCAGUAAACACAAUAGAUUUAGAGCCAAGCAAAUAUGAACGGAAUUUGUUUAAUGCAAAUACCACAGCAAGUAAUUCUUUUUCAGUUGUAGAAUAAUUCAUUUGAGCACUAUCCAAAGUCUUGCUCGCAUAAUAAAUCACAAAAGGCUUACCAUCCCUUCUUUGUCCUAAAAUAGCACCAACAGCAAAAUCACUUGCAUCACACAUUAAUUCAAAUGGCAAAGACCAAUCAGGAGAUUGCAUAAUAGGUGCAGAUGUUAAAAGACAAAUUAUUUUUUCAAAAGAUUUUUGGCAAUCAUCAUUCCAUUCAAACGGUGCAUCUUUUAAUAAGAGGUUACAAAGUGGUUUAGAUAUGGCACUAAAGUUUUUUAUAAACCUCCUAUAAAAUCCUGCAUGUCCUAAAAAGGAUCGCACAUCUCUAACUGUUUUUGGUUGUGGCAAUUUAGAUAUGACUUCGAUUUUUGCUUUGUCAACUUCAAUUCCUUUAAUAGAAACAACAUGACCCAAAACAAUUCCAGAAGUAACCAUGUAGUGACAUUUUUCCCAAUUCAACACGAGUUCUUUUUCAACACAUCUUUUUAAAACUUUCUCCAAAUUAUCAAGGCAAUCAUCAAAAGAAUUCCCAAACACAGUCAAAUCAUCCAUAAAGACCUCUAAACAAUGUUCAACCAUAUCACAAAAAAUGCUUAACAUACAUCUUUGAAAUGUUGCAGGAGCAUUACAAAGCCCGAAUGGCAUUCUUUUAAAUGCAAAUGUUCCAAAAGGACAUGUGAAUGUGGUCUUUUCUUGGUCCUCAAGUGCUAUAGGAAUUUGAUAAUAACCUGAAUAUCCAUCUAAAAAACAGUAGUAGGGAUGUCCUGCUACUCUUUCUAAGAUUUGGUCAAGGAAUGGUAAUGGAAAAUGAUCUUUUCUAGUGGCUUCAUUUAAUUUUCUAUAAUCAAUGCACAUGCGCCAACUAGAUGUAAUUCGUGUUGGAAUUAAUUCUCCUUUUUCAUUUUUAACAACAGUGAUUCCAGAUUUUUUUGGCACUACUUGUGUAGGACUUACCCACUUACUAUCAGAAAUAGGGUAGAUAAUUCCCACAUCAAGUAAUUUAAGGACUUCUGUUUUGACUACCUCUUUCAUGUGUGGGUUUAAUCUUCUUUGAGGUUGUUGACAUAUUUUAGCAUUUUCUUCCAAAUUAAUUCUAUGUGUGCAGAUUAAGGGAUUAAUGCCUUUAAUGUCAUUUAAAGUCCAUCCUAUUGCAUUUUUAUGCUUUUUAAGAACAGUUAGUAACUUACCUUCUUGGUCGCUUGUUAAAGUAGAAGAAAUCACAACAGGAUAAGUUUGUUCUUCUCCAAGAAAAGCAUAUUUCAAUCCUUCAGGCAAAGGUUUCAAUUCCAUUUUAGGUGCUUCUUGUUGUUCUGUCUUUUCAAUACUUCCAAGCUCCUCAAAUUUUGGCUCGUCAUCAUAAUUUUGCGAAGUCUGCAUAGAAUCAAGCAACGAAUUUAUAUUAGAAAUAUCAAGUUUAAGUUGCUUAUUUGACUCAAUUGAAUUAACUAAACAAACAUUAGAAAGUUCAGAAAAAUCCCCUUUUUGAAUAUUUUCCUCGAUACAAGAUUCAAACAAUUCCUUUUGUUCAUCAAUAUCAUCUUCAUUCUCAUUUUCUUCAUUAGGUUGCCUGCACAUGUUGAAAACAUUCAAUUCCAAAGUCAUAUUCCCAAAGGAUAAAUUCAUUAAACCAUUCCUACAAUUAAUCAAAGCAUUAGCAGUUGCUAAAAAUGGUCGACCUAAAAUUACAGGAAUUGGUUUGUAAUUAUUCACAACAGGUUCAGUUUCCAAGACAAUAAAAUCCACAGGAUAAAUAAAUUUAUCAACUUGUACUAAAACAUCUUCCACUAUUCCUUUUGGUACUUUAACGGAUCUAUCGGCAAGCAAAAGUGUAGUUGAAGUUGAUUUUAACUCACCAAGAUUAAGUUGAAGAUAAACUGAAUAUGGAAGCAAAUUAACACUAGCACCAAGAUCUAGUAAAGCAUGCUCAAUUCUGUGGUUACCAAUAAUACAAGAAAUGGUAGGACAACCAGGAUCUUUAUAUUUCAACUUAUUAUUAGUAGACAGAAUUGUACUUACCUGUUCGGCCAUGAAAGCACUCUUUCUUACCUUCAAUUUCCUCUUAACAGUGCACAAGUCCUUUAAAAAUUUGGCAUAUGAAGGAACCUGCUUGAUUGCAUCUAAUAGAGGAAUGUUAACUUUCACUUGCUUAAAGAUUUCAUAAAUUUCAGAAGAGUGGUUUGAUUUCUUUGGUUUAUUCAAUGCAUGCGGAAAUGGUGGUUCAAGUGGAACACUAGUUAUUUCUUCACUAGGUGUAAGUUCAUUUAGUCAUUCCUUACCCUUUGAAUUUUCAUAAGGUUCAGGCAUAGGUCUAUCAACAACCUUACCACUACGAAGAGUUAUAACUGACUUGACUUGGUCUGUGGGUGAAUUUUGUUGAAUUUUAGGAUUUGGUUGUGGUUGGGCUGGAAAUUUUCCUUUUUCUUGAAUGGUGAGUGCAGAAGCAAUUUUAGCAAGAGUAUCUUUCAAAUAAAAAAAAGUUUGUGCAUUUUGAUUGUUAAUAACAUCUUGCUUUCUGAUGAAUGAAUGCAUUGUGUCCUCCAGAUUUUUCCAAGGUGGUGGAACAUAUGGUGCAUAAGGAUGAGGAUUUUGAAAAUUUUGUGGAGGUGGUGCUUGUGAAGAUUGUGCAUUAUUAUUAUUCCUCCAACUGAAAUUCGGAUGAUUUUUCCAACCAGGAUUAUAAGUCUGUGAAUAUGGGUUUGGUUUAUUGAAAGUGUUAAUGACAUUAGCUUGAUCAUUUAGACAUUCUUUAAGUGCAGGCAAAGUGGGACACUCUUGAGUGAAAUGAUCAUUCGAAUUACAUAUGUUACAUGCAAUUUCUUGAACAGAUUUUACUUGAUCACUCUUUUUAUGCUCCAAAGCUUCAACUUUCCUAACUAGGGAUGCAAAUUUUGCUUGUAAAUCAUGAUCUUCCCUAAGGUUAUGGAUUCCUCCACUAGAUGGAGAUGAUUGUUGCUUAUUUGUCAAUUCAAAAGUUCCAACAGUAUCCCAAUGUUGUGCAUUUUCAGCUAAUUGGUCAAGGUAAUCUAGUGCAUCUUCAGGAUUUUUAUCCCUAAAUUCACCAUUACACAUCAUUUCAACAACCUGUCUACUUUGGGGUAUUAAGCCUUCGUAGAAAUAAGUGACCAAUCGCCAAGUUUCAAAACCAUGAUGUGGGCAUAUGUUAAGCAACUCUUUAAACCUAUCCCAACAUUGGUAUAAUGUUUCUCCAUUUUUUUGAGUGAAAGAAGUGAUUUGCCUUUUAAAAGAAUUUGUUCUAUGAGGUGGAAAGAAUUUUUUCAAAAACUGUUCUUGCAUGUUAUUCCAAGUUCUUACUGAUCCAGAUCUAAGGUUUUGUAGCCAAGUUUUAGCUUUAUCUUUUAAUGAAAAAGGAAAAAGCUUUAAUCUAAUUAUGUUCAUGCUACAAUUUUGGUCCGUGUAUGUAUUACAAACUUCCUCAAAAUCUCUUAGAUGCAAGUACGGAUUCUCAGAUUCUAAACCAUGAAAUGUUGGUAAAAGUUGGAUAAUACCUGGUUUAAAAUUGAAUCGAGAUGCUUCUGGAUGCUCCGGUUCUGGUUGGAUUCAUGUAGUCUCUCAGAGUCCUUGGUUGAUUCUGAUCGUGCCCAUGUUGAGAUUGGUUGUCUCCCUGAUCAAUUUGAGGAUUAAGUUCGCCCAAAACAUUUUCGCCUUCAUUCUCAUCCAUGAUUGGUGGUGGAGAUUGAGAUCUACGAAUUAACCUGCCACUUGAAGAUCGAGACCAACGUCUCAUGCAAGGGUUAUGUUAUAAAGAUAAUAUUUACACAAAUUGAUAAUAAAAUAAAAUAAAAAAUUAAAUAUGCAAAUAAUAUAAGUGUACAAAAGAAAAUUAAAUAACAAUUUUGGUGGUUGAACCCACCAGUUAACAAUAUAAAAUAAAUGCAAAAGAAAGAAAAAGAAAAAAUGGUAGUUAAACCCACCAAUAAAGCAAAAAAAUAAAAUAAAAUAAAAUAAACGCAAAAUAAUAAAAUAAAUAAAUAAAAUGGUGGUUGAACCCACCAAUAAAAAAAAUAAAGCAAAAAAAAAUACAAAAUUAAAUAAAUACUGAAAAUAAAAAUUAGGAGUUAGUAGUUAGUUUGGUGGUUGAACCCACCAAUAAAGCAAAAAUAAAUAAAUACGAAAUUAAAUAAAUGCAGAAAAUUAAAUAACUGAAAUUAAAAAAGUUAGCAGUUAGCAGUUAGUAAGUUAAGAGUCAGUAAUUAGAGUUAGUAGUUAAAGUUAGUUUAGUCCAAAAUAUGUUAGUUUAGUCCAAAAUAUGUCCAAAUAUGUUCAAAAUAUGUCCAAAUAUGUCCAAAAUAUGUCCAAAGUAUGUCCAAGUCUUAAUUAUUUUGAGGAAUUUCGUCUAGGGAUUCUAUUGCAAAUUAUUUUUAAUUUUAUGGUCAAACUGUAAUUUUUAGAAGUUUAGAAUUAGUAAUUUGGGAUGAAAGUGAAACAGUUGAAAGAUAUCGGGGUCCGAACGUAAUUACCAGAAGAUUGGGCUGGAAACGGAAAUUGUUGGGGUGAAACUAGAAUUAUGAAAGAUAUGGGGACAAAAGAGAAUUUAAGAAAAGAAAAAGGGGGUAAACGAAAUUUUACAUAUAAGAGAAAAAUAAAAAACGGAAAAACAAACCAAAUAAAAAAAACUUUUCCCCGGCAACGGCGCCAAAAACUUGACACAUCUUAAAAGUAAUUUUUAACUCUCAAGUAUAAGAGUGUCUUGUUGUAUUAUAACUCGGUGAGUCCGAGGUCGAUCCACAGAGAAAAGAUUUAAUUAGUUUAUUUUAUUUUAUCUAAAAAUUGAAAUUAAAACUUGAAUAUAAACAACUUAAUUUAAAUGAAACUAUGGAAUUGAACUAGUUAAGGUUAUGGAUCCACUCUUAGAAAUAAAUAAAACUUAAUAAAUUCUUUUUGCCAAUUUGUUUUAGAUUUAUUACCCAAAAGAUUAAUUAUACAAAUUAUUAUUAUUUUCCCUUUAAUUUUAUGAUGGAUUAAGUAUUUAUUGUGCCAAAAUUUAAUUUGUCUACAAUAAGGCAAAAUACCAUUUCACCAUGCCUUAUAUUAAGAUCUUAAGAAUUUAUUGUGCCAAAUUCAUUUGUUUGUCUACAAUAAAUCAAAAUUUCAAAAUAUAAAACAUGUAUAAAAUUAAAUAGAAAAUAAUUUAAUUUAUAAAAUUAAACAUAGAAUUUGAUUAAAUCAUAUUUAUUUCUUAAGAGUUUCACCUUCCCCUAACUAAUAUUAUUUAGUUAAGCAUAAUUAAAAUAAAAAGUAGUAAAAUUGAAUUACUUGUAAUUAAAAGAAAUAAAAACAACUAAAAUUGGAAAUAAAACUAAUUUUAUUAAUGAAAAUAAUUAUACAAAAUAUUAAAAACACACCUGGAAAUCAAGAUUACAAGGAGAUGGAGAGAAUUUGAGAAUAAGAGAGUUGUAGAGAGAUGAUUAAAACAUAAAAAUGAGGCCUUAUUUAUAGAAAAAUAAAUUCAUAAUCCAGUGCUUUGUGGUCCAUCAUAGGCUUCAUGCAUGUGCUCCUCACAACCCUUAGAUCAAGAUCCAAUGGCUGGUCAAACUUCAAAAGUCAACAUCACACAUGGCAUCAUUUGACUCGUCCGAUUUGCCCAAAGAACGGUUGAGAUUUGGCGGGUUAAUGGGUGGAUCGGGUCGACCCGAAUACAAAGAUUCGGAUCCUCCAACUUGCUUCACCAACCAUUGCCACGUGGCACAAUCAUGGCCAUUGAAUGAUGAACGGUUGAGAUUUAGUCAAGAUUGCCAGUUAUCCCAUGCACUCAUAUCUAUUGUAAGCUCAUUUCAUCAUCCAAUCAGUGCUCGGUCAACAGGAAAAGUCAAUUUUUUUUACACAAGCCCAAUUUUAAGCCGAUCUUGACUGAUCUUAAGGUUUUCGAACCUCCGGAAUCCAAAUUUGACCUCCGUUUAUUUGUUUGGAGCCUCGAAGUACGUGAAAUUAAUAAUUUUCCUAAUAAACACAUAAAAAUACACAAAAUUAAAUAUAUUUAAAACAUAAUUAAUAAUUCAUAAUAUAUUACAUAAACACAAAUAUAAAUUAUAACAUAAGCAUAAAAUAACAUAUUAUCGCUUGAUAACUAAACAAUUUUUAAUACUAAUCAGGUGGAACUUGAAUCUGGUAAAAAGAUCAAGUGUUUGAGGACAGAUAAUGGUGGAGAGUAUACAAACGGCGAGUUUCUUGCUUUCUGUAAGCAAGAAGGUAUUCAGAGGCAGUUCACAGUGGCAUACACUCCUCAACAAAAUGGAGUGGCAGAGCGGAUGAAUAGAACUCUUACAGAACGGAUAAGAGCUAUGUUAAUGACUGCUGGUCUACCCAAUUCAUUUUGCGCAGAAGCAGCCAAAACUGGCUGUUAUAUAGUAAAUCGAUCGCCAUCUAUAGCUAUUGGGCUGAAGACAGUGAUGGAGAUGUGGACUGGAAAGCCAGCUAAUUAUUCCUACCUACAUGCAUUUGGAUGUCCUGUGUAUGUGAUGUACAAUGCCCAAGAAAGAACAAAGCUGGAUCCAAAAUCUAGAAGAUGUAUCUUCUUGGGGUAUGCUGAUGGAGUAAAAGGGUAUCGUCUGUGGGACCCCACUGCCCACAAGAUCGUCAUCAGAAGAGAUGUUAUCUUUAUAGAAGAUCAACUGCAAAUGAGAGAUGAGGAUGAUGGCACUGCAAAAGAAAAGUCAAAGAUUGUGCCGGUAUAUGUCGAAAAUAAUCUAAAAAAUUUAUAUUCUUCUGAAGCAGUACCAGAGCACGAGGAACAAGAACCAGUCGAGUCCGAGGCUCCAGAAGUUCGUUGGUCAAUGUGGCACUCGGAGUAUGUCACAGAAAUCAAUGUUGUAUACUGUCUUCUAACAGAGGAUGGAGAGCCUUCAACUUUCCAUGAAGCUUUAAACAGCUCAGAUGUUGCUUUGUGGAUGACAGCAAUGUAGGAAGAAAUUGAAGCUCUACACAAGAACAAGACAUGGGAACUUGUACCACUACCACGUUGUAGAAAAGCCAUUGGAAACAAAUGGGUCUACAAGAUCAAACGUGAUGGCAAUGACCAAAUGGAGCGGUAUCGUGCAAAAUUGGUGGUGAAAGGAUAUGCUCAGAAAGAAGGUAUUGAUUUCAACGAGAUAUUUUCGCCGGUGGUUUGACUCACAACAGUCAGAGUAGUCUUGGCGAUGUGUGCUACAUUUGACUUACAUCUUGAGCAGUUAGAUGUGAAAACUGCAUUUCUUCAUGGAAAACUUGAAGAAGAAAUAUAUAUGCUCCAACCAAAAGGUUUUGCAGAAACAGGAAAAGAGAACUUGGUCUGCAGGUUGAAUAAAUCUCUAUACGGUCUCAAACAGGCGUCGAGGUGUUGGUAUAAGAGAUUUGAUUCCUUCAUUAUGAGCCUUGGAUACAACAGACUCAAUUCAGACCAUUGUGCAUAUUACAAGAGGUUUGAAGAUAGUGAUUUCAUCAUUUUGCUGUUGUAUGUGGAUGAUAUGUUGGUAGCAGGUCCCAACAAAGAUCGAGUCCAAGAAUUGAAGGCACAGUUGGCUAGGGAGUUUGAAAUGAAGGACUUGGGACCAGCAAACAAGAUUCUAGGGAUGUAAAUUCACCGAGACAGAAAUAACAGGAAGAUUUGGCUUUCUUAGAAGAAUUACUUGAAGAAAAUCUUACGACGCUUCAACAUGCAAGAUUGUAAGUCAAUUUCUACCCUACUUCCUAUUAAUUUCAAAUUAUCCUCAAGUAUGUGUCCAAGCAAUGAAGCAGAGAGGAAGGAAAUGUCUCGAGUACCGUAUGCAUCAGCAGUGGGAAGUUUGAUGUUCGCUAUGAUAUGUACUAGACCGGACAUUGCACAAGUAGUGGGAGCAGUCAGUCGAUACAUGGCGAAUCCUGGUGGAGAGCAUUGGAUAGCUGUGAAGAGGAUUCUAAGAUACAUUAGAGGAACCUCAGAUGUUGCAUUAUGUUAUGGAGGAUCAGAGUUUACUGUCAGGGGCUAUAUGGAUUCAGAUUUUGCAAGAGACCUUGAUAAAAGGAAAUCCACUACUGGUUAUGUGUUUACACUUGCGGGAGCAGCUGUAAGUUGGGUUUCGAAACUGCAGACCGUUGUGGCUUUAUCUACAACAGAAGCAGAAUACAUGGCAGCUACACAAGCUUGCAAGGAAGCUAUUUGGAUACAAAGAUUAUUGGAGGAGCUAGGGCACAAACAACAGAAAAUUCCUGUGUUUUGUGACAGUCAGAGUGCCUUGUACAUUGCAAGGAAUCCAGCCUUUCAUUCCAGGACAAAGCACAUAGGAGUUCAGUAUCACUUCGUUCGUGAAGUAGUGGAAGAUAGAAGUGUGGAUUUGCAGAAAAUCCAUACCAAAGAGAACCUAGCAGAUGUUUUGACCAAGCCGAUAAAUACUGAUAAGUUUGUCUGGAGUAGAACCUCUUGUGGCUUAGCAGAAACGUAGGCAACAUGAUUAUGGCGAAGCAGAAAGGAUGGUGUGGAGAUUGAUUGAUUCUCAAUCUAAUCUCCAAGUGGGAGAAAUGUCAAAUAAAGUGGCCAUCUAGAUGAUCUAAAGCUGCCAUCUAGAUGGUCAGCAACAAUUUUGUUCAAAGAAGACGAAGAAUUUUGCAGCAAGUUUGAAAGAAAAAGAAGCACACGGCUUUGACAUUUGAAAGAAGAAAAAGAAGGUAAAAAAUAAUAUAGAAUUGAUUAAUAGUGCCAAAGCUUUCUCUAUAAAUAGAAACGAAGAGAAUAAGCAAAUGCAUUCCAUUCAGAAAGCAAUUUAGGGAGUUGAGAGAGAGUUCAAGAGCUUGCAUUUAUAAGCUCUUGUUACAGUGAUUGAGAGAGUUUGGGUGUAUUGGGGUUUUUGGGAAGUGAGCUAAAAUACUACAAUACUUAUAACUCCUUUUCACUAGUAAAAUAUUUCCUUCUGUCUUCGCCCGUGGAUGUAGGCUAAAAGCCGAACCACGUAAUUUCUGGUGUCCUCUAUUGUGCUUGUUCUUUAUUUUCCUUCUAAUUUCAUUUUAGCUGCGGUCUUGCUUCAUCCACCAAAUUUCCUAACAGAUGCUCCAACAACGAUAAUAGGAGACAUUUCGGCUGAUAAAUUUUCCUUAAUGUGUAAGAGAAUCUUUGCAUAAUCUGCCAAAGCUUGACCAGAGUUGAAAUAUCCACGAAGAGUUGCAUUCUUUAGGGCAUCUUUGCGUGAUAUAAAAGGUACUGAUUUUCUAUAGAACCGAUGCUGCAUAAAAAAUCGAAUUAAAGAAAAAAAAUCCAUCACAACUUUUCAGUUCAUAUUGUAGAAUAUUCUGAUUAAGAUUUGUCUUUAUUAUUAUUAUUUUGUAUGGGAACUCUAUUUCAAUUAUUAUCAAGCUAGCCUGAUAACAGAUUCUUUACUUACCUCUAUGUAAACUUGUAAGGCUUUAAAUCAACGAGCAUUAUCAGUAAGCCAUCCAGUGCCACCAAGGUCAUCAUCAAGACUACUCUCUUUACCAAGAUAUGCCAAUAUCGGCGCCGCCGUGGCUCCACCACCACCCCAAUGUUUGAAGUUCAACACAUAUCUAUGAGAAAAAGUUAAAUAACUUUGUGGAUUAUAGUUAAAGUGAUCAAGUAUUUGAUCAUCAUAAUAAGUUUCGAGAUCACCCUUUGGUUCUGAAGUUAAUAUUUUUUUACUAGGGUUUAGAAAAAUAGUCUUUCCACGCACAACACCAAGCUUUGGGAUGUUUUUUAAUGGUGAAGUGGAAGCAAAAGCAAAAUUUGUGAGGAGAAGAAGAAAAAAGGCAUGGAAGCCACCGACCUUCCAUGGCAAAGUUGUAAAUCCUUAAUUAGCAGGAUGAUUAUGUAAAUACAGAAGAAAUAGAAUUAAGAUUCGGUUAUAAAUUCAGCUUCAGAAUCGACGUGUUUUUUAAUCUAUUCUGGAUUUUUUAUUAUCCUAUCAUAUAAUCAUUGGUGGUUUUAGUUUUAUAUUAGUAAUGAUCUUUAGUUUUCAUAAAAUUAUGGUUUUUCUAAUAUAUAUUGUUAUCAGUUUCGUAACUAAAUACGUUGCGGUGAAAAUUAUUAAGUCUUUCCUUAGUAAUUAACUAACUUGACAUACGUAGUUCUAAUGGUUGGACACAUAUUUCUAAUUUAAUUAACUUGUAAUUAAUUAUUUGCUAGUAAUUAACUUGAUUUAGUAUGUGGUAAAUACAUAAUUUUGAUAAAAUCAGUAAAAAAAUAGUAAAUUUUCUAUCAUGUAAGUGUAAAAUUAAAGAUAUAAUUUUUUUUAAUUACAAUAGCUAAUAUUUACUUGAUACUUUAAUACUGUAACUUUUAAACUAAGCUACCCAAACAUGGUUGUAAUUUUCUAUAAUCAUGCUACCAAAGAUGUCAGGAUUCCAAUCAUUGUUUACGAGGCUACUAUAUAUGUUAAUCAUGCUAAUGCUAUAAGCCUUGGAUUGGAAGUAAUGUAAAUCCAACCGUUGGGUAACGUAGCUAGCCUAAUUACACUUUAUUAAGAGAACAAUACAAUUAACAAUAGUCUCACAUGAAAGGGUGGCAAUUCAUUAUCCGAAUUUGUGAAUUAGACACUAACACAUCAUAUCGAGAAGAUUUUUUAUGACUAUUAUGACAACUUGUUCACGUCCAACAAACCAUCCCAAAGCCAAAUGGAGAAUGCACUGAAGAUCUGCCUCGCAAAGUCACUGAAGAGAUGAAUGCCCAGCUAAAUCAGCCCUAUACAGAAGCAGACAUCACAGAAGCUUUGAGCCAAAUGCACCCUACAAAAGCCCCUGGUCCAGAUGGCCUUCCAGCUGCUUUCUUCCAAAAGCAUUGGAAAUCAGUAAGUCAAGGUGUUACUACCACAUGCUUGCAGGUCCUAAAUAACAAAGGUAACCCUACUCCACUAAAUCAUACUUACAUAGCUCUGAUUCCAAAGGCUGAAAAACCUAAGAAAAUGGCGGAUUUUAGACCGAUCAGCCUAUGUAAUGUAAUUUAUCGGAUAAUUACAAAAACCAUUGCCAAUAGGUUGAAGCUGGUUUUGAACGAUGUAAUCUCACCAGCUCAAAGUGCCUUUGUUCCAAAUAGGCUCAUAACCGAUAACAUAAUUAUUGGUUACGAAUACUUACAUAAAAUAAGGCUUAGUAUGGGGAAAAAACAUGGGCUAGUGGCUUUGAAAUUAGACAUAAGCAAAGCAUAUGACAGGGUGGAAUGGGACUUUUUGAAAUGUACCUUAGAAAAAUUGGGAUUCUCGCUUGGCUUUGUUGAAUUGAUAAUGCAAUGCAUAACUACCUCUUCAUUUUCUGUGCUGAUAAAUGGGGUGGCUAAAGGGCUGAUCCAACCUCAAAGAGGAUUAAAGCAAGGAUGCCCAUUGUCCCCAUAUCUUUUUAUUCUCUGUGCAGAGACUUUUACAAAUCUUUUACAGCAAGCAGAAUCUCAGCAACUGAUUCAUGGGAUAAAAUUCAGCAAUGAACUUUCCAUCACUCAUCUUUUGUUCGCUGAUGAUAGUUUGAUUUUUACAAGAGCCACAAGGGAGGAUUGUACAAAUUUAAAGAAGAUUUUUUAGUGUUAUGUUGCAGCCUCUGGGCAGAUUUUCAAUUUCGAGAAGUCGUCUAUGUUUUUCAGUGAGAGUACCAAGCCGUAGCAGAUUUCCUCAAUUACAACCAUCUUCCAAAUUCAGGUGGUAUCCAGGCAUGCAAAAUACUUAGGGCUGCCCUCCAUGGUGGGUAGAAAUAAGACGAGUUUUUUUAAGGAUAUCAAACUCAGAGUUCUUGGAAAGAUUUCGAGCUGGCAAGCAAAUUUGUUCUCUUGUGGGGAGAAGGAGGUGUUGAUAAAUGAUGUAGCUCAAGUGGUGCCUGCAUAUGCCAUGAGUGUGUUUAAGCUCCCCCUAGGACUUUGUGAUGACAUGCAAAAGGCAAUUGCUAGUUUUUGGUGGGGAAGCAGCCGAGAUCACAAGUCAAUCCAUUGGUCGAAAUGGAAUAAUUUGUAUCAAGCAAAGAGUAGAGGUGGGCUGGGAUUUCGAAACUUGUCCAGCUUNNNNNNNNNNNNNNNNNNNNNNNNNNNNNNNNNNNNNNNNNNNNNNNNNNNNNNNNNNNNNNNNNNNNNNNNNNNNNNNNNNNNUUUUAAAAAUUCAAGUCUGAUGCAGGCUCAGUUAGGCUCAUAUCCUUCCUUUAUAUGGAGGAGUAUUUUAUGGGGUCGAAAUGUAUUAGAAAAAGGGUUGCGCUGGAGAAUUGGAAAUGGUGAGCAGCUGCUAGUGUAUCAAAGUCAAUGGAUUCCUCGAUCUAUAACUUUUCAGCCAAUAUCCCCCCCAUCAUUGAGCCCAGAUACAAUUGUUGCAAAGCUGAUAAGUGAGGAGCAAAGCCGGAAAGAAGCUGUAAUUAGGCAACAUUUUCUAAAAGAAGAUGCUGAUCAAAUUUUGAAAAUCCCUUUGCCAAGACAACCAAAACCUGACCAAGUGUUGUGGCACUAUGAUAAGAAGGGUAAUUAUUCAGUUAAAAGCGGUUACCAAGUGGCUAUGAAAAUGAAUUUUCCUGAGAAGCCAAGCUGCUCGAGUGAGAAUGAUAAGUAUUGGCAUGCUAUUUGGUAUUUGCAACUUCCGGAAAAAGUUAAAAUCUUCAUGUGGAGGGCGGCAAAUAACUUGUUGGCAACGGCAGGAAAUCUUUGGAAGAGGACAGUGGUGCAAUUCCCUUGGUGCCAGAGAUGUAAGUUAUCAAAGGAGACUAUUUUUUCACACUCUCUAUGAAUGCAAAGCUUCAAGGAAAAUUUGGAGGCUAACCCCUUUUGGGGAGGAUAUUGAGUUUAGCAAUGGAAGAGAUGUUCUAAGCUUGCUGUAGGAUUUGAAUGGAAAAAGGAGAAAAUCUGAGAUGGAACUGAUUGUUGCUGUGUGCUGGAGCAUCUGGCACUCAAGGAAGCUUUUCCUCUUCAAAAACAAAAAAGAAGAUCCCCAGCUAUCAGUUGCAGCAGCAGAAGCAAUGGUGCAAUCUUAUAGCAGAAUCCAAAUGCCCCAAAUGCAAAGUAACUCCCAGCUGAGUACUGCUAAUCAGAAACAAUGGAAACACCCUCCAGAGGGCUGGUUCAAAGUUAAUGUUGAUGCAGCAGUAGGAGUGGAACAACAAAGAGCUGGCCUGGGAAUUGUUAUAAGGAAUUCAGGAGGAAAGUUUAUAGCUGCAGCAAUGAAGCCCUCAAAGUUUAUUGGCAAGAUUGAUUUUGCAGAAGCUGAAGCUAUCAGGCUCGGGCUGGAGAUAGCAGAAAAUGUUGGAUGCUUUCCACUAAUUGUGGAAUCUGACGCCCAGGAAGUGGUGGACUUAGUCAAUUUCAAGAAAAGCUCAAGAGCUGAAAUAUUCUGGGUUGCUUCUGAAAUGCAAGACCAAGUAAAGAGGCUGAACCAGGUGAAAGUAGAAUAUACCCCAAGAGGGUGCAAUACAUUAGCUCAUUCUCUUGCAAGACUAGCAUUAGAGCUAAAUGAUUUUGUUUUUUGGGUAGAAAAUAUACCCUCAAAUUUUUUGUACCUAUUCACACAGUUGGAUAAAUGAAAGUAAUACUUUCUCUCAAAAAAAAAAAAAAUUAUCAUGUCAAAUCUCUGUAUCCUCUUCACUAAUCAAUUCGUUUUUGCACUUUGACUUCCCCACAGGGAAUUCUUAAUUAAUUAAUUUAUUUUUUUAAAUAAGUGCAAAAUUUAUCCCGCCGAGUAUAAUCAAGGGGUGCACGUCAAGACAAAACAAGCAACAGCUGCGACAUGGUUUCAGAGUCAUAUCAUCUAUAAGCCAAACGUGUGUCUGCUCAAUUAGACACCAUAACCUCUAAAGACAAAACAAAUGCAUGCAACUUACCAUAAAAAGAUGAAUGACGAAGUCAUUAUGCAAACUAGAAGAAAUGUAAACUGAUAGGCAAUAAUUGAAAUAAGAUGCGAAAUUAUUUAUAACACAAUUAACAAUUCAACAAUCAGAUGUGUUGAUUUAUUUUCAAUCUGACUUAGACACUAUGUUAUAUUUUAUUAUGUUUUAAUAUAUAUAUAUAUAUAUAUAAAUAAUCAAAAAAUUAUAUAAAAUUCACCAUGAAAAUAAGGAAAACGAAAAAAAAAAUCGAACGGGCCCGCUGAUGGAUCACCAAUGAACGAAAAAGAGCAACUGAAACAAACGAAAUGCAAUGGCAUUUUGGGGAAUCUAUCAAAAGCUGAUACCCUUUUUGCCGAUUCCCAGCCAACCUCUAUAAAUUGCCCGCAAUUGGAAAAAUUCGACCAAAAAAAAAAACAAAUUCACUUCAAAAAGUUCACACACACUCACACACACGCGCGCGCGCGCGCGCGGAAGCCUACUUCUUCUUCUUCUUCUUCUUCUUUCAAUUCUCUGGUAAAACGCAAUAUUUUUUUGUCGUUUUUUCUUCCUGUUAAUACUUAAUGCUUGGGCGUUUUGUGUAUAAUGGAAAUGGAGUCUCGUGUCUGAUUUAUUAUCGCAGGGAACGAUGAAUUAUGCUGAUCUAAAUCGACGUAUCACCGUUAAGGUAACUAUAUAAUUUUUUAAUUUCAAAUUCAUUUCUUUCUUUUCUUUUGUUUUUUAAAAGAGUAAUAUUAGCUUCAACUGUGAUGCUGUUCAGUAGCAGUGCUGACCUUUUUAUUCAUAAAUGUCUUCAGAUAUUUCAUAAUAUGGAAUAUUCUUCUUUAUUCUGUUCUAUUUAUUUACUGGUUUUAAUGUACAUAUUGUCGAGGAGCUAAAUACGCGAGUAUAAAAAUUAACUUCAACUGAUAAUUGGUAGUCUGAUUAUGCCAUUAGUUUUAUCGAGUCCACGUUGAUUCAGUUUGUUGUUUGAUUUUUAUGUGGAACUGUUACUUGAUUAUACAUGAACAUUCACUUGUGCAAAUUUAAUAAUGCCACAUUAUUUAAUAUUUAAUUUUGAAGGCCACUUUUUUAGUUGAGGGCAGGGAACCACUACGAUUCCAUAACACGCUCAUCUAAUCACCUUGACAAUAAGACUUCUCCUAGUCGGCAAUUAUUUAGAAAUAACGUCUUGACAUAUGCUGCGGAAAUUAAAGAAUGAAGUAGACUUACGAAGUCAAGGUGUUUUUCUAGUCUACAUAUUUUAAUUUGUGUAGAAAAUUAGAAAUAUUCAAUGUAUAAUCUGAUUCUACACAAAGACUAAUGCCCCAAGAUUGUGAUUGAAAUGCUAUAAGCAGCUUAUUUUAUAAGUUUAGAUAAAAAUGAAGUUUGAUGGCUUCGUUAAAAGUUGUUUUUUUUAAUAAUUUUCUCUAUUUUGACUGUAACUUUUAAAAACAAAAUAGAGAUUAUUUUUAUAAGUAACUUAUUAAAUAAGUUGCUAUAUCUUUUUAAAUGUUCAUAUUAUAACCUUAAUAUUUUAAGAAAAGAAUAAUUAUAUCUUACUUUUCUAUAAGAUCUAAUAUAUAAAUAAAAGACAAUUUAAACGCAUGUUUAUUUUAGUCAUUAAAUAAUACAACACAUUCAUAAUCAAAUUUACUAAACGUGAGCAAGAUACUUUUUUAAUCAUCAACUUAUUUCGUCCUCACGAUAGAAAUAACUUAUUUUAUCAACCACCGCCAUCCUAAACUUGGUGCUAAGUCUCGUUUGGGAUUGCAUUAGAUUGUCAAAUAAUUAAGAGAAAUAGCUAUUAAGGAGAAGAAUAGGAAGAGGUUCGCCAGAAGCAAUAUACUCGCAAGCUUGGCUACUAAUAAACGAAGCAUACAAGCUUAAACACCUAAAAUAUAUAUAUAGAGAGUAGUUUUUUGGUACGGGAUCUUAAAGUGCGGGAAACAUUAGGAAAAUUUUUAAAACCUCGGGAUUUUAAAGGCUUAAUAAUUAAAACACUUAAACUGAACGGUUUAUGCGUUUUCCCGGACGUUCUCGUACUUUAAAAUUCUGAAUUAGAAUAUUUUUAUAUGUGUGUGUUGUUGUCCAAAUUUUAAUGUACUCGCAAGCGCACGAAUCUAUUGUUGUAUAGAUCAAUGGUGACGAGUGUCGAUCCCACGAGGAGGUGGAUUUUAAUUGUGUAGAAUUAAUUUUGUAAAUGGGUGAUUGGAUUUGUGGUGGAAAUGAUUUGGAAUAUCCUAAAACUUAAAUUAAAAUGGCGAGAAUAAAUUCUAAAAUUGGAAUUGAAAUUACGAGAAUAAAUUGAAGAGAAUUCUAUUAAAAUGACGUACUUGGGUAUCUGGAUCCGUAUCAACAUGCAUCAUGGGCUAAAUAAUCCUUAUUAAUGCCAAUUAAAUCAUGAGGGGGGAAUCCACACCUCAUGAACCACACUCUAAUCAAUAUGGUGCUAAGGGCUUAUCGUGCCAAAUAAUAAUAACCUUGUACUAGAGGGCCGGUGAAACCAAGGCGGUACUAGACAAGAUUAGUAUUAUUUGUCGACGAGAAGUCAAAACAUCCACAAAAACUAGAGGGGAAGAGAAAAUAAAUUUACCAAAUAAAACCCAUGACACAUGUUGAGACUUCACUUUCAACCCAAGCUUGAAAGAAAAUUAGCUACUCAUAAUUGAACUAGGGGCAAAAUGAGAAUUUAUUAAAAUACGAAGAAACUACAAGAUGGAGAAGGAAUUACAAAAAAUAGAGUCCAAAAAUGGAUUCAGAGAUAUCAAAUUAUGGGGGAGAGGCCCCCUUUUUAUAGAUACAUCAAGUAAAUCAUGGCCAUCGGAUUAAAAACAGUUUGGACGCUCAGGAUUGCGCCACGUCAUCAGUCAACAGUACGCGGUUUGACCACGCGGAUGAACAGUAACACGGUUUGACCUAGAUGAAUAGUAACGCGGUUUGACUCGGAUGAACAGUAACGCGUUUGAUUGAAAAUAAUCCUGUGUGAUGCAUGUACCGUACGCGAGAUUUUUCGUCCACUGAUAGGCUGCCACGUCACCAUCAACAGUACAUAAGAAUUUUAGCCCAACAGGAUCGUGACACCUCAUCAGUCAAUGCCACAUCAUCGGUCAAUGCCACGUCAUCAUCCGUCUAUGUGAACAAUGUAGUGAACAGUAACGUAGACAGUACCGUACACGUGAAUAGUACCGUACAUGUGAAUAGUGUCAUUUUUCCUUUUAUGCUCCUCCUAAGGUUUUCGACCGUCCUGAGUUCAAAAGUGAUGUCCGUUUUGCCGUCUGAUCUCUCCUUUAUUGUAAAAUGACUAUAAUGCCCCUAAAAUACAUAAAAUACUUAAUUAAAAUAAAACACAUGUAAUUAAAUCACAAGAAGGUUAAAUACAUAAAAGUAAGGGUUGUUAGUAAGACUUGAAAUGUAAAAUGACGGUCUUCUCUUUUAUAAAUUUACAUUUUCUAACACUCAACACACCCCCCAACCAGCUUAUUGCUAGUCCCUAGCAAAUAAAGCGAAAACAAAAUUCAAAUUCAAAAUAAAUUUUUUUUUAAUAAAAACACUCGUAUUUAUUCCAUUAGAUUAAUAAUAGCAAUCAAAUAAAAGUAUAAGCAUUAUCUCCAGUCUAAAGCAACAUCACACCCACAUCAACCAUCCACAUGAAUCAGCUCAGUAGACUUUGUUAUAGCUACUUUCAAGAAUGACAUGUCAAACCCCAAAAUCUCACUGGAAGUAGUGACACUCUCACAAAGAAAUUAAAACCAAUAAAAAUAGUCACUCCAAUGAAUGGUAAUUGAGAGAGAAAAUAAUAAAGAAGUGAUAUCACAUGCUCUCACCAAGAUGAAAUAAAUAUGCCCUCAGCUUAGAAAUAAUACAGUCUCAAGUCAAAUAAAAAUGCUAGUCAACCCAAUUUAUUUAUCUUUUUUUUAUAUUUAUUUAUUUAUUUUUAUUAUGCACCACUACAUCUCUUUAGCCCACAUAACUAGCUUCUACUUCAAAUUAUAGUUCCCUAAAAUCAGGAAGGACUUUUAUUAGGAUGUAACGUAGGCUAGGGACAUGGUUAACAAAGAAGGGAAAUAAGGAAAACAAAGUAUAUGUUUGAGAAAAAUGCAGAGGACUUUUUUUUUUUUUUUGGGAGUUGCAAGGUGGAUUUCACCUAUUAUUGUUAUUUUUAUUCUUUUGAAACAACAAUUUUUUUCUUUUGUUUUAGCAACAACAAUUUUUUAUUUGAACUAGGCAUAACUUCAUUGUACAAAAUGUUUAUUUACAUUUUUCUCAAACAUAAAUAGGUGAUGGAACUUAUAAGACAUCGGGUAAUACUCCAAAUCGGAGUGGGUCAAGAUGAUAAGUUGACAAAGAAAAGGUUUUUUUUUUUUUUAAAGGCUCAAAAGGGUUAACUAUGGAUAUUUAAUAAAAGGGAUGGCUAGAAAGGCUCAAACGGAUCAAAGAUGGCCUUUCCAUCGUCUUUUAGGGCUCUAAAUAAUCAUCCAUAUCUACUAGUUAGACAGGCCUCCAAAUGUAGCAACACACUUUUUUUUUUUAAUUUUACAAUUUUUUUUAAGGAUUAACUUAAAAGAAAUCUAAAGAUCGUGUAUAAAAUAAUAAACUGCUAAACUGUAUAGAGAAUGGGCAAAAGGGUUACUCUCCAAGAAAAUAAUAGGUUCAACAACUCACUUGGCACUUAUUUAUGACAUGUUCAUUCCUUCAAGCAACUCAUAUUUGUCUCCGACAUCAACAUGUAGAGUAGCAAACAUAAUGUAACAUCACUUAAGACCAAAGAUAAUACAAAUACUAAAAUUUGAAAUUAAUCAUGUCAUCCAAUGUUAAAACAAAUCACACAAUUUUUUUUUAACAACAUUCUACCCCCCAACCUAUUCUAAACAUGAAAGGAAAAUAUGCAUGCAGAAAUGUGAAAAUGAUGCAUAAAAACUAAUUAGAAAAGUUACACGUAAAAUAAUAGAAAACAAAGAUGGUUUUUUUUUUUUUAAAGAUGCGUUUCUAGAGGCACUACACUCCAUAUUCAGCCAUCUUCGACUCAAAAGUUGGAAAAUGUAUAUUUAUAGAGGAGAAAUUAAAAAGAAGAAGAAAAAUGAACAUCAAAACUUAAUAAAGAAAAAAAAAUUAUUUUUAAUUUUUUUGUUUUUUUAAUUAAUUAAUUUUUUUUAAAACAAUGAAGAUGCGUUUCUAGAGUCACUAUCCUCCAUAUUCAGCCAUCUUCAACAUAAAAAGUUAGCAAUAGUUAGUUUCUACAACAAACAAUUAGUAAAAACUUAACCAAAAUUCCACAAUUGUCGACUAUUCACUCCCCCCAACCAGAAUGAAACAUUGUCCUCAAUGUUUGAAAGGAAAGAAGUAGAGUUUAGAAGACAUCACCUGGGUGGUGCAACAUAGAAAAUAAUAUUUACAAGCGGAGAGUUAAAUCUAAUUUGUACUUCUUACUGCGGCUACCGUUACCAUCAUUAUUUGGAUGCUCCAACACAAAGGUCCAGGGGUCUGGCUCCGGUCUAUAAGCUUGUAACAUAUCAAGUAGCUCAUUAGCAGUGUGAGCACAAAUAAAGAGUUUUUUCGCAUUAGAGGGAAUGAAAUAGUUUUUUAUUGCAUGGUUAAGAAAUGCGAUAAAGCCAUUAUAAAAGUUAUUGACAUUUAACAAACCGAUGGGUUUUUGGUGGAUAUGCAGAUGGGCCCAAGAUGCUAGUGUGAUAAGUGCCUCUAGUGUUGCAAGAUCUCCUGGAAGGAAAAUAAAAGCAUCAGCAUGAUUAAGCAUUUCAGUUAUUCUUUCUUGCAUACCUGAGACGACUAACUCUUCUCCAGUUGAUGAGUUAGACGAACUGCCCAAUGGUUUUAGGACUCUUGGAAUGAUGCCUAACACUUGACUUCCUCUGACAAAAGCUGCUUCAGAGACCAUUUUUGAUAACCCUCGGUUACCUCCUCCAUACACCAAGUGUAAUUUUCUCUCUGCUAUACUUCGACCAAGAUCGAUGGCUGCCUCAACGAACUCUUUAUGUUUGCCAUAGGUAAAUCCAGAAAGCACACAAAUGUUCUUGAAUUGUCUAUUUGGAGUAGCUGCCAUUAUGAUACUUCUCAAAAAAUAAUUUGUGAGUGCUUGUAAAAAAAAAAUCACAUUUAAGAGCCUUGGUGACAGUGGGUCAUAGUUGUGUAUGAGGUAACAUGUCAGUGUCAAAUAACGUGUAAAGCACGUGGCUCGCGAGUCAAAAAGGAAACAGUAAAAGGGAAAAAGCAAACAGUAAUAAGGAAAAAGCAAACAGUAAUAAAAUUAUUAAAGACAAUAAUGCACACAAUAAAACAAUAGUGAAAUAAAAUAACAGUAAAGUGAAAGGAUAUUUACAGAUAGUUGCGACUGUGGCUCACAUCUUCCUCUGGUUUUAAGUCUAGAAACGGCUUGAACGCCCUCUAUGGGUCGAGGAUAGGCUUCUUAUCCAGUUUUGUUAUAAACUGGCAAACAGGGUCGUUUAUAGUUAGAUUCUCAAGACUAUAUCGUGCAUGCUCUUUCUGGAAUAAUGAUCAUAACUGGAGAAUCGCUCCUUGCACAUAUCCACUGGGAUGCGUUUCAAGAGACAAAAUGAUAUCAUCCAAUGACUCCUUAUUCAAGCCAUCCCUAAUGAAUUGAAUCUUAUCUUCCCUGUUAUCAGACAUCAUUCCUAAAGAACAUGGGUUUUUAUUGCAACUCAUUCUGGCACACUUAUGACAAACAACAGAAAUUCUUCGAGCUCGUUGUUUUCUUGCAUAAUUUUCUUUACCACAACCAGGCAUGUAUGCAAUAAAUUUUGGAGGUAACUCACCUGCCGAUCGUACUUUCGCCUCAAUUAACCAACGAAUAUCAGCAGGUAUGUUAUUCCUCAUGAGCAAUCGCAUGCGUUCGGACCGAGCUUUAUAGAUCGUAAGGAGGGCAUUCUGAGGAAGUGAAGGGAAUCGCUUGUAAAGCUUCGCUAGAAUCUCCUUUCUGUCCAUACUUUCGCCUCAGAAUAUCAGUUAUUAUGGGAAACUGAAGUAACCGACUUGAUUAUCACGGAGUACCGUUAUCCGCCACUUCACCAAGGUAACAAACUAAAGCACACAAACAGAAAAACAAAUUAAAACACAUAAAGAAAAUUAAAAUCGUCCUCUUAUUGAAUUCACCUCAAGCUCCAACUGGAUGUCGUAAACACUUCUCUCAAUAUCUCUGAGUUGGCUUUCUAGACCCUCAACAUAGGAUACUAACUCUGGUGGUUGACACGUUGAAGUGGUUUAAGAAUGUUCAGGAGGAAUGGUCUAAGUAAGGUACUCAUGAUUAAAAAUGAUAAGAGAAAACUUAAUAGUUAAACAAACACACUUAUGCAAAAAUAAUUUCAAUUAGCAAAAGAAUAAUAUAAAGAAAGAAAGAAAGAAAAAAUCAAAUCACUGAAAAGAAAAAAAUCAAUUCAAAUUUGGUGGGUCACUCAAAUUUAUUUCGAUGUCUUCUCCAUGUGGUUGGUAUUCUAGAUAUGGCUUUAAUCUUUGAGCAUUAACUUUAAACAUGACGCCAUUCUUUGGGUCCUUAAUUUCAAUUGCCCCAUGUGGAAAAACAGUAUGAACAAUAAAGGGACCAGACCAAUGAGAGCGUAACUUACCUGGGAAUAGGUGCAAGCGAGAAUUGAAUAAAAGUACUUUCUGACUUGGAGUGAAUGAUUUUCUCAUAAUUUGCUUGUCAUGAAAGACUUUCAUCCAUUGCUUGUAAAUCUUGGCAUUUUCGUAUGCAUCAUUGCGAAUUUCUUCAAGUUCUGCCAGUUGUAAUCUUCUUUCUGAGCUGGCUUGCUGCAUGUCAAAGUUGAAUUUCUUGAUGGCCCAAUAUGCACGAUGCUCGAGUUCCACAAGUAGGUGGCAAGCUUUUCCAUACACUAGCCUGUAGGGUGACAUCCCAAUCGGGGUCUUGAAAGCCGUUCUAUAUGCCCAUAAGGCAUUAUCAAGUCCUAAUGACCAAUCUUUUCUGUCCGGCCUCACCGUCUUUUCUAAUAUGUGCUUUAUUUCUCGAUUGGAGAUCUCAACUUGGCCACUGGUUUGUGGAUGAUACGGGGUCGCCACUUUGUGUGUGAUUGAAUACUUUGUCAAAAGAGCUUUGAAUGCUUUGUUACAAAAGUGGGCACCACCAUCACUGAUUAUUGCUCAAGGGAAUCCAAAGCGUGAGACAAUAUUGCUUUUCAAAAAUCCUAUCACCACCUUGUGAUCAUUGGUUCUGCAUGGAAUUGCUUCUACCCAUUUCGAUACAUAGUCAACAGCAACUAAUAUGUAUUGAUGGCCAAAAGAAGGGGGAAAGGGUCCCAUGAAGUCGAUACCCCAUAUAUCAAAAAUCUCAACCACUAAAAUUGAAUUUAGUGGCAUCAUGUUCCUUCGUGUAAUGCUCCCCAUUCGUUGACACCUAUCAUAUGAAGAACAGAAAGUGUAAGCGUCUUGAAAUAUAGUUGGCUAAUAGAAACCACAUUGCAAAACUUUAGUAGCUGUUUUCUUAGCACUGAAAUGGCCUCCACAAGCUUGUUCAUGGCAGAAUGAAAGGAUAUUCUGAAUUUCACUUUUGGGACACAUCGUCUAACAAUUUGGUCUGCACAAUACUUGAACAAAUAAAGGUCAUCCCAAAAGAAAUUCUUUAUUUCUGCAAAAAAUUUAACCUUGUCUUGCUUGGUCCAAUGCUCUAGAAGUUUACCUGUAACAAGAUAAUUAACUAUAUCAGCAUACCAAGGUAAUACUUCCACAUUCAUUAAUUGUUCAUUUGGAAAUGACUCAUUCAAUGGUAAUGAUUCUGUAAUUGUGUCAAAAUGGAGACGAGAGAGGUGGUCCGCCACAACAUUUUCUGUCCCUUUCUUAUCUUUGAAUUCCAAGUCAAAUUCCUGCAAAAGUAACACCCAACGAAUUAGUCUAGCUUUUGCAUCUUUCUUUGUAAGAAGAUAUUUAAGAGCAGCAUGAUCUGUGAACACGAUUAUUUUACAACCAAUGAGAUAAGAUCGAAAUUUCUCCAAUGCAAACACUACUGCUAGCAUUUCUUUUUCAGUAGUUGAAUAGUUCAACUAUGCAUCAUUCAAUGUCAUACUAGCAUAGUAAAUAACGUGGGAAAUUCGAUCAACUCUUUGUCCUAAUACUGCUCCUACUGCAUAAUCAGAUGCAUCACACAUGAGCUCAAAUGGUAAGCUCUAGUUCGGGGCCUGAAUGAUGGGUGAUGAUGUCAACAACUGCUUUAAUUUUUUAAAAGCCACAAGACAUGAAUCAUUAAAGAUAAAAGGUACAUCAUUAGCAAGUAAAUUGCAUAAGGGUCUAGAAACUUUGCUAAAAUCUUUAAUGAAACGUUUAUAGAAACCAGCAUGCCCAAGGAAAGAUCUUACUUCUCUGACUGUUUUGGGUGGAGGAAGAUUAGAAAUGAGAUCCACCUUGGCUUUGUCAACCUCAAUACCUUUGCUCGAAAUGAUGUGACCGAGAACAAUACCUUGUUUUACCAUAAAAUGACAUUUCUCCCAAUUUAAAACCAAGUUCUUCUCAAUACAUCUCUGCAGAACUAAUGUUAGAUGAUGUAAACAUUGAUCAAAUGAAUCACCAAAGACAGAAAAGUCAUCCAUAAAGACUUCAAGGAAUCGUUCAACCAUAUCAGAAAAAAUGCUCAACAUGCAUCGUUGAAAUGUAGCAGGUGCAUUACAUAAUCCAAAUGGCAUCCUCCUAUAUGCAAAAGUGCCAAAAGGGCAAGUGAAAGUAGUUUUCUCUUGAUCUUUUGGUGCUAUGGGAAUCUGAUUAUAUCUUGAGUAGCCAUCUAGAAAGCAAUAAAAUUCAUGGCCUGCUAAUCUAUCAAGCAUUUGAUCGAUAAAGGGUAAAGGAAAAUAAUCUUUACGUGUGACAGAAUUCAACUUUCUAUAAUCAAUGCAAACACGCCAUUCUGUAGUUACUCUAGUGGGUAUCAAUUCAUUAUCAGCAUUGGUAACUACUGUGACUCCUGACUUUUUGGGGACAACUUGUACAGGACUGACCCAUGAACUAUCAGAAAUUGGGUAAAUGAUACCUGCAUCUAAUAGCUUAAGGACUUCUGUUCUAACAACUUCUUUCAUAUUAGGAUUUAACCGACGUUGCAUUUCCCUAGUAGAUUUAGCAUUUUUAUCAAGGUGAAUGUAAUGCAUGCAAUCUACUGGAUUUAUACCUUUUAUGUCUGCUAUGGUCCAUCCUAAUGCUCCUUUGUGCUCUUUUAAAACAUCCAACAACUUACCUUUUUAUUCGUCAUUUAGGGAUGAUGAGAUGAUUACCGGUACAGUACUUUCUUCUCCCAAAAAUGCAUAUUCCAAAGUGUUGGGUAAUGGUUUGAGCUCAAGUUUCGGUGGUGAUUCUGAUGAUGGGAUGAGUUUCUUCUCUGAUGGUGCUAGUUGCUUAACUCUUGACUUCUAUUUAUCAGUGUCCAUAGAUGGUGUUGAGUCAAGUAGGGCGUUGACCUCAUCGACCGAUCUGUCAAUAUCAAAAUCCAAACCAAAGUGAGUUAAACAUGUUUGUAAAGGAUCAUCACUAAGGUUUGAAACAAAAGUAUCAUCAACUAAUGCUUCAAUUAAAUCCACAUCAACAAUUCCAUCAUCUGCACUGUGAGGUUGUUUGGCAAUGUUGAAGAUGUUCAGCUCCAUAGUCAUGUUGCCGAAGGACAACUGCAUAUUUCCGGUCCUGCAUUGAAUGUGAGCAUCCACAGUUGCCAAGAAAGGUCGGCCUAGAAUAAUGGGGAUGUGCUUCCUCGAGUCCUGUAUUGGUUGAGUGUCAAUUACAAUGAAAUCAACAGGAAAAUAAAAAUUGUCUACCUGGAUAAGCACGUCCUCCACAAUACCAUGAGGUAUUUUUGUGGACCGAUCUGCAAGUUGUAACACCACUGGAGUUGGGUGUAAUUCUCCAAGUCCAAGUUUCACAAACACUGAAUAAGGUAACAGAUUUACACUAGCUCCUAAAUCCAACAAAGCAUUCUCAAUUGUGUGGUUCCCUAUGCUACAUGAGAUAGUAGGGGAGCCCGGGUCUUUGCAUUUUAAAGGAAUUUUGUGUUGGAGUAUAGAACUAAUGUUUUCUGUUAAAAAUGCCUUAUUUUGAACAUGCAUAUUUCUUUUUUUAGUACAAAGGUCUUUAAGAAACUUGGCAUAAGAUGGAACUUGCUUAAUAGCAUCAAGCAAAGGGAUAUUAACACUUACCUGUUUGAAGAUUUCAAGAAUCUCACCUGUGGAUUUUCCCUUUUUUCCUUUAGCUAACCUUUGAGGAAAUGGAGCUUUCGGAACGUAUUCUCAUGAGUUGUUUUCUUCUUUCUCCUCCGGUGAUGAGUACUCAACAUUCACAGGUACAAUUUGAUUUUCUUUUGUCACCAGCAUCUCCACUUUGUUGUCGACUUCUUUUCCUUUUCGCAAUGUCAUGACUGCUUUGACUUCUCCAUGCUGUUGUGGUGAACUGGUACUUGCUUCAUGUACUUCUUUAGGAUUAGGCACGGGUUGACUUGGAAACUUGCCUUUCUCAACAGUCAUUGCCAAGGUCUGAACUGAAGAAGCAAGUUGUCCCACCAUCUUCUCGAGGCUUGAAACUGAUUGGGCUUGUGAGUUGAAGCCCGCUCUCAAUUCAUUUCGUAGUCCAUCAAUGGUGCGGUUCUGUUGCUCAAUCGUGGAGUGAGUAACAUUCCUGAAAUUCUGGAAUGCAUCCUCCCAUGGUCUAGGUUGAGAGUGGUUCUGGUUCUGAUUGUAUGGUCUGAAUGGUGGCUGAGAGGCUUGAGGAAUUUCAGAAAUUUGUUGCAUUGGUGGAGCUGGAGCUGCUGGUCCAUUCUGUUGGAAUCUUUGAGACCAUGAAAAAUUGGGGUGGUCUCUUCAUCCAGGGUUAUAUGUGUUGGAGUAUGGAUUGUAAUUUGAUGGCUUUCUCAUUACACCUAUGGCAUUGGCUUGAUCAGAGUAUGACUCAGGGUCAUGUGGUUCUGUUGAUUUAGCAGUCGAUAACGAUGCUAUUUGUCGAGCAAGACCUUCAACCAUCUCCUUGACUUCUUUGAAUCCCGAAGUUGACUCGCGAAUGUGAACCUCAUUUACUCCCUUAAUUCUUCUAGUAUUCCUGAAUGAUCGACUCCGUUGUUGGGAAUUAUCCGCUUGUCGCUGGAAGAAUUCCCAAAUCUCUGAUGCACUUUUUGACAUUAGCUCUCCUCCACUUGUUGCCAUUAGCCAUUCUUGCACAUUUGGUAGUGAUCCCUCCAAAAAGUAUUGGCAUUGGUGCCAUUUCUCGUACCCAUGAUGUGGACACUUCAAGAGUAGCCCAUUGAAUCGCUCCCAUGUUUCGAAAAACUGCUCGUACUCUCUCUGAGUAAACUCCGAGAUUUCCCUGCGAAUAGCAUUGGUUUUAUGCACUGGGAAAUAUUUAUUCAAAAAUUUAGUUACCAUUUGUUCCCAUGAUGAAAUGCUAUUGGCAGGCAAUGUAUUAAGCCAUGAACGAGCUCUAUCCUUUAAAGAAAAUGGGAAUAAUCUGAGUUUAACAUCAUUGUCUGAAAAAUUUUCAUAUUUAAAGUUUGACAAAUGGCAUGAAAAUCAUUCAGAUGAUUAUAUGGGUCCUCAUUUUCUAGGUCAUAAAAUGUGGGGAGACAAUUUAGCACACUAGAUUUUAAUUCAAAGCUCCUAGCAGCUACAUUUGGGUAUCUUAUACAUGAUGCGCUCAAAUUUGCUAAAGGACUGAAAUAAUCCUUAAAUGGCCUCUCCUGUGGUUGCAAAUCCAUUUUAUUUUUUACUUGUUUGUGUGUGCGAAGUGUUUUCUCAAGUUCAAGGUCUAUAGGUUCAAGAUUGGGUAAUAAUGACAUUCGACCAUGCAUGCAAAACAAAUAAAAUAAAAAAUAAAGAUGGGAACAAAAUAAAUAAAAAUAAAAAAGAGGGAGAAAUUACGAUACUAACCUUAUUGGGCUAUUACAAACUUUCUAUAAAAAUACACAAAAACAAAUACGUGAAAUAAAUUAACUAAACAUUAAAUUAAUAAAAUAAACAAAAAAAAUUACAAAGAAAAAUAAAUUAAAAAUUAAAUUACAGAAUUUUAAAGAAGAGAAAAAGGAAAGAAAUGCUAACCUUUAAAUGUAAAUUCACUUUUUUUUCUUUUUUUUAAUAAUAAAAAAAAUACAAGAAAACAAAUAAAAGAAAUUAUUCACAAAAAUUAAUUCUAAAAAUUACUUACCUCCCUGGCAACGGCGCCAAAAACUUGUUGUGCAAAUUUUAAUAUACUCGCAAGCGCACGAAUCUAUUGCAGUAUAGAUCAAUGGUGACGAGUGUCGAUCCCACGAGGAGGUGGAUUUUAAUUGUGUAGAAUUAAUUUUGUAAAUGGGUGAUUGGAUUUGUGGUGGAAAUGAUUUGGAAUAUCCUAAAACUUAAAUUAAAAUGGCGAGAAUAAAUUCUAAAAUUGGAAUUGAAAUUACGAGAAUAAAUUGAAGAGAAUUCUAUUAAAAUGACGUACUUGGGUAUCUGGAUCCGUAUCAACAUGCAUCAUGGGCUAAAUAAUCCUUAUUAAUGCCAAUUAAAUCAUGAGGGGGGAAUCCACACCUCAUGAACCACACUCUAAUCAAUAUGGUGCUAAGGGCUUAUCGUGCCAAAUAAUAAUAACCUUGUACUAGAGGGCCGGUGAAACCAAGGCGGUACUAGACAAGAUUAGUAUUAUUUGUCGACGAGAAGUCAAAACAUCCACAAAAACUAGAGGGGAAGAGAAAAUAAAUUUACCAAAUAAAACCCAUGACACAUGUUGAGACUUCACUUUCAACCCAAGCUUGAAAGAAAAUUAGCUACUCAUAAUUGAACUAGGGGCAAAAUGAGAAUUUAUUAAAAUACGAAGAAACUACAAGAUGGAGAAGGAAUUACAAAAAAUAGAGUCCAAAAAUGGAUUCAGAGAUAUCAAAUUAUGGGGGAGAGGCCCCCUUUUUAUAGAUACAUCAAGUAAAUCAUGGCCAUCGGAUUAAAAACAGUUUGGACGCUCAAGAUUGCGACACGUCAUCAGUCAACAGUAACACGGUUUGACUCGGAUGAACAGUAACACGGUUUGACUCGGAUGAACAGUAACGCGGUUUGACUCGGAUGAACAAUAACGCGUUUGGUUGAAAAUAAUUCUGUGUGAUGCAUGUACCGUAUGCGAGAUUUUUCGUUCACUAAUAUGCUGCCACGUCACCAUCAACAGUACAUAAGAAUUUUAGCCCAACAGGAUCGUGACACCUCAUCAGUCAAUGCCACAUCAUCGGUCAAUGCCACGUCAUCGAUCCGUCUAUGUGAACAAUGUAGUGAACAGUAACGUAGACAGUACCGUACACGUGAAUAGUACCGUACAUGUGAAUAGUGCCAUUUUUCCAUUUAUGUUCCUCCUAAGGUUUUCGACCGUUCUGAGUUCAAAAGUGAUGUCCGUUUUGCCGUCUGAUCUCUCCUUUAUUGUGAAAUGACUUUAAUGCCCCUAAAAUACAUAAAAUACUUAAUUAAAAUAAAACACAUGUAAUUAAAUCACAAGAAGGUUAAAUACAUAAAAGUAAGGGUUGUUAGUAAGACUUGAAAUGUAAAAUGACGGUCUUCUCCUUUAUAAGUAUGCAUUUUCUGACACUCAACAUGUGUGUGUAUGGAGGGCAAAUCUUUGACUACCUCCAGCUUCAAGGACCUAUACAAUAACUCUUAAAUCAAACGGAGAAAAUAGUUAAUUCAAUCUGAUUGAAUAUGAUUGAUAUUUACCAUAUGAUUAUUACAUAAAGAUUGAGCCUUAAGUGUUUUACAUUAAGUAAUACUGCACAUUUGUUCUACACAUUUAGACAACUCAGAGUAAGAAUUAUGAAAAUGACAACCAAAUCCAAACUAGCUAGGUGCACUAUUAUUAUUUAUCUUUGCUCCAUAAAUAUUAGAAAGAUAGAGGAGCGGAAGAAAAAGAAAAAACUAAUUUUGUAGUCACAAAUCAAUCUUAUGCUCUGAUUUUGAAGCAAAUCUGCAAAAUAUUUGAGGAUCCAACCAUGAAGCAUGUCCACUUCAAUCUUUCGCUGCACUGCUAACCAUUAUGGGUCGUCUUCUAUUGCUGGCUGUACGUCUAAGCAAUGGGAACCUACUCCAAUUUACACACUGUUAAUUAAUUAUGUUAUCAAAUAAUUUAGUUAAUAAUUGAACACUUAUUUUUUAUUUUAUAGAAAAAUUUACAUACUGCUUCUUGUUGUCACUGUUAUUAUAUUGUCUGAUAUCUUCCAAAACCCUAUAAUCUCCCCCCCACCAAAAAAAAAAGAAGAAAAAGAAUAAGGCAUAUAAUUAAACGGGUAACUUCGAUAGAAAAUAGUGUACAAAAUUUUUAAGCUUAAUUACCCCUCGCUGCUAUGGGAUCACGAAGGCCAUUAGGUAAAAUAAUGUUGCUACCAAAUCUCUUUAAAACCACUCUUAUAUCUUGCAAAUUAAAAAGAAAUAGAAAUCAAACAACAAUUGAGGUAAACUUUAUAAUUAAAAAAGAAAAUGAGAAAAAUUAAAUUAUUAAAAGAAUUAAUUUGGGGAUUAAUCAAUACUUACAUGACCUCCGUAAUAUGUUGUAAUCUAAUGUGGUCUCGGAACCACUCCAUAAGACUUAUUGCAUGAAUUCAUAUAUUCUGUCAGAUUAAAUGAGUAUGUUUGAAACAUUGUGUCGUUUUUGCCAAUUCCAAUUGGUGAGACCAUUUCAUUGUAUGUCUGGAUUGAACUCCCCCUCCCUAAAAAAAAUAAUAAAUAAAUAAGAUAAAGAAGAAAACUAUUUUUAAUCAUUCAUAAAUAUGUAUUCUCAUAAAUAAAAUUUAGAGAUGUACAUAAAAUAAGUAUUGUUAGACGAAAGACUCAUUCAUUGCGACAUGUUGUUUAUUUGACGGUCUCAAUAGUACUAUCCAAUUGGUUUAUUGGCUUAUAUUUGUGUGGUGUAGAUCUAUUUGAAUAACAUUGCAGAAAUAUGAGAUAAUAUGGAAAAUAUUAGAAAUAGUUAAUAGCAUUAUUAAGAUACUAAAUAUCAGCCAAAAUAAUAAAAUAAAUAAAAAGCUCAAAGAGUUCUUGUUGUAAAUCAUGACUCGAAUAGGAAAAUAAACAAGACUAAUCAUAUCUUUGUGUAAAUUUAAUUUGUAUAAAAAAAACGUGUAGGUGUAAUAUUAUAAAUAAACUCAUAGAGAAAAGAAUGUGUAAACUCCUGUGAUUUGACAAAAUAAUCAAAAUAAUCUGUUUAUUUUUUAAAAUAGUUACAAAGCUCCUUUUGUAACAUACAAACUAUGGAAAUUCAUGGGCUACUUAACAUCCAUUUUAAUUUUUUUUUAUUUACACAAAAACAUCAUAGACGAAAGAAGAUAAAAAAUUUCAUUGCACCCAAUUUUUUUGCAUGCGAUCAAUAAGGAAAAGAGGCAGAAAGUGUUGGAAAUAUAGCACAAGUGGCUAUUUGAGGCGUGAUUUUGAGUGAGACCUAUGUGGUGUAAGUGAAAAGUUAAAAUUGUUUCAAAUAUUUCUCUGUAAAUACUUCAAAAUGGUUUUAUCUAUAUGAUCAAAAUGAUCCUUGGAUAAAUGAGAAAUGGUAACUGAAAGUAAAUUCAUGGAAUUGGAAAAUUAAAGGAAGAUACAUUUGUCCCACAUGAAAAAGGUAGUGAAGGCAUGAAAGGCUUGUAUAUAAUUAUUUAUAGUAUGAGUAAAAUAUAAACCAAAAUGCUCUCUCUUCCGUGCUCCUUCCUGAGUAUACGAAAGUUGGCCCAAAUCGAUCGUGGUAGGCCUGCCUUAGUCUUGCACAUUUGAAGUUCAUCGUGAAACGAUCCCAUAGUUGUCGUUCAAACCUCUGGGCACUUAAAAAAAGGUUUUCUUUUUAUUUUUUUUAUAUUUUUUAAAUUUAAUAAAUGCCAUAUUAUUUAAUAUUUAAUUUUAAGGCAUCUUUUUAAGUUGAGGGCAGGGAACCACUCCGAUACGUAACUUCGUGACCUGCUAAUCUAAUCACCUUGACUUUGAAGACUUCUUCCCCUAGUCAGCAAUGAUUUGGAACUUACGUCUUGACAUAUGCUGUGGAAAAAAAAGAGUGAAGCAGACUUAUUAAGUCGAGAUGUUUCUUCAGUCUAGAUAUUUUCGUUUAUACGUGUACACAUAUUCAAUGUCUAACCUUAUUUUGAAAAAAGACUAAUGUCCUAUUUGGGAUUACGGUUGAAAUACUAUAAAUAGUUUAUUUUAUAAGUUUUGAUAAAAAUAAUGUUUGGUAAAUUUGUUAAAAGUUAAUUUAUAUUUUCUCUAUUUUGACAAUAGCUUUUAAAACAAGUAUGAGAUUAUUUUUAGAAGCAACUUAUUAAAUAAAAUGCAUUUUUUUAAAUUUUCUAUUAUAACUAAGAAAAGAAUAAUUGUAUCUUACUUUUUUUAUAAAUCCUAAUAUAUAAAUAAAAGACAAUUUAAACUUAUAAUUAUUUUAGUGAUUAUAUAAUAAAAUAGUUCUUGCAUAAUUGAAUUUACCAAACACUGAGCGAGCUACUUUUAUAAUGAUUAGCUUAUUUUAUCCGCAUAACAGAAGUAGUUUAUUCAAUAGCCACCGGAAUCUCAAACUGAUUCUAAGUCAUGUUUGGAAUUGCAUGACAUUGUCAAAUAAUUAACAAAAGAAGCUAUUAUGUAGAAGCAUAGGAACAGGUUGAGAAUGAGAGAUACAUGUACAUGGAGAGCAAAUUCUUUUACUCUCACCGGCUUCAACGACCUAUACAAUAACUCCUAAAUCAAAGGGAGAAAAUGGUUAAUUCAAUGUGAUUGUACAUGAAUUGAUAUUCACCAUAUGAUUAUUACAUAAAGAUUGAGCCCUUUAUAUGUGCUUUACAUUAAGUAAUACUGCACACUUGUUCUACACAUUUAGACAACCCAGAUUAAGAAUAAUGAAAAUGAACUCUUAAACUAGCUAGGUGCUCUAUUAUUUAUCUUUGCUCCAUAAAUAUUAGAAAGAUAGAGGAGAGGAAGAAAAAGAAAAACAACAACAUACACUCUAAAUAAUCCUUCAAUUCUGAAACAUCCUUCAGAGGCUUGUAAUCAAAUAAACAACAACAACAUAGAAUUAAGUGCCACAAGGUUAGUAACAUUAUAAAAGAUCUUUCAACAUGCCGUCUAAAAAAUGUUGUUAUAUUUAGUUAGAUUACAAUAAACUUUAUAAGUAUGAAGCUAUUGAUAUUAUCAAAUGCAAACGUACAAAUUUGGCCUUAUUUGAUAAUUAGAGUUGUGCGUGGUUUUGUAGUUCAAAUUUAGAUUCUGUAAAAUACGAACCUCUGGAGGGCUGAAUCUAAGCACCAGUAUACUAUAUAUAUGGUAAUGCAAAGGCCGUGUAUAAGCCCAAAUCCAGAUUUUUACUUUGUAUAUUACACGUUAAUCGAAAUGUAUAUAUACUCUGAGGAUGACAGAUAAUUAAUUAGACAUAGUACAUUCGAUAAUGAUGCUACAAUAACAUUGCAUUAAUUGUAAUUAAGGGAAAAUCGGAUGGAUAUAUAUAAGCAAUUAUGUAAAGUAAUAUGAUUAAUUUCUUGCAGGUUUUGAACUUUUUAGAGAGAAAAGCAAGUCCAUUUUUUCUAGCAGCGGUUUUAUCCAUUUCAACCCAGGACUGUUUGAUGGUCAUGUAGCAGCCCUCGCUGGCUUCCUGCAUCAUUAAUUUUCAAAAUUCAAUGGUUAAAUUUUAACAAGAAAACAUAAUCAUACAUAUAUAGAAUUUUAAUUAAUUAAUUUUUUUUCUUACCCUACAGUCAUUGGUGACAAGAUCAUAAUAUGCGUUUGAUGGUGUGAUAUUAUCAAAGUAGAGAAUUGGGGCGGGCGAGGCAACUGCUCCCAAAGACUGUGAGGAUACUUCAAGCGAAACCAUGCUGCAAGCACUGGUGAUAACAAACCCACAAUUGAGUAACUCUCAAAACCAUAUCACAUCCCAGAUUUGAUAAAAUAGGACUAAUUGAGAUGGUUAUUUUUAAAAAAGUAAUUAUCUUAAAUAUAUUUAGUAUUUCUUAAUUUUACGAUCGCUGAAAGUAUUCAUUAAUUGGAAUGCAAAAUAAAUUUGUAUCAAAAUAAUAUUGGCGUAAUCAAUAUUUUGGUCAAACGAGAUCAAAAUGAAUAAAAUGGCGCAACAAAUGACACGACAUUAAUCAAAAGAUGUAAGUAAGUUAAUAAUAUUAAAAUUUACUUCCUCGAUAAGAUGCUCCAACGACGAUAAUGGGUGACAUUUCGGCCGAUAAAUUUUCCUUGAUGUGUAAGAGAAUCUUUGCAUAAUCUACCAAAGCUUGACCAGAGUUUAAAUAUCCACGAAGAGUUGCAUUGUUUAGGGCAUCUUUGCUUGAUACAAAAGGUACUGAUUUUCCAUAGAACCGAUACUGCAUGAAAAAUUGAAUUAAAAAAAAUCCAUCACAACUUUUCAGUUCAUAUUAUAGAAUAUUCUGAUUAAGAUUUGUCUUUAUUAUUAUUAUUUCGUAUGCGAACUCUAUUUUAAUUAUUAUCAAGCUAGCCUGAUAACAAAUUCUUUACUUACCUCUAUGUAAACUUAUAAGGCUUUAAAUCGAUGAGCAUUAUCAGCAAGCCAUCCAAUGCCACCAAGGUCAUCAUAUCAAGACUACUCUCUUCACCAAGAUAUGCCAAUAUCGGCGCCGCCAUGGCUCUGCCACCACCCCAAUGCUUGAAGUUCAACGCAUAUCUAUGAGGAAAAGUUAAAUAACUUUGUGGAUUAUAGUUAAAGUGAUCAAGUGUUUGAUCAUAAUAGUAAGUUUCGAGAUCAUAAUAGUAACUUUGUGGAUUUUUUUGCUAGGGUUUUGAAAAAUAGUCCUUCCACGAACAGCACCAAGCUUUGGGAUGUUCUUUAAUGGUGAAGUGGAAGCAAAAGCAAAAUUUGUGACGAGAAGAAGAAAAAGGCAUGGAGCGACCGACCUUUCAUGGCAAAGUUGUAAAUCCUUAAUUAGCAGGAUGAUUAUGUAAAUACAGAAGAAAUAGAGUUAAGAUUAGAUUAUAAAUUCAGCUUCAAAAUCGACGUGUUUGUUAAUAUAUCCUGGAUUUGUUGUUAUCGUAUAAUAUAAUUAAUGUUGCUUUUAGUUUUAUAUUAGUAUGGAUCUUCAGUUUUCAUAAAAUUAUAGUGUGUCUAAUGUUGUGCAAAUUUUAUUGAACUCACAAGUGUACGAAUCUAUUGUAGAAUAGAUUAAUGGUGACGAGUAUCGAUCCCACGAGGAGGUUGAUUCUAAUUGUGUGUAGAAUUAAUUUUUCUAAAUGGAUGUUUGGAUUUGUGGUGAAAGUGACUUAGAUUAUCUUAAAAUUGGAAUUGAAAUGGCGAGAAUAAAUUGAAGAGAAAUCUAUUGAAAUGAAACACUUGGGUAUCUGGAUCCGUAUCAACAUGCACCAUGGGCUAAAUAUUCCUUAUUAAUGUCAAUUAAAUCAUGAGGGGGGAAUCCACACCUCAUGAACCACACUAUAAUCAAUAUGGUGCUAAGGGCUUAUCGUGCCAAAUAAUAAUAACCUUGUACUAGUGAGUCGGUGAAACCAAGACGGUAUCUAGACAAGAUUAUUAUUAUUUGUCGACGAGAAAUCAAAACAUCUACAAAAACUAGAGGGGAAGAGAAAAUAAAUUUACCAAAUAGAGCCCAUGACACAUGUUGAGACUUCACCUUCAACCCAAGCUUGAAAGAAAAUUAGCUACUCACAAUUGAACUAGGGGUAAAAUGAGAAUUUAUUAAAAUACAUAGAAAAUACAAGAUGGAGAAUAAAUUACAGAAAAUGGAGCCCAAAAUUGGAUUCAGAGAUAUCAAAUUAGGGGGGGAGAGCUCCCUUUUUAUAGAUACAUUGAGUAAAUCAUGGCCAUCGAAUCAAAAACAUUUCGAACACUCAGGAUUGCGCCACGUCAUUAGUCAACAGUACGCGGUUUGAACAGUAACACGGUUUGGUUGAAAAUAAUCCUGUGUAAUGCAUAUACUGUACGCGAGAUUUUUGGUCCACUGAUAUGUUGCCACGUCAUCGAUCAACAAUACAUAAGAAUUUUAGUCCAAUAGGAUCGUGACACCUCAUCAGUCAAUGCCACAUCAUCGGUCAAUGCCACGUCAUCGGUCAAUGCCACGUCAUCGUUCCGUCUAUGUGAAUAGUGUCAUGAACAGUAACGUAGACAAUACCGUACAUGUGAGUAGGACCGUACAUGUGAACAAUGACAUUUUUCCUUUUAUGCUCCUCCUAAAGUUUUCGACUGUCCUAAGUUCAAAAGUGAUGUCCGUUUUGCCGUAUGAUUUCUCGUUCAUUGUGAAAUGACUAUGAUGCCCCUAAAAUACAUAAAAUACUUAAUUAAAAUAAAACACACGUAAUUAAAUCACAAGAAGUUUAAAUACAUAAAAGUAAGGGUGUUAGUAAGACUUGAAAUGUAAAAUGAUGAUUUUCUCCUACAUAAAUAUACAUUUUCUAACACUCAACAUCUAAUAUAUAGUUAACAGUUUCGUAAUUAAUAAAAUUUUUUAUUAUUUCUUUCCUAGUAAUUAAUUAUCUUGUGCUGGAAAGAAUAUCACUAACCACAACUUCUGCAGAAGCUUCCUCACCUUCGGAUGACAUCAGCGGUGGGUCCAGGAUGUUUGAUCGGAUCGGCGAAAUUAAAAAUUUAUUGUAUAUGUUUGCGUGAAUAUUUACAAAGGAGUGAAAAAACUAAUAUAUUAAAUAACGCGACAUCAACAACGUCGUUCUGAAUGAAAUUUUUAUAUAUAAUUUGUAAAAUAAACUAAUAAUUAGAAUGACAAUUUAGCCUUUUUAACUUGUAGAGACACAACCUUAAAUUCCUUAAUAUGCUGGUUAAUUCAGAUCAUUGAGAUGGAGACAAUUAGACAAACCUUAUUUUAUCAGAGUGAACUGCGAAAGUACAAGCUUUACAAAAGAGAUUAAUGUCGUAGUGUGAAUAGAAUUAAAAAAUACUAAGGCAGACAAUUCGUCGAACACAUAAUAUUUGCUACAUUGCUACUACCUAAUAAUUUCACAACCAAUUAACAGUCUCCUUUAUUGGAAAAAUCACAUUAAUCAACCAAAUACAUUUCUUGGUUUCUAAGCUCCAAAAUUGAAAUUUCAUGAAAAGGUUUCUGCAUUGGUGUCUUAUUGCGAGCGAUAAAUUCGUUGGACACGAGUUGCAUUGUAGGUCGAGACUUUGGUUGAGAACGCAAGCAUGAAAAUACUACUGUUGAAACAAGAAUGAUAUCCUGCCUAAUCAUUUGGUCCCCCGGAGGCGGGAGGCGUGGGUCCAACAAAUCAAUCAGCUUUAUAUUUUUAUCCAAUGAUGACGAUGACGAUGAGAGGAGCGCUUCUGGAUGCCUUCCCACUAGUACUUCUAGUGCCACCACUCCAAAGCUAUAAACAUCACAUUUCUCUGUCACAAUCAUGGUGUAGGCAAGUUCUAUAGGAAAACAAAGGCCUUCAUUAGUAACGUUUCCAUAAAUAAUAACAAGAACAAUUUGUUCAUGUUUUUUAGCUUCCGCAGCAAGUUAUGACAAAGAAACUUAUGUUUUAACUUAUGUUCAUUGUGUGUGUGUUUUAAAAGGAAAAGGGGUAGGCAAAGUUUAAAUUUAUUUUUAGCCCCUUAGCUUUUUCAAAAUUCGAACCAAGUAGCGACAUAAAUAAAGCUGCUUAAAAGCUACUUGGCAGAGUAUAUAUAAAAAUUAAUUAAGAGGAUAAUUAAAGAAGCAUAAGAGGAAUAGCUAGAGGAUGACCUGGAGCAAUAUAUCCAAAAGUGCCAGCUAAAAGAGUUCGGUUGGAUGAGUCAAAAUUUAACAAUCUAGCAAUGCCAAAGUCCGCAACAAAUGCUUCUAAUUCUGAGUUAAGUAGAAUGUUGUUGCUUGAUAUGUCCCGGUGAACAAUUGGUGGUGUGCAGUGAUGAUGUAAGUAUGACAAAGCGUGAGCCAUACCCUUCACAAUGUUCACCCUUUUAGUCCAAUCCAACCCAAUAGCUUCCUCAUCUGUGCGUAGAACACAGAACAAGCUUCCCAUUUCCAUGUACUCAUAGAUUAAGAACAUGCAUGUCUUGUGCAAACAAAAGCCGUAAAGCUUUACGAUAUUUCGAUGCCGUAUUUGGGACAGUAGACGAGCCUCAUUCCGAAAACUCUCGAGGGAAGCUAACUCCUCAGUUUCUGAACGGUGAAGCUUCUUCAAAGCAACCACUUUUCCACUGGGCAGCCGUGCUCUGUAAACGCUGCCGUAGCCUCCGGUUCCAAUGCAGUAUUUGAUAUCGAAAUCCUCAGUGGCUUCAAUCAUGUCUUGAAAUGUAAUUCUACCAUCGUAAUUCCAAAUUGCAAACUCAUCAGCGCACUUGGUAAUUUCUCCUGUCCCAGUUGGUUCAACUUCCUUAUCCCUUCGUCUACGGAUAAUCAAGAUUCCAAAUAUCAAGGCAAGGAAUGCGACCAUAGCAAGAAUAAUUGCAACCAAGAGAGUGGCAAUCAUUUUGUGAUGUGGCGGUGGCGCAUUUGCCAAAGUAGUUGGGAUUUCUCCUCCGAAUUUAUUACCUGACACAUCUAAGUGUGGCACUUUUCUGACAAAUACAGGGAUUCCACCGGAAAGGUUAUUCAUGGAAAGGUCCACGGUGUGUAUGCCCGGAAUUGCUCCAAGUUGGUAAGGUAUUUUACCAUUGAUGGAGUUACAGCUUAGAUCAAGAUAAUAUAGUUCUUGAAGUUUGCCAAUCUGUGACGGAAUGCUUCCGCUUAACAAGUUGUUUCCCAAUAUUAAUGUCGUCAGCUUUGAGCAAUUCAUGAGUUCUGGAGGAAUUGGGCCAUCAAGUUUGUUGUCAGACAAGUCUAAAAAUGUCAACCUGUUUAAAUGACCAAGUGUUAAAGGAAUAGAUCCAGUUAGAUUGUUAUAUUCCAGGGACAGAGAUUUCAAGUUGACUAAACUAGCUAUGGUCGAAGGAAUUGGACCUUCAAGUUUGUUGUUGGGCAGGUCAAGAACUUGAAGAAAGUUCAAAUGACCCACAGACGAAGGGAUUGGACCAACAAGUUUGUUUUCAGACAAGUCUAAAUAUGUCAACCUGUCUAAAUGACCAAGUGUUGAAGGAAUAGGUCCAGUUAGAUUGUUAUCCUGCAGGGACAGAUAUGUCAAGUUGACUAAACUAGCUAUGGUCGAAGGAAUCGGACCUUCAAGUUUGUUGUUGGACAGGUCAAGAACUUGAAGAAAGUUCAAAUGACCCACAGACGAAGGGAUUGGGCCAACAAGUUUGUUUUCGGACAAGUCUAAAUCUGUCAACCUGUUUAAAUGACCAAGUGUUAAAGGAAUAGGUCCAAUUAGAUUGUUAUAAUGCAGGGACAGAGAUGUCAAGCUGACUAAACUAGCUAUGGUCGAAGGAAUUGGACCUUCAAGUUUGUUGUCGGACAGGCCAAGAACUUGAAGAAAGUUCAAAUUCCCGAUUUCUAAUGGGAUGGAACCAUUGAUUCGGUUUGAGUGCAUAUUCAAAGUAGUUAGCUGAGUCAAAGGACCUACAGACGAAGGGAUUGGACCAACAAGUUUGUUUUGGGACAAGUCUAAAAUUCUCAACCUCUUUAAAUGGCCAAUUGUUGAAGGAAUUGAACCUCCAAUUUCAUUUCUGGACAGGUCAAGAACUUGAAGAACCUUCAAAUUCUCGAUUUCUAAUGGGAUGGAACCAUUAAUUUGGUUUGAGGCAAUAGCCAAAGUAGUUAGCUGGGUUAGAUGACCUAGAGUGGAGGGGACAUUACCAACAAGGGAGUUAGAAGACAAGUUCAAAAUUUUCAAUUUGCUUAGACGACCAAGAGUUGGAGGGAUAUGUCCCGUAAGGUGAUUAUUAGAUAGAUCCAGGUGGACGAGAUUCCUCAAUCUCCCCAUCUCUGAAGGGAUAAUUCCUGUUGUGCAUGUGAUUUAUGAAAAACGAGAUCAGUAUUCACUAUCCUCAUAGCAACAAAAAAAAAUGCAAAAUUUAUAUGGAGAGAGAGUCAUACUCAAGUGCGGACGGCACACACUUCUUCAGCGUUGUAAAAGCAAACGCCCGCACUAAGCAUGAGCACGAUUUUAUAAAAAAUAUAAUAUGUUACAGUGAAGUUUGGCAGCUUACCGGUAAGAUUGUUGGAGGUCAGUUCAAGAGUUCGGAUUGUUGAAAGAACAGUAAUUUCAGAUGGAAUGCUCCCAGAGAGAAGAUAAUUUGAACGAAUUUUGAAACUUCUGAGGUUGGGAAAGCAAGAGAAUUUGAAACGACCAAGCUCUCCUGUGAUGUUAUCAUUUUCAUACCAGAGUAAGCUGACCCCGAUUACGCUUACCGCUGAAUUGCAACUGAUGCCAGUCCACUUACAAUGAUCGGACGUGUAGUUGCCCGUCGUCGCCCAAUUGUUGACCCACCAGCCGGUAGCAAGUAAAGCUUCCCUUUCUAACAGUAUGGGUGACGACAACAAUCCUGCAGCUGAUGUCGUUACAGAUAUUGUCGUAUCACUUAUAGCACCAACAUUUAUUAAAAUUAUAAUGACCACCAGUCUCGAAACAGAGGACGCUGAUGCCAUGUUUAUGGUGGUUUUCUGUUGAUUGAGCUACAUUUGAUUCUCAGCAAAGCGUUUAUAUAAGAAUCAAUUGUUUUGCAAGCUCCCAGUGUUAACUUCCAAUACGCGUUUUCAAAUAGUGUGAGUCAAUGUCUUCUCUGGAUGGAUUCAAUCAUGGAGAUAUAACCUUAUCGGCUUGUAUUUGUGAGGUGUAGAUCUAUUUGAACAACUUUGCAGAAACAUGAGAUAAUAUGGACAAUAGUAGAAAUAAUUAAUAGCAUUAUUAGUAGUAUAAGAUAUUAAGUAUUACCCAAAAUAAGAAAAGGAAAAAAGUUCAAAGAAAAGAAUUGUUAUAAAUAAUGGCUCAAAUAGGAAAAUAAACAAGACUAAUCAUAUCUUUUGUAACAUACAUACCAUAGCUCAUGGGCUAACUAACAUUUUUUUUUUUUAACCCUAAACAUCAUAAAUGAAAGAAGAUGAAAUUUUAAUUACCGCUCAAUUUUUCUGCACGCAACCAAAUUUAAAAAAAAAGAAAAAAGAAAGUGUUAGAAAAAUAAUGCGCAAGUAGCUACUUGAGGCAUGAUUUUGAAUGAGACCUUUUUGGUAUAAGUGAAAAUUCAGAAAUUGUUUCGCAUAUUCCUCUAUGAGUACUUCGGAAUGUUAUCUAUACAAUCAAAAUGAUCCUCAAGUGAAUGAGAAAUUGUUACUCAAAGUGCACUCAUGAAUUUGAAAAAUUAAAGGAAAAUACAUUUGUCCCACAUUGGAAAGAUUUAUACAUAAUUACUAGAUGAACGGUAAGCUACUAUUAGCAAAGGGGCGUUCCUUGUGCACAGUCACGGGAGUGCAAAAUUUAACCACCCCAAUUAGCUUAACCAGUGUUCAUAUUGGGGGUGUUUACCCGACCCUUAGUUGGGGUUAGCUAAUGUGGCAACUUAGUUUGCCUUUUUUUUUUUUUUGCUCUUUGUAAUAAUAAUAAUAACAAAUUAAUAUAAUUUUUUAAUUUAAUAUUAUAUUACAUAAUAUUAAAUUAUGUUUUAAUUUUUAUUAUUUUAAAUAUAUAACUAAACAAUGUAUUAUUUAAUUGUAUUAUUUUAAUUAAUAUAUAAAAUUAUAUUAAUUAAUCUUUAAUAAGUUAAUAUAAUUAGUAAUAAAUACUUAAAUAAUAUAAUAUUACAUUAUUAAUUAUAGUACAAUAAUUAAUUUAGCUAUUUUUAAAUAAUUUAAUAUAACUAACAAUAAAUAUUUAAAUUUGAAUAAAUUUGAAUAAUAUUAAUUGAAAAUUAAUAAUAUAAAUAAUUACUGGAUUAUUUAGCUCAAUUUAUUUUCUUAGUGAAUAUGUCAUAACAAUUGUAUCACUUUAUUAUUCUAUAAUUAUCUUGUAAUAUGUAUAAAUUUUUAUUCUAUCAUCCUCAAAUGAUUUUUGAAUUAAUCUUGAAGAUUUUAACUAUUUAUUUAUGUUGUUAAAUUAUUUAGUGAUUAUUUGAUUAAAUUAUUUACUUCGAUCUUUAUUUCACAAGUUAUAUAUUUAGAAAAUACUGAAAAAUACACAUCCAAAAAUUUAAGACUAUAAGCCUCGGAAAAAUUAUGACAUUUCAAUAUAUAUUUUUAAUAAAAAUGUUAAAUUUCUAAAUUUCUAAAAUUUAAUAAUUUUAUAUUUAUUAUUUUUAAGUACUAAUAAAUAUUAUUUUCUAAAUAUAUAAUUUAAAUUAAUCACAAAAAAAUUAAUACAGUACAGUGUAACGCUAAACAUUAUACAACAUUAUUAUAAUACAAUGCUAAUGCAAUACAACAUAAUACAAUACACCUACAAUAAAAUAAUGCAAUACAACAUAAAAUAGAAUACAGUGUGUCAAAUGCACCAUUGUAUUAUUGUUUCGUUCUCAUGGUAUAAUUGCCGUCCAUACCUGUGCAAAACAUUAAGAGUUAAAAAUAUAUAUUUUUAUGAUUAAUUUUAGAUUUUUUUAAACUUUAAUAAUGCCAUAUUAUUUAAUAUUACAAUUGCCGUUCGAACAUGUGCAAAACAUGAAGACUAAUAUAUAUAUAUAUAUAUAUAUACACACCAUAUUAUUUAAUAUUUAAUUUUUAAGGCAACUUUUACUUUUAAAAAAAAAAUUUAAGGCAACUUUUUUAGUUGAGGGCAGGGAACCCCUACGAUACGUAAUUCCAUAACACGCUUAUCUAAUCACCUUGACUAUAAGACUUCUCCUAGUCAGCAAUUAUUUGGAAAAAAACGUCUUGACAUGUGCUGUGGAAAUUAAAGAAUGAGGUGGACUUACGAAGUCAAGGGGUUUUUCUAGUCUACAGAUUUUAAUUUAUAUGUGUAGAAAAUUAGAAAUAUUCAGUGUCUAAUCUGAUUCUACAUAAAGACUAAUGCCCCAAGAUUGUGAUUGAAAUACCACAAGCAGUUUAUUUCAUAAGUUUAGGUAAAAAUGAGGUUUGAUGGCUUUGUUAAAAGUUGCUUCUUUCGUAAUUUUCUCAUUUUGACUGCAACUUCAAAAAAUAGGCAGGAGAUUAUUUUGAUAAGCAACUUAUUAAAUAAGUUGCUAGAUCUUUUUAAAUGUUCCUAUAAUAAUCUUAAUAUUUUAAGAAAAGAAUAAUUAUAUCUUUCUUUUCUAUAAGCUCUAAUAUAUAAAUAAAACACAGUUUAAACUUAUGUCUAUUUUAGUGAUUAAAUAAUACAAUACAUUCAUAAUCAAAUUUACCAAACACAAGCAAGAUACUUUUUUAAUCAUCAACUUAUUUCAUCCUCACAACAAAAAUAACUUAUUUUAUCAGCCACCGCCAUCCUAAACUUGAUGCUAAGUCACAUUUGGGAUUGCAUUUGAUUGUCAAAUAAUUAAGAGAAAUAGCCAUUAUGGAGAAGAAUAGGGAGAGGUUCGCCUAAAGCAAUAUACCCGUAAGCUUGGCUACUAAUAAACGGAGCAUAUAAGCAUAAACACCUAACUUUUGAGGCAUAUAAGGGAUCUAAAAGUGCGGGAAACGUUCGGAAAAACUUUAAAACCACAGGGUUUUAAAGGCUUAAACUGCAUGGUUUAUGUGUUUUCCUAGAUAUUCCUACACUUUAAAAUUCAAGAUUAAAACAUUUCCAUAUGUGUGUGUGUGUGUGUGUGUGUGGAGGGCAAAUCUUUGACUCUCUCCAGCUUCAAGUACCUAUACGGUAACUCUUAAAUCAAAAGGGAGAAAAUGGUUAACCCAAUCUGAUUGUAUAUGAAUUGAUAUUCACCAUAUGAUUAUUGCAUAAAGAUUGAGCCUUAAGUGCUUUACAUUAAGUAAUACUGAACACCUGUUCUACACAUUUAGACAACUCAGAGUAAAAAUUAUGAAAAUGACAACCAAAUCCAAACUAGCUAGGUGCACUAUUAUUAUUUAUCUUUACUCCAUAAAUAUUAGAAAGAUAGAGGAGAGGAAGAAAAAGAAAAGACUAAUUUUGUAGUCACAAUUUAAUCUUAUGCUCUGAUUUUGAAGCAAAUCUGCAAAAUAUUUGAGGAUCCAAUCAUGAACCAUGUCCACUUCAAUCUUUCGCUGCACUACUAACCAUACUGGGUCAUCUUCUGUUGCUGGCUGUGUGUCUAAGCAAUGGGAACCUACUCCAAUUUACACACUAUUAAUUAUGUUAUCCAAUAAUUUAGUUAAUAAUUGAACACUAAUUUUUUAUUUUAUAGAAAAAUUUAAAUACUGUUUCUUGUUGUCACUGCUAUUAUACUGUCUGAUAUAUCUUCCAGAAUCCUAUAAUCCCCCCCCCCCCAAAAAAAUAGAAGAAACAGAAAAGAUAUAUAAUUAAACAGGUAACUUCGAUAGAAAAGAGUGUACACAAUUCUUAAGCUUAAUUACCCCUCGCUACUAUAGGGAUCACGAAGGCCAUUAGAGAAAAUAAUGUUGCUACCAAAUCUCUUUAAAACCACUCUUAUAUCCUGCAAAUUAAAAAGAAAUAGAAAUCAAACAAAAAUUGAGGUGAACUUUAUAAUUAAAACAGAAAAUGAGAAAUCUUAAAAUAUUAGAAGAAUUAAUUUGGGGAUUAAUCGACACUUACAUUACCACUUUAAUAAGUUGUAAUCCAAUGUGGUCUUGGAACCACUCCAUAAGACUUAUUGCAUGAAUCCAUAUAUUCUGUCAGAUUAAAUGGGUCUGCUUGAGACAUUGUGUCGUUUUUGCCAAUUCCAAUUGGUGAGACCAUUGCACUGCAUGUCUGCAUGAGAAACCCCCCAAUAAUAAAAAAUAAUAAUAAUAAAAUAACAUAAAGAAGAAAACUAUUUUUAAUCAUUCAUAAAUAUAAAGUCUCAUUGCCACAUGUUGUUUAUUUAACGGUCUCAAUAGAACUAUCCAAUGAAAUCAUGUCACUUGUAAUUGCAUACCUGUCAGCCCCAGCUGGAGUCCAAUGUUGCAUCGGAGAAGAAUUCAUCAACAUCAUGGCAAGAAUCCUCCCCUCUUAAAUCAACAAUUCCUGAGAUGAUCCAGUCUAGGGCAUCUGUGUCUUCUAAAGCUCCAUCAAUUGCAUUACAGGCUUUGUUCACUGGGCUUUCCUGAGGAUCAUCAUACUGAGCUGCACCCGUAUACAUAUACUCUAAAUAAUCUUUCAAUUCUUAAACAUCCUUCAGAGGCCUGUAAUCAAAUAAACAAUAACAUAGAAUUAAGUGCCACAAGGUCAUUAAUUUUAUAAAAGAUCUUUCAACAUAUUGUCUUCAAAAUGUUGUUAUAUUUAGUUAGAUUACAAUAAACUUUAUAAGUAUGAAGCUAUUGAUAUUCUCAAAUACAAACGUUCAAAUUUGGCCUCAUUUGAUUAUCAGAGUUGUGCGUGGUUUUGUAGUUUAAAUUUAGAUUCUGCAAAAUAUGGACGUCUGAACCUAAGCACCAGUAUACUAUAUAUGGUAACGCAAAGGCCGUGUAUAAGCCCAAAUCCAGAUUUUUACUUUGUAUAUUACACGUUAAUCGAAAUGUAUAUAUACGCUGAGGAUGACAGAUAAUUAAUUAGACAUAGUACAUUCGAUAACGAUGCUACAAUAACAUUGCAUUAAUUGUAAUUAAGGGAAAAUCGGAUGGAUAUACAAUACAAUACAAUAUACAAUAUGGAUAUACAAUAACAUACAAUAUGAUUCUGAUACAACCCCAAUAUUACAGUUAGACAAGCCCAACUCAGCUAGCUCUAUCAAUACUGAGGAAAAGGCCCAGGCAAACUCAAGUGAGGCUAUCCAAAAUCGACCCCAAGAUAACCUCAAGCCAAGUCGCGUAAGGAAGCCUCCCAAAUGGCUCAAGGAUUACACAUACUGAGCAUAUAUGAGCUGAGGACUCGGUUUCUAACGGCCUUAGCUAUUUAGAGAACAACUUUUUUGUUAUAGAGGGAGGUUGUUAUUUAGUUUUGACAGCUGUGAGCAUAUUCUUGCUGCUAUAAGUAUUUCCAUGGUUGUAUUUGAUGAUAUAUAAAAUUCUGGACCUAGUUUCUUCUUCUUCUCUGAAUUUUUCUCUCUAUUCUAUCUUGCCAUUCACUCAUUUCUUUAAAAUUCUGGGAGCUUGCACUUGCUUGAAAAGUGUGGAAACCUUGCUGUUCGGUGUGUUCACCAGCGGCAUAACAGAUUCAUUACUUGCAGGUUUUGAACUUUAUAGAGAGAAAAGCAAGUCCAUUUUUUCCAGCAGCGACUUUAUCGAUUUCAGCCUAGGACUGUCUGAUGGUCUUGUAGCAGGUCUCGCUGGCUUCCUGCAUCAUUAAUUUUCAAAAUUCAAUGGCUAAAUUUUAACAAGAGAACAUAAUCAUGCUUAUAUAAAAUUUUAAUUAACUAAUUUAUUUCUUACCCGAAAGUCCUUGGUGACAAGAUCAUAAUAUGCGUUUGACGGUGUGAUAUUAUCAAAGUAGAGAAUUGGGGCGGAUGAGGCAACUGCUCCCAAAGCAAUGUGACGAUACUUCAAGCGAAACCAUGCAGCAAGCAUUGUUGAUAACAAACCAACAAACGAGUAACUCUCGAAACCAUAUCACAUCCCAGAUCUGAUAAAAUAGGAUGAAUAGAGAAGAUUAUUUUUAAAUACAUAAUUAUCUUGAACAUAUUUAUUAUUUCUUGAUUUUACGAUCGCCAAGAGUAUUCGUUAGUUGCAAUAUUAAAUAAAUUUGUAUCAUAGUAAUAUUGCUGUAGUCAAUAUCUUGAUCGAUCAAUCGUGAUCUAAAUGAGUAAAAUGAUGUGACAGAUGACACGACAUUAAUCAAAAGAUGUAAGUAAGUUAAUAAUAUUAUAAUUUACUUCCUCCAUAAGAUGCUCCAACAACCAUAAUGGGAGACAUUUCGUCCGAUAAAUUUUUCUGGAUGUGUAAGAGAAUCUUGCAUAAUCAGCCAAAGCUUGAGCAGAGUUGAAAUAUCCACGAAGAGUUGCAUUCUUUAGGGCAUCUUUGCUUGAUACAAAAGGUACUGAUUUUCCAUAGAACCGAUACUGCAUAAAAAAUUGAAUUAAAAAAAAAUCCAUCACAACUUUUCAGUUCAUAUUGUAGAAUAUUCUGAUUAAGAUUUGUCUUUAUUAUUAUUAUUUCGUAUGUGAACUCUAUUUCAAUUAUUAUCAAGCUAGCCUGAUAACAUAUUCUUUACUUACCUCUAUGUAAACUUGUAAGGCUUUAAAUCGAUGAGCAUUAUUAGUAAGCCAUCCAAUGCCACCAAGGUCAUCAUAUCAAGACUACUCUCUUCACCAAGAUAUGCCAGUAUCGGGCGCCGCCAUGGCUCUGCCACCACCCCAAUGCUUGAAGUUCAACGCAUAUCUAUGAGGAAAAGUUAAAUAACUUUGUGGAUUAUAGUUAAAGUGAUCAAGUGUUUGAUAAUAAUAGUAAGUUUCGAGAUCAACAUAGUCACUUUGUGGAUUUUUUUGCUAGGGUUUUGAAAAAUAGUCCUUCCACGAACAGCACCAAGCUUUGGGAUGUUCUUUAAUGGUGAAGUGGUAGCAAAAGCAAAAUUUGUGACGAGAAGAAGAAAAAGGCAUGGAGCCGCCGACCUUUCAUGGCAAAGUUGUAAAUCCUUAAUUAGCAGGAUGAUUAUGUAAAUACAGAAGAAAUAGAGUUAAGAUUAGAUUAUAAAUUCAGCUUCAAAAUCGACGUGUUUGUUAAUAUAUCCUGGAUUUGUUGUUAUCGUAUAAUUUAAUUAAUGUUGGUUUUAGUUUUAUAUUAGUAUGGAUCUUCAUUUUUCAUAAAAUUAUAGUGUGUCGAAUAUAUAGUUAUCGGUUUCGUAAUUAAUAAAAAUUUUUAUUAUUUCUUUCCUAGUAAUUAAUUAUCUUGUGCUUACCAGAAUAUCACUAACCACAACUUCUGCAGAAGCUUCCUCACCUUCGGAUGACAUCAGCGGUGCGUCCAGGAUGUUUGAUCGGAUCAGCUAAAUUAAAAAUUUAUUGUAUAUGUUUGUGUGAAUAUUUACAAAGGAGUGAAAAAAAACUAAUAUAUUGAAUAACGCGACAUCAAGAACUUCGUUCUGAAUGAAAUUUUUAUAUAUAAUUUGCAAAAUAAGCUAAUAAAUAGAAUGACAAUUUACCCUUUUUAACUUGUAGAGACACAACCUUAAAUUCCUUAAUAUGCUGGUUAAUUCAGAUCAUUGAGAUGGAGACAAUUAGACAAACCUUAUUUUAUCAGAGUGAACUGCGAAAGUACUAGCUUUACAAAAGAGACUAAUGACGUAGUGUGAAUGGAAUUAAAAAAUACUAAGGCAGACAAUUCGUCGAACACAUAAUAUUUGCUACAUUGCUACUACCUAAUAAUUUCACAACCAAUUAACAGUCUCCUUUAUUGGAAAAAUCACAUUAAUCAACCAAAUACAUUUCUUGGUUUCUAAGCUCCAAAAUUGAAAUUUCAUGAAAAGGUUUCUGCAUUGGUGUCUUAUUGCGAGCGAUAAAUUCGUUGGACACGAGUUGCAUUGUAGGUCGAGACUUUGGUUGAGAACGCAAGCAUGAAAAUACUACUGUUGAAACAAGAAUGAUAUCCUGCCUAAUCAUUUGAUCCCCCGGAGGCGGGAGGCGUGGGUCCAACAAAUCAAUCAGCUUUAUAUUUUUAUCCAAUGACGAAGAUGACGAUGAGAGGAGCUCUCCUGGAUGCUUUCCCAUUAGUACUUCUAGUGCCACUACUCCGAAGCUAUAAACAUCAGAUUUCUCUGUCACAACCAUGGUGUAGGCACGUUGUAUAGGAAAACGGAAGUCUUUAUUAGUAAUGUUUCCAUAAACAAUAACAAGCACAAUUUGUUCAUGUUUUUUAGCUUCUUUAGCAAGGUAUGACAGAGAAGCAUAUGUUCUAACUGAUAUUCAGUGUAUGUGUGUUUUGAAAGGUAAAGGGAUAGGUAAAGUCUAAAUUCAGUUAUAGCUCCUUAGUUUUUUCAAAAUUCGAACCCAAGUAGCGAGCUAAAUAAAGCUGGUUAAAAACUACUUAGCAGAGUAUAUAUAAAAAUUAAAUAAGAGGAUAACUAAAGAAGCAUAAGAGGAAUAGCUAGAAGAUGACCUGGAGCAAUAUAUCCAUAAGUGCCAGCUAACAGAGUUCGAUUGGAUGAGUCAAAAUUUAACAAUCUAGCAAUACCAAAGUCAGCAACAAAAGCUUCGAAUUCUGAGUUGAGUAGAAUGUUGUUGCUUGAUAUGUCGCGGUGAACAAUUGGUGGUGUGCAGUGAUGAUGCAAGUAUGACAAAGCAUGAGCCAUACCCUUCACAAUGUUCACCCUUUUAGUCCAAUCCAACCCAACAGCUUCCUCAUCUGUGCGUAGAAUACAGAACAAGCUUCCCAUUUCCAUGUACUCAUAGAUCAAGAACAUGCAGUUCUCGUGCAAACAAAAGCCGUAAAGCUUUACAAUAUUUCGAUGCCGUAUUUGGGACAGUAGACGAGCCUCAUUCCGGAAACUCUCGAGGGAAGCUAACUCCUCAGUUUCUGAACGGUGAAGCUUCUUCAAAGCAACCACUUUUCCACUGGGCAGCCGUGCUCUGUAAACGCUGUCGUAGCCUCCGGUUCCAAUGCAGUAUUUGAUAUCGAAAUCCUCAGUGGCUUCAAUCAUGUCUUGAAAUGUAAUUCUACCAUCGUAAUUCCAAAUUGCAAACUCAUCAGCGCACUUGGUAAUUUCUCCUGUCCCAGUUGGUUCAACUUCCUUAUCCCUUCGUCUACGGAUAAUCAAGAUUCCAAAUAUCAAGGCAAGGAAUGCGACCAUAGCAAGAAUAAUUGCAACCAAGCGAGUGGCAAUUGUUUUGUGAUGUGGCGGUGGCGCAUUUGCCAAAGUAGUUGGGAUUUCUCCUCCCAAUUUAUUGCCUGACACAUCUAAGUGUGGCACUUUUCUGACAAAUACAGGGAUUCCACCGGAAAGGUUAUUCAUGGAAAGGUCCACAGUGUCUAUGCGUGGAAAUUCUCCAAGUUGGGAAGGUAUUUUACCAUUAAUGAAGUUACCGCUUAGAUCAAGAUAAUAUAGUUCUUGAAGUUUGCCGAUCUGUGACGGAAUGCUUCCGCUUAACAAGUUGUUUCCCAAUUUUAAUAUCCUCAGCUUUGAGCAAUUCAUGAGUUCUGGAGGAAUUGGGCCAUCAAGUUUAUUGUUGUACAUAUUCAAAGUAGUUAACUGAGUCAAAUGACCCAGAGACGAAGGGAUUGGGCCAACAAGUUUGUUUUGGGACAAGUCUACACUUCUCAACCACUUUAAAUGGCCAAGUGUUGUAGGAAUUGAACCUCCAAUUUCAUUUCUGGACAGGUCAAGAGCUUGAAGAACCUUCAAACUCCCGAUUCCUAAUGGGAUGGAACCAUUCAUUUGGUUUGAGGCAAUAGCCAAAGUAGUUAGCUGGGUUAGAUGACCUACAUUGGAUGGGAUAUUACCGACAAGGGAGUUAAAAGACAAGUUCAAAAUUUUCAAUUUGCUUAGACCACAAAGAGUUGGAGGGAUAUGUCCCAUGAGGUGAUUAUCAGAUAGAUCCAGGUGGACGAGAUUCCUUAAUCGCCUCAUCUCUAAAGGGAUAAUUCCUGUUGUGCAUGUGAUUUAUGAAAAACGAGAUCAGUAUUCACUAUCUUCAUUAAAAAAAAAUUACAUAGAGGGAGAGUCAAGCUCAAGUGCGGACGACUCACACUUCUUUAGUGUUGUAAAAACAGACGCCUGCUUUAAGCAGCAGCGCGAUUUUAUACAUACAUAUAUAUAUAUAUGGUGAAGUUUCACAGCUUACCGGUAAGGCCGUUGUAGGGCAGUUCAAGAGUUUGGAGCAUUGAAAGGGCAGUAAUUUCAGAUGGAAUGCGCCCAGAGAGAACAUAAUUUGUACGAAUUUUGAAAUUUCUGAGGUUCGGAAAGCAAGAGAAUUUGAAACGACCGAGCUCUCCUUUGAUGUUAUCAUUUUCAUACCAGAGUAAGCUGACCCCGAUUACGCUUCCCGCUGAAUUGCAACUGACGCCAGUCCACUUACAAUGAUCGGACGUGUAGUUGCCCGACGUCGCCCAAUUGUUGACCCACCAGCCGGUAGCAAGUAAAGCUUCCCUUUCUAACAGUAUGGGUGACGACAAUAAUCUUGCAGCUGAUGCCGUUACAGAUAUUGUCGUAUCACUUAUAGCACCAACAUUUAUUAAAAUUAAAAUGACCACCAAUCUCGAAACAGUGGAUGCUGCUGCCAUGUUUAUAAUGGUUUUCGGUUGAUUGAGCUGGCUAUUUGAUUCCUUGCAAAGCGUUUAUAUAAGAAUUAAUUGUUUUGCAAGCUCCCGGUGUUAACUUCCAAUACGCGUUUUCAAAUAGUGUGAGUCAAUGUCUUCUCUGGAUGGAUUCAAUCAUGGAGAUAUAACCUUAUCGGCUUGUAUUUGUGAGGUGUAGAUCUAUUUGAACAACUUUGCAGAAACAUGAGAUAAUAUGGACAAUAUUAGAAAUAAUUAAUAGCGCUAUUAAGAUAUUAAAUAUUACCCAAAAUAAUAAAGAAAAAAAAAAGCUCGAAGGAUUGUUGUUGUAAAAUAUGACUCAAAUAGAAAAAUAAACAAGACUAAUCAUAUCUUUGUAUAAAUUUAAGUAUAAAAAAAACUUGUAGGUGUAUUAUUAUAAUAAGCUGUAGAGAAAAGAAUUUGUAGACUUCUGUGAUUUGACAAAAUAAUAAAAUAAUCCCUUUAUUUUUUAAAAUAGUUACAAAACUCCUUUUGCAACAUGCAAACUAUAUGGAAAAUUGGAAAUUCAUGGGCUACCUAAUAUCCCUCUUAUUUUUUUAUUUUUUAUUUUACACCAAAACAUCAUAGACAAAAGAAGAUAAAAAUUUCAUUGCACUCAAUUUUUUUCAUGAAAUCAAACAAGGAAAAGAAGCAAAAAGUGUUGGAAAUAUAGCACAAGUUACUAUUUGAUGCGUGAUUUUGAGUGAGACUUAUCUGUUGUUUCAAAUAUUCCUCCGUAAAUACUUCAGAAUGAUUUUACCUAUAUAAUCAAAAUAACCCUUGGAUAAAUGAGAAAUUGUUACUCAAAGUAAAUUCAUGGAAUUGGAAAAGUAAAGGAAAUUAUAUUUGUCCCACAUGAAAAAGAUAGCAAAGGCAUGAAAGGUUUGUAUAUAAUUACUCAUGUGUGUAUAAGUAAAAUAUAAACCAAGACGCUCUCUCUUCCGUGCCCCAUCCUAAGUACACAAAUUCAAUGUGAUACGAUCCUAUAGUUUCCGUUCAAACCUAUGCACACUUUAAAAAAAGGUUUUUUUUAAUAUAUUUUUUAUGUAUUUUACAUUUUUUUUAAAAUUUAAUAAAUGCCAUAUUAUUUAAAUAUUUAAUUUUAAGGCAUCUUUUUUAAGUUGAGGGCAAGGAACCCCUCCGAUACGUAAUGCCGAAACAUGCUAAUCUAAUCACCUUGACUUUAAAGACUGCUUCCCCUAGUCAGCAAUUAUUUGGAACUUACGUCUUGACAUGUGCUGUGGAAAAUAAAGAAUGAAGUAGACUUAUUGAGUCAAGCUGUUUCUUCAAUCCAGAUAUUUAGUUUAUACGUGUGCAAAUAUUCAAUGCCUAACUUUAUUCUGCACAAAGCCUAAUGUCCUAUUUGGGAUAACGGUUGAAAUACUUAUAAGUUUUGAUAAAAAUGAUGUUUGAUAAAUUUGUUAAAAGUUUAAUUCAUAUUUUCUCCAUUUUGACAAUAACUCUUAAAAUAAGUAUGAGAUUGUCUUUUAUAAGCAACUUAUUAAAUAAAAUGCCAUUUUUUUUAAAGUUUCUAUUAUAACUUUAAUAUUUUAAGAAAAGAAUAAGUGUAUCUUAUUUUUUUAAAAAUCCUAAUAUAUAAGUAAAAGACAAUUUAAACUUAUGUUUAUUUUAAUGAUUAUAUAAUAAAAUAUUAUUUUCGUAAUCAAAUUUACCAAACACUGAGCGAGCUACUUUUAUAAUCAUUAGAUAAUUCCAUUCACAUCGCAGAAGCAGCUUAUUUCAACAGCCACCAAAAUCUUAAACUGAUCCUAAGUCAUGUUCGGAAUUGCAUGGGAUUGUCAAAUAAUUAACAAAAGAAGCUAUUAUGUAGGAGAAUAGGAACAGGUUCACCUGGAGCAAUAUACUCAUAAGCUUGGCUACUAAUAAACGGAGCGUGUAAGGAUAAACACCUAANNNNNNNNNNNNNNNNNNNNNNNNNNNNNNNNNNNNNNNNNNNNNNNNNNNNNNNNNNNNNNNNNNNNNNNNNNNNNNNNNNNNNNNNNNNNNNNNNNNNAUGGUUAAUCCAAUGUGGUUGUGUAUGAAUUGAUAUUCACCGUAUGAUUAUUACAUAAAGAUUGAACCUUUGUACGUGCUUUACAUUAAGUAAAACUGCACACUUGUUCUACACAUUUAGACAACCCAGAUUAAGAAUUAUGAAAAUGAAAUCUACAACUAGCUAGGUGCACUAUUAUUUAUCUUUGCUCCUUAAAUAUUAGAAAGAUAGAGGAGAGGGAGAAAAAGAAAAGACUAAUUUUGUAGUCCAAAUUUAAUCUUAUGCUCUAAUUUUGAAGCAAAUCAGCAGAGUAUUUGAGGAACCAAUCAUGAACCAUGUCCAUUUCAAUCUUUCGCUGCAUUACUAACCAUUCGGGGUCAUCUUCUGUUGCUGGCUGUAUGUCUAAGCAAUGGGAACCUGCUCCAAUUUACACACUAUUAAUUAUGUUAUCCAAUAAUUUAGUUAAUAAUUGAACACUAAUUUUUUAUUUUAUAGAAAACUUUACAUACUGUUUUUUGUUGUCACUGCUAUUAUAUUGUCUGAUAUAUUUUCCAGAACCCUAUAAUCCCAAACAAAGAAAGAAAAAGAAAAAGAAAAAGGUAUAUAAUAAAACGGGUAACUUCGAUAGAAAAGAAUAUCCAAAAUUCUUAAGCUAAAUUACCCAGCGCUGCUACAGGGAUCGCGAUGGCCAUUAGAGAAAAUAAUGUUGCUACCAAAUCUCUUUAAAACCACUCUUAUAUCCUGCAAAUUAAAAAGAAAUAAAAAUCAAACUCAAGAACGAGGUGAAGUUUUUAAUUUAAAAAAGGAAAAAAAAAGAGAAAAUUAAAAGAAUUAAUUUGGGGAUUAAUUGACACUUACAUGACCACCAUAAUAAGUUGUAAUCCAAUGUGGUCUUGGAACCACUCCAAAAGACUUAUUGCAUGAAUCCCUAUAUUCUGUCAGAUAAAAUGGGUCUGCUUGAAACAUUGUUUCGUUUUUGCCAAUUCCAAUUGGUGAGACCAUUUCACUGCAUGUCUACAUGAGAAACCCCCCUAUACUAAUAAUAAUAAUAAUAAUAAUAAGAUAAAAAAGAAAAAUAUUUUUAAUCAUUCAUAAAUAUAUAGUCAUAUAAAUAAAAUUAAGAGAUGUACAUAAAAUAGGUAUUGUUAGGCGAAAGACUAAUUCAUUGCGACAUAUUGUUUAUUUGACGGUCUCAAUAGAACUAUCCAAUGAAAUCAUGUCAUCUGUAAUCGCAUACUUGCCAACCCCAGCUGGAGUCCAAUGUUUCAUCGGAGAAGAAUUCAUCAACAUCAUGGCAAGAAUUCUCCCCUCUUAAAGCAACAAUUCCUGAGAAUAUCCGGCCUAGGGUAUAUGUGCCUUCUGAAUCUCCAUCAAUACCUUCACAAGCUUUGUUCACUGGAUAUUCCUGAGGAUCAUCAUACUGAGCUGCACCUGUAUACAUAAACUCCAAAUAAUCCUUCAAUUCUGAAACAUCCUUCAGAGGCCUGUUACAAAUAAACAAUAACAACAUAAAAUUAAGUGCCUCCAAGAUUAGUGACAUCAUAAAAGAUCCUUCAACAUACCUGUCUAAAAAACUUUGUUAUAUUUAGUCAAAUUACAAUAAACUUUGUAAGUGUGAAGCUAUUGAUAUUCUCAAAUACAAAAUCCAAAUUUGGCCUUAUUUAACAAUCAGAGUUGUACAUAUUGUUUUGCACGUCUGAACCUAAGUACCAAUGUACUAUAUAUGGUAAUGCAUAGGCCGUAUAUGAGGCCAAACCCCAGAUUUUACUAUGUACGUAUAUUACACAUUAACUGAAAUGUAAAUAUACCUUGAGGAUGACAGAUAAUUAAUUGGAUAUAUAUAGACAGUUUUGUAAUGAUACUACAUUAACAUUGCACUGUAAUUGAAGGAAAAUCAGAUGGAUAUAUAUCGGCAGUUAUAAAAGUAAUAUGAUUCAAUUACUUGCAGGUUUUGAACUUUUAAGAGAGAACAGUAAGUCCAUUUUUUUCCAGCAGCGGCUUUAUCGAUUUCAGCCCAGGACUGUUUGAUGGUCUUGUAGCAACUCUCACUAGCUUCCUGCAUCAUUAAUAUUCAAAAUUCAAUAGUUAGAUUUUAACAAGAAAAUAUAAUCAUACAUAUAUAGAAUUUAAUUAAUUAAUAUUAUUUUCUUACCCUAAAAUCCUUGCUGACAAGAUCAUAAUAUGCGUUCGAUGGUGUGAUAUUAUCAAAGUAGAGAAUUGGGGCUGAAGAGGCAACUUCUCCUAAAGCAAUAUGAGGAUACUUCAAGCGAAACCAUGCAGCGAGCACUGAUGAUAACAAUAACAAACCCACACGAGUAACUCUCAAAGAGCAUCUGUUAGUAGGAAUAUAAAAUAAAAUUGUAUCAUAAUAAUUGAGGCGUAAUCCAGAUUUUAGUCAAAUAUUUAAAAUAAGGUGACAGAUGACAUGAUGUCAAUCAAAAGAUGUAAGUAAGUUAAUAAUAUUGUAACUUACUUCCUCCAUAAGAUGCUCCGACAACGAUAAUGGGAGACAUUUCGGCCGAUAAAGUUUUCUUGAUGUGUAAGAGAAUCUCCGCAUAAUCAGCCAAAGGCUUGAGCAGAGUUGAAAUAUCCACGAAGAGUUGCAUUCUGUAGGGCAUCGUUACUUGAUACAAAAGGCACCGAUUUUCCACAGAACUGAUGCUGAACAAAAAAUCAAAUUAGAAAAAAAAUAUAUAUCACAACUUUUUAGUUGAUAUUAUAGAUUAAAUUUAUCUUUAUUAUUAUUGUUUGGCGUUCGAACUCUGUUUCAAUUAUUAUCAAAUUCUUUACUUACCUCUAUGUAAACUUGUAAGCCUUUAAAUCGAUGAGCAUUAUCAGUAACCUGGAUUUGUAUGUGAUUAGGAGGUCAUUGCUUAGAGAUUCCCAUGUCCACUCUUAGUGCCAAAAGACUUGGUCUUGAUGCACAGGUGACAAGUUUGUUGGGGAGUACAUUUGGACUCACUAUCUUCAUUUAAUUCCAAACAUCUUAGCAUUUGGUUAUUUAUGUUGGUCAAAGUUCGCAAGUUCAGUUUGCUUGGUCAACUCAAGUAGACGAGAGAGUUGCGGCUUUAAAAUUUGGCAGUGAGGACAUGUGAGCUUUUUUGAACGAAUGUGAGUCUGAAACCUUUUUUGAACGAAAACACGGAGCAAAUGUGAGCUUCUCGUAGGCUAAGGUUCCAAGAGAGGUUACAUAUGUUUACCAUGAAGUGUCAUAUGAACUUGUACAGAUUGAUUUCUGAUGUUUCUUUUUCCCGGUAAUUUCUUAUUUUAAAUCUUAUUGCUUGUCUUUGUGUAUGUGCGUUGGGCUGGAGGCUCCAUUGAAAUGGUGUUUCCUCAAAUUAUGAAUUAUAACGCUCGUAAGUGUUAAUAUCAUCUCUUCUUCUUGUCCAGCUUAUUAAGAAAGUCUUUCAGAAUCCUUUUCAAACAUAUUCCUUUUUUUUUCUGAUUUUUGGAAGGAAAGAUUUUCCUAGUUCAGUGCUGGAAAUGUUGUUAAUUAACAAGGAUUUUGGUUGUAUUAACUAUUUAAAUGUACUUCUACAUUCCUACCUUUUUUGAGAAUUCACAAUUUAAAAUAAAAUGUGUGCAUUAGUAUUUUGUAAACAAAUUCUUUCAUCUGUACUACAAUAGCAAAUGAUGGAGCUCACUGGGAAUUUUUUUCAUUUUUACCAUUGAUGUGAUAACUAAUAUAAGGCAUAAUGGUUUCUGUAUCAUUUCCAGCCUCAGCCUGAUUCCAAUACUUGUGGAUCAAAGCAGAAAGCUGCCACACCACCUGCAGGUUCUGGAGAGCUUCCUUCAACGAGUUCAAGCAAAACCAAGGAGUGGAGUUGUGCCCUCUGUCAGGUCAAUGCUACUACCGAGAGAGAUCUAGACGUGCAUCUCCAAGGUAAGAAGCACAAGGCCAAGGAAAAAGUACUUAGAGAUUUGAAGAUGUGCAUUAACUCCACUUCAAAAAAAUAUACGGAAAGCAGAGAUAGUGCUGACCAAGAAAUGAAGUCUAAUGUAGAAAAGGAAUCACUUAAAGGUAAUAAAACUGUUGUUGGUUUAGACCAGAAAGUGGAGGAAGGUCAAACCCUGCAGGUUAAGCCCAAUUCCAAUCUUUGUGGAUCAAAUCAGAAAGCUACCGCACCACCUGCAGGUUCUGGAGAGCUUCCUUCGGCGAAUUCUAACAAACCCAAGGAGUGGAGUUGUGCCCUCUGUCGGAUCAGUGCUACUACCAAGAGAGGUCUAGAUGAGCAUCUUCAAGGUAGGAAGCACAAGGCCAAGGUUUCAGGACUACUUAGAGAUAAGAAAAUGUGCAGUAACUCCACUUCAUCCACGUCAGAAAAAUCUACUGAAAGCAGAGAUGGUGUUGGCCAAGAAAUGAACACUAAAGUACAAGAGGAAUCAGUUAAAGCUAAAAAAACUGUUGUUGGCCUAGACCGGAAAGGGGAGGUUGGUGUAGAUGAGCAUCCUCAAGGUAAGAAGCAGAAGGCCAAGGAAGAACUACUUGGAGCUCAGAAGUGGAUAAAAAAAUCUACAGAAAGCAGAGAUAGUGUGAUACAACCUGGCCAAUUGUUGUGAAUCAGAUCGAGCACAAUGAGACAGCAAGGGAAGAGACCCAGCCUGCAGAAAUGGAAGAAGUCCAACCCGUGAAUGAGACACAAGCUAGAGAGCAGCUCAAGACAGGUUCAGCUCGCGCGAGAAAGAAACCAGGAUGGCUCAAAGACUUUGUCAUUUGAGGAAUGUUCGAGAAUGCUUGAGAGAUUAUAAUAACGAAUAUUGUUUUGUUUUCAAUUAUUAUUUUGUUGUUAUCAAUUUUAUUCUAUUUUAGUUAGUUAAGGGUGCGUGGCUGUUUUUGGGAGAGAGAAUAUAUUGUACUGUCAAAGGGACCCGUGAGGGAUAUCAAAAAGGAAUAUAUCAUUUUGUCUUUUUUCAGCUUCGUCUUCUUUCUCUUCUCUGCAAUUCCCCUGUCCCUUUUCUCUUUCUGCAAAUUCUUUUCCCCACAGAUUGGAGCCUGCACUCGCUCAAAGAGUGUCGUAUCAACUGGUGCUUUCAUUUCAUCUCUUCACACACAAAAAAAAAAAAACAAAUGUCUCUCACAGAACCAACGACUGAUUCAGCAGUUCUCUCCACCAUGAAAACGCUCAUUGAAAAUCAAACGCUUGCUGUUCAUCAGACCUUACAACAAUAUAUGUCCACGGUGGAUUCUCGAUUUGAGGAGCUACGUUCCCAAAUCAAUGGUUCUGUCGGAGCGUCAGUGGGUUCUUCCCGCCCAAUGGCACCGGAACCAGCGUCUUCGACUGUACUGUCAGGUGUUUCGGAUAUCUCUCCUCUGUUGCGUUCUAUGAAAAUGGAUGUCCCAAAAUUUGAUGGCACUGAUCCGAAUGGUUGGGAUUUUCGAAUCAAUGAGUUCUUUGAUUUUCACGGCACCCCUGACCAGUUACGCCUUCGUAUUGUAUCUUUUCACAUGGAGGGAAAAGCAGCAGCAUGGUAUCAAUGGAUGAAGGCCAACAACUUGCUGAGCACUUGGCAGAAUUUUUUACUCAAUCUUAAGCAAAGAUUUGGUACAUCCAUGUAUGAAGAUCAUCAAGGUAACCUCUCCAAGCUCUCCCAAACGUCGACUGUUGCUGAUUUUCAGUCUGCCUUUGAGGAUUUGAUGAACAAGGUCACGAGCAUCUCCGAGCCAUUGUUGGUUAGUUUCUUUAUCACGGGCUUAAAACCCGAUAUCAGACGAGAAUUAUUAUUUGCAAGACCCACAUCUCUCAUGGAGGCUUUUGCUUUAGCCAAAGCUUAUGAGGCACGGUCGGAAGAAAUCAAGACCUCUAGCCAUUCUUGGACAAAGUGGACACCCUCAUCUACUCACACCCACCAAUCCACCAUUACUGCCUCCCCACAACCUGCAUCAUAUAAAACCCCAACAACAACUCCUCUUCCUAGUUUUUCAGCCACUAAACAGCCACCUCAACCCCCAUUAUUGCCUACUCCCACCUUGCCCAUUCGUCGAUUAACUCCAGCCGAAUUAAGAGAGAAAAGAGAAAAAGGGCUCUGUUACAACUGCGACCAAAAAUAUAGCGCCACACAUCGCUGUUGUAGCAAGUUUUUGUUAUUAAUGGGUAUGGAUGAUGAAGAUGAUGAGCCAAGUAAGGACGCUUUUAGUCAUGCACAACCAGAUGAAGUAGUCACAGCGGACAUAUCUAGUUUGAAUGCCUUGGCUGGGCAAACUAAUCCACGAUCUUUAAGGGUGCUGGGCACCGUUGCCAGCUAUCAGUUUCAGGUGUUAAUUGACAGUGGCAGUACCCACAAUUUCCUUAAGCCACCAUUGGCUGAACGCCUUGGCCUUUCCGUUCAAGCUAUACCUCCUUUUCGAGUCUACAUUGGCAAUGGCGAUUUUCUUACUUGUCGAUUUCUCUGUCCUAAAGUGCCUAUUAAUAUGCAGGGGCAUGAAUUUCUUUUGGAUUUAUUCCUUUUGCCAAUCGAAGGCCCUGAUGCUGUCCUUGGGAUUCAAUGGUUACAAAGCUUGGGAAGAAUUUCUACGGAUUACUCCGAGAUGACGAUGGAGUUUCAAUGGGAGGGAAAAUCUAUCAUUUUACGGGGAGACCCAAUUCCAAACCCGAAUUUUAUCUCUUUUAACCAGUUUCAUGCCUUGUUAUCUAACUCCAAAAUCGACAGCUUAUUUGAACUUCAUUCUUUACCAACUGAGCCAUCAGCCACUCACACAUCUACCAACACAUUGCCGGAUAAUGACUUCGAAUUUCUGAGGUCGUUGCCUAAACCAAUUACUACUCUCUUAAAAAAAUUUAAGGCAUUAUUUGAUCCACCCACUGGUCUUCCCCCUCAACGGCUAUUUGAUCACAAAAUACACCUCAUUCCCAAUUCCAAACCAGUCAACGUUCGCCCCUAUCGGUAUCCUUAUUUUCAGAAAACCGAAAUGGAGAAAUUGGUGAGAGAAAUGUUAAAUCAAGGCAUCAUAAAACCCAGCCAAAGCCCGUUUUCUUCACCGGUAAUGCUAGUAAAGAAAAAGGAUGGCUCAUACAGAUUCUGUGUGGAUUACCGCGCUGUGAAUGCAGUGACGGUGAAGGACAAAUUUCCCAUCCCCACCAUUGAUGAACUAUUUGACGAACUUGGCGGUGCUAGGAUUUUCAGCAAACUUGAUCUAAGAGCCGGUUAUCACCAGAUAAGAGUUCACAAGAGGGAUACUUAUAAAACAGCGUUUCGCACGCAUGAUGGACACUAUGAGUUUCUUGUUAUGCCGUUCGGUUUGACCAACGCGCCGUCCACUUUUCAAGCAACAAUGAACCAACUAUUCGCUUCCUUUUUACGUAAAUUUGUUAUUGUCUUUUUUGAUGAUAUCUUGGUCUAUAGUGCAUCAUUGGCUGAACAUGUGCAUCAUUUGGAGCAGGUCAUGAGUUGUUUAUACACAUCUCAAUUUUAUGUCAAAUUCUCCAAUUGUUUAUUUUGUCAGGAAUCAAUUGAUUAUUUGGGCCAUAUUGUGUCGACUCGAGGAGUGCAUGCUGAUCCGCAAAAGAUCACAGCCAUGGUAGAUUGGCCCUUGCCUAAAUCGGUGAAGCAACUGAGAGGGUUCUUGGGGCUGACAGGGUACUACCGACGUUUUAUUCAAGGCUAUGCAACCAUCGCAGCUCCUCUCACUGAGUUGCUUUGUAAGGAGGUUUUUCAUUGGAACCUGGCAGCUACUCAAGCUUUUCAAGCAUUAAAGAAGGCUCUUGUGGAAGCCCCUGUACUACACUUGCCGAAUUUUGCCUUGGAGUUUGUCAUUGAGACCGAUGCUUCUAAUGUCGGGAUCGGUGCUAUGCUAAUGCAAGCCGGGCAUCCGCUAUCUUAUUUUAGCAAAAAGUUGGGUCCUCGAAUGCGUGCAUCCUCAACAUAUUUGAAGGAAUUAUAUGCUAUUGUAGCUGCAGUUCAAAAAUGGCGUCAAUACCUCCUUGGCAGAUUUUUCCUUAUACGAACUGACCAUAAAAGCAUAAAGGAAUUGUUUCAACAAGUUAUUCACACCCCAGAGCAGCAAUUUUACAUUCGUAAGUUGAUGGGAUAUCAAUUCAGAAUCGAUUAUAAAGCUGGUACCUUCAAUAAAGCUGCUGAUGCUUUAUCGCGAAUUCAUAGGGACAACGUGACUGAAGAACCCAAACCAACAACUCUUUGUUUGUCGUUUGUAAGCCAACCUUCUAGUGAACUAUUGACAAAUCUGCACAAGGAAAAUUGCUCUCUUCCUGAUAUGAAACAACUCCAUCAGAGGUAUGCAGCCGGUUCACUUUCUUCUGCCUUCUCAGUUCAAGAAGGGUUCCUGCUAUUUCAACAUCGAUAUUACCUCAGCCCCAACUCAUCAUUAAAAGCCGUGCUACUCAAAGAGUUUCACGAGACACCUAUGGCAGGCCAUGCUGGUAUUAAAUAGACAUUGGUACGUCUUUCAUCGACUUUCUUUUGGCCUAAGAUGAGGGAAGAUGUUGAGCAACAUGUAGCUGCUUGCCUUGUUUGCCAGCAAAUUAAAUACUCAACUCAAGCGCCGGCGGGUCUAUUACAACCCUUGCCUGUCCCUUCAUUAGUUUGGGAUGAGUUAACCAUGGAUUUCAUUACAGGGCUGCCACUUUCGAGAGGAUUUGAAGCAAUUCUAGUUGUUGUGGAUCGUUUAUCAAAGUCAGCUCACUUUGGAGCCUUGCCUUCUCAAUUUACUGCCAUCAAAACAGCAGCUUUAUUUGCUGACAUGGUUGUAAAAUUACAUGGAUUUCCUAGCUCUAUAAUUUCAGAUCGUGAUCCUAUAUUCAUGAGCAACUUUUGGCAGAAAUUGUUUGAUUUAAAUGGUACACAGUUACGGCACAGCACGGCUUACCACCCCCAAAGGGAUGGUCAAUCCGAAGUAGUUAAUCGAGGGCUUGAGCAAUAUUUACGAGCCUUCUCACAAGAUAAGCCACAGACAUGGUCUUCAUUUUUAGGCUGGGCUGAAUUUUGCUACAAUACCAGUUAUCACAGCAGCUUGCGAAUGACUCCCUUUCAAGCCCUUUAUGGUCGUUUUCCUCCCACAAUUCCAAGUUACUCAAGGGGCUCUACUUCAAUCCAAGCUUUAGAAGACAUGUUAAUUGAGAGGGAUGCCAUGCUUUGCUCAUUGAAAGAGAACUUACGACAAGCUCAGCAUCGAAUGGCUCAAAAGGCUAAUUUACAUCGCCGAGAAACUCAAUUGCAGGUAGGUGAUAAAGUGUUGGUGCACCUUCAGCCAUAUCGCCAGACAUCAGUUGCUAAGCGCUCAUCUCAUAAGCUGGCAAGGUGCUAUUAUGGACCAUUCACAGUGGUAGAGCGUAUUGGACCCGUUGCUUACAAGUUAGAGUUACCCACAAAUUGUAGAAUUCACCCGGUGUUCCAUAUUUCCUUACUAAAACCUUAUGUGGGAAACUCCCCCAUUGAUGUUUAUUCACUGCCUCCAGGAAGUGUGGAUAACAAGCCCUUGUCAUCACCAAUUGCAGUAUGUGCUGAGCGAAAGAUACUUCGACAAGGCAAAGAAAUUCCACAAAUUUUGGUGCAAUGGUCUGAUAGCUCACCAGAAAAUUCAACUUGGGAGGACUUUGAGGAAUUUCGUAAACUCUACCCUGCACUACACCGUGAGGACAAGGUAAGCUUUCAAGGAAUGGGGAAUGAUACAACCUGGCCAAUUGUUGUGAAUCAGAUCGAGCACAAUGAGACAGCAAGGGAAGAGACCCAGCCUGCAGAAAUGGAAGAAGUCCAACCCGUGAAUGAGACACAAGCUAGAGAGCAGCUCAAGACAGGUUCAGCUCGCGCGAGAAAGAAACCAGGAUGGCUCAAAGACUUUGUCAUUUGAGGAAUGUUCGAGAAUGCUUGAGAGAUUAUAAUAACGAAUAUUGUUUUGUUUUCAAUUAUUAUUUUGUUGUUAUCAAUUUUAUUCUAUUUUAGUUAGUUAAGGGUGCAUGGCUGUUUUUGGGAGAGAGAAUAUAUUGUACUGUCAAAGGGACCCAUGAGGGAUAUCAAAAAAGAAUAUAUCAUUUUGUCUUUUUUCAGCUUCGUCUUCUUUCUCUUCUCUGCAAUUCCCCUGUCCCUUUUCUCUUUCUGCAAAUUCUUUUCCCCACAGAUUGGAGCCUGCACUCGCUUAAAGAGUGUCGUAUCACAGUGCUGGCCAAGAAAUGAAGAAUAAAGCAACAUAGGAAUCAGUUAAAGCUAAUAGAACUGUUGUUGGUUUAGACCAGAAAGAGGAGGGUUGUCAAGCCCAGCAGGUUAAACCAUAUCCCAAUCUUUGUGGAUCAAAACAGGAAGCUUCCACACUACCAGCAGGUUCUGGAGAGCUCAUGUUGACGAGUUCAAAGAAACCCCAUGGAUUGGAGUUGUGCCCUCUGUCAGGUCAGUACUACUAGCAAGAGAGAUCUAGAUGAGCAUCUUCACGGCAAGAAGCACAAGGCCAGGAAGAAGGACUACUUGGAGAUGAGAAGAUGUGCAGUAACUCCACUUCAAAAAACUCUACUGAGCAGAGAUAGUGCUGGCCAGGAAAUUAAGGCUACUCUAGAAGAGGAAUCAGUUAAACCUAAUAAAAAUGUCGUUGAUUUAGACCAGAAAGUGGACUGUGGUCAAGAUGAGCAUCUUAAACGGAGCUAAUUGGAGCUCAGAAGAUGUGCACUACCUCAUCUUCAACAAUGUCAAGGCUGCUCAUUAUUCAAGCAGCUUGGUGAAGCCACGUCAGCAGAAGGUUGUUAGUGAAGAAUAACAGCUCAGCGUGAUUAGUCAAGUGUUAGCGAUCCAGCUCAUAAAAGUUAGUUAGUUAGUUAGUGAGUUACUAAGCAAUUCUCACGUGUAAGGAAUAAUAUAAAUACUUGUACUGAUUUGUAAAAGUUCUUAUGAAUCGAAUCUUAUCCAAUACCAGUAUUGAGAAUUUUCUCUGUGAUUUUCUAUUCAACCAAACAGCACAUCUCUGUUUUCUUUCAAACAACAUCAAAAGAAUCUGGAAAGACAAUUAAGCUUACCGAAAGUAGAGAUAGCUCCAGCCAAGAAAUCAAAGCCUAAACAGAAUCAGUUAAAGCUAUUAAAACUGUUGUGGGUUUUGACCAGAAUGUGGGGGGCGAAGAAGAUUCAGAGAACAAAAAUGAGGAGCUGCCAAAGAAGAAGGCGUUGAAUACAAUCACUCAGAAGACAACAAAUGGAAUACCAACUGGAGGGACGAUGAGGAGAAAACUUCCCCUUAGAGAGAACUUCGAAUUCUGGUGUGAAGUUUUUCAGGUUGGUACUCACUCCGCUGUUGUGAUGGAGGGUCAUAAAAGGGGGAAGAAACACAUGGCUCGGUCUAAUGGAUCCAGGAAAAAUAAUGAGGCUGUCCCCCUCACUACCCCCACUACAAUUGUGACACCAUCAGAGCCUACUGAGAAUGUUGAAGAUGAAGAUGCGGUGGCCCAAGAAUGAAAUGAAGAAACCGCAGAGAGUGUCAUUGAGAAGGCUGAAGAUGAAGAGGUGGUGGUCUAUAGAGGCAGAUAAAGUGAGCCUGAUGCAGCAGACUCCUUAUUAUGCUGAAGGUAAAGCUCUUAACUUUUAUUUUUCUCUUGCGCUCCAUUUUGAAUGUCUUAAAUUUCAAUGAACCAGCAGCGUGUUACUUUAUCAUUUUAAAACUCAGAAAUUACAAUAAUAAAUUUAAGUUCAUUCUUCCAUCUCGUCAUAUAUAGAUUUGAAGGUACUGAAUGAUGAAGCCUGUAAAUUCAAGCAACAAUACUGUAAUGGGGAUCAUGUGUUGUUCUCUACUCUCCAGUCGUUGGUAAAAAGCUCAAAAAAUGAAAACCAGACACUGUUAGAUCAACCAUUUGAAAGUGCUUCAUAUAUGCAUGAUUAUGACAUUGGACUCUUCGGCCCAAUGCAAAUUUUUCUUGAUCAUGACCUGACGUUAGUUUAUCUUGUGCUGGCAGGUAGUUGGUGGGAUAUCACUAACCACAACUUAUGCAGAAGCUUCCUAACAUCAGCCGUGGGUCCAGGAUGUUUGAUCGGAUCGGCUAAAUUAAAAUUUUUUUGUAUAUGUUUGUGUGAAUAUUUACAAAGGAGUGAAAAAACUAAUAUAUAUUAAAUAACGCGACAUUAAGAACCUCGUUCUGAAUAAAGUUUAUGUAUAUAAUUUGUAAAAUAAACUAAUAAUUAAAAUAACAAUUUACCCUUUUAACUCGUACAGAUACAACCGUAAAUUCCUUAUUUAAUUCAGCUCAUUCAGAGGGAGACAAUUAGACAAAACUUAUUUUAUCAGAGUGAACUGCGAAAGUACUAGCUUAACCAGAGAGAUUAAUGUCGUAGUUUGCACAUUUGUUUAAUUGCAAUUCAACAUAUAUAGGAAGUGAACGUGAAAAUAGAAUUAAUAAUACAUUGCAAGUACCUAAUAAUUUCAGAACCAAUUAACAGUCACCUUUAUUGGAAAAAUCCAUUAUGAUUAGAAGCAAUCCCAUCACAUGCAUGAACAGUUAAAUAUACGCAUCCAUAAUUAGAUAUCACAUUAAUCAACCAAAUACAUUUCUUGGUUUCUAAGCUCCAAAAUUGAAAUUUCAUGAAAAGGUUUCUGCAUCAGUGCCUUAUUGCGAGCGAUAAAUUCGUUGGACACGAGUUGCAUUGUAGGUCGAGACUUUGGUUGAGAACGCAAGCAUGAAAAUGCUACUGUUGAAACAAGAAUGACAUCCUGCCUAAUCUUUUGAUCCACCGGAGGUGAGAGGCGGGGGUCCAGCAAAUCAAUUAGCUUAAUAUUUUUAUCCAAUGACCAAGAGGACGAUGAGAGGAUCUCUUCUGGAUGCUUUCCCAUUAGUACUUCUAGUGCCACCACUCCAAAGCUAUAAACAUCAGAUUUCUCCGUCACAACCAUGGUGUAGGCAAGUUCUGUAUGAAAACAGAAGCCUUUAUUAGUGAUGUUUCCUAAAUAAUAACAAGAGCAAUUUGUUUAUAUCUUCGAGCAUCUGCAGCAAGGUAUGACAGAGAACCAUAUGUUUUUAACUGAUAUUUAAAGUGUAUUUUUUUUAAAAUUAAAAAAAAAAAGUGAAACUGGUAGGCAAAGUUUAAAUUCACUUUUCCAGCUCUUUACCUAUUCAAAAAUUUGAACCUAAGUAGCUAAUUAAAUAAAACUGCUUAAAAAUUACUUAACAGAGUGUAUAUAAAAAUUAAUUAAAAGAAUAAUUAAAGAAGCAGAAGAAGAAUAGCUAAAAGAUUACCUGGAGCAAUAUAUCCAUAAGUGCCAGCCAAUAGAGUUCGAUUGGAUGAGUCAAAAUUUAACAAUCUAGCACCGCCAAAGUCAGCAACAAAUGCUUCUAAUUCUGAGUUGAGUAGAACGUUGUUGCUUGAUAUGUCGCGGUGAACAAUUGGUGGUGUGCAGUAUGAUGCAAGUAUGACAAAGCAUGACACAUGCCCUUCACAACGUUCACCCUUUUAGCCCAAUCCAACCCCACAGCUUCCUCAUCUGUGCGCAGAACACAGAACAAGCUUCCCAUUUCCAUGUACUCAUAGAUUAAGAACAUGCAUUUCCUGUGCAAACAAAACCCGUAAAGCUUUACGAUAUUUCGAUGUCGUAUUUGGGACAGUAGACGAGCCUUAUUCCGAAAACUCUCGAGGGAAGUUAACUCCUCAGUUUCUGAACAGUGAAGCUUCUUCAAAGCAACUACUUUUCCACUGGGCAGUCGUGCUCGGUAAACGCUGCCAUAGCCCCCGGUUCCAAUGCAGUAUUUGAUAUGGAAAUCCUCAGUAGCUUCAAUUAUGUCUUGAAAUGUAAUUCUACCAUCGUAAUUCCAAAUUGCAAACUCAUCAGCGCACUUGGUAAUUUCUCCUGUCUCAGCUGGUUCAACUUUCUUAUCCCUUCGUGCACGGAUAAUCAAGAUUCCAAAUAUCAAGGCAAGUAAUGCGACCAUGGCAAGAAUAAUUGGAACCAAGCGAGUGGCAAUCUUUUUGUGAUGUGGUGGUGGCCCAUUUGCCGAAGUACUUGGGAUUUCUCCCUCCAAAUUGUUGCCUAACACAUCUAAGUGUGGCACUUUUCUGACUGAUUUAGGGAUACUACCGGAAAGGUUAUUCAUGGAAAGGUCCACGGUAUCUAUGCUUGGAAUUGCUCCAAGCUCAGAAAGUAUUUUACCAUUAAUGAAGUUAUGGCUCAGAUCAAGAUAAUAUAGUUCUUGAAGUUUUCCGAUCUCUGACGGGAUGCUUCCCCUUAACAAGUUGUUUCCCAAUUCUAAUUCCAUCAGCUUUGAGCAAUUCAUGAGUUCUGGAGGAAUUGGACCAUCAAGUUUGUUGUCGUACAGUUUGACAGCUUCAACACGUUUCAAGUUCCCAAUUUCUAAUGGGAUGGAACCAUUGAUUUGGUUUGAGUACAUAUUCAAAGUAUUUAGCUGAGUCAAAUGACCCACAGACGAAGGGAUUGGACCAACAAGUUUGUUUUCGGACAAGUCUAAAAUUCUUAUCCUGUUUAAAUGACCAAGUGUUGAAGGAAUAGGUCCAGUUAGAUUGUUGUAAUGCAGGGACAGAGACGUCAAGUUUACUAAACUAGCUAUGGUCGAAGGAAUUGGACCUUAAAGUUUGUUGAAGCAUAGGUCAAGAACUUGAAGAAAGUUCAAAUUCCCGAUUUCUAAUGGGAUGGAACCAUUGAUUAGGUUUGAGCGCAUAUUCAAAGUGGUUAGCUGAGUCAAAUGACCCAGAGAUGAAGGGAUUGGACCAACAAGUUUGUUUUGGGACAAGUCUAAGCUUUUCAACCUCUUUAAAUGGCCAAAUGUUGAAGGAAUUGAACCUCUAAUUUCAUUUCCAGACAAGUCAAGAACUUGAAGAAAGUUCAAAUUCCCGAUUUCUAAUGGGAUGGAAACAUUAAUAUGGUUUGAGGCAAUAGCCAAAGUAGUUAGCUGGGUUAGAUGACCUAGAGUGGAGGGGAUAUUACCAACAAGGGAGUUAGAAGACAAGUGCAAAUUUUCCAAUUUGCUUAGACGACCAAGAGUUGGAGGGAUAUAUCCCCAGAGGUAAUUAUCAGAUAGAUCCAGGUGGACAAGAUUCCUCAAUCUCCCCAUCUCUAAAAGGAUAAUUCCUAUUGUGCAUGUGAUUUAUGAAAAACGAGAUCAAUAUUCACUAUCUUCAUUAAAAAAAAUAUUACAUAGAGGGAAAGUCAAGCUCAAGUGCGGACGACUCACACUUCUGUUAGGAAAUUAGUGGGUGAAGCAGGACCGCAGCUAAGUUGAAAUUGUAAGAAAAUAAAGAACAAGCACAAUAGAGGGUACCAGAAAUUACGUGGUUCGGCUUUUAGCCUACGUCCACGGGCGAAAACAAAAGGAAAAUAUUUCACUAGUGAAAUAAGGAUUACAAGUAAUGUAAUAUUUUAACUCACUACCCAAAACCCCAAUACAUCCAAUCUCUCACUCACUAGAUACUCAAGAGUUUAUUAAACUCUUAAUACUCUCAACACUAAAAGAAAGCAAUAUUUCUCUCUCGAUGGAAUUGGUACAAGCUCUAAAUUGAGAGCUUGUAUUUAUAGGCAAAACUUUGCCUCAAAUGUCAAACAAGUGGCCAUAAACUUCAAGCCAUACAUCUUAAAAAUUUCAAACUUUGAAUUUUUAGCUUUGAAUUUUUCUUUUCUUUUACCAAACAUUACGGCAUCUAGAAUUUCAAAGCCAAGUGCCAACCAUUCUUGUUUAUUCAAAGCUUCUAGAUGCAGCCAAUUUUGACAUUCUCCCACUUGGAGAUUAAAUUGAAAAACAAUCAAUCUCCACACCAUCCUUUCUGUUUCGCCAUAAUCAUGUUGCCUACGUUUCUGCUAGGCCACAAGAGGAUCUACUCCAGAAAAACUUAUCAGUAUUUAUCGGCUUGGUCAAAACAUCUGCUAGGUUCUCCGUCGUAUGGAUUUUCUGUAAAUCCACACUUCCAUCUUCCACUACUUCUCGAACGAAGUGAUACUGAACUCCUAUGUGCUUUGUCCUGGAAUGAAAGGCUGGAUUCCUUGCAAUGUGCAAGGCACUCUGACUGUCACAAAACACAGGAAUUUUCUGUUGUUUGUGCCCGAGCUCCUCCAAUAAUCUUUGUAUCCAAAUAGCUUCAUUGCAAGCUUGUGUAGCUACCAUGUAUUUUGCUUCUGUUGUAGAUAAAGCCACAACGGUCUGCAGUUUAGAAACCCAGCUUACAGCUGCUCUCGCAAGUGUAAACACAUAACCAGUAGUGGAUUUCCUUUUAUCAAGGUCUCCUGCAAAAUCUGAAUCCACAUAGCCCCUGACAGUAAACUCUGAUCCUCUAUAACAUAAUGCAACAUCUGAGGUUCCUCUGAUGUAUCUUAGAAUCCUCUUCACAGUUAUCCAAUGCUCUCCACCAGGAUUCGCCAUGUAUCGACUAACUGCUCCCACUGCUUGUGCAAUGUCCGAUCUUGUACAUAUCAUAGCGAACAUUAAACUUCCCACUGCUGAUGCAUACGGUACUCGAGACAUCUCAUUCCUCUCCGCUUCGUUGCUAGGACACAUACUUGAGGAUAAUUUGAAAUUAACAGGAAGUGCUUUGAUACCAAAAUGUCAAAUAAAGUGGCCAUCUAGAUGGUAUAAAGCAGCCAUCUAGAUGGUCAGCAAUAAUUUUGUUCAAAGAAGAAGAAGAAUUUUGCAACAAGUUUGAAAGAAAAAGAAGCACACGGCUUUGACAAGAGAAAGAAGAAAAAGAAGAAAAUAAUAAUAUAUAAUUGAUGAAUAGUGCCAAAGCUUUUUCUAUAAAUAGAAACGAAGAGAAUGAGCAAAUUCAUUCCAUUAAGAGAGAGCAAUUUAGCAUUUUGAGAGAGAGUUUAGAGAGCUUGAAAUUAUAAGCUGUUGUUAUUAGUGUUCUGAGAGUUUGGGUGUAUUGGGGUCUUGGGAAGUGAGCUAAAAUACUACAAUACUUGUAACUCCUUUUUACUAGUAAAAUAUUUCCUUCUAUUUUCACCCUUGGAUGUAGGCUAAAAGUCGAACCACGUAAUUUUUUUGGUGUCCUCUUUUGUGCUUUUUCUUUAUUUUCUUCCAAUUUUACUUUAGCUGCGUGUCUGCUCCACCCACUAAUUUCCUAACAGUGGUAUCAGAGCUAUUGGUUGUAUUUUUAGAGUUGGGUACUGUUCACGUAAGGGGUACUAUUCACUUAUACGAUACUGUUCACGUAUACGGUACUAUUCACAAUAGAUGGUGGGAGCGAUCCAAGAAUUUUGCGGUGCAAAGCAAGGAAUAGUGGUGUGAGUAAAACAACUGUGUGGUUUUGUACAUGUCUAGGAAAGUUCUGUCACAAAGGCGAUAAGAGCUUAAGGAGUCUGGGUUUUAAGUGGGACCAUUGUGACCCCUCCAGUCUUUCCUGGGAACUUUCCUGGUAUGCAUUCUCACACAUAAUCACAACUAUUCAAGGUGGUACACUAGCUUGUGUGCGGUAUUUAUCAAUAAAAUGGCAGCAAAGUAUGAAAUUGAGAAGUUUAAUGGAAAUAAUUUUUCGUUGUGGAAAAUGAAGAUGAAAACUAUAUUGAGGAAAAAUAAUUGCUUGGCAGCAAUUGGAGAAAGGCCCAUGGAGAUAACUGAUGACAAGUGGAGCGAGAUAGAUGGUAACACCAUUUCUGAUCUACACUUGGCACUUGCAGAUGGAGUAUUAUCCAGCGUGGCAGAGAAAAAUACAGCGAAGGAAAUAUGGGAUACUCUUACAAAAUUGUACGAGGCCAAAUCACUACACAACAAAAUCUUCUUGAAAAGGAAACUUUAUACUCUUCGAAUGGCAGAAUCUACAAUGGCGACCGACCACAUCAAUACCUUGAAAACUCUAUUUUCACAACUCACAACGUUGGGUCAUAAUAUAGAGGAAAAUGAACGUGCAGAGCUUCUACUUCAAAGUCUACCAAAUUCGUAUGAUCAACUCAUCAUCAACCUAAUAAACAACAAUCUAGUGGACAGUCUAGUUUUCGACGAUGUUACAGCCUCUGUAUUAAAUGAGGAGAGCAGGCAGAAAAAUAAAGAAAACAGACAAGUAAGUUUGCAGCAAGCGGAGGCGCUAUCGGUGACGAGAGGGAGAUCAACAGAACGUGGCCCCAGUGGGAGUCAAAGUCAUGGUAGAUCAAAAUUCAGAAGUAAGAAGAAUAUUAAAUGCUACAACUGUGGCAAGAAAUGGCACGCCAAAAAGGAGUGUUGGAGUAACCAGAAGAGAAGAGAAGGUAAAGAACCUGAGUCAUCAAAUGCUCAGGGGUGUGUAGCAAGUACCUCAGAUGAUGGUAAAAUUCUCUACAACGAAGCAAUAACUGUUUCAGAAGGCAGAAAACGACUAUCUGAUGUCUGGCUUAUAGACUCAGGAGCUACCCGGCACAUGACCUCGCGGAGAGAAUGGUUCCACACAUAUGUACCUAUCUCAGGAGGAUCUGUAUAUAUGGGUAAUGAUCAUGCCUUGGAAAUCGCCGGUAUUGGUACUAUCAAAAUAAAAAUAUUUGAUGGUACAAUUCGCACAAUUGGAGAGGUACAACAUGUCAACGGCCUGAAGAAAAAUCUAUUGUCUUUGGGACAAAUGGAUAGUCAUUGGUACAAAACUCAUGUGGAGAAUGAAAUUAUGAAAAUCGUUAAAGGCGCGCUUGUAUUGAUGAAGGCAGAAAAGAUCGGUGCUAAUCUAUUCAUGCUUAAAGGAGAAACACUACAGGAGGCUGAUGCGUGUGUCGCAUCAAAUGGAGAAGAGUCAACGAUGAUGUGGCAUCUCAAACUUGGUCACAUGUCAGAACAAGGUUUGAAGAUUCUCUCUGAGCGAAAAUUGCUUCCAGGGCUCAAAUCGGUAAGUUUACCAUUUUGCGAGCAUUGUGUUAUAAGUAAGUAGCAUAGAUUAAAAUUCAGUAGAUCUAUUGCUAAAAGUAAAUGCAUUCUAGACUUUAUUCAUUCUGAUGUUUGGGAAUCACCGGAUAUAUCCAUGGGAGGUGCAAAGUACAUGGUGACUUUCAUUGAUGAUUAUUCCAGAAGAUGUUGGGUGUAUCCAAUUAAGAAAAAGUCAUAUGUAUUUCUAGUGUUUAAAGAAUACAAAGCGCGGGUGGAACUUGAAUCUGGUAAAAAGAUCAAGUGUUUGAGGACAGAUAAUGGUGGAGAGUAUACAGACGGUGAGUUUCUUGCUUUCUGUAAGCAAAAAGAUAUUCAGAGGCAGUUCACGGUGGCAUACACUCCUCAAUAAAACGGAGUGGCAGAGCGGAUGAAUAGAACUCUUACAGAAAGGAUAAGAGUUAUGUUGAGGACUGCUGGUCUACCCAAUUCAUUCUAGGCGGAAGCAGCCAAAACUGCAUGUUAUAUAGUAAAUCGAUCGCCAUCUACAACUAUUGGGCUGAAGACAGCAAUGUAGAUGUGGACUGGAAAGCCAGCUGAUUAUUCCUACCUACAUGCAUUUGGAUGUCUUGUGUAUGUGAUGUACAAUGCCCAAGAAAGAACAAAGUUAGAUCCAAAAUCUAGAAUAUGUAUCUUCUUGGGAUAUACUGAUGGAGUAAAGGGGCAUAGUCUGUGGGACCCCACUGCCCACAAGAUUGUCAUCAGCAGAGAUGUUAUCUUUAUAGAAAAUCAACUGCAAAGGAGAGAUGAGGAUGAUAGUAGUGUAAAAGAAAAGUCAGAGACUAUAUCGGUAUAUGUGGAAAAUAAUCCAGAAGAUUCAGAUUCUUCUGAAGCAGCACCAGAGCACGAAAAAUAAGAACUAGUCGAGUCCGAGGCUCCAGAAGUUCAUCGGUCAACUCGUGAGAAACGACCACCGGUGUGGCACUCGGAGUAUGUCACAGAGAUCAAUGUUGCAUACUGUCUUCUAACAGAGGAUGGAGAGCCAUCAACUUUCCAUGAAGCUUUAGAAAGCUCAGAUGUUGCCUUGUAGAUGACAGCAAUGCAAGAAGAAAUUGAAACUCUACACAAGAACAAGACAUGGGAACUUGUACCACUACCAUACGCAAGAAAAGCCAUUGGAAACAAAUGGGUUUACAAGAUCAAGUGUGAUGGCAAUGACCAAGUGGAAUGGUAUCGUGCAAGAUUGGUAGUGAAAGAAUAUGCUCAGAAAGAAGGUAUUGACUUCAACGAGAUAUUUUCUCCGGUGGUUCGACUCACAACAGUCAGAGUAGUCUUGGGGAUGUGUGCCACAUUUGACCUACAUCUAGAGCAGUUAGAUGUGAAAACUGCAUUUCUUCAUGGAGAACUUGAAGAAGAAAUAUAUAUGCUCCAACCAAAAGGUUUUGCAGAAAUAGGAAAAGAAAACUUGGUUUGCAGGUUGAACAAAUCUCUAUAUGGUUUCAAACAGGCGCCGAGGUAUUGGUAUAAGAGAUUUGAUUCCUUCAUUAUGAGUCUUGGAUACAACAGACUCAGUUCAGACCAUUGUGCAUAUUACAAGAGGUUUGAAGAUAAUGAUUUCAUCAUUUUGCUGUUGUAUGUGGAUGACAUGUUGGUAGCAGGUCCCAACAAAGAUCGAGUCCAAGAAUUGAAGGCACAGUUGGCUAGGGAGUUUGAAAUGAAGGACUUGGGACCAGCAAACAAGAUUCUAGGGAUGCAAAUUCACCGAGACAGAAAUAACAAGAAGAUUUGGCUUUUGUAGAAGAAUUAUUUGAAGAAAAUCUUGCGGCGCUUCAACAUGCAAGAUUGUAAGUCAAUUUCUACCCACUUCCUGUUAAUUUCAAAUUAUCCUCAAGUAUGUAUCUUAGCAAUGAAGCAGAGAGGAAGGAGAUAUCUCGAGUACCGUAUGCAUCAGCAGUGGGAAGUUUGAUGUUCGUUAUGAUAUGUACUAGACCGGACAUUGCACAAGCAGUGGGAGCAGUCAGUCGAUACAUGGCGAAUCCUAGUGGAGAGCAUUGGAUAGCUGUGCAGAGGAUUUUAAGAUACAUCAGAGGAACCUCAGAUGUUGCAUUAUGUUAUGGAGGAUCAGAAUUGACUGUCAGGGGCUAUGUGGAUUCAGAUUUUGCAGGAGACCUUGAUAAAAGGAAAUCCACUACUGGUUAUGUGUUUACACUUGCGAGAGCAGCUGUAAGCUGAGUUUCGAAACUGCAGACCGUUGUGGCUUUAUCUACAACAGAAGCAGAAUACAUGGCAGCUACACAAGCUUGCAAGGAAGCUAUUUGGAUACAAAGGUUAUUGGAGGAGCUCGGGCACAAACAAGAGAAAAUUUCUGUGUAUUGUGACAGUCAGAGUGCCUUGCACAUUGCAAAGAAUCCAGCCUUUCAUUCCAGGAUGAAGCACAUAGGGGUUCAGUAUCACUUCGUUCGAGAAGUAAUGGAAAACGGAAGUGUGGAGAUUGAUUCCAUACCAAGGAGAACCUAGCAGAUGUUUUGACUGAGCCAAUAAAUACUGACAAGUUUAUCUGGAGUAGAUCCUCUUGUGGCCUAGCAGAAACAUAGGCAACAUGACAAUGGCGAAGCAGAAAGGAUGGUGUGGAGAUUGAUUGUUUUUCAAUUUAAUCUCCAAGUGGGAGAACGUCAAAAUUGGCUGCAUCUAGAAGCUUUGAAUAAACAAGAAUGGUUGGCACUUGGCUUUGAAAUUAUAGAUGCCGUAAUGUUUGGUAAAAGAAAAGAAAAAUUCAAAGUUUGAAAUUUUUAAGAUGUAUGGCUUGAAGUUUAUGGCCACUUGUUUGACAUUUGAGGCAAAGUUUUGCCUAUAAAUACUUGUAACUCCUUUUCACUAGUAAAAUAUUUCGUUCUGUUUUCGCCCGUGGACGUAGGCUAAAAGCCGAACCACGUAAUUUUUUUGGUGUCCUCUUUUGUGCUUGUUCUUUAUUUUCUUCCAAUUUUACUUUAGCUGCGUGUCUGCUCCACCCACCAAUUUCCUAACAACUUCUUCAGUGUUGUAAAAACAGAUGCCUGCUUUAAGCACCAGCCCGAUUUUAUACAUACAUAGAUAUAUAUGUUGAAGUUUCGUAGCUUACCCGUAAGGCCGUUGGAGGGCAGUUCAAGAGUUUGGAGCAUUGAAAGGGCAGUAAUUUCGGAUGGAAUGCUUCCAGAGAUAGAAUAAUUUGAAUGAAUUUUGAAACUUCUGAGGUUCGGAAAGCAAAAGAAUUUGAAACGACCGAGCUCUCCCCUGAUGUUAUCAUUUUCAUACCAGAGUAAGCUGACCCCGAUUACGCUUCCCGCUGAAUUGCAACUGACGCCAGUCCACUUACAAUGAUUGGACGUGUAGUUGCCAGACGUCGCCCAAUUGUUGUACCACCAGCCUGUAAAAAGUAAAGCUUCCCUUUCUAACAGUAUGGGUGACGACAAUAAUCCAGCAGCAGCUGAUGCUAUUACAACUAUUGUCGUAUCACUCAUGGCACCAACAUUAAUUAAAAUUAUAAUGACCACCAAUCUAGAAACAGAGGAUGCUGAUGCCAUGUUUACAAUGGUUUUCGGUUGAUUGGGGUAUUUGAUUCUCAGCAAAGCGUUUAUAUAAGAAUUAAUUGUUUUGCAACCUCCCAGUGUUAAUUUCCAAUACGCGUUUUCAAAUAGUGUGAGUCAAGGUCUUCUCUAGAUGGAUUCAAUCAUGGAGAUAUAACCUUAUUGGCUUGCAUUUGUGUGGUGUAGAUCUAUUUGAACACCAAUUGCAGAAACAUGAGACAACGUGGAAAAUAUUAGAAAUAAUUAAUAGCAUUAUUAGUAGUAUAAGAUAUUAAGUAUUACCCAAAAAUAACACUACAAGAAAAAGUGCCUACCAUGACAGGCAAAAUCUGUCAUAGUAGGGGGUGGAUGACGGUUGUUCAUACCGUCAUUGUAGCCACCGUCAAGAAUUGAUGACAGAAUAAUACCAGUCAUAAUCUGUGAUAAAUAUUUUUAGUCACAUAACUGUCAUAACUUUAUUUAGAGAGGAAUAUAAUAAAUUUGAAUUUGGCCCCUUUUUUUUUAAAUUUGUGCGCCAUAUUUUGAAUUUUUGGCAGGAAAAUCAAAUUUGGCGCGAAAUGCAAAUUAUAAUUAAAUGAAUUUUUUCAAUUAAAUCAAAAAUUGAAAUUAUAAUUAAUAAAAAAGGGGUAUUUUUUUUGCACCAUGAAAUUAUUAUCAUUUUAAUAACAAUCCUGCAAUUGAUUUAGUAGAAAUUAAUAUUUCAUAAAUUAGCUAAUUAAUUAGAUUAUUAAAAUUAAUAUUGCAAUUAAAAAUUAACUGACAAAGAAAAUGAAAUGGAUAACAUUGACUAAGAUUUCAUAAUUGUGAGCAAACAUAAUUUAAUCAAAUUUGAGAGUGACAAAUCCAACAUAAAUAGAAGAAGAGUAUUGUAACAACCUAAGAACUAAAUUCCAGCAGCAUGUACAACACAAAUUAACAAUGAUCAGUUCAAUUCCAGUAGCAUAAGGAAGCCAAACAACAGAGUCAUUUCUACCAACAUGAACAAAGGCAACAACAUAGUUCAUUUCCAGCAACAUUUCCAGCAACACUUCCAGCAACAUAAGAGGAGCCAAAAAUACUGAUCAGACAAGGCCAGCAGUUCCCAAACGUGAAAAUCCAACCUAAGAACAACCGAAAUGUGUAAAAUUGCAUCAAUAUCCAGGAGCUAUUUUCCAAACAAAGAAAAAAACUAGCGAACUCCAGCAGUACCCACCAUCUUCAUCAUAAUCCAACAUAGAAGUAUAAUAAGCUAGAUAACUGCCCAAGUAAAAUAUAUUUCAUCAAUGAACUCACAAUAACAACAUAAUAAGUAAGGGUUACCUCACAUAACAGCAAGUACUCCAGAAAAAUGGUUUGCCCACUCAAUACGGACUUCGUCUAAUUCAGCAUCAGAAUAUGUUGUCUUUCCGUUGAACUAUUUAUGAAAAAUAAAUAUUUAGUGAAACUUUGAAACGGGACAUGUUCUUUUUUAUGAAGCAAAUUAUGAUCAAGGAACUCGCAUUGUUCAUUAGUAAAGAGAAGUCAUUAAUUAAGUCUUUCAUGAAUCUCAUGACGUAAAAUCCACACACGACUGAACUUGCUGGUUGCUGUGGGACCUGUUCACAAUCAGCAAUUGUACAGUUCAUUUUAAUAACAAUUAAGCAUGGUAAUAUAUAAUUAUAGUUAAGGUAAUAGUUCAAACCUUUACGGAUCUGACCAUCUUAUUAUAAUUCCAUUUCUCCUUACCCUCUUGUGCUAUAAACAUUGUCAUAGAGCUGUAUACAAAAAAAAAAUUGUAACAAAGUAUCUGUAAAUUAUGUAAAAGUAAUUUUAUAUUGACAAUGGUAAUAAAAAAAAUUGAACAUACACUUUAAUGAGCUCUUUUAAAUCAUCAUCAGGAUCUCCCCCAUAAGAAUCGAGAUAAUAAACUUCUUUUUUCAACACAUCAAAGACGACCAGCACCCAAUGAUAACUAUAAUAAAAGAAAGAACAGUAAGGUAGCAAUUUCAGUAAAUUAAGGCAAGAAAAGAAAUUAAUAUGAGUUGAAAAGUAUUAAAGGAGCAUACUAGGGAUUAUAAGGCAUAAAGUAGAGAUGGCAAAAGUGCGGGUCGGGUCCGGGUUUGGGGCUGCCCGGGACCGACCCGCAUGUCACACAUAGCUACCCGGAUCCGGACCGUGCCCGGAUUUUUUCUAUGCGGGCCGGGCAUAUGCCCGGCACUAUCCGGGCACGGGUUUUUUCCGGGUUUUCUCUACCCGCAUUUCCAAAGCUGCUUGUUAAUUGCCCAGUUCUCAACCAUUGUUUUCAAUUACAAGAACUCGUUGAUUAAAAAGAACUGCGAGAAAGAUUUAAUUUCCAUUUAUGCAAUGAUUAGAAGAUGCAACAUCCACAAAUCUAGUGAACAACGUAGAUCAAGAGAGGCCUGAUGUGGACUUAAUUUUUUUUUUCUUUUAAACUGCAAAAGAAUGAAUAAAACCCAAAUUCAACUUUUAACCCCCACCACUUCAGAAUUCAAAAGGUUACCUUAAAAUUGAUAUAAAAUUAUAACCAACAAAGCGACAAUUUACAAGAAGCCGACGCGAAAAAUGCAAAAUUCUAAUAAAAUUAUAUUUAACUUAAACCGAAGAAUAAAUAGUCAAAACAAAACCAAUUUAAGUUUUUUUUUCAAAAAAAAAAUUAUGAUACAAUAUUCUUUGCAUCUCUGCAACAACACUGCUGUAGUUCUGCACACUAAACAUAAUGGAUGCAACAACACUGUUGUAGUUCUGCACUGGAAGUCUGGAAAUAAAAAUGCAGCCAUGCUUCAAAACUGCAACGUUGCUUUGCAAUAAAUGAAAAGAGUUGACCGAGGAAGGUAAGAGGUUCGUGGAGGGAGAGGGGCGGUCAACACUGCAUCGGUGCCGGUGGGUGGUGGCUGCUGGUGGAGAGACGAAAAGAGGUGUUGCGUUUGCGAGAUUUCAGUGUGUGUUGCAUUUGCGAUUUAGGGUUCGGUUUGGGAGCAAUUGGGCAAAGCAAAAUGUAUUUUUGCUUUUAUAUUUUCCUCUCUUUUUUUUACUUAAUAAAAAACCGGGCACGGGUCCGGGUUCCGGGUUCUUAAUGCUGUGACCGGACCCGUGCCCGGAAGUAGCCGGGCAUUGAAAAUCAAUGCCCGGAUCCGCUUUUUCCAUGCAUCCGGUCUGGGUAAAACCCGGACCGCAUACGCCGGGUCCGGGCCGGAUCCGGUCCGGGCGGGUUUUUCUGCCAUCUCUAGCAUAAAGAUGAAUUGUCCCUUCUUUGCUUUUUUCAAUCGAUCAUAAACUCCACGUGCCCUAAGGUCAAAUGAUGCAGUAGGAUUACGUUCUUCGCCUAGUGAAACCAGACCUGGACGAAUGAAUCCAAAUGGUUUCACUCCUCUUUUCCCAGGGAGAAUGGAAGCAUACAACAUCCUGAUAAACAAUAGACAAACAAUGUUAAAGUCCAUUAAUUGGGACUCCCAUAUAAAGUACACAUAAAACUAGAAUGAUUAUGAAUCACUUACGCAAUAUAGACUUCGAUUACGUUUACUCCUAUAGCAUCCAUUGACAGAACUGCACUACAGUCACGCCUUCCAAUAUGAGCUCUAAUCCCUUCCAAAUGGAAAACACCAUCAUCCAGUAGUUAUGGAAUCCAUUCUUGGUCUGACAUCUUAGCUUCACACAUUGUGCCAAACAACUGCAGCAACGGAAUCUUGUUUCGUUGUACUCCUCCUGCAUGCCUUGUGUUCCUCCUUGUUGGCAAAGGCUUCACUGUAACUUUUUUGCCCUCGUCCUUGGUCUGUUUUACAGCAUCUGUAUGUCCUAUCUCUAUUAUAUCAUUAUGCUGUUCUGCUGAUUCAAAGUUCAAAUGUUUUUUUGUGCCUUGAUGUUUAGGAUUGCUAUUUUUUUUCCCUGUAACAAAUCAUCAGGCAUCUCCACUGGGAUUUCAGUUGGGUUCAAUCUUGGACUCUUUCUUGCAAUGACAGAGAAUUUUUUGGCAGGUGUAUUCUUGUUUUUGUUUGCUAUGUCUGUCUCUUUCUUAGGUGUCCCUUGCUUCUUUUUUUUCAAAUGAUCAGGCUGUUACAAACAUAAUUGUUCAGUAUGAUUGGCAUAAAUAGUUUCUAAAUACUCUAAAUUUCUCUUACAAAGUAGUUAACAGUAUCAAAUGACACCCCAGAAAGAACAUAUGUAUAAAUAGUAAACAUACAGCAAACUAAAUCCACAAAUAACAUGUAAGAACAGUAACUACAACAACUCUUAUCCAGCAAAAGACUAAAUCUAGAAAUAAUAAGAAAAAUAGUAAACAAACUGACCUUUGUUGUUUCAGCAACUGCUUCAGCUUGAACAGACUCUAUGCCAUCAUCUCCAACAACAUUAUUGUUUUCACCAGGCACGCGAGGGUAGCUGGAACUUGCUAUAUCUGAAUGACGAGGUGUUUUUCUUAGUUCAUUUCUCAUUUCUUCCAACUGCCGAUUAAUUGAUUCCCUCCAUAGACGGUUCUCUCUUUGCCUGUCUCUAUCAGCAGGCCUCUGGUAAGUUUGAAAAUACAGAGACGGGGUCACAAACUUGCCCACUCCUUGCAUAUGACCACAUUUUGGAGCUUUUCCUAAAGAUUGUGCGAGAAUAUCAUUUUUUCCGGAUGACCGCAUCUUUCCUUUCUUAGCUUCCAUCUCCAAUUUAUCCUACCACACAAAUGAAUUAAGUAAGCCAAUGUUAUCAAAGUAUAAGUAAUCACAAAUAGAAUUACAGUAGUAAGCAAAAACUUUCUUACGAUUUUUUUAAUAACUGGUUCAACAUCGGGGUGGUAUCCUCCGUUUUUCAUUUGCCGAGCUCUCUUCCAAAGAACACUCCUGUCCACUUCUUCUUCAGUAAGGCCUGUUUCUGAGCACUGUAAAAAAGUUAAUAAAAAGUUAAAAUGUUAGUAACAAUCAUUAUUUGCAUUAACCAAACAACAGUAAAAUGUUAGCAACUAACUCACAGUACAUACCACUUCCUGCAUUAACCCAACGUAACCUUUUCUACUUAGGCGAUGAUUAAACUUGUUUUGUGCCCGCCUAAGUUUAUUCACACCACUAACUUUCUGCUUAAAACAACCAAACAAACAAUGGAUAAACCCAUAAGGAAAAAUGUCAUAAGCAUUGAUAUAUUAUUAACACUUGAAUUAGACACUCACUUGAAAUUUUUCAGAUAGUCUUUCCUUUACAAACUUAAUCCAACUUUCCUUAGCAAUCGUGCUGUACCGUGCUGGUGGCUUGAAAAGCCUUUUACGGUCAUUAACAAAUGGUAAAACAUAGUUCCUCAUUAGAGUGUACUUAAAGUUCCGAAAUGCAGCUCCGAUGGCUUGUAGUACUUGCUUCCUACUUCGAGGAUGAACCACGAAGUACACCUUCAAGUUUCAUUAUGAAAAUGUGAGAUUUUUCCAGCCACAAUAAAACUAGAGUAAUCGUCUAAAGGAAAUUAUUUUAUACCUUAACAGACUCCCAUAGACGCUCCUUCGUAUCAUCUGGAACUCUACGCCAAUCGUUGUAGAGGAUUGGAAUUGAUGUACGAGCCAAAACACCAAUAUACGUAGCCAGCUCAAUGGCUUCUUCACCAACUGGAACACCAAGGCUGUUGUAUUUAACCACAAACCUUCCACUUCUUUUCCUCUUUUUAUUUUGUUCUGACCCAACAGUGCCACCUCUGCUUCGCUUACUGCUGCUCUCAGGUUCAUCCUCGUUCCCAUCUCCAAACUCAUCAAGAUCAGGGACAUGAUCGGCCAGGGGCGUUUCAGGAUCAUAUCCUUCACGGAUAAGUGCCUCAUGGUACUCUGAUUCCUCACCAACAAAUCCAUCAUUUUGUUCAUCUAAAAACUCAUCGAAAUGGGCAUCAGAUUGCUCAGGUGAAGAACUCUCAGGGACAUUUUUUCCCUUAUCCAUGAUGAAUAUCACAACUGCAGAACAAAAUCAAAUGAUGAGAAUACACUACCAUAUAAAAACUGCCAAAAAAUAUAAAAUAAAAUAAUAAUAGAUACCAUAAAUACUUCUUGUAUUAACCUUAACAUAUAUCAUUUUGAGAAGGACUCAACAAACAGCUCAUGCAAACAAACACAGAAACGAUAUUCAAGGUCCAAUCCAAAUUCCCUCUUUGUUGUCUCGUGCGUACAUUUCAGAAUCAUCGUCAAUAGAGUUUAUGUUAUCAGCACUUGGAAAUUCAGUAGUCAACGAAGGGUAUUCCACUGCAUCUUCGCUUCUUUGUGUGGGUUUACCUCUUCUAGGCAUUUGGCAUACAACUGACCACUUCUUAUCAAACUGAUCAGGUACAUAAAAAACUUGGUUGGCUUGAGAAACUAAAAUAAAUGGAUCAUAUUUAUGACCCAUUCGUUGCAAGUCUACCAAAGUAAAUCCGAGUCUAUCCUUCAUAACACCACCUCUGGUAUGUACCCAGUCACACUUCAUUAUUGGAAUUCUAAAGAUAACAUAAUCUAGAUCCCAAAUCUCUCUAAUCACUCCAUAGUAUGUGAUGUUAGAAGUGACAGGAUUUUUAUCUUUUGAACUUGCGACUGAAAUUGUUUGUGCAACCAAUGACACUCCACUAUUUUGAGUAACUCUAUUUAAGUCUCGAUCUCUUGUAACAAAGUGAAAACCAUUUAUGUCAUAUCCAGGAUGUUGGAAAACAUAAGGACGAGGCCCUUGGGAUAACCAACGGAUUGUUUGAGUAACAACGUCACUGUUCUCUAUCAACAUAUUUACCUAUUAUUAAUCAAUAGGAAUAUAAUGUUAAACAAGCACAAACCGAAACAGAAAGGAAAAAAGGAAUUAAUUAAACUAAUGUUAUCAAAACCUUAUCUGUUAGCUAAUCUGCAAAUGUUCGGUUGUGUUCAUCUUGCAACCACUUCUCAUUUUUUCGUGGAUGGCAAAGUUGUAACCAAUCCUCAUGCUCUCUAAAAAUCAGUUAAAAGGACAAAAUUUUCAGGUUCCUAAACUACCAAAACCUGACAAAUAUAAAGCUAAAAUAACACAAGUUAGAUAACAUCACGUUAUAUAAGGCUGAACUUCCUCAAUGUUAUGCAAAACAUACAAGUGUGCUUGAUCUAAUGAAGUUCGAUCAACUUCCACCAUUUGUCCACCACUCAUGGGCUUGUCAAUUUCUAAAUUCUGCACAUGUCCAGGUGGAACCCCAAUUGUGGGCAUGUUUUCCAAGUAUUCUGCACAAAAUUCUAAUGCUUCCUCGGCAAUAUAACUCUCCGCUAUGCAACCCUCAGGACAGUUACGGUUUCGAACAUAGCCUUUUAGAGUUUUCAUGUAUCGCUCAAAAGGAUACAUCCACCGAAAAUAUACGGGACCACAUUGUCUAACUUCACUCACUAAGUGAAUAGUAAGAUGAACCAUUAUGUCAAAAAAAGAAGGGGGAAAACAUUUUUCAAGCAAGCACAAAGUCUCUACGAUGUUUUUCUCCAAUUCAUCUAGCAUUGUCACGUCAAUCACAGUCCCACACAACGAAUUAAAGAAGAAACAAAACCUAAUGAUAGCUUCUUUGACAUGUUUGGGCAGCACACACCUUACGGCAAUUGACAAAAGUUGUUGCAUAAGAACAUGACAGUCAUGAGACUUAAGACCCUGGAGUUUAAAGUCCUUUUUUGAAACAAGAUUCCUAAUAUUUGAAGAGUAUCCAGUAGGAACCUUGAUACUUUUCAAAGCUGCACAGAAUCUUGCUUUUUCCUCCUUAGUUAAGGUGUGGCAAGCAGGAGGAAGCCAUGUACGAUUGUUGUUUCCUUUAACUUGUGGUGCUAAGGUGGGCCUAAUUUUCAUUUCCAAGAGAUCCAUCCUCGACUUCAGUCCAUCUUUGGACUUUCCAGGAAUAUGUAGCAGUGUACCGUAGAUGUUCUCACACACAUUCUUUUCAAUGUGCAUAACAUCUAAUUGAUGCCGCACAAGCAAGUGCUUCCAAUACUCUAAAUUAUAAAAUAUAGAUUUCUUCUUCCACCACGCGAGAUCAUUAUUGUUCGCACUUUUACGCUUUUUAUGUUGCUUUUCCCCCAUCUAUUAUCAAUAGAGUCGACCAACUGGAAAAUUUCCUCCCCGUUUAACAAUUUUGGAGGGGUUUCAUCACACACACUAUUGUCAAAGGCUUUUGCUUGGAACCGAAAUUUAUGACCAUGAGGAAGCCAAAGCCGAUGCCCAAUGUAUACAUUUUUUCCACUGUGUUUAAGUCUACAUUUUGGUGUUUCUACACCACAAUAUGGGCAGGCAUAAUAUCCUUUAACAGUACAUCCUGCUAAAUUUCCGUAUGCCGGGAAGUCAUUUAUUGUCCAUAGUAAUACAGCCCGCAAAUUAAAGUACUCAUUUUUGUAGGCAUCAUAUGCCUCCACCCCAACAUCCCAUAAAGUUUGCAAAUCCUCAAUAAGAGGUUGCAAAUACACAUCAAUAUCUAAACCCGGUUGUUGAGGACCAUAAAUCAAGAGGGACAACAUCAUGAAUUUUCGUUUCAUGCACAACCAUGGUGGAAGAUUAUAAGUAAUAAGAAUUAUUGGCCAGCAGCUAUAUGUACUACUAAGAGAGCUAUGUGGAUUGAUUCCAUCAGCUGAUAGAGCUAGGCGAAGGUUUCUAGGAUCGGAUGCAAAGAUUGGCCAUUUCUCAUCUACUAACUUCCAAGAUGGUGAGUCAGCCGGAUGUCGGAGUUUACCAUCAACCAUCCUCUCAUUUGCAUGCCAAGUCAAGUCCCUAGCAGUUUCGGAUGACUGAAACACGCGCUUAAACCUAGGUAUAGGAGGAAAAUACCAUAAAGUUUUUGCAGGAACCCCUUUCCUAUAUUGGUCUACAGUACCAUCCUUUUUCUUCCAUCUACAUAACCCACAAGUAGGACAUUCCAAAAGACCUUCAUACUCUUUUCUGUAGAGUAUGCAAUCGUUUGGGCAAGCAUGAAUUUUAACAUAUUCUAAGCCCAAAGCUGACAUUGUCUUUUUGGCCUCAUACAUAGAGGUUGGAAUUUCAUUAUUUUUAGGGAAAGCAUCUGCUAAAACACUCAACAAUGCAGAAACGCCACUGUCAGACCACCCAAAUCUACCCUUCACAUUGAACAAUUUCACUAAAAAGGAUAACUUAGUAAAUUUUGUGCAUCCUAGGUACAAGGGUUUCUCAGCCUGUUCUAGCAACUCUUUGAAUGCCUUAGGGUCCCCACAACAACCCUUAUAAGCAUCAUUAACCAUUUCUAACUCAUUACCAUUGUCAAACUCUAUAUUUUGUUGCUGAAAAUGGUUUUCUCUUUGAGGAGAAGAACUCUUACGAAUCUCUUCCCCGUGCCAAAACCAAUUGUCGUAUUUCACAUCAAAACCAUGCAUAUAUAAAUGAUCUUUUACAGUUGUAGGUGUUUCAAAUGAUAAAUUCCCACAAUCAACGCAUGGACACCUAAUGACGCUACUCCCUGCAGCAUUUUUUAUAGCAAAAUUUAUAAAUUUCUGGACACCCUCUUCAUAUUCUGUCGACAGUCGAUUACAUUGAAUCCAAGAUUUAUCCAUUUCGGGCUUAAUAAUUAAUGUUCCUGACAUAUACAUAAAACAAAGAAAGAAUGUACAUACUUAGAAUAUUUGUCUAAUGUUAUAACACCAUGUGAACUAAACAAAUUUUAAAAUUACAAAUAUAGCAAACAAGAAAGCUGAUAAACUGAAUUUCAUACUUUUCAAAAGUUCACUCUCCUACUAUACUAUAAAUAUAAUAAAUAAGACAGACCCCACAACAACACAUUACAUAGUAUCAUAAUUAUAAAUUUAAAGAUAUGUAAAUUUUAAGCAAGUGUAUAACAACUUCAAUCUACGUCAAAUAAUAGAGGAUAAGAAAUGGAACUUACCAAAUUAAACACAAACAAUCUGCUGUUAUAUCCAAUUCCAGGUACAAAUCCAGCAACAAUAUUGAUUACUGAAAUAUAUUUUGAAUGAUCAGUUGAUAAAAUUCCAAAACUUGGAUUCAAGAGGGCUAAAAAGUUACCAAUAAAUUACAUUAAUCAUAUGAGUAAGCCUAAGAAGAAAUAAUAAACUACAACUUCAAAUAAUAUACAUCAGUAGAACAAAAAUGAAAGCAAACACAAAGAAAAGCUUCAAGUACCUUAAUACAAUGCCUUCAACAAAUCAAGAACAUCGAACUGUCACGUUUAUGCAGCAAUCACAACUAUUUAUAUUUGACACGCAAAUGUUACGACUCAAGACAACAACAGUAACAAUAAUACCACCAGAUGCAAAAUAGCUACAACACCACAUGCAUAGGUAGAUGACAAUGAGAUGUGAGAAUCCCUCAAUUUUACAUAACAGAAUCAGUUACUAAAAGUCCCUCCUCAGGCUUUGUUAUAGACAUUUCAGGCCAAUAUCACCAUCUUCAUACACAAACACUCAUUUAACUUAACGAAGCUUCAAUAUCAGAAAUAGCUAGAAAAAAAAUUCACACACAAACACAUGAAUAUAAUUCAGAAUUACCUAGAAUAAAAAAAAAUUAACAGCAUUAUGCAAUGCACGAUUACAACUCAAAACAGAACUCAAAAUUAACAACAUUAUAUCUUCCUGGGAAAUUAUUUAGUAAAUUGAUUACCGAAAUAUAUGCAAUAUAUGCAAUACAUGCAAAUACAUUUCAAUUUUUUACAAAUUAUUUACUACUUUACAUAAAAGUUCAAUAAAUAGUCAAAAUUAAAUACAUGCAAAUGCAGCAAUGACUCACCAGUGGGCGUGAAGCUUCAAUUCACCGUCAAGCCUAGGGUUUCAACUUCGGCAACAACGAUUUGGGUCUUCUUUCACGGUAAGCAAUUGGGUUUCUUUCAGUCAAUAAAAGUACCCUGGAUGUUGUUCUCAUUCCAAUUUGGGUUUCGAUUAGCACUGACUUCGUCCCAGCAAAGAGAGAUGAUUUAGUGAAACAACCAGAAUGAUUUUGAAACUAUGGGUGUUUGGGUGUCGUUAGUUUGCUAUGGCUGGCUUUUGAGGGUUUGCUCCAAGUGUGCUAAUCGAUUUUGAGAUUCCACAAUAACGCUUGCAAAUUUUCUGAACACUUAGAAAAAAAUUUCCCUCUUUUCUCACAAAAAUGUUUCCCCCCUUAACAAAACGCAACGUUUUAUUAAUUGUUUUUUGUUAUUUACGUCUGUUAUCCUCAAACUUGCGAAACAUACAACUGAGACGACAUCGUUUCACUUCUAUUUUAGUAAUAUAAUAUUUUUAAAAAUUAAGUCAAACCCGCGCAAUUAAAGUCAACAUAAAAAAUCAGUCUUUCAUUCUUGAUUGUCAAAUAAUUUAUCACUAGUCUAUCAUAAUUUCUUGAUAUAUGAUAUUUAUAUCACCAAUAUAUCAUAAUUUCUUGAUAAACGAUAUUUCUAUCACAAAUAUGUCAUAAGUGUAUGACAGAAAAUAAAUCUAUCACGAUUCUAUUGUUGUAGGCCUCCAGACCAAAAACUGUCACACAGAGGACUGUCAUAGUAGAUACUUUUUCUUGUAGUGUAAGUAAAGGAAAAAAGUUCAAAGAAAAGAAUUGUUGUGAAUUAUGGCUCAAAUAGGAAAAUAAACAAGACUAACUAACAUUUUUUUUUUUUAACCCUAAACAUCAUAAAUGAAAGAAGAUGAAAUUUUCAUUACCGCUCAAUUUUUCUGCACGCAACCAAAUAAGAAAAACAAAAAAGUGUUAUAAAAAUAAUGCGCUAGUAGCUAUUUGAGGCAUUAUUUUGAAUGAGACCUAUUUGGCAUAAGCGAAAAGUCAGAAAAUGUUUCGCAUAUUCCUCUAUGAGUACUUCGGAAUGGUUAUCUAUAUGAGUCAUUGCUUCGUUCGCGUCGCAUAAUUGCCAUCCAAAGAAAAAAUAUUUUUGUCAUUAAUUUUAGGUUUUUUUUAAACUUUAAUUUAACUUUAAUAAUGCCAUAUUAUUUAAUAUUAUAAUUGCCGUUCGAACCUUGCAAAACAUGAAGACUAAUAUAUAUAUUAAUAUAUGCCAUAUUAUUUAAUAUUUAAUUUUUAAGGCAACUUUUUUAGUUGAGGGCAGGGAACCCCUACGUUACGUAAUUCCGUAACAAGCUCAUCUAAUCACCUUGACUAUAAGACUUCUCCUAGUCAGCAAUUAUUUGGAAAUAACGUCUUGACAUAUGCUGUGGAAAUUAAAGAAUGAAGUAGACUUACCAAGUCAAGGUGUUUUUCUAGUCUACAUAUUUUAAUUUAUACGUUUAGAAAAUUAGAAAUAUUCAAUGUCUAAUCUGAUUUUACACAAAGACUAAUGGCCCAAGAUUGUGAUUGAAAUGCUAUAAGCAGUUUAUUCAUAAGUUUAGAUAAAAAUGAGGUUUGAUGGAGAAGAAUAGGAAGAGGUUCGCCUGAAGCAAUAUACUCGUAAGCUUGUCUACUAAUAAACGGAGCAUAUAAGCAUAAACACCUAACUUUUGAGGUAUGUGUGUGUGUAUAUAUAUAUGGAUCUUAAAGAUUGGGAAACGUUCAGAAAAACUUUAAAACCACGAGGUGUUAAAGAUUUAAAAGUUAAAGCGCUUAAACUGCACGGUUUAUGCGUUUUCCUAGAUGUCCUGUAUUUUAAAAUUUCGAAUUAGAACAUUUCUAUAUGUGUGUGUGUGUGUGUGUGGAGGGCAAAUCUUUGACUCUCUCCGGCUUCAAGGACCUAUACGGUAACUCUUAAAUCAAAGGGAGAAAAUGGUUAAUCCAAUCUGAUUGUAUAUGAAUUGAUAUUGACCAUACGAUUAUUCCAUAUGAUUAAGUAAUAAUGCACACAUGUUCUACACAUUCAGACAAGUCAGAGUAAGAAUUAUGAAAAUGACAACCAAAUCCAAACUAGCUAGGUGAACUAUUGUUAUUUAUCUUUGGUCCAUCAUUAUUAGAAAGAUGAGGAGAAGAAGAAAAAGAAAAAACUAAUUUUGUAGUCACAAAUUAAUCUUAUGCUCUGAUUUUGAAGCAAAUCUGCAAAAUAUUUGAGGAUCCAAUCAUGAACCACGUCCACUUCAAUCUUUCGCUGCACUACUACCCAUUUUGGGUCGUCUUCUGUUUCUGGCUGUAUGUCUAAGCAAUAGGAACCUGCUCCAAUUUACAGACUAUUAAUUAUGUUAUCGAAUAAUUUAGUUAAUAAUUGAACACUAAUUUUUUAUUUUAUUGAAAAAUUUACAUACCGUUUCUUGUUGUCACUACUAUUUAUACUAUUUGAUAUAUUUUUUCCAAACCCCUAAAAUCCCCCCCCCCCCCCCAAAAAAAAAAGAAGAAAAAAAAAGAUAUAUAAUUAAACAGGUAACUUUGAUAGAAAAGAAUGUACAAAAUUUUUAAGCUUAAUUACCCCUCGCUGCCAUAGGGAUAACGAAGGCCAUUUGAGAAAAUAAUGUUGCUACCAAAUCUCUUUAAAACCACUCUUAUAUCCUGCAAAUUAAAAAGAAAUAGAAAUCAAACAAAAUUGAGGUAAGCUUUAUAAUUAAAAAAAAAAGAGAAAAAUUAAAUUAUUAAAAGAAUUUGUUUAGGGAUUCAUCAAUACUUACAUGACUGUCGUAAUAAGUUGUAAUCUAAUAUUGUCUCGGAACCACUCCAUAAGACUUAAUGCAUUAAUCCAUAUAUUCUGUCAGAUUAAAUGGGUUGCUUGAAACAUUGUGUCUUUUUUUGCCAAUUCCAAUUGAUGAGACCAUUUCACUGCAUGUCUGGAUGAGAACUCCACCCCCUCUAAAAAAUAAUAAUAAUAAUUAAAUAAAUAAAUAAGAUAAAGAAGAAAACUAUUUUUAAUCAUUCAUAAAUAUGUAGUCUCAUAAAUAAAAUUUAGAGAUGUACAUAAAAUAGGUAUUGUUAGACGAAAGACUCAUUUGUUGCGACAUGUUGUUUAUUUGACAAUCUCAAUAGAACUAUCCAAUUGGCUUAUUGGCUUAUAUUUGUGUGGUGUAGAUCUAUUUUAUCAACAUUGCAGAAACAUGAGAUAAUAUGGAAAAUAUUAGAAAAAAUUAGUAGCAUUAUUAAGAUAUUAAAUAUCACCCAAAAUAAUAAAAUGAAAAAAAAAAGCUCAAAGAAUUGUUGUUGUAAAUUAUGACUCCAAUAGGAAAAUAAACAAGACUAAUCAUAUCUUUGUGUAAAUUUAAUUUUUAUAAAAAAACGUGUAGGUGUAAUAUUAUGAAUAAACUGAUAGAGAAAAGAAUGUGCAGACUCCUGUGAUUUGACAAAAUAAUCAAAAUAUUCUCUUUAUUUUUUAAAAUAGUUACAAAGCUCCUUUUGUAACAUACAAAUUACGGAAAUUCAUGGGCUACCUAACAUCCAUUUUAUUUUAUUUUAUUUUAACACCUAAACAUCAUAGACGAAAGAAGAUAAAAAAUUUCAUUGCACUCAAUUUUUUUGCAUGCAAUCAAUAGGGAAAAGAAGCAGAAAGUGUUGGAAAUAUAGCACAAGUGGCUCUUUGAGGCGUGAUUUUGAGUGAGACCUAUCUAAUGUAAGUGAAAGGUUAAAAUUGUUUCAAUUAUUCCUCAGUGAAAAUUGGGAUUACGGUUGAAAUACUAUAAGUAGCUUAUUUUAUAAGUUUUGAUAAAAAUAAUUUGGUAAAUUUGUUAAAAGUUAAUUUAUAUUUUUUCUAUUUCGACAAUAGCUUUUAAAACAAGUAUGGGAUUUUUUUCUAUAAGCAACUUAUUAAAUAAAUGCUAUAUUUUUUAAAGUUUCUAUUAUAACUUUAAUAUUUUAAGAAAAGAAUAAUUAUAUCUAUUUUUUUAAAUCUUAAUAUAUAAAUAAAGACAAUUUAAACUUAUAUCUAUUUUAGUGAUUAGAUAAUAAAAUAAUUCUUUCAUACUCAAAUUUACCAAACACCGAGCAAGCUACUUUUAUAAUCAUCAAUUUAUUUUAUUCGCACACAUAAGUAGUUUAUUUCAUCAGCCAUUAGAAUUUCAAACCGAUCCCAAGUCAUGUUUGGAAUUGCAUUGGAUUGUCAACUAAUUAAACAGAAGUAGCUAUUAUAUGGGAGAAUAAGAACAGGUUCACCUGGAGCAAUACACCCAUAAGCUUGGCUACUAAUAAACGGAGCAUAUAAGGAUAAACACCUAAGUUUUGAGAGAUACAUGUAUAUGGAGGGCAAAUUCUUCGUCUCUCCCCGGCUUCAAGGAAAUGGUUAAAUCAAUAUGAUUGUAUAUGAAUUGAUAUUCACCAUAUGAUUAUUACAUAAAGAUUGAACCCUUUUUAUGUGUUUUACAAUAAGUAAGCACACUUGUUCUACACAUUCAGACAACCCAGAUUAAGAAUUAUGAAAAUGACCAAAUCUAAAACAAGCUAGGCGCACUAUUAUUUAUCUUUGCUCCAUAAAUAUUAGAAAGAUAGAGGAGAGGAAAAAAAAGAAAAGACUAAUUUUGUAGUCACAAUAUAAUCUUGUGUUCUGAUUUUGAAGCAAAUCAGCAGAGUAUUUGAGGAUCCAAUCAUGAACCGUGUCCGCUUCAAUAUUUCGCUACAUUACUAACCACUCGGGAUCAUCUUCUGUUGCUGGCUGUAUGUCUAAGCAAUAGGAACCUGCUCCAAUUUACACACUAUUAAUUAUGUUAUCCAAUAAUUUAGUUAAUAAUUGAACAUUAAUUUUUUAUUUUAUAGAAAAAUUUACAUAACGUUUCUUGUUGUCACUGCUAUUAUAUUGUCUGAUAUAUCUUUUAGAACCCUAUAAUCUCAAAAAAGAAAAGAAAAAGAUAUAUAAUUAAAUUGGUAACUUCGAUAGAAAAGAAUGUACAAAAUUCUUAAACUUAAUUACCCAGCGCUACUAUAGGGAUUACGAAGGCCAUUAGAGAAAAUAAUGUUGCUACCAAAUCUAUUUAAAACCAUUCUUAUGUCCUGCAAAUAUAAAAUAAAUAGAAAUAAAAAAAAUUGAGGUAAACUUUAUAAUUAAAAAAGAAAAUGAGAAAAAUUAAAUUAUUAAAAGAAUCAAUUUGGGGAUUAAUCGACACUUACAUGACCACUACAAUAAGUUGUAAUCCAAUGUGGUCUUGGAACCACUCCAUAAGACUUGUUGCAUGAAUCCAUAGAUUCUGUUGGAUUAAAUGGGUUUGCUUGAAACGUUGUGUCAUUUUUGCCAAUUUUAAUUGGUGAGACCAUUUCACUACAUGUCUACAUGAGAAACCCCCAAUAAUGAUGGCGAUGAUGAUGAUAAAAAAAAACAAAAGAGAUAAAGAAGAAAACUAUUUUUAAUCAUUCAUAAAUAUGUAGUCUCAUAAAUAAAAUUAAGAGAUGUACAUAAAAUAGGUAUUUUUAGGCGAGAGACUCAUUCGUUGCGGCAUGUUUUUUAUUUGACGGUCUCAAUAGUACUACCCAAUGAAAUCAUGUCACCUGUAAUUGCAUACCUGCCAGCCCCAGCUGGAGUCCAAUGUUUCAUCGGAGAAGAAUUCAUCAAUACAUCAUAGCAAGAACUUUCCCCUCUUAAAGCAACAAUUCCUGAGAAUAUCCGGCCUAGGGUAUCUGUGCCUUCCGAAGCUCCAUCAAUACCAUUACAGGCUUUGUUCACUGGAUAUUCCUGAGGAUCAUCAUACUGAGCUGCACUCGUAUACAUAGACUCUAAAUAAUCCUUUAAUUCUGAAACGUCCUUCAGAGGCCUGUUACCAAAUAAUUAAAGACUCAAGAUGAAAUUUAGCGCCUCCAAGGUUAGUAACAUCAUAAAAGAUCUUUCAUCAUACCUGUCUAAUAAAUUUUGUUAUAUUUAGUUAAAUUACAAUAAACUUUAUGAGUAUGAAGCUAUUGGUAUCUCAAAUGCAAACAUCCAAAUUUGGCCUUACUUGGUAAUCAGAGUUGUACAUUGUUUUGUACUUCUGAACCUAAGCACCAAUAUACUUUAAUAUCUGGUAAUGCAUAGGUCGUAUAUGAGGCCAAAUCCAGAUUUUACUAUGUACGUAUAUUACACAUUAACUGAAAUGUAUAUAUACCUCGAGGAUGACAGAUAAUUUAUUGGAUAUAUAUAGGUAGUUAUGUAAUGAUACUACAAUAACAUUGCAUUGUAAUUAAAGGAAAAUCAGAUGGAUAUAUAUCGGCAGUUAUAAAAGUAACAUGAUUCAAUUACUUGCAGGUUUUGAAUUUUUUAGAGAGAAAAGUAAGUCCAUUUUUUUUCAGCAGCGGCUUUAUCGAUUUCAACCAGGACUGUUUGAUGGUCUUGUAGCAACUCUCACUAGCUUCCUGCAUCACUAAUAUUCAAAAUUCAAUAGUUAAAUUUUUAACAAGAAAAUAUAAUCAUACAUAUAUCGAAUUUUAAUUAAUUAAUAUUAUUUUCUAACCCUAAAAUCCUUGCUGACAAGAUCAUAAAAUGCGUUCGAUGGUGUGAUAUUAUCAAAGUAGAGAAUUGGGGCUGAAGAGGCCACUGCUCCCAAAGCAAUGUCAGGAUACUUUAAGCGAAACCAUGCAACAAGCACUGACGAUAACAAUAACAGAUCCACACAUGAGAAACUCUCAAACGAGUCUUUGUCAGUAGGAAUACAAAAUAAAAUUGUAUCAUAAUAAUUGUGGCGUUAUCCAGAUUUUAGUCAAAUAUUGACAAUGAGAUGACAGAUGACAUGAUAUCAAUCAAAAGAUGCAAGUAAGUUAAUAAUAUUAUAACUUACUUCCUCCGUAAGAUGCUCCAACAACGAUAGUGGGAGACAUUUCGGCCGAUAAAUUUUUCUUGAUGUGUAAGAGAAUCUCUGCAUAAUCAGCCAAUGCUUGAGCAGAGUUGAAAUAUCCACGAAGAGUUGCAUUCUUUAGGGCAUCUUUACUUGGUACAAAAGGUACUGAUUUUCCAUAGAAUCGAUGCUGCACAAAAUAUCGAAUUAAAAAAAAAUCCAUCACAAUUUUUCAGUUCAUAUUGUAGAAUAGUCUUAUUGAUAUUUGUCUUCAGUAUUAUUAUUUCAUAUACAAACUCUAUUUCAAUUAUUAUCAAGCUAGGCUGAUAACAAAUUCUGUCCUUACCUCUAUGUAAACUUCUAAAGCUUUAAAUCGAUGAGCAUUAUCAGUAAGCCAUCCAAUGCCACCAUGGUCAUCAUCAAGACUACUCUCUUCACCAAGAUAUGCCAAUAUCGGCGCUGCCAUGGCUCCGCCACCGCCCCAAUGCUUGAAGUUCAACACAUAUCUAUGAGGAAAAGUUAAAUAACUUUGUGGAUUAUAGUUAGAGUGAUCAAGUAUUUGAUCAUAAUAAUAAGUUUCGAGAUCACCCUCUGGUUCUGAAGUUAAUAUUUUUUUACUAGGGUUUAGAAAAAUAGUCCAUCCACGCACAGCACCAAGCUUUGGGAUGUUCUUUAAUGGUGAAGUGGAAGCAAAAGCAAAAUUUGUGAGGAGAAGAAGAAAAAAGGCAUGGAAGCCACCGACCUUCCAUGGUGUUGAAUUAGCUGAUGAAACUGAAUCAAAUGCAACACACGUUGGAGUGCUAGCUGGAAUCAAGCGAGCUGUAAAUCUAGUAGCUAGUCUAGGAAUGAAAGUGAAAGGUACACGUGAGAAGUUGGGAAGUUCCAGAUGGCAAAACUGUUAUGAAGAGAUUCCCAUGCAGUUGGAUUAUGCAGAAAUUAGUUAACAAAUCAGUACUUAUUAAUUGUAUUGAAUUUAGUUAGAUUAGAGUUAGUUACUCUUUAGUUACAUUGCUUAGCUGUAAUUAGAGUACUCAGCAAGUAUUAGAUUCCACUAUAAAUACUAAGCUGAGCUCAUUUCUGUAAUUUGAUUUGCAUUAAUAACUGAAAGACAAUUUCUCUUUUUCUUCUUCAUUCGAUCUUCAAAUUCCAACUGCAAAGUUGUAAAUCCUUAAUUAGCAGGAUGAUUAUGUAAAUACAGAAGAAAUAGAAUUAAGAUUCGGUUAUAAAUUCAGCUUCAGAAUCGACGUGUUUGUUAAUCUAUUCUGGAUUUGUUGUUAUCCUAUCAUAUAAUUAUUGGUGGUUUUAGUUUUAUAUUAGUAAUGAUCUUUAGUUUUCAUAAAAUUAUAGUUUUUCUAAUAUAUAUUGUUAUCAGUUUCGUAACUAAAUACGUUGCGAUGAAAAUUUGUUAUUCCUAAUUGUUAUUAAUUCUUUCCUUAGUAAUUAACUAACUUGAUUUACGUAGUUCUAAUGGUUGGACACAUAUUUCUAAUUUAAUUAACUUGCAAUUAAUUAUUUACUAGUGAUUAACUUGAUUUAGUAUGUGGUAAAUAUAUAAUUUUUAAAUAAUAAUUUUGAUAAAAUCAGUAAAGAAAUAAUAAAUUUUCUAUCAUGUAAGUGUAAAAUUAAAGAUAAAAUAUUUUUUUUUCUAGUUACAAUAGCUAAUAUUUAUUUGAUACUUUAACUUUUAAACUAAGCUACCCAAACAUGGUUGUAAUUUUCUAUAAUGAUGCUACCAAAGAUGUCAGGAUUCCAAUCAUUGUUUACGAUGCUACAAUAUAUGUUAAUCAUGCUAAUGGUAUAAGCCUUUGGAUUGGAAGCAAUGUAAAUCCAACCGCUGGGUAACGUAGCUAGCCUAGUUAUACUUUAUUAAGGGAACAAUAAAAUUAACAAUAGUCUCACACUAAAGGGUGGCAAUUUAUUUCCCGAAUUUGUGAAUUAGACACUAACACAUCAUAACGAGAUGAUUAAUUAUCGUUUCAAAUUACUGUGUCCUCUUCACUAAUCAAUUCGUGUUUGCAUUUUGACUUCCCCACAGGGGAUUCUUUAUUUAUUUUUUUUUAAAAAAUAAGUGCAAAAUUUAUCCCACCGAGUAUAAUCAAGGGGUGCACGUCAAGACUUGGAUGGUGCAAAUAAUUCCACCAACGGACUUGAAGAUCCCAAGUUGGUCAAUGGUUAGAAUGCUGAAAACAAGCAACAGCUGCGACAUAGUUUCAGGGUCAUAUCAUCUAUAAGCCAAACGUGUGUCCGCUCAAUUAGACACCAUAACCUCUAAAGACAAAACAAAUGCAUGCAACCUACCAUAAAAAGAUGAAUGAACACUAAAGACUGAGAGCAACACAACCCAGAAUGCAAUCAUUAACCUCACGAAAACUGGACCCUGAGAUUCACUGUAACAACGUCAUUAGUAUUUUUCUUUAUCCAAGGCUCCCAGUAGCCCUCCUCCCCCCCCCCCCCCCCCCCCCCCCCACCCCCGCCCCCCCCUCGACCCCCCCUACCCCCCCCCCCCCCCUUCAAGAAAAAGAAAAAAAAAAGAAAAAAACUAUAUGGAUCUUACAAGAACGACGAAGUCAUUAUGCAAACUAUAAGAAAAUGUAAACUGAUAGGCAAUAAUUGAAGAACACGACCUAGGCAAUAAUUGAAAUAAGAUGCGAAAUUAUUUAUAACACAAUUAACUAUUCAACAAUCAUAUGUGUUGAUUUCUUUUCAAUCUGACUUGGACACUGUGUUAUAUUUUAUUAUCUUUUAAUAAAUAUCUAUAUAUAUAUAUAUAAUCAAAAAAUUAUAUAAAAUUCACCAUGAAAAUAAGGAAAACGAAAAAAAAAAAAAUCAAACGGGCCCCCUGAUGGAUCACCAACGAACGAAAAAGAGCAACUGAACCAACGAAAUGCAAUGGCAUUUUGGGGAAUCUGUCAAAAGCUGAUAACCUUUUUGUCGAUUCCCAGCCAACCUCUAUAAAUUGCCCGCAAUUGGAAAUGCAACACUUAUUACACACGCACACACUUGUCUGCUUGACGAUUUGCUCUGAUAUUUUCCUUUCUUCUUCAAUCAAUGAACUGUCUACAGAAUCUUCCAAGGUCCUCUUUUUCUUCUUCUUUUUUUAAUUUUUAUUUUAAAUCUCCUUUAAUUCGUUUUCAUUUUUUAAUUUUUUUGGUUAAUAUUUCAGAUCCUCCGCUUUGCCUUUGCAAAGCUUCAGAUUCAAUCAACGGAAGCCUACUGCUUCUUCUUCUUUCAAUUCUCUGGUAAAACGCAAUAUUUUUUUGUCGUUUUUUCGUCGUUUUUUCUUCCUGUUAAUACUUAAUGCUUGGGCGUUUUGUGUGUAAUGGAAAUGGAGUCUCGUGUCUGAUUUAUUAUCGCAGGGAACGAUGAAUUAUGCUGAUCUAAAUCGACGUAUCACCGUUAAGGUAACUAUAUAAUUUUUUAAUAUCAAAUUCAUUUCUUUCUUUUUUUUUGUUUUUUAAAAGAGUAAUAUUAGCUUCAACUGUGAUGCUGUUCAGUAGCAGUGCUGACCUUUUUAUUCAUAAAUAUCUUCGGAUAUUUCAUAAUAUGGAAUAUUCUUCUUUAUUCUGUUCUAUUUAUUUACUGGUUUUAAUGUACAUAUUGUCGAGGAGCUAAAUACGCGAGUAUAAAAAUUAACCUCAACUGAUAAUUUGUAGUCUGAUUAUGCCAUUAGUUUUAUGGAGUCCAUGUUGAUUCAGUUUGUUGUUUGAUUUUUAUGUGGAACUGUUACUUGAUUAUACAUGAACAUUCACUUGUGCAAAUUUGCUGAUGAAAUUUAUUUACAGGCAAUUACUGGUUCCACCUCUAGUAAGGAGACAUCUGAUAGCUCUGAAGUUAAGGAGGAAAAAUCCGAGAUCUAUAGUACUAAUAUGACAGAGGCUAUGGGUGCUGGUAAUUUAACUCACACUAUGCUCUAAUUUUGAUAGUAAGGCAGUUGUGGAGACCCUUAAGUGGUAAGGGAUGCUUUCCAUGUUAAAGGCAUGCCUAUUAUUGUGGAUUUGCAAAAUUUAUCUGAAACUUGAUUAAAUGAUGUUUGUAUAUUGUAUUAUAUGAUUGAAGCAUGAACUAAACGUUUUAAUGUUUCAUUCUAGAACUUCCCUGUGGACCUUUGCUCGUUUUUGUUUUGAUACUUAUGAAACUUGGUAAGUCUUGUUUUGAUUUGUUAGAGAUUUUCUGUUGAUGGAAAAUUUCAGAAGAAAGCAGUGACAAUGCAGUGCUUACUAAUUGAGGGUAGCUCAAAAUGAUAAUUUUAGAUUUUGGAUCUAUGAUAAUUGAAAAAUAAAUAGAGAUAAGUGAGUUUGUUUCAUGUUAGUUUCUUUAUCCGCUCCAAUUGAAAUACUCUGUGAUAAGAUUGUUUCUCUUAAACCCUUAUUCAUCAAAGUUUCCCUUUACAUGUCCAUUUGAAUGGCUUUAUCCCACACCAACCUUGAUUUUUAUGUUUAGGAGGUUGUUGCUUAGAGAUUCACAUGUCCAUUCUUAGUGCUAUAAGACUUUGUCUUGAUGCACAGGUGACAAGUUUGUCGGGGAGUACAUUUGGACUAACAAUCUUGAUUUAAUUCCAAACAUGUUAGCAUUGGGUUAUUUAUGUCAGUCAAAGUUCACAAAUUCAGUUUGCUUAGUCAACUCAAGUAGACAACAGAGUUGUGUAACUCAUUGACCAUGCGUGCAAAUGCCAAUGUAUGUGGCUUUAAAAAUUUGAGCAAUGAGGACAUGUGGUCCUCCACAGCCUGGAAUUAAUGUGUGUCUGAAACCUUUUUUGAACGAAAACACAGAGAAAAUGUGAGCUUGUCACAAGCUAAGUUUCCAAGAGAGGUUACAUAUGUUUACCAUGAAGUGUCACAUGAACUUGUACAGAUUGAUUUGUGAUGUUUCUUUUCCCGGUAAUCUCUUAUGUUAAAUCUUAUUGAUUGUGUUUGUGUAUGUGCGUUGGGCUGGAAGCUCCAUUAAAAUGGUUUUUCCUCAAAUUAUGAAUUAUAAUGCUCAUAAGAUAUCAUCUCUCCUUGUCCAACUUAUUAAGAAAGUAUUUCAUAAUCCUAUUCAAACAUAUUCCUUUUUUUUUUCUUUUUUGGGAUGGAGAUAUUUUCCUAGUUCAAUGCUGGAAAUGUUGUUAAUAAACAAGGAUUCUGGUUGUAUUAACUAUUUGACUAUACUUCUACAUUCCUACCUUUUUUGAGAAUUCACAAUUUAAAAUAAAAUUUGCACGUUAUCAUUUUGUAAACAAAUUCUUUCAUCUGUACUACAACAGCAGAUGAUGGAGCUCACUGGAAAUACUUUUCAUUUUUACCAUUGAUGUGAUAACUAAUAUAAGGCAUUGUUGUUUCUGUGUUUGGGUAUCAUUUCCAGCCUAAGCCUGAUACUAGUGUUUGUGGAUCAAAGCAGAAAGCUGCCACACCACCUGCAGGUUCUGGAGAGCUUCCUUCAACGAGUUCAAGCAAACCCAAGGAGUGGAGUUGUGCCCUUUGUCAGGUCACUGCUACUACCGAGAGAGGUCUAGACGUGCAUCUCCAAGGCAAGAAGCACAAGGCCAAGGAAAAACUACUUAGAGAUUUGAAGAUGUGCAUUAACUCCACUUCAAAAAAAUCUAUGGAAAGCAGAAAUAGUGCUGACCAAGAAAUGAAGCCUAAUGGAAGAGGAAUCAGUUGGUGCCAAAAAAACUGUUGUUGGUUUAGACCAGAAAGUGGAGGGUGGUCAAACCCUGCAGGUUAAGCCCAAUUCCAAUCUUUGUGGAACAAAUCAGAAUGCUGCUGCACCACCUGCAGGUUCUGGAGAGCUCCCUUCGACAAAUUCAACCAAAACCGAGCAGUGGAGUUGUGCCCUCUGUCAGGUCAGUGCUACGACCCAGAGAGGUCUGGAUGAGCAUCUUCAAUGUACGAAGCACAAGGCCAAGGUAGCAGGACUACUUAGAGAUAAGAAAAUGUGCAAUAACUCCACUUCAUCCACGUCAAAAAUAUCUACAGAAAGCAGAGAUGGUGUUGGCCAAGAAAUGAAGACUAAAGUAGAAGAGGAAUCAGGUAAAGCUAAUAAAACUGUUGUUGGUUUGAACCAGAAAUUGGAGGGUGGUCUAGAUGAGAAUCCUCAAGGUAAGAAGCAGAAAGCCAAGGAAGAAGAACUACUUGGAGCUCAGAAGUGGAUAAAAAAAUCUACAGAAAGCAGAGAUAGUGCUGGCCAAGAAAUGAAGACUAAAGUAGAAGAGGAAUCAGUUAAAGCUAAUAAAACUGUUGUUGGUUUGAACCAGAAAGUGGAGGGUGGUCUAGAUGAGGAUCCUCAUGGUAAGAAGCAGAAAGCCAAGGAAGAAGAACUACUUGGAGCUCAGAAGUGGAUAAAAAAAUCUACAGAAAGCAGAGAUAGUGCUGGCCAAGAAAUGAAGACUAAAGUAGAAGAGGAAUCAGUUAAAGCUAAUAGAAUUGUUGUUGGUUUGGACCAGAAAGAGGAGUGUUGUCAAGCCCUGCAGGUUAAGCCCUAUCCCAAUCUUUGUGGACCAAAGCAGGAAGCUGCCACACUACCUGCAGGUUCUGGUGAGCUCCCUUUGACGAGUUCAAGGAAACCCAUGGAUUGGAGUUGUGCCCUCUGUCAGGUCAGUACUACUCGCAUGAGAGAGCUAUAUGAGCAUCUUCAAGGCAAGAAGCAUAAGGCCAAGGAAGAAGAAUUACUUGGAGAUCAGAAGAUGUGCAGUAACUCCUCUUCAAAAGACUCUACUGAAAGCGGAGAUAAUGCUGGCCAAGAAAUUAAGGCUACUGUAGAAAAUGAAUCAGUAUAUCUAAUAAAACUGCUGUUGGUUUAGACCAGAAAGUGGAGGGUGGUCAAGAUAACGCGACAUCAAGAACCUAAUUAAAAAUUUAUUGUAUAUGUUUGUGUGAAUAUUUACAAAGGAG